This 256030-nucleotide long non-coding RNA is filed under the name Citrus maxima (pomelo). RNAcentral's name for it is "long non-coding RNA (CMAX_LNC001477)". Lineage: Eukaryota; Viridiplantae; Streptophyta; Magnoliopsida; Sapindales; Rutaceae. The record is from RNAcentral.
AGUUAAAGACAUUGGAGGUUUUCAGUGUGGCAUACAAUAACUUAUCAGGCGAAAUUCCAGAAUGGACUGCACAAUUUGCAACCUUCAAUGAGAGUAGCUAUGAGGGAAAUACUUUCUUUGUGGAUUGCCAUUGCCCAUUUGCAGAUCACCAGCAACUAUGUCGGAGGCUUCAAUUGGCAAUGAACGAGAUGAUAAUUUAAUUGACAUGGACAGUUUCUUUAUCACAUUUACAACAUCGUACGUAAUUGUGAUAUUUGCAAUUGUUAUUAUUUUAUAUGUAAAUUCUUAUUGGCGACGUAGAUGGUUUUACUUUGUUGAAAUGUGGAUAACUUCAUCUUACUAUUUUGUUGUAGACAAUCUUAUUCCAACAAGAUUUAUCAUUGAAAUUAAUUAGUAGUUUAAUUACGAUUCUUUAAGUACUAAUCAAGUUUGUUUAGGAAAUAUUUUUUUAUUAAAAUUGUAGUAGUAUUUAGCAUUAUAUAGCUUCCAACUUCCAAGCACUUCACAUUUGUCUCUACACUUAAAAAACUGAGUGAUCAUGUUUUGCAGAUCUGGAUUUGGAGCAGGAUGGAUCCAAACCCAUAUCUGUCCACCGUAACUUAUAGCUUCCCUAUACUGUGCAGCAUACUUAAAAUAAGAGAACCAUCUCCAAUGUUAAAAGCAUUCACUCUAUAACAUUCAUUUAGAAAACUAUAUUCAGAAUAUUUUAUAAUUAAACACAAGAAAUGAAAACACACAGAUACACUUGAUCGCCUAUUUUACUCUAAAAAAGAACGAUUAUUGUGCUAUCAUCAUCUUCUUCACUAGCAACAUUAACACCAAAUCGAUGGACCCAUACAUUUCAUCAAGAAAGGUCUAUAUCCAAUAAAGUUGAAGCCUAACAAAAAAUUCAAGAAGAUUCAUGCCUCGCCACAACAAGGGCACAACAACAUCAAAGUAGAGAUUAAGCAGUAAUUCUCAAAGCUAAAACUCUCAAAUCCACCCACCAGAAUUUCAUAUCUCCUCAACAAUUUAAGAACUAAAGAUAAUUAGGAUUUAACAUUAGUUUUUUAUAUAUUAGUCAUAAUUUACAAAUCAAUGAAGAUGAAGAUUAUGCUAAUAAAAUUCAAAUUAUACCAUACAUUCUCUAGAUGUUACCAAAAAUUUCUAAGUCAAUCCCACAUAUUUCAUAAUUUUAAGACUAGAAAAUUUCACUAGUUAGAAGUUUCAUUACCUUCAAGUGGAAGAUGAAGAACAUUAUACAAGUGAUUCAGAUUAUAUCAUACAUACUCCAAAUGCAACUAGAAAUUAACAAGUUCAUGCACACAUAUUUCAUAACAUUAUGAUUGAAAAGUUUCACAGAGAAAAUUCUAAAUUCAAUCUCUUGCAUGAAGGCAAUUUGAUUGAUUGAGUUACUUCUUAUCAAGCUACUAAUAUAACAUUCAAGUCAGGAGAAAAUAAAUUAAAACUGGGAAGAAAUAACAGUAAAAAAUUUGUUGCUCAACAUGAUGUGUAUUUUUUUUCAAGGCAAUUUGGAAACACAAUUGUUACCACAGAUAUUCUUCUCAAACUUGGAGAUAAAUACAAAUAUUAAAAUGCAUAUGAUCGCACAUAUUACUUCGAGUUUAGUAAGAUUUCAUUAAAAGAAGCAAUCAAACCACUUAUCAAUUGUCGCAGUCGUUCUAUAAACUAAAAUAGCAAUAUAAUACAAGAAAAAGAACAUAUAGAUACUUGGCAAGAGUUCAUUAAGAAGUCACAUCACAUUCAGGUGAGGAGUUUGCUUCUGAUAUCUUGCUAGCUGGGGCUUUUUCUUGUCUUUCUACGUAUGCCGAGGGAAACCAACCAGCUUGGCCCUUGCAUUCACCUUCCGACCAUCCAAUAGGAGCCACCUUGAGAAGUUAUAACUAAAAUGGUGAAUUAAACAAAAGUUGACCGUUCAAAGACCUAAGGGGAAAACUAAUUCUUUUACGUAGGAGGAGUGAAUUAGUUGUGAUCACUGAAAUAACAGCAUAACUAUGGAAGCAUAACAAGAUAUAAAUUCACACGUCUAUAAGGGUAAACUGGGUGGUUGAGAACUGAGCUAGCAACCCUACUAUAUUCUGAUUUGCACUUCAAUGUAAAAGGGAAUAUAUGGUAGGAAGAAAGAAAACCAACCAUCAUUUGUUAACUCAUUGCUUUUCAAUCAAAAUUUUAAGAACAAAAUGCCAUGUGCUUUGAACAUCAAAUAAGUAUAAGCAUUAGUUCUAAAUUCCACAUAUCAUAAGUUGUUAGAAGGAUAAGUUAAUAGCAGAGUAGAAAAAUCUAUGUGUUGGUAUUUAGAGGGGAAAGUACCUGGCGAACCACAACAUAAUCAUCAAUUGAAAGACUUAGCUCUCCAUUUGCUUGAGCAUCAAAUGGAUGUAUAACCUGCAAGAUAAUGGGAUAAAUAGAACUUAAAAAAAGCAUAACAAAAGCGGCAACAGUAGCAGCAACGUUCAUUGUAACCACUAUGAUCAUGGCCAACAAGAUAUAUUAGAAACAAAAUUCCAUUUUUACUACGACAUUAAUAUGUACUAUACGAUAUCAUGACGAUUGGGUUACUAAGAGCUAUCAAAGUCUAAUAAGUUCUGUAUAACUUUAUGUAGUUAUUUAAAUUAUGGAUCAGAUUUUAAAUUUGAAAUUUUGACUGCUCUCCACAAAACAUGGCCUAUGCACAAGAAAGUCAUAGAUAAUGAGGAUUACAAGUGUCCGACAUCUUUUGAGUGAUGGAUUUAACAUGAGAGCUUAUGGUCAGUCAAUUUCCUCUGCCUAGCAAUAUAAGCUUUCUCGGCCAGAUUUAUCAUCAAAUACAUAGAUUGCCCCCAAGUCACAUCCAUAUAAACAUAGUUUUUCUAGGUAAACCAAGUAAGGAGUAUCAUAAUUCAGACAUAAUCAUAAAAAGGCCCAUCUAACUUAAGAGAAAAUCUCAAAAAGAGGGAUGCUGAGCUAUCAGUCUUGUAUCUAUAAGCAAUAUCAAGACUUUACGUCACCUGCUACAUCGUGAGUGGCUACACAACUUUCAGUGGUUUGUCUUUCUUUGGCACGCCUAACUCAGCUUUCAUGUUGCUGAGAUAUUGAUAGUAGAGACACAUGAUACUUCUAGCUCAUGCAUUCUAUCUAACUCAUCCAACAACUAUCUCUUUUUUAAUUCAUUAGUGUUUGCUAAACCUCAUGCUUAAAAGUCCUGUUCUCCUAAACAAAGUUUCCUAAGAAUGACUUCCUUAGCACCACAGUUGGACACUUUAGAGCAAUUUUAUUUGGGGGAAAAGAAUUUUCAAGGUGUUAACUAAUAAAUUUUAAAAAAUAAUUACAAUUUGUCCUACGAUCAUAUGACAAUUUAUCUGGGAUGAAAGGAUACAGAUAGACAUCUUCCACUUUCAAGACUAAUCACUACUUCCGUAGAUGUUGUGCAAUAAUACAAAUACUUGACCAGAUGGUAGUGAUGGUAGAAAAAAAUUUUAUUGCUCCAAAAUUAAAAUAAGAAUGCAAUAUGUUAAGCAAAAGGCUGUGCAACAUCAAAUUAAUUGAUAAGUUUGUAAUUCAGUAAAUUAACAACUUUCAUGGUAAAAUACAACAAAUUUCUUUUGAAAAAAAAUAAAUAAAUCUUAAAAGACAACAUUCAAUUUUGUGCACAUCUUAUUUCUUAAGAUUUUUCAGGAGGAGGGCAAUAGAGGGACUUUCACCUAUGCAAGAGAGCAGAAGCCUUACUUUCCCUAUAAAGUAGACGUCAUUCUGAUUAAUAUGCGUUUGCAAAUCAGCUCCGUUUGAAUCAGUAUUCUGAUAGACACACGAGGAAUUUACAUCCAUUUCCAAAGUCACAUGUUGCGAGGAGGACUCAUUUGAUUGCUCCUAUACGAUCAUCUAAUUCAAGUAGCAAGGGUUGGAAGAGAAUAAAAAGUCACAAUUAUUCUUUUGCAUAAGUGAGACGAAAAUGAUAAAUGCAAUAUUAUCAGCAGUAAACAAGAAGAGAACGCUCCAAGAAAUAGAUAGAUGCAGACAAGCAAGUUAAAAUGCAUAGUCCCAAACCUCCGCAUACAACUUCUCUAAAAUAGCAAUAACGUGUUGAUGCUAUGUUUUCUCAGCAUCUACCUGCAAAGGCCCGAGACCAGGAAAACAACAAUAAAACCACUAGCUGAAGGAGAAAGCAAAGAAAGAAAUACACUUGACAUAAAUCUUGACAAGAAGCACAAAUUAAGACAUAACAAACCCCAAUCAUAUUGUUUAGAACUACCAUUCGUUAUUUCGUUAUUGUAACAUUUCGAACAAGUGUUGACUUAAUUCAACAUUGUUGGAAAGAUAGGCUUUUAGAAGCAGAAGAAAGCCUCUCAAACCAAAGUGCUGGUCCUUGUAUUGAUCAAGGGAUGUAAACAUAUUACAUUUGCAGGAUGAGAUUUAAUCACUCCCCUGAUUUAUUCGGGUUGCAGUAAAACUAAGCGAGCAACUGUUUGACUUUCAAGCAACAGCUAAAUCAGCUAUUAAAAUUCAAAUAAAAUCAUAAUAGAAUAAUAACAGGCCAUCUUGCAUCAAAAAUUAAGUUUAAUUUGUGAAUUGUUUUCUAUAGACAUGUCAGUUUCUGCUAUUGAAAUGUUAAAAGCAUUGAAAAAUUAUUCAAUAAAUUAUGCAAGCAUUAAAAUAGAGGACAUAUUAAAAAGUUUCUAAUUACAAUGUUAAUAUUUCCUAUAUUUUAGCAUUUGCAUAUUUUAAUUUAUUUAAAAGCUACGUUGAUCAACUUUGGGCAUGAAGAUUUUAGCUUAUACGAGACUUGAUUGGAAUAUGCAUAAGAGUGUUAAAAUAUGAUGCAUCCAAUGAAAGACAAACCACGUGUAGUCUUUUAAUUAAGCCAAAGUAGCAGCUCAAACAAAUGACACUUGGACCAACAUGCAAUCAUGAAGUGGCCGGAAAAAGGACAAAUGCAACUUUGGCUUAAAUAAAAAAUAACAUGUGACUCGACUUUUGCUGGACAUGCAUCAUGUUAUCACAAGACAACAGAAAUCAGUAUGAUAGUACUAAAAGUUGACAAUAACAUGAAGAUAAGAGGCAGAAUGUCAACACAUGCAUAGGCACACACAAGAAAGUAUUAACUUAUAUACCAUAGCAAAAAGUCUUUGAUAUGUCAUCUGUUGCUGCUGUGAUUCAACUGACAGCAUGGCAGCUGUUGCUUCUCUACCAAGAGCCAUUAUUGUAGAUUUAAGCUCGGUCAAUCUUGCUUCUGCAUUUCGAAGCUUCACAGCACUCUCUGCUGAUAUAUCAGAUUCCUAAUCUUUGAUCGGCGCCUAAAUACUUCAGCUGCCUGGUGAAAAUAUUCAAUAUAAAUCUAACAUAAUUCUNNNNNNNNNNNNNNNNNNNNNNNNNNNNNNNNNNNNNNNNNNNNNNNNNNNNNNNNNNNNNNNNNNNNNNNNNNNNNNNNNNNNNNNNNNNNNNNNNNNNNNNNNNNNNNNNNNNNNNNNNNNNNNNNNNNNNNNNNNNNNNNNNNNNNNNNNNNNNNNNNNNNNNNNNNNNNNNNNNNNNNNNNNNNNNNNNNNNNNNNNNNNNNNNNNNNNNNNNNNNNNNNNNNNNNNNNNNNNNNNNNNNNNNNNNNNNNNNNNNNNNNNNNNNNNNNNNNNNNNNNNNNNNNNNNNNNNNNNNNNNNNNNNNNNNNNNNNNNNNNNNNNNNNNNNNNNNNNNNNNNNNNNNNNNNNNNNNNNNNNNNNNNNNNNNNNNNNNNNNNNNNNNNNNNNNNNNNNNNNNNNNNNNNNNNNNNNNNNNNNNNNNNNNNNNNNNNNNNNNNNNNNNNNNNNNNNNNNNNNNNNNNNNNNNNNNNNNNNNNNNNNNNNNNNNNNNNNNNNNNNNNNNNNNNNNNNNNNNNNNNNNNNNNNNNNNNNNNNNNNNNNNNNNNNNNNNNNNNNNNNNNNNNNNNNNNNNNNNNNNNNNNNNNNNNNNNNNNNNNNNNNNNNNNNNNNNNNNNNNNNNNNNNNNNNNNNNNNNNNNNNNNNNNNNNNNNNNNNNNNNNNNNNNNNNNNNNNNNNNNNNNNNNNNNNNNNNNNNNNNNNNNNNNNNNNNNNNNNNNNUAACCCUCUCUCCCUCUUCAAUCUCUCUCUAUUUUGUUCCCAUUGAUGACCCCAAUCUGCUUAGUUAUCCAGCUUUAUAGCUGCAUCAGUAACAAACCAGCAAACCCAGAUUGAGCAGAUUGACGACACGUGGAUAACGGCUUUAACGAACCUGGUUAAGAACUGCUCACAUGUUCGUCACGCGUGCUGCUUAAAUGAUGGCCAAAACGACUUCAAACAAAUGUCGUUUUGAGGCUUAUGAAUUACAAGUGAUAACACGAGCUUGUCUCAUGACUUUUAAAUGCAACAACGUGCCCACAACGCCGUCGUUUUACUCUGUUGAGUUUGAUUCAUUACUAAGCUUUUACGACUGGCAAUGGAGAAGAUGAUAAUUUAAUUGACACGGACAGUUUUUAUAUCACUUUUACAACAUCCUAUGCAAUUGUAAUAUUGGGAAUUAUUGAUGUUUUAUUCUGUGAAUCCUCAUUGGCAAAAACUAGUGUUUUAUCUUUGUUGAAAUAUAGAUGACCUCUCGUUACUGUUUUAUUAUAAACAUAUAGUUUCGUAAGUGAAUAUUUUAUUAUAAAAUUAACAUAUAGUUUUGUUACAUUUCUGCCUCAUUAAGAUUCUCAAAUACCAGUCAGGUUUGCUUAAGAAAUAAAUUUUUUCCAUUAAAAUUGCAGUAGUAUUUCCAAGCAUAUCGCAUUUUCUAUGAGUUUUCAUAAAUUAAUUAAUCUGCGGUGCCAAUAUCAGAUUUAGUUUUUCAAACUAAAUAAUCAAGAAAGCAAACAUACAAAUAUACAGUUUAGAGGGUAAACUAGGUAGGUGGUUUAGAUUUUAGAACUAAGCCAGCUACCUCGCUAAAUUCCGAUUCGUACAGUGAACUGCAAGAAACUGAGAAAACAAUGUAUUUAUAAUUUAAUAGAAUCAUAAGAAAACAAUGCAGUCAUUGCUCAAUAUAAGAUGAUGAUUUCGGAGAGGCACAUUGUUUUCAAGUUAAUUUGAUCCGUUUAUAAGAGAUGAAGUGGAAUGAAGUUGAAAGUUUAAAUAACAAAUCCUUGUUCUUGAGUUUUACGACGUCGUUACUCCUUCAAGUGGCAGAUUAUGCAAGUGAAUGCAGAAACACAAUGCAUCAUCCGCGGGGAUGAUACAUCAAAAGGCGGGAUUUGUUUAUGCCUGCAGAUUAGCAAUUUCACUCAUAUAGAAAAUUAAUUUUUUAUAUAUACUAAUCAACACUAAAUUGAUUAUGUGUUGUAUGUUUAUAUAUGCUAAUCAACACGAAAUUAUAUUGAAUUAUUAACAUUCAUAUUCCUAAUAAAAAUUAUUUUCCAUCAGUAUUCAAAAUUUUCACUUAUAGAAAAUGCGUUUUACGUGAAUACUAGUUAUUGUGUAAAUUUGAAUGAUAGCGAAAAAUAAACCUAUUUGAAAACUGUAAGGGUGUGUUGGGAUAUUUUACAACUGUCGGAAUCUGGUAGGAUAUUUGCACCAUUUGCCCAAUAUUUUUAGACGUACUCCAACCGGUAUUCAAGAUAAGUAAAAUUUACAAGCGUGGCAAAAAAAAAAAAUUAAAUUCGUAACUUGUAAACGAAUUUUCCUGACAUGUAUAGUAAAUGAAGUUGUUGAUCCUUUCUUUGGAUUAUUUCAGCUCUGGUUGUUGGUCACCGAUGAGCCGAAGUCUUAUUUUAAUUUUAUUUAAACUCAUCAUAAGAUUCGUGGAGCACCUAACUAACUUAACUGACUGCGCAGAUCAUCUCAACAUGGCAUAUUUAACCAUCAUUCAAGUGAUGGGUUUAAUAAGACUGCUUUUGUUCUAUCAACUAUCAAGUUCCUCUGCCUCUAAGCAGAAUUACUAUUGAAGGGCCAAAAGGAAAAUGAAAACGUGUGAGCUCCAACAACCACCCCACAAUGAAUGACGAUGCUCGGAGAGGGUUAGGUUGGGCCUCUGAGAAAAAAAAAUUAUUUUGUUAAAAAGUUACCCUUAUUGAAACCUGUAUAAAAAUUUUAUAUUAAUUAGUUAUGUCGCCUCUUCAACGAUGAUCAAAUUCUUAUCUGAGCUCAUCAUUUAAUGAGUAAACAUGUAUUUUAAUGAUCUCAAUUAAUAUUUAGAACAAAUAUUUUAAGAAGUAAAGCUCAUUAUAUCUUCCAUUAUUAUGUAUUUCUUUAAUUUCUUAUUUACAUAAUUAUAUUGUACAUUAAAAAUGUAUUGAAUUUGAAGAAAAAAAAAUUCAACUCAAAAAAAAAAAAAUGCUGGUAGCUUCGUAAUAAUUACUGUAUUGACUGCACCAGAUAAAGUUUUGUAAAAUAAUAAGUUCUCAUAAGUGGUUUUUCAUUUUUAAUUUUCUUUUCCGGCACACCUGAUCAAGAAUUCUAUUUUGUUAACUAAUCAAUUGCAAAGCAUAAGUGUUUGAACGGUACAAAAAUUUAAAAAAAAUACACUUAAAAACGUGGGGUGGGUAACGGCUCACUCAAAUCGUUAGGUAGAAUUGUGGAAAACUAAAGCGAAAUGAGAAAUAUAGAAAGAAAGGAAGAGGUGAUGUUUUUCUAUGAAUUUCUAUGGGUAACGGCUCACUCAUCCUUCUAUGAAUUUCUAGCUGUAUUGACCCCAACUGCUAAAGUUUUGUAAAAUAAAAAUAAAAUAAAAACUGGAAUUUCAACAAAAAUUCAAAAACGUUUGAAAUUUAAUUUUUGGCCAUGUGGAACAAAAUGUAAAUUAAGUAAAAAAUAUAAAUCUCAAUUGCUUAGUAUGGUUAGGAUUUUGUGAGCAUCACUAAAAAGUGAAAACUAUGAAUGAUAGAGGUGAUGUUUGCAACAUGAAUAAAUGAUGAACUGAAUCAAUUGAUGAUCGUAAUUACAUAAUGAACAAAAUUUACAAAAUCAACAAAAGUUAAUAAAAAAUUAUUUUAAUAAUAAAAAAUCAAUAAAACUUAUUAUUUAAGGGCGCUCUAACCAUGGAAUACCAUAAUCAUAAUCUUCUUUUAAGAAAAUUAUAAACUUAUUAUUUUACAGGAUUGAUCCAUUUGGAAUGAAGUGGUCUCAAGUUGAAAGUAAUUAAUUUAUUGAAUAACUUUCGACUUAUUAAUAGUUAUAUCAAAGGGUGUUUUACCUCAUCAUGUCUUCAAGUGGAAGAUGAAGACUAUGCAAGUGAAUUCAGGAAUAUUGCAUGCCUGUUGUCUAAAGCAUUACCUCACAAGGUUUCAUGAGAAACGAAAGAUGUGUUUGCUUUGAACAAUUAAAGUUACUGCUACGAACCUCCCCAAAGGUCAAGAAGACAGAACAGGAAGCUAAUGCCAUCAAUGUCUUGUUCAUUAUAGCUGCUGGGUAGUUAGGUGUAGUUUCCUCAUUUGAAGCUGUCUAUACAUAGGCAUUUCCCCUGCUUAUGUACAAAUAAAUGAACAACCUUGAAGCUUUAUUAUUCGCAACAAAAAGGGAUUACUAAUUGGAGAAGACAAUACAGAGUUUUCUCUCACACUUUCUCUCUGUCAAUUUCAUCCAGAAGUCCCUCUGAAAGCUUCUCCCAAAACAGUUAGUCAUCUUUUAUGCUCUGUUUUCUGAAAACAGAGUCCUAACUAAAUUAAUUGACUGUACAGUGCAUUUCAACAUAGCAUAUUUAACCGUUUUAACAGUUAUUUGGACCGUCUUCAGAGGUAACAUCAACAAACUCAUUCAUAUGCUUAAUAAUGAACGAAUAGUCUUGGAUCGAUGUUUUGCAGCAAGAGCAACACGACACAAUCUGGAUUCAACCUCCUCCUUUCUAACAGGGGAUUUCGAUUUGAGUUACUUUGUGCUCAAGCAAAUUCACAUCAUAGUUUUGAUUCUUUAGAUAUGAAUUCAUCUCAUUACAUAUAUCAGAUUAAGUGUAACAAAAUUUGUAAUUUACUGCGAAAAGAAUAUGCACUAAAAAAUGAUUUCAAGACUAUUUGACUACAAAAAGCAGCUGUCAGAGUGCACUAAAAAUUUCUGUAGGAUAUUUUGUAGCUGUUUAAUAUGUUAUGAUGGGCAUAUAAUUCUCAAAUUUUGAUGCCUCUCAGCGAAAAAUAUAUCAAAGUUACGGAUGAUAUCACGUAAAACAUGCAUGGCUCAGGCUCAGGCUCAGGUAAGAAAGCCACAGAAAAGGAAAAUCUCACUGUCACGACUCACGUCACGCAUCAUUCAAGUGAUGGAUUUAACAAGACUGCUUAUGUUCUAUCAAAUUCCUCUGCCUCUCAGAAGAUAACUUUUCUGGGCCAAAUUUCUCAUCUAAAGCAUAUUAUGCCCCAAAGUCACAGAUAACAAAAUGGGGCACUACCGAUUAUGAAAGAGAACUAGUAGUUGUCAGAAGCCUAAGCCAAAUUCCGGUAGUAAGAAGAGGCCUUUCUUGAGUUUAGAUUAUGUGUUCGAGUUUUAAUAAAUGCCUAAGUUAAUAAUAAUAACAACAGUAAUAAUAAACUAAAAAGCAUAAUUACUAUUGAAUGGUAAAAAAAAAAAAUGAAAAUGUGUGAACUCCAAUAACCACCCCAGUGGCGAAUUUUGGAGAGGGCUAGGCCGGGCUUCUUAGAAAUUAUUUUUAUUUAAUUACAAAAUCACCUUUACUGAAACCUAUAUAAAAUUUUUUAUAUUAAUUAAUUAUGUUGCCUCUUCAAUUAUCAUUAAAUUCUUGUCCGUUCAUAAUUUGAUGGACAAAUGUGUAUUUCAAUAAUUUCAAAUAAUGUCUAGAACAAAUAUUUUGAAUUAUAAAACUCAUUAUGUCCUGCAUUACUAGAUGUAUCUAUAAUUUAUUAUUUACAAAUUAUAUUGUAUGAUAAAAAUGUAUUGAAUUUUUUUUAAAAAAAAAGUUCGGCUCACUCAGAAAAAAAUGUUAUUAGCUUCGCCACUGCACAAAUCUAGAAUAAUAAUUAUUCCUUAUUAUAUUGACUGCACCAAGCAAUAAACUAAUAAGUUCUCAUCAGUGGUUUUUAAUCUUUUUAAUUCUUUUUACCGCACACCUGAUCAAGAAUUUUAUUUUGUUAACUAAUCAAUUGCAAAGCAUAUAUAAGUGUUGAACGGUACACAAGAUUGGAAAAAAAAAUCUUAAAAAACGUGCGGAUUCGGGUGGCCACACCAGAAAUCUAUUACAAUAAUUAGCUUUGAUGCUGGGAAUCUUUUAAUUUCUGGCCGUAUUGAAGUUUUUAAAAUAACAAGUUCCCCUUCUCGUUUUUUUUUUUUUUUAAAAUAUAUAUGCUUAUAACAAUUUUAGAAUAAUGAUUCAUUUGUAGAAGAACUUAUGAUUUCCCAUUAAUAUUAAUAUUGAAGUGGGGUGGGUCAAAUCUCAAUUGCUUGAAGAAUUUAUGUAUUAUUAAAUAUUACCAUCCAAGGUAGAAUUGUGGAAAAUUAAAGCAAAAUGACAAGUAUGGAAAGGAAGGCUGAAAGUAAGGCAUGACGAAAGGCUUUGAGAAGGCUGAAGACUACCAAAGAAGUCAACUGAAAACUAGCUGGGGCCUGAGUGUAUAAAUUGUUAGAUGCGUUUGUUAUAAAUAACAUAGAGCCCUUUUGUUAUUUAUAGUUAUAGAGAAAGAGAGAAUGUGUGUUUUUUAAUAGUUAGAGAUAUAGCUAGAAUGGGUUGCUCAAAAUCCAAAAUAGUGACAAUGUUAGUUCUCGUAUUGAUAAUAUUGGGGGGGGGGGGGGGGGGGGGGGGGGGGGGGGGGGGGGGGGGGGGGGGGGGGGUGUUGGGAGGUCGAGUGAGGGAUGUUUGGAGCAUGAGCAAUUUGAUCUUUUGCGGCUUAAACAUUUCUUCAAUUAAUAUCGAUCUGGAGAGUGGUAUCUGAAUGCUUCUCUAUUUACUUCCUUUCAACAACUUGGUAACAAAAUAGCCGGCUGCAUGCGUUGAGAAUGAAGGUGCUUCAUUUAAUUUAAUUUACUUAAUUUCUCCCUCCUAAUUAAUGUCUAUAAUCAUUAGGAGGAACAAGGGAUUUUAUUAACUCAAAUAUAUCUAAUGGAGCUCAUUCUUUGGUUUUACUUGCAGGGCUAGAAGCAGGUGUCAUCUAACAGCUGCUUUGAUAAUUUCCCUCCCCUUCAUCUUUGAUGGAAAGAUGAAAUAAAAACAAAUUGGUGAAAAUGGUAUUGGUACCUGAGGCUAUGUAAUCUAAUUCAAAAACUGCACCAUCAAAACGAUUACAUAAGUCUCAGAAGAAUCAAAUAUCAGUUUGCAAAAUAUCAAUUGCUGGAGGUUUGAUUCUAACUUCCGCUCUUCAUUUUUAUGGGCAUAUUGUGUUGUACUUGCAUCCGAAAAUCAUAUUUUAGUUUACUUGCACUCAAUGCUUGGAUUAAAGUUUUUUUUUGGGGGGGGGGGAUUGAAGAAGACUAAAAUUACACCAAAAAAGAGUUGAGCGAGAGCGGGUUUUGUCUUCAUUUAAGGAGCUCUUUAUAAAUUUUGGGAUUUUUUUCCUGAGAAAAUUUAUGCCAACUCAUUCUUUGCUUCUUUUCUGAAGGGACACAUGCAACCGAAAGUAUAUUCUUGAAUUCUCCAGGAUAAGAGACAUACGUUUAGAUUCUGGAGCAUUUAAAAACAAUGUCAAAUUUUAGAUUGCUGAAAUUUUAUAUAUCCGAGUAUGAUGGUGUUCCAAUUAUAAGCUCCAGGGUGCAACUUCACUGAGGUUUAGAAUGCCUUCCUAUAGAAUUGAGAAAUCUCCAUUGGCAUAAAUAUCUUUUGAAAAUACUGACAUCAGAUUUUGAAUUGGAGAACCUGAUUGGACUCAGCUUGCCCUGUAGUAAGGUUAAGCAAAUUUGGAAAAGAGAAAAGGUAUAAUGUAUUACUAUUACCAAAGUAUCUAUUUUUCUUUCUUUAAGUAUUUAUAAUGAAUAACUUUGAAAUUCAAUGAUGCUCAUUUAGUAUAGUUAUGUAUCUUUGGUUAUAGGAAGCUGUCAAGUUAAAAUCUAUAGACCUUCACCACCCCUUUAUCUCAAUAGGAUCCCAGAAAUACUAAAUCUUAAAAAAAUAAAUCUUUCAAAUUGUGAAAGCAUGCUUACGUUACCCCCGUAUAUCCACAAUUUCAACUAGCUGAGUAUGUUGUGUUUCAGGGAUGCAAAAUUCAUUUUGUUUCUCAUGAAAGGAUUGACUUGUCCGGAUGUAUUAGGGUUAGUAAACCAACUAAUCCCAUAAUUUGUUGAUGUAGGGUCCUAACAAAUUAUUGCAGUAGAUUGUAGAUCAGUACACUAUUCGAAAACGUAUUUGAUCCACACAGUGAAGUGGAUAUUGGACCAAUUUGAUGAUAAUGAAUUUCUUUCAAUCUCAAUCUUUUUUCUUUUUAGCAACAUGACUAGUCAUUGUGCAAAUUCAAACUCUGACAAUAAUUUCUCAAUCGGUUUCUAAGAUGAUGACCAUGCAUGUAUAUGUAUAUGCGUGUGUAUAUGUGUGUGUGUGUAGAGAGAGAGAGAGAGAUCACACGUGUGUGAUUUCCUUUUGCCAAUAGGAUAUGCAGAGAGCUUGAUCUUACCCAAUAGCGAAACAAACUUCCUAAUAAGUGAAGGUAUAGUAUAAAUACUUAUACUUUCAUGUUAUUUUGUUCAUCAGUAGCUUGAUUAUUUUAUAUGCGUCUUCGAUUUUAAUUUUCUUUCCCUAUAAUCGCUAUUAUCUUUGAACUGGUCAUAAUUUGCCCAUAAGAUUUCUCAUGUUGUUUUGAGGUGCAACGGAUUUUGAAUUUAGUGACAAGCAGUGGAAGCCAGAAGGCAAAUUAUGAAAAUGGAUAAAGAUCUAUAAUUAGCUGUUAUGGGAUGUCACAUAUCAUAUUGAUGGUAACGUUAUAUAUAUGUACAUAUAAUUAAUGGGGUUGGCUCACGAGCCCAUUAAUAAUGGUAUAUUAGCUUAUAUACUUCAAACAAUGUACUAUGAAGCAAUUUCACAAAUACUUGUUAGCUUAUGUUGAGCUUUAUUGAAUCAGUAGUUCACAGUUCAAUAAAAUGCAGGUUUGCUAUUUGAAGUACAUGGUUAUGGUGCGUACAUUCUUCAUAAGGCUAACUACUAAUUUAUCAUUGAAACUUGAAAAAUGUGAUAGAGAGAUGUAGAUAACAGCCGCAAAACACUGAGAUUGAAAAUCAGGGCUACUAAAUUCUAUUAAAAGUCCUUAAAAUAGACAGCGAUCACCCUGAAAUGUAUAUACUGAAACUAAGAAAUAUUAAUCGCAAAGUUAUGCAUUAAUAGAACUAUUGACUACUUAUCUUUAGCAUAAAGUAUAUUUUUAACUACAGCUUUCUGCUUUGUUCUAAGAACUAGGCAAAAGUGGUGUAUCUUCAAUCCAAUCAACAUAUAUACCACUUAUCUUCCUCUUCACUUCUGUCUAUUUUGAUUUGCACUUCAUAUCCUGCACUUGCUGCUUAGAAAUAGUCUUUAUUCUGGACAUUGAAAGUAGAAAAAGUACUUGAAACAAUCAUUGGCACAGCCCGAGAUUCCAUUGAAUCGUGGACUCCAAGCUUUCAUAGUUCUAUAAAGAAGAUGACAAAACUUCAUACAACUGGCAUUCUGCUUUUAACAUUUGCACAACCUGAGCGAGUUAGCAAGCCCCUUGUUGCGUUCCCAUUGAAUAGACCUACUUCUGUUAUCCGCAGAAGAUCCACCACUCAAAAUGUUUAUCACCAGGCUAUUCUUAAACUGAGCCUAAACUGAGUAGAAACUUCCGCACAUCUCUCAGCAUUUACAUGAAGAAAUCGACAACUAUCCUCAUCUCUCAGCACAUCUCUCAGCAUUCUACAAAGUUGCAUUUCACUAAGCAAUCUAUCCUCUCCAUUCCUAGCAAAGUGACAUUGAUUCCCGUAUUUGUAAUCGCCUAACUUGGGUUUUGGGCAUAGCGUGGUCUUAAAAUUACCACCCAAUACUUUGUUCAGUGCCACUGGCAUCCACAAGCUCUAGCCCUGUUAGUUGAAUCAUAUUCAAUGGGACAGUGAGGCAGCAUUUCACUAACAUAUUCAAUUUGACUACUUAUAUUGACGCAAAUAUUAGAAUUUGAAAUCACUUCUUUUAUUGGAAUAUUAUAUUAAUAUGACCCCAAAUGAAAGUUCUUGAAUGGAAAUGAUUUUUAUUUACUUUUCGAACAGAUUCAAGAAAACCCAGAGAACACAAAAUUUACACAGUAAUAUGAUUAAGAGCUGAGAACGUAUAUGUAGUAAAUGUCUAUCAAAAAACACCCAAGGGUUUCUUUAAAAUUAGUAACUAGUAAACAAAAAGAAAGAAUCAUUUUACAUUUUUAGCAACUUUGGGGUGAGUGAGUGAGUGAGAAAUUGAAACCCUCAAGUGAUGACAACAGUAAGAUUCAGUAUGAAGUGAAACCCCAAUUUGAAAUGUAGGCAUGAGUUGCUGAGUCAGUAGAUGAAGCUAUAAAUAGGCAUUCGGUUUCCUUCUUUUCGGUUUGGAGGGCCAUGGAAUAGUGUAUUGGAGUGGGCUCCAAGUAAUAGCCUCUAUCACUGGAACGACACAUCUAUAAAAUGUGAUACAUGGGGAAGGAUUGGGCAUUUUAUUCUUAGAUUAGCCCCUUAUUUAGGGUGUAUAUUAAGCAGAUUAUAUAUUACAUGGAGAUGGAGUUUAUGAAAUAGAUUAAAAAGAAAAGGAAAUUUUGGUGCCUAAAGUUUGCCACUUGGAAUAUUUCGGUGUCUAAAAAUUCACUCACCACUUAUUUCAUGUUUGAUUAUAUGUUGAAAAGAUAUUAAAAUAGUAUAAUGCUAUUAAGGCUUAACGUAUAUUUUUUAUUAGUAGAGUGUAGAAUUUUUAAGAAAUAAAUUAUUAAAUUAUUAUAACUAACAUAUUAUUUUAAAGUUGUGUUAUGAAAAAAAUGAAAUAAAAAUGUACAGUAAAUAAGAAUAUUUUAAAACUUUUAUCUUUUUAAAAUUAGUUUUUAACAUAAGGUGAACUAUUUUUUUUUUUAAAAUCACAUAUUCUAGUUAAAAUCAAAUAUGUAUUUAUACGAAGCUUGUAAAUUUUUUUUUUAGUACUGAUAUUUGAAUAUUAUCAAUAAAAAAAAGGGUAAUGUUCAUGCUGCAUUAUUUUUGUAGCACACAAAAGGACAACACCGUUUAUGUUAUAAUACUAUCGCUUCUGUUAUGAUAAUUUUUUUUGUGGCCAAAUAUCUUUUUUUUUUUUAAGUAAAAAAAAGUGGACAAAAUGCAAAUCAGUUUUUAAUCCUCAAUCUCUCCCAAAAUAUAUAUUUCGGUGUCUAAAAAUUCACUCACAAAACUAUAGCUGACAAAAAGUUACUAACAAAAAGUUAGGUCCAUGGGUUGUUAAAACUAUAGCUGACAAAAAGUUACUAACAAAAACAGAAUGUCCAUUUUAUAACUUUCUUAAAAAACUUUCCUUAACUUUUUUAAACAAAAAGUUAUUUCCAAUUUUUAUUUUGUUAUAAUGUUUAUAACAAAAUUCGUAGUUAACUAAACUCUUCUUAUACCCUUUCUCAACUGCCAUACCCUAACCCACUAAACCACGCUCAAUUAAGGCCAUCAGAUUCUCCCGGGCCCACAUUAAUCCAACUGCUCACAGAGACCGACAGCCUCUCUAUCUCCAUUUCAAGCUCCCUCUUCAACUGGCUUCUGCUACCGUCCUACUCUUUCUCGGCUUCGGAGUCCGUAUUUGCUCGGCCUGUCCCACGAAGCUCCCUCUCACUCCAAUUGUCGCCCCACAAGACCAAUUGCUUAAUCAAGACACCGAACAAGAAAAGGAUGAGAAGUUGAAACAAGAAUUUGAGAAUUGGAAAUAAAAAACGUACGCAUUGACCGUGCCUUUGAGAGUCGUUUCUCUUCAGAACUCAGUGCCUCAAUCUUGGGUUAAGGAUUUUAUGCGAAGUCAGGGAAAGAGAUUGAAGUUUCAGAUGAAUUUGUGUGCUAGCAUUGAUGGGAUCUUUAACAAUUUAUCUGUGCCCUUUAACAAAGUUAAGGCUAAGUCAGCUUCUUAUAUGGCUGCUGAUUUGGUUAGUGUUGGUGAUUCAUGGCUUAGUUUUGCCAUUAAAAAGAGAUUGAUUGAGCCAAUGGCUGGAGCUGAAGACCAAGAUUGGUUCAAAUGCUUAAGUCACAAAUGGAAGGUAACAUCUUUGUCUUUGAUCCUCGAGGUAAAAUAUGGGCGGCACCGUACAGGUGGGGCACAACGGUGAUAGCCUACAAGAAAAGUAAAUUUCGAAAGCAUAAUUUGGCUCCGAUUGAGGUAAUAAUUUUCUUUAAACUCAUUUAGUUUUAUAUCAAACAAAAUCAAGACUGCCUUUCUCUUCAAUAUUUUUUAUGAUAAUAUCUUUAGAAGCAUCUCAUUGACGGGUAACAAUGGCAUCCCUGAAAGAGUCUAUAAACUCAAUGAUAUUAUCUUCUACAAAUGGUUCAUUAAACUUUGUCGUUGUACUCAAAUGUACACUCAGAUCAAUGAGAAGCUAUGCUACGUUAGCAUGUAGUGAUGGCACUUAAUAAGUGAGUUGCUAGGAUGUGAACUAGAAAAAUUAAAUAUUGUCUCCUUGGGUAUGCUAGCUGGUAAGUCAGGGUUAAUAUCAGAGCUUAAGAUAGUAUAACCGUGAGAACCUAUUGACUGCCAAUUAAAAUAUCCAUUGAAAUGUCUAGGGAGUUAUGAAGGUGGAGGUAACUUCCAAUUUCUAAGGCCACAGAGUAGACAUCAUCCAGGAUCCUAGGAAAGUCCAGUUAACCUCCUGCUCGAUGCAAUUAAUAAAUUUGGUCAAUGCCACUGAAACCUGCUAACUGACGUCACAAUGCGACAUGAGCACUUCAAAAUGGGACAGACGGUCAGUAGCACUAAAUUUUUCUUGCCCAAGAUUGAGCAAUUGGUCUAACUACUAAUCCCUAUUGUAGGUUGAUCAUUAUUUUUUCAAUUAUGUUCAGUUUGACCCAAAAAGUUGCAGAAUCUUGAGCUAAAUAUUGUCACUGAACACUGUCAAUGUCAUUUAGCAUAGCCAACUAACUUGAUGUUAAAACAAACACACAGUGUGUCUCAUGUCUCACAAUUCAAAUUAUCAUCUGUAAUGUUGGAGAAUUUUUCCAAUGUAUGAAGUAUGCUUUGAUACGUGGGUUACCUUGGAGAAGAUAUCUCAAAAUAAAGAAUAUGGGGAGAAAACAGUUCAGUAGUUUAUUAUUCUGUAGUCAAGUUUUGUCUCGAAAAUGGUCAAAAUUUAAAUGAAUAAGGACAGGGGAUCUUCAUUCUUUUUUCCCUUUUUUAUACCAAGAUAUCUCUCAACCUUUAUAUAAUCCCCACUGGAUAUCUGCUUCUAAUAAUUAAAAUAAAAAUUUCACCGCUCUAACAAUAAAAAGUAACAUCUUUCCUCAAAUAAUUUACAGUUCCUCAUCAUCUUAGUGUGAGAAUAUCAGUACAUUCCAAAAACAUAAUAAAACUGGUUUGAUCCUGUUUAUUGAUGUUUAAAUGUUGUUCAUUGUGACAGGUAGAAAUGAUGAGGCGAAGUUUAUUUGGACAUCAAUUAGUAAGAUCUUGUUUGAAGUUGUUUUCUGAAAUGAACUGCCAAAUGGUAGUUUUUUGGGGGCAUUUGAUGGCUCUUUUUUUUUCCUCAUUUUCAACAUGUGCCUGCUUGGAACAUGAAGGAUUAGGCUGCAGAGUUGUUAUAUAUUUUGAGAUGCUCUGGUCAUUGCACAAUUUGUUCACACUGGAAAUUAGAAUGAGAAAUUUGUUGAUGCUGUUUUGAGAGAUCUGCAUUCUAUGCACAAUAACAUGAUUAAUGAAAAUGCAUUGUAGGACUGGAAAGAUCUGUGGCAGCCUGAGCUCGCAGGAAGAAUUUCAAUGGUUAAUUCUCCCCGAGAGGUUAUUGGUUCAGUUUUGAAGUAUAGGGGAACAUCAUACAAUUCAAACUAUAUUGAUUCGCAAGUUGCUGGUGGGAAGAUUGCUGUUCAGCAGAAUCUGGCAUUACUGGCAAACCAGGUACUCUUACAGAAAUCAUAUCUGGUCAUUGCAUGUUAUUGCCUGACAACUGAUUUUGUUUGUAAAAGUCUGCUUCUUCAUACAUAUGAAUGCAUAUGUUAGUGUUUUCUUCUCCUUUUCAUACAUAUAAAUGCAUAUGUUAGUGUUGUCUUUUCCUUUUCACACAUAUUAAUACAUAUGUUGGUGUUCUCUCCUGAGAUGGAUGCAAUAAAGGCUUUUGCUCCUAAAUUUAGCUGAAGAAAUGGCAAGGGAUGUGAGAUUCUGUCUCAUUAAAUUAACAAAAACCCAAAACAAUGAAAAUCCAUAAUAAUGUGGUGUGGGUAAAUUGGCUCCAUUUGGUUCGUUUCCUUAAUGUGAAUGCGCGAGCAAUAGAGACUAACAAAAUGAAGUGACAACAAGAAGUCAGUGUCCUUUGAUGGAUGCAUUUUUAGGCAGAAAUAUGUUUGUAAUUGACCAAAUUUGUCUGGCAUGCCAAUUUCAAAAAAAUUAAAUUAUGUGGUUAUUAGCUGUAAUGAAGGGGGAUAGUAGGUGCAAUCAGGUGUAUCCAGGAAAGUUCAACAAAGUUUUGGUAUGGCGUAGUGAAAUUGGUUUGUGCAACUCAGGAGUCUUUCAGGUGAACGAUGAUAGGUUUUGAUUUAUGAAUAUUAUAAAUCUACUGUGCAUAGUAUUCUAGUAGAAUCAUCUAUAAGUUCUAGUUAUUGUAUACUUUGCCUGGUUUGAGUUAAGGGCACAUGUAAUAUGAAAGAUAGUUGUCGCAUCUUUUAGGUUACCUAACAUUUGAUCAAUCCUAUUAUGGGGGCUUCAAGAUGUCUAACAAUAUGUAGAAUGCCCAUGCUCCUCCCCAUUGUUUAUCUUCUACAAUAAUUUGUUUUAGAUGCUAAUAUCUUUGUCGAUACCGGUAACAAUAUUACAAUAUCUGCGUUUAUUGGGUUUUACAUAGGUUCGACUGUUUGACAGUACACACUAUCUGAAGGCAUUUGCAAUUGGAGAUGUAUGGGUUGCUGUUGGGUGGAUUAGUGAUGUUCUUCCUGCUGUCAAACAUAUGUCUAAUGUUGCUGUUGUUGUUCCCAAGUCUGGUGCUAGCUUAUGGGCUGAUCUUUGGGUAUACCCAUGCCUGCCAUUCUACUUCAAUAUUCACAUUGUUAUCUCCUUCAUAUUAGUGAUCAGUAAACACGAUAAUGUGACUAAUAAGUUCGUAUUCUCUUUAUAGGCAAUCCCUGCUGCCUCAAGACUUGAAACAAAACAAAUUGGAGGGCGAGUCAGAGGUGCAUUUCCAUUAAUCCAUCAAUGGAUAGAAUUCUGCUUGCAAACAGCGAGAGCAUUGCCUUUCAAGCAAGAGGUUAUCCCGAGCGCAUCUCCCUCUGCCCUUGAGAGUACUCUGGUUAAGUUGCCUGAAGAACUUUUCAAGGGUAAACCAAGUCUGGAUACUAACUUAAUUGCUGGAGUACCCCCGACUGAAAUUCUGGCCAGAUGUGAGUUUUUGGAGCCUUUAUUUGAAGCUACAUUGUCGGAUUAUGAGUGGCUGGUUACUAAUCUGCAAAAAUCCACUCCUGUACUGAUCAACAAGAUGCAACAUUACAUGUCAUCAUUGAUCUUUAGCUAAAGGUACAUUGAAAAGUUAAUGGCACUGCAUACCAGUCAUUAUAAUUGGGUCAGGGCAAUUAGGUCAGAGCAUAACUUCAUUAGGAAAAGAUGCUUCAGCUACGUUAAAUAUUACAGGAUGUACUGAGAUGGCUGAAGCUGUUGAGGUUUUACGAGAAUCGAAAGAUAGUGUUUGUUUGAACAAAGUUGUUGCCAAUCUUGCAGAGUUCGAGAAGAAAGAUCACGAAGUGAAUGCCACCGAUUUCUUCAUCAUUGUAGCCUCCAUAGUUGAAGUUUCCUCAUUUGAAGCUGUUUAUGCAUACGAUUUUCCCCUGCUCAAGUACAGGAAAUUGAAGAAUUAACCAGAUGUGAUAUGCUGAAAGAGGGAAGUUUUCUUCCUUGAAUGUGGUCUUUGUGAUUUGUCUUGAAGGAAUAGGGUGAUCACUGGCAAGAACCCUAUCAAGGUAGAUUUUAUGAUGUUAACAUAUCAUUAAGCAUUUUGUUACAUCAGCAAUGAUGCUUUCAUAGCAGCAUGAAAGUGUUUAAAUUUAACUGAAUGAUCUUGAUUGAUCAAUUAUGAGUUUUAAUCGAGUAAAAACUAAAUACAAUAAUCGUUAACAAAUAUUGAAAUUGGGUAAAUAUGAUCUUGAUAUUGAAGAAUUUGAAAUCACAACCCACACAGGAAAUCACCCUUCGCGUGGGGAUGGAGAUGUUUACUGCAGCGAUAUUGAAUAUGUCCACCGCUCUUUGGGUUAUGGUGCGACUUGCCCUGAAACAAUGGAAAAGAAUAAUUAAUAAUUUAACGCCAAGACAUAAAAUUAAAACGUGUGGACUCCGGUAGCUGCCCUACAAGUCUACAACUCUACAAACAUUAACUCUACAAACAUUAAAACGUGUGGACUCCGGUAGCUGCCCUACAAGUCUACAACUCUACAAGAAUAAUUUCUAGCCCUGUUGACUCCACUAACUAAAGAAAUUUCAAAACGUACAUAGAAUUCCACAACAAGCAAAACGUAUGGAAUUUAAUUUUUUGCCGUGUGGAACAAAAUACAAUUUAACAAAAAAGGAUAAGAAAAAUGGUAAGAUUUCUAAAAUGAGUGGAAGGUGAUUCAUAUUUUACUGAAAUGACUUGUCCUGAACAUUAAGACGAUUGAUUUUUUUUUUUUUUUAAUAACAUCAACUUCCAUAUCUUUCUAACCCCUAGAAUAUGCUCACGUUCAAGUCUAUCUUGGUAAUUUGAAAAAGAAAAUCAAAUCAAAUCAACACCAAAACAAUGAAAAGUAAAACUUUUGAAUUUCAACUUUAAACUUUUGUUAACCCCUAGAAUAUUCAGCGUUUUCAAAUUCUUCCGAUUGCAUAUCUUCUUCCUCCAUCAAUGCAAUAUUUGAACGAUUAUGAAAGAGUUUAAGAACAUAAAAAAUCUCCAAGGUUUAUACGGUAUAACAAAUUUAAAUUCUCAAUUACAAUAGAUAAUAAUUAAACUAAUAAUUUUUUAUGUACUUAUUUUAGUAAUUUCACCUAAGAAUAAUAUUGUAAUUAGAAAAAAAAAUCUAAUAAGUAGGGUGGUCUUAUACAAAAUCAACUGUACUGUGAUGAGUUUCCUUUUGUUAAUAAUUUUAGUCUAAUUUCAAUUGUACUGUGAUCGCUUCUCAAGGUAAGUGAAAGUUACAGAUGUGGCAAAAUAAAUAAUUAAGUUAACAAAAUGCUAACUAAUUUUCCUCAAUACCUAGGGUUGUACAAUUUCACCAACCUGGAAGAAUUGACAUUAAUGGACUGGUCUCCUCCCCAUAUAAUUAUAAUCCUUCUAGAAAGCUAUUUUUUAUUAAAUAUUUGCUUUUAAGUUAAUUUCAAUUAAAAAAUGUUUUAAGUUAUAUAUACUCUAAUGAGAUUCUGAAUUCCUUUAUUCCAAUAAUAAUGAAAACGUAUUAAAUUAGAAAUGAAAAAAUUGGUGUUGAUGAUUCAACCUAUUUGGAUAGAUUACGUGAAUAAAAUUAAAAUUUUGAUUUAAUUUUUGUUUAUUGUUAAUUCUCAGGCUAUCUUAAUUUCAAGAAUUUAGAAUGUUAAUUUGGUCAUGGAUUUCAACCCGUGAGUGUCAUAUUCUAGACUUAAUGGUACCAUUCUUUGAUUGAGGGCAAUGACUCUCACUCCUCUUGUAAAAAAAUAUUUUCAACUAUUUUGAUGACUUAAAAAUUGAUAGAUUUAUUGUUGUCAUGACCAAAUUAUUCAUUUUAAUGAAAUAUAAUUAAUGCAUCAAAGUUACCAGGUUUAUGUUCUAUCUUAAUGCGCUUUUUUUUUUUUCAGUUAUAGCUUCUGCUUACGUCUGUUUCAUUUUUUUUAAUAAAAAAACAAGGGAAGGUUUUUCCGAGUCAUCCAUUAUUUGAUUUCCGUCAAUCAAGAAAACGACCAAAUUAAUUUCUCUCCAAAAUUUCCAAAAGCUAGAAAAUUUUGUUAUUUGAAAAUAACAUGAUUAAUUAUAGAGUGGAUCAAACCGCGUUAUUGUCUUUCAUAAAAUUGAUGUCUUUUUAAGAGUCAAUACUUUUUAUUUACGCAAACCAGUCGACAUCAAUUUAAACUUCCAUAUUUUUAUUAUUAUUAUGUUAUUUAUUUUAAUCGCCGAUUAUUUGAUUAGCCACUAUAUAUAUCAAGAAAGCGACAAAAUUUAUUUCUCAUGACUUCCAAAAACUAGAAAAACAACAUCAUUUAUUAUUUUUUUGCAACCCUAAUUGACAUCAACUUUAACUUUAUUAUGUUAUUAUUUCAAUCCCCAUUAUGACCUUUCUAAUCCUCCAUUAUGCAUCUUUUAUAGUGCAAAUUUAAUUGCACAUCUAAAUAAAUUGAUUAUUGUUACUCCACCACCAAUAUUUCAAAUAGUCACUAGACCAUUUCUGCCUUUAAUUUUCCCUUAACUAUUGACUGUUUUUAGCAUCUUAAAAUAUACAUUUAUUCCUUGAUUAUGUGAUAAAAUUAUGAAAAUAUCCAUUUUAGCUUAAAUUAAUUGGAAUAACCAUAAGCGUAACAUAAAUUAAUAGAACAAAAUUAUCAAGUGUAUGUUCUAUCUUACUUUUUGAAGAAUUUAACAUAUAUAAUGCUAUACUAUUAAUAAAUUUUUCAUUUACUAUAUAUGUUCACAUAUUUUAUAUAUUUAUUAAUUGUUAUAUAGUCACAGGAUGAAUGAUUUUUCAGGUCUACAUGAGUUGGUGCACAUGCAAGACUCAAUUUUGACAACAAUGAUCUAAGGGGUAAUUUACCUUGGUGUUUGACAAACAUAACCUCUCUUCAUGAUUUACUUCCAAUCUACUUACUGUAAAUAUCUCCUCAUCUCCUCUCAUUUAUAUGAUAAGUGAUAACCCUUGAAGAUCUCACAUUUUCAAACGAUCAUAUUAGGGUUUUUAUUAUUAGCAUCAUUGUGUCAACAAAAUAUAUGUUGCAGUAAGAUUUUUUCAGACCAAUUCCCUUCUUCAAAUAAUAAUGGAAAAGUAUUAAUUUAAAAAUAAAAUGAAUAUGCAUUGAUUAUAUCCUGAUUUCCAUCGAUUAUAGCGAGAGUUUCUCCGAAUCAACUCCCUUAUUCAAAUAAUACAGAAAAAAUAGUAAUUUAAUAGUAAAAUUAGCAAGUGUUGAUUAUAUAUCCUAAGUUUCAUCGAUUAUGUGAUCAAAGUGGCAUUGUUGAUUUAUUUCUUGUUCAAUGUUAAUUUUUAGGUUAUCUAAAUUUCAAGGAUUUAAAAUCUUUGUUCAUGGAUUACACGCUUAUUAAUUUUUCUGCCAUUGACUGUCAUAUUCUAGACUUAAUGGUACCUUCCUUGAUCAAGGAUAAUUACUCUAUGUUCUCCUCUUAUAAAUUCCUCUUCCAUUAACAUCACUAGGAGUAUGUUGAUCUCUCAGACGUUAACUUUAGUGGAGAGUUUCCAAAUUGAUUGUUACAAAACAACACAAAAACUAGACACACUUGAUCUGUCUAAUAAUUCUCUUUCGAUAAAAUUAAUUAAUUUUAGGGGAAUAUUCGACCAACCUCUAUAAUUUCAUAUUGAUCAUUAAUUAAUUAGACGAAAAAAGUACUUGUGCUUUUGUGGCGACAAUUGAACUAGAGAAGUGAAGCUGUAAAGAUUUGGCAGUAGUAAAUUGUUAGAAAGACAUAAAGACAAUUUCCCAUUUUAUAAUUUUUUCAAAAAACUUUUUUACAACACAUGCACCUGGCCAAAAAUUUUAUUUUGCUAACUAACAAUAAUUGAGUAGCUGACCGUAUUGACUCCGCCUACUUGCUAAAGUAAAAAAAUAGAAAUAGAAUUUCCACAAAAUGUCAAACAUGUAAAAUCUAAUAUUUGCAUGUGGAACAAAAUACAAAUGAAAAAAAAAAUAGAAAAAAGGCCUAAGACUUUUAAAAUGUGUGGAAAUCUUUCGGCCCUUUUAUAAUGGUGUGUUUUUCAAAGGAACAACUAAUAAUAAUGACACUUCUACGGUUUGUUUUGAUAAUUACACAUAUACUCUUUAAUUUGAUAAAUGGUUACACAAAUUUUGUUUACAAAAAUAUAUUAUUCAUGUUCUGUAUAUUUUUUAACAUCAUAUUUUUAUUUAUUAUAAUUGUUUAAAGUUAAUUGUUAGGUUGAUAUAUAAUAAAAACGUAUAAUCGUUCUCUUACUAAACACACAUACUCGUAGUUUCUAUCCAUUUGUCAUCUCAAUCUCUCUCAUUUAUCCUUUCUUGAUAGCUCAAAACGCGUCACUGUGGAAAAUAAUAGCAAAACGACAAUAUGGAAAGAAUGGGAAGAAAAUUAAUGCAUGAAAGAGUUGCAGAAGACAACCAAAUAAGUCAACUAUACGCUAGUUGGGUGUAUAAAUUGUUAGAUGUGUUAUAAACAAAUAGCAUAGAGCCUUGGUUGGUUACAGAGAUAGAAAAACUGUGUGUGUUUUUUAGAACUUAAAGAUACAGUUAGAAUGGGUGGUUCAAAAUCAAAAAUGGUGAUAAUGUUUGUUCUGUUAUUAAUAAUAUUAGAAGGUGGGUGGAGUGAAGGAUGUUUGGAUCAUGAGAGAUUUGCUCUUUUGCGACUCAAACAUUUCUUCGAUGAUACUGGUAGUUAUUUUUACUACUGGGCAGAUGGUGAGGGAGCUACUGAUUGUUGUCAGUGGGAAAGGGUUGAGUGCAGCAACACCACAGGCCAAGUGAUAGUGCUAGACCUUUUUGAAACGUAUUUGGGAGAGUACAGCUGGUAUCUGAAUGCUUCUUUGUUUACUCCCUUUCAACAACUUGAGUCACUUGAUUUAUAUGGCAACAAAAUAGUCGGUUUUGUUGAGAAUGAAGGUACUUCGUCUAAUUCAAUUAAUUUACAUUUCGCUCUCCUAAUUUAAGUCGAAUAUCAAGACUGAGCAGCUAUAUGCAUAUUCAUUCAAUUGACAAUUUUUACAUAUUUUUUAAAAUGUUUAAUUUUGAAAUUACACCAAACAUCAUAUGUGGUUUUGAUUUUACUUGCAGGUCUAGAAAGAUUGAACAACUUGAAGAGGCUUGAUUUAAGUUAUAACUUGUUCAACAAUAGCAUCUUAUCAUCUGUGGCUCAUCUUUCUUCACUAACAUCAUUAGAUUUAUCUGGAAAUAGAUUGGAAGGAAGUAUUAAUGUUAAAGGUACGUAAUUAAAACGUCAUCGCUUCUCUCAACUCUUUCAUUAACAUGCUAAAAUAAGAUUCAAGGCUUUGAAUUCAUUUUUUUUUAUGAGUAAAUAUUAGAAAAAUAGUUUUAAGCAAUUCAUAAAUACAAUUUUCAAUGUUUCUCAUAAUUUCAUCUUGUACUUUCGUAUGUCUUGACUUUAAGAUUAAAAAAAAAAAUUACUCUAACUGUGAAGCAAAUACCCCAUGACUAAUUUAUCAUUUCGUCCAGUUAAAAAUGAUAAAAUUUAUCAUUUGUUUAUAUUGAUUAAUUAACUCUAUUUUAAGUCUUAAGUCUUGGCGUCUUGGCAUAUUUGCAGAAUUUGAUUCCUUGAGCAACUUAGAGGAGUUGGACAUGAGCGACAAUGAAAUAGACAAUUUAGAGGUUCCUCAAGGUAAACAAUUAAAAUAUUAUUCAAUUACAUUAAUUUAAUUCGUUUGAUUAGGGAAGACCCAAAAGGUACAAAAUAUAAUAAUAAUAAUAAAGAAACAGAGAAUCUAUAUUAUUUCAAAAAAUAAAACGUAAUACUAUUAUUUCAAAAAUAGAUUGUAAUAAAGAUUUGAUUCCGGUUCUUUAAUCUUUACAGCAAUUGAAAAACGAUGUUGCUCUUUUCCUGAAGCAUAAAAUAUGAAAUGACUCCCAAUACAAUUAAUCAUUUAUUUCGUUUACUCUAAAAUUAGACAAUGAAUCUUUAUUUUCUUCAGUCUUAUCCUAAUUAUUAUUAAUAACAGGUUACAAAGGUUUGAGGAAGUUGAAUUAUCUUGAUCUAUCGAAUGUUGGAGUUAGAGAUGGAAGCAAGUUGUUACAGUCAAUGGGAUCAUUCCCAUCCCUCAACACUCUUUACCUGAAGGAUAAUAAUUUUACCGAUAUAGCGACAACUACUACUCAAGGUAAGUAAAAGAUACAGAUGUGGCCAAAUUUACAAAUAAAUUGUUAAUUAAUUAAUUUUUCCGUAUUAUUAAUAAAGCUAAAUUCGUCGCUCCUUCCUUCUAAUUCUAAACAGAGUUGGCAAUUUCACCAACUUGGAGUAUUUGACAUUGGACUUGUCCUCGCUCCAUUUAAGCCUUCUACAAUUACUUGAAGAAUGAAUUUAUUUAUUAUUAUUAUUGUUGUUGUUGUUGUUGUUGAAGUGAGGUGGGCAAGCGUUCACUCAAUUAAUAUGUGAGGAAUUAAUAAUUACAAUCCAAGGUAGAAUUGUGGAAAAUUAAAGCAAAAUGAGAAAUAUGGAAAGAAAGGAAGAAAGUUAAGGGCAUGAAAGACUAGGAGAAGACUAAAGACCACCAAAUAAGUCAACUGAAAACUAGCUGGGGCCUGGGUGUACAAAUUGUUAGAUGUGUUUGUUAUAAAUAACAUAGAGCCAUCUUGUUGGUUGCAGAGGCAGAGAGACACAGAGUGUGCAUUUUGUUAAUUAAAAAUAUAUAUAAAAUGGGUGGUUCAAAAUCCAAAAUGGUGAUAAUGUUAGUUUUGUUAGUAUUAAUAAUAUUAGAAGGGAGGUGGCGUGAGGGAUGUUUGGUGCAUGAGAGAUUUGGUCUUUCGAGACUUAAAACAUUUCUUCAAUUCUCCUUAUAAUUUUUGUCACGACUGACCGUUGUCAAUGGGAUGGGGCUGGGUGCAGGGUUGAUUUACGUUAGAACAAUAUAGCCGGUAGUGUUGAGAAUGAAGGUGUUUCAUUUAAUUUAAUUAAUUUACUUUCUCCCUCCUAAUUUAAGUGGAAUAUCAAGACUGAACAAUUAUAUGCAUCUUCGUUCAGUUGACAAUUUUGACAUUUUUUUUAAGUGAUUAAUUUUGAAAUUACACCAAACAUUAUUUGUGAUCUCUGUUUUGACUUUACUUGCAGCGCUAGAGACGUUAUCAAGAUUGAGCAACUUGACGAUACUUGAUUUAAGUUAUAACUUGUUCAAUAAUAGCAUCUUGUCAUUUGUUGCCCGUCUUUCAUCAUUAACAUCAUUAGAUUUAUCUUACAAUGGAUUGGAAGGAAGUAUUAAUGUUAAAGGUACGUAAUUAAAACGUCAUCGCUUCUCCCAACUCUUCCAUUAACAUGCUAAAAUAAGAUUCAAGGCUUUGAAUUCAAUUUUUUUUUAUGAGUAAUAUUAGAAAAAUAGUUUUAAGCAAUUCAUAAAUACAAUUUUCAAUGUUUCUCAUAAUUUCAUCUUGUACUUUUGUAUGUCUUGACUUUAAGAUUAAAAAAAAAUUACUCUAACUGUGAAGCAAAUACCCCAUGACUAAUUUACAAUUUUGUCCAGUUAAAAUGAUAAAAUUUAGGGAAAUUAUCAUUUGUAUACCCUUAGUUUACUCUAUUAUCAAAAAUACUACAACACUUUGAGGGUGUAUCAAUCGUCCACCCUAAGUUGACAAAAUGUAUUAGCCAACCACCAAACCGUUAGUUGCCGUUUAAAUAUGAUAACAUCAUAAGGGUAAUCUGGUCUUUUCAUAUGAUACAAGUGAUAAUUUAAGGGUAUACAAGUGAUAAAAAGAGAGUUUAAGGGGAUACAAGUGAUAAUUUUCAAGGGUAAAAUCGUCAAUUUACUGUAAUUCCGUUAACUUUCAAACGGCAAUUAACAGUUUGGUGGUCGGUUGAUACAUUUCAUCAACUUAGGGUGGACGAUUGAUACACCCUUAAAGUGUUGUAGUAUUUUUGAUAAUAAAGCAAAUAUAGGGUAUACGAAUGAUAAUUUCCCUAAAAUUUAUCAUUUGUUUAUAUUGAUUUAUUAACUCUAUUUUAAGUCUUAAGUCUUAAGUCUUGGCAUGUUUGCAGAAUUUGAUUCCUUGAGCAACUUAGAGGAGUUGGACAUGAGCGGCAAUGAAAUAGACAAUUUCAAGGUUCCUCAAGGUACACAAUUAAAAUAUUAUUUAAUUACAUUAAUUUAAUUCGUUUGAUUAGGGAAGACCCAAAAUGUACAAAAACAUAAUUAAAAAAAAUAAAGAAACAGAGAAUUCAUAUUAUUUCAAAAAACAAAAGGUAAUACUAUUAUUUCAAAAAAGAAUGUAAUAAAGAUUUGAUUCCGGUUCUUUAAUCUUUAUAGCAAUUGAAAAACAAUGUUGCUCUUUUCCUAAAGCAUAAAAUAUGAAAUGAGUCAUAAUUGAAUUAGUCAUUUAUUUUGUUUAGAUCUAAAUUUAGACAAUAAAUUUUGAUUUUUUUUUCAAUUCUAUCCUUAUUAUUAUUGUUAAACAGGUUACAGAGGUUUGAGGAAGUUGAAAAGCCUCUAUCUAUCGAAUGUUGGAGUUAGAGAUGGAAGCAAGUUGUUACAGUCUAUGGGAUCAUUCCCAUCCCUCAACACUCUUUACCUGAAGGAUAAUAAUUUACCGAUAUAGCGACAACUACUACUCAAGGUAAGUAAAAGGUACAGAUGUGGCCAAAUUUAUAAAUAAACUGUUAAUUAAUUAAUUUUCUGUAUUAUUAAUAAAGCUAAAUUUUUGCUCAUUCCCUCUAAUUCUAAACAGAGUUGCACAAUUUCACCAACUUGGAAUAUUUGACAUUGCACGGUUCCUCUCUCCAUAUAAGCCUUCUGCAAAGCAUUGCAUCAAUAUUCCCUUCGUUAAAAAAUCUGUCGAUAUCUUUGUGAAGUCAAUGGUGUCGUACAUGGUCAAGGUAAAAGAAAAGUGUUGGUUGUGCACUCACUGAGUGUUGUCCUACGUAUUCAAUAUUUUUAUUUAUUUAUUUUAUUGUUUAAUGUUUCUGCUAGGUUUUCCUCAUUUCAAGAGUUUGGAACAUUUGGGCAUGAUGUCCACGCGCAUUGCACUCAACACCAACUUUCUUCAAGUCAUCAGAAUCGAUGCCUUCUCUUAAGUACUUAUCACUGUCAUAUUCUACUCUUGCACUAACAGCAGCAGGAUUCUUGAUCGAGGUUAAUCAGAUGCUCCCACCCUCCAUUCUUAAUCUAUAAUAUUAAUUUUCAGUUAAAUAUUUAAUUACACAAACCAAUCACUUAUUAUAAAAGAACAAUACGCAUUCAUUAAUUUUUAUAUUAUAUUAAUUGAUGAAUUUAAUAAAUUCCAGGCCUCUGUUCGCCGGUGCAUCUGCAAGAGUUAUACAUUGGUUCUAACGAUUUAAGAGGUAGCUUGCCUUGGUGCAUGACAAAUUUGACAUCCCUCCGAAUAUUAGAUGUUUCUUCCAAUCAACUUACUGGAAGCAUCUCCUCGUCUCCCCUCAUUCAUUUGACAUCCAUUGAAAAGCUGUAUCUUUCAAACAAUCACUUCCAGAUCCCAAUUUCACUUGAACCACUUUUCAAUCAUUCAAGACUCAAGACUUUUUAUGCUGACAACAACGAACUAAAUGCAGAAAUAACUCAGUCACAUUCUUUGACCGCCCCAAACUUCCAAUUAUCACGUCUCUCAUUGUGCAUCCAACGAAAGACAAACCACGUGUAGUCUUUUAAUUAAGCCAAAGUAGCAGCUCAAACAAAUGACACUUGGACCAACAUGCAAUCAUGAAGUGGCCGGAAAAAGGACAAAUGCAACUUUGGCUUAAAUAAAAAAUAACAUGUGACUCGACUUUUGCUGGACAUGCAUCAUGUUAUUACAGACAACAAAAAUCAGUAUGAUAGUACUAAAAGUUGACAAUAACAUGAAGAUAAGAGGCAGAAUGUCAACACAUGCAUAGGCACACAAAGAAAGUAUUAACGUAUAUACCAUAGCAAAAAAGUAUUUGAUAUGUCAUCUGUUGCUGCUGUGAUUCAACUGACAGCAUGGCAGCUGUUGCUUCUCUACCAAGAGCCAUUAUUGUAGAUUAAGCUCGGUCAAUCUUGCUUCUGCAUUUCGAAGCUUCACAGCACUCUCUGCUGAUAUAUCAGAUUCCCUAAUCUUUGAUCGGUGCCUAAAUACUUCAGCUGCCUGGUGAAAAUAUUCAAUAUAAAUCUAAUAUAAAUUCUCAUCUUGCCUUAUGCAUGCAUAUGUUACCUCAAAGCUUACCUGGGCUUCAACUUCAUGUCGAAGUUUGUCAUAACGAUGAGUCAGGUGUCGAGCAUCUUCCAAAGGUGCUCCGUUGAUUAACGCCCGUAGUGGCUCAGAUACCUACAUGUCCAAAAACCUGUAACAUAGUUAGAAAAAUGAAAAGAAAGAGCGAAACCUCAAUUAAAAAGUCCUCCAACAUAAUCAUGGAAUUUGGCCUACUUCAAGGAUAUAUAUAUAGGAUAAUUUAUGCAAUUUUGGGUCUUAGGAUGAUUCAUAUUAGGUUAGUGUUCUUCUCUUCUGUAUUUAAGGUUAAAAUAGAAAUAAACCUAUGCAAAUAUAUAAAUUAGGGCUGUAAGAACACAUGCAACAUGGAUUUGAUUUUACUAUAGAUGCAAGUGUCUUUAUCGAAAAUGCUUGGAGUCAAUUGAGAGAACUCACGGCCAAUAACUUGUCACACGCUAGUCUUUGCUAGUGAUGUAAGAAGUCACAAGGUCUCUUCAGCAUUUGAACCAAUAAAAUUAUUAAGUCAUGGAUGUCACUAGCAAUGAUUUUAAUAUAAAAUAUUAAAUAUUUCAAGUUGUAACUUUAAAAUGGAUUCUUUUAUUCAAUAUCUUAGAACUAAGUUUCCUUAUGAGAAGAUAAUAGUUUCAGUAGUAAUGUACAUAUAAUUUUCUAUAUUGAAUUAUUUUCUAGUAGGGAUGAACUAACCUGAUCACGAAGAAUCCCAAGCAAAGUUUCCCUCUCAUUUUCCAUCAAAUCAUGUGAAGUGCCAAAUUGAAGAGCAGCUCUUGCAACGCAAGAAUUGUCACUUUGAUUCUCCACUCCAUACUUGCAACAAUCUUCGGCCAACUUUCUCGCUACAAUAUUUGAAUACAAAAAUAUUGUACACAAGAACUAGUCAAGAAAAUUAAAAAAAAAAUCAAAUAUUUAACGAGAGCAAGAGCAAACGAACAACCUAUUUCCAUUUGUUUCAAGCUUACUGCAACAAACACUUCAACGCCACGGACAACAUUCCUCUGACAAUAUUCCAAAUUAUUGUUCAGAUAAAACCAUAGAAACCAUCAUAAUUGUUCAACAUACAUUAAGCUAAAGGAGGAUGGUGCCUUAGCUGCCCUGGUGGAAUUGUAUAGAUUUUGAAGUUGUUGGUGACACUCAAUUUCAGAUUCAUCAACCGCAACAUUUUCAAUACCAAGAUGGAGCAGAUGCUUCAAUACUGCCUGUACAAAUCAUAAAAAAAUGAAAAAUAAAAUAAAAUCGAGAAAUUUCACUAACUAAAAGUCUAAAUUAAUUUUUUAAAAAGAAAAGAAACGGACUUGCUGCUGCUUGGCGACUUGUUCUCGGGCUUGAUUGCUGUUCUUGAUAGCUUCCAUACUGUUUCUUUCAAAAGCGACGACGGCUCGCUCAUGGGAGUGGAAAAAAAAGUGUGAUCGGGAAAAUAAAAAGGCAUGAAUAAUUUUUGAAAAAAAGCGAAAAUCAAGGAAGCCAGCUCUUUCCAGAAAUAAAAAAGAAAAAAAAAAGAAAUUAUAGUUUGAAGGAGAAGAUGAUGUGGAAGUGCGGUGUGGCUGACAGCUACUUGGAUUGUAUUGUCGGGUAGGUAAUAGUAGAGAAUUUUUUUUUAAGAAAAUAGUAGAGAAUUUUUUAGAAGCUAGAACAGAGCAUGACAUUAGACUUUUGUUGACCAAGGAUGUUGUUUUAUUCUUCUAUACUUUACGUUUGGUUUGGUUUUUCAAACUAAAUAAUCAGUAGCAAAAUACAAUUUAGAGAUUAGGGGGUGAACUAGCUAGGUGGUUUACAAAUAUUCUAUUUGUAAGGUGAAUUAAUUGAAUCAUGAGAAAACAAUGUGACCAUAGCUCAAUAUGAGAUGAUUUCGGAGAGGCAUAUUGUUUUCAAGUGAAUUUGAUCCAUUAAGAGAUGAAGUGGAUUGAAGUGGAAAGUUUAAAUAACAAAUCCUUGUUCUUGAGUUUUACGACGUUGUUACUCCUUCAGGUGGCAGAUUAUGCAAGUGAAUUCAAAAACACAAUGCAUCAAUCACGGGGAUGCUACAUCAAAGACGGGAUCAUAGUCUAUGCAUUGAACAGUUACAGUUGCUGCUACCAAUUGCCUCGGCAAAGAUCAAGAAGACUGAACGGGAAGUUAAUGCCAUCAAGGAGUUGUCUAGUGUUCUUUUCCUUAUGCUAUGAUCGGUGCUCUUGAGGCUGCCCUGAAACACAGGAAAAUACUUCGAUAUCCUCCAUUCGAUGAUGCAAAGAACGGUUAAUGUAUGAUUACCUAAUUGACUCAGGAUCAGGUAACAACAACAACAAUUUUUAAUAGUAAUAUCACAAACGAAGAAGAUUUCGGAGAGGAGAUGUAAGCGUAUACUGUUUACAGGUUUGAUCCACUGGGGAUGAAGUGGUCUCAAGUGGAAAGUGAUUUAUUAAACAACAAAUCAUUGUUCUUGGUUAUACCUCAUGAUGUCAUCAAGUGGAAGAUGAAGAUCGUUUGAUAUUGAAGAAUUUGAACAGAAAGCCCAUAGAAAGUACUUAAAUAAGCAUAUUUUGUUGGGGUAGAAUAUUAAGAAAGGAGUUGUCUACUGUGUGUUGCGUAAUUAUGCUAUGAUCGGUGCUUUCAACAUUGCCCUGAAAACAGUGGGAAAUACUUCAUACCCUCGACAUGAUGAUGAAAAAUUGGUUACCGAUUACCUAAUUGACUCAGGUGACAACAAUCCAUUAAUAGCACAAUUUGACGUGAUGCCGUUUAGGUAUAUGGUUUUCAAGUUUGAUUCAUCAGUGAUGAAGCGGACUAAAAUUAAAAGUUUAAAUGAUAAGUCAUUGUUCUUGGGCAUAUCGUCAUUACUACUUCCAGUGAUCAACGAUGAAGAUGAAGAUGAAAAUUGUGCGAGUUCAAGAUUACCAUUUAUCAUUACUUGGGAUAUUACUUCAACAUAGAUGGGGUUAUAAUUUACUCCCACGAACAUCAACUCAACUUUAUGAUUGGAGUGUCUCACCGUGACUCAGACAAAUUCUGAUUCAACCUCCUUCACCAAUGGAUUUUGAUUAGUUAUUUUGUGAUCAAGCAACUUAAUUAAACUCACAGUUUGUUAGUCUAAUUUUAGUUUUACUGUGACCACUAUUCAAGGUAAGCGAAAGUUACAGAUGUGGCAAAAUCAAUAAUUAAAUUCAUAAAAUGUUAAAAAUAAAACUUAUAAAUGUUGCAUGACUACUUACUAAUAAAUAAAUAAGUUAGAAUGUAGUUAGUUAAUUUUACACCAUAUUAUAUAUUAUUCGAUAAUAAUAUAAAAUAAAAAUAAUUAAAAAAUAAAUAAUUGAAUAAAUAAAUAUGGCUUUCUAAACAGUAAAAAUUCUAGAGUUAAAAUUUAUAUUAUUAUUUUAUUUUUUAAAAUUGACAUUUUUCUAUUGUCUUACAUGUACAAAGAUUUUGAGAGUUGAGAAGAAUAUAUUUAAUGAAGCUUGAUAACAUUUGAUGGGAUAGCAAGUAAGGGUAAAUAAGAUAUUUUUAUUUGUUAUUUAUUUGAAUUAUAUCUAUUUGUUCAAGUUAAAAUACUAAAUAUAAAUUGGAGGUAGACAUUUUAACAGAUCAUCUAAGCUCUCAAAUCUGAAAUUUUGUGUAGAUUUAAAUUCAUAAUCCCCAAUUAUUUGAUCAGCAACUAUCAAGAACUAACCAAAUUUAUUUCUUCAUGACUUCCAAACACUAGAAAAUUUUGUUAUUUGAUAAUAAUAUCAUUAAUUAGAGUUUAUCAAACCGCAUUAUUUUCUUUCAUAAAAUUGAUGCCUAUUAGUGUCACACUUUAUUUGUAUUACCUAGCGGACAUCAACUUUUUUUUUAAUUUUUUAAAUUAAAAAGACCAUUUGAUUUUAACCCAUGUUCUUGGCCUUAGGGAAGCUGACUUCUUUUAUAGUCAGGCGAUGAGUUAAGAAGUGACAUAGCAUUCAGGCGAUGAGUUUAUUUUUGUUAUCUUGCUAACAGUUUUAGUCUAAUUUUAGUUUUACUGUGACCACUAUUCAAGGUAAGCGAAAGUUACAGAUGUGGCAAAAUCAAUAAUUAAAUUCACAAAAUGUUAACUAAUUAAAUUCAUAGAGUUGCACAAUUUCAUCAACUUGGAAGAAUUGACUUUAAUGGACUGGCCUUCUCCCCUAUAAUUCUAAUGCUUCUAGGAAGCAAAUUUUUAUAAAUUAUUUAUUUUUGAGUUAAUUUCAAUUUCAAAAAACAAAUUUUUUAAGUUAUUGAUACUCUAAUGAGAGUAUCUUCAUAACAAUUCCCUUGCUCCAAUAAUAACAAAAAGGUGGUUACUUAGAAAUAAUUAAAAUAAAUAAGUGUUGAUUAUAUAUCCUAAUUUGCAUCGAUUUUUUUUUACCUUAAUUUCAGGAAUUUGGAAUAUAAGUUUGUGAAUGGAGGAUGAUCACGCGUGUGUUAAUUUUUCAGUCAUUGACUGUCGUAUUCUCGACUUAACGAUAGUGUUCUUGAUCAAGGGCAAUGACUCCCACCCCUCUUUUAAAAAUAUUGUCAAGUAUAUUGAUGACAAAAUCUCUUAUAGUUAAUAGUCUUUAAAAAUUUAUAGAUUUACUAUUGUCAUGACCAAAUUAUUCAUGUUUAAUGAAAUAUUAAUGCAUCAAAAUAGAUAUCUUCGGAAUCUAAUCCGAUCGGCUCAAUCCGUUUCAUUCGCAAAAGUGCAAUCCGCAAAAAUUUGAUCUGUGGAUUAGUGGAUUGGAUUGGAUUGAAAGUUUAAAAAUCCAUAGUCGAUAAAUUGGAUAUCGAUUUACUUCUCUAAAUAUGCAAAAAUUCAUGAAUUCGCAAAAAAAAAAUGUAUUUACUAAUAAAUAAAUAAGUUAAAAUGUAGUUAGUUAAUUUAACACCAUAUUAUAUCUUAUUCGAUAAUAAUAUAAAAUAAAAAUAAUUAAAAAAUGAAUAAUUGGAUAAAUAAAUAUGACUUUCUAAACAGUAAAACUUCUAGAGUUAAAAUUUAUAUUGUUAUUCUAUUUUUUUAAAUUGACAUUUUUCUAUUGUCUUACAUGUACAGAGAUUUUGAGAGUUGAAAAGAAUAUAUUUAAAUAAAAUAUUUUUAUUUGUUAUUUAUUUCAAUUAUAUCUAUUUUGUUCAAGUUAAAAUACUAAAUAUAAAUUGGAGGUAGGCAUUUUAACAGAUCAUCUAAGCUCUCAAAUCUGAAAUUUGUGUAGAUUUAAAUUCAUAAUUUUAGUUAAUUUUCAUAUAUUCAUAUAAACAAAUUUAUGAGAUUUUUUUCUUUUCAACAUGUUAUAUUUUUAAACUUUCAAUGUAUUAUUUUAGCUAUAUUUAAACAAUUAAUUUAUUUAAUUUUAAAUUUGAUCAGUAUAAAAUGUUUUUAUAUCAAAUUUUUUUAUUUAAAUAGUUCGUGGAUUGGACAAAAUUAAACAUUUUUAAUUCUUAAAUGAUGGAUUGGAUAUGAAUUGGAUCAAAUCCACAUUCGAUCCGCAGUUAUAUGGAUUGAAUUUGAAUUGAAUUUCAUCAAUCUAUGGAUUAUAUUGGAUUAAAAAUUUAUAAUCCACAAAAUCGUUGAUUAGAUAUGGAUUGAUGUCCAAUUCGCAAAAUCUAAUUGCCGAACACUCCACUAUCAAAAUUUUCAAAAUAUGUUUUAUCCUAUAAUUUUUUUUUAAAGUCAUAGUCUAAUGGCAGCUCAAUUUCUACUGCAUUCAUAUAAGCGGAGUUCAAAUCUCAUACCUCUUAUCUCCACACGAGAUUUAACCAGUUGAAAUAGCUAGCACCCACAAAUAUACUAGUACAGCAUCUCUUAACGUUUAACAUACGUAUAAUUAACGCCAUAGCUAUUGAUAAACACAUUGUUCAAUAUAUAUGAUCAAGAAUCUGAUCCUGCGAGCAACAGCAGUAAGAAGAACCAUUAUAAUGCCUAGCUCUUAUCCCGGUUAAUCCUCUGGCCCGAUGCUUCAUCAUAGUGAUUUAAAAAACAAACAACAGCUCUCUAAAAGAGAUGAAGAUAUCAUCUACGUAAAGAACAUGAAACGGAGAUUCACAACCCAUAAGAACUGAGAUAAAUUGGACCAGACCGGUAAUCUUGAGAUAAGUUAAACUGUGACCUAAGUUGAAAUCAGAGGACCAGAAUUUUAAAAUCUUUCGGCUAAGCCCCUGAGCAAUUUUCUAGAGUACGGCUUCUGCUUACCUCUGUUUAAUUUCUCUUUAUAUUUUUCUUUCAUUUCAUUAAUAAAGUCAAAUAAUAAAUCAAAGAACGAGGGAAGAUUUUUCCAAGUCAUGCAUUAUUUGAUUACCAUCAAUCAAGAAACCGACCAAAUUAAUUUCUCUCCGUGAUUUUUAAAAAUUAAAAAAAAAAUUAUUUGAACAUAACAUCAUUAAUUAUAGAGUGGAUCAAACUGCGUUAAUCAUGAAACUGAUACCUAUUAAGAGUCAAACUUUUUACUUAUGCAUACUAAAAGACAUCAAAUUGUUCCGAUCCCCAAUUAUUUGAUCAGCAACUAUCAAGAACUGACCAAAUUUAUUUCUUCAUGACUUCCAAACACUAGAAAAUUUUGUUAUUUGAUAAUAAUAUCAUUAAUUAGAGUUUAUCAAACCGCAUUAUUUUCUUUCAUAAAAUUGAUGCCUAUUAGUGUCACACUUUAUUUGUAUUACCUAGCGGACAUCAACUUUUUUUUUAAUUUUUUUAAAUUAAAAAGACCAUUUGAUUUUAACCCAUGUUCUUGGCCUUAGGGAAGCUGACUUCUUUUAUAGGUGAUAUCUGCUUGAACUUUGGUGUGUUAAUUAUUUCAAUCCCCAAUUAUGUAAUUUUUAAAUUAUAGCCUAACGGCGGUCUCAUCACCACGUGUGUGAUUUUCUUUUGCCAAUAGGAUCUGCAGAGAGCUUGAUCUCAUCCAAUAGCAAAAUAAACUUCCUAAUAAGUGAAGGUAUAGUAUAAAUAUUUCACCCCCAUAUUAUUUAUUAGCAGCUUGAUUAUUUUAUAUGCAUCUUUGAUUUUAAUUUUUUUUCCCAUAAUUGCUACUAUGUUCGAACUGGUCAUGAAUUAUCUAUAAGAUUUUUCAUGUUGCUUUUAGGUGCAUUGGAUUUUUUGAGUUUAGUGCAAGAGUAGAGGAAGGCAAAUUAAGAAAAAGGAUAAAGAUCUAUGAUUAGCUAUUUUGGGAUGUCUCAUAACAUAUUGAUGCUAACAUUAUACAUAUGUAUAUCUAAAUAAUGGGCUUGGAUCAAGAGCCCAUUAAUAAUCAUAGAUUAGCUUAUAUAGUUCAAAAAAUGUACCAUAAAGCAAUUUUACAAGCACUUGUUAGCCUAUGUUGAGCUUUAUUAUCAAUAGUUCAUAGUUCAUCAGUGCACUGCAAGUUUACUAUUUGAAGUAAAUGUUGUGGUGCGUGCAUUCUUCAUAAGGCCAACUAUUGAAUUUAGCAUUGAAACUUACAAAAUGUAAUAGAAAGAGGUAGAUAACAGCCAUAAAACACUAAGAUUGGAAAUCAGGGCAACUAAAUACUAUUACAAGCCCUUAGAAAAGACAGCGAUCAUCCUGAAAUAUAUAUACUGAAAGUAAGAAAUGUUAAUCGCAAAGUUAUGUGCCAACAGAACUAUUGACUACUUGUCUCUAGUAGAAAGUAAAUAUUUUUAACUUCAGCCCUCUACUUUGUUCUAAGAACAAGGCAAUAUAAGGAAACAUCGGUGUCUAAAAUUUGCCGCUUGGAAUAUUUCACUGUCUAAACAUUCACUCACCACUUAUUUCAUUAAUGAAUUUUGUCUAAUUAUAUGUUGAUAAAGAUAUUAGAGUAAUAUAAUACAUUUAAGGCUUAACUUAUAUUUUUUAUUAGUAGAGUGUAGAACUUUUAAGAAAUAAAUUAUUAAAUUACUAUAACUAACAUAUUAUUUUAAAGUUAUGUUAAGGAAAAGAAUGAAACAAAAAUAAAUAAAUAAAUAAGGGUAUUCUAAAACUUUGAUCUUUUUAAAAGUAGAUUUUGACAUAGAUAAAAUAAUUUUUAUAUUUUUUAAAUCACAUACUCUAGUUAAAAUCAAAUUUGUAUUUAUAAAGUUUGUAAAUUUUUUUUUUUUUUUAGCACUGAUAUUUGAACACUAUCAAGAUAAGAAAUAGGGCACUGGUCAUGCUACAACAUUAUUAUAGCACAUAAAAAGACAAUACCAUUUAUUUUAUUGUACUAUCAUUGUUGUUAUAAUAGUAUUUUGUUAGUGGUCAAAUAUUAUUUUUUUAAGUAAAAAAAGUGAACAAUGUAAAUUAACUUUUAAUCUCUCCUAAAAUUCUAAUUCCUAGUUACGAAACAAAAUUGUUUAAAACCAUAGGUGAUAGGUGAUAGAAGUUACUAACACAAGCAAAUUUGACGGUCCAUUUUAUAAAAUUUGUUAUUUACCAUUUUACCACCUAUAUAAGGAGUGCCGCAUCGACAUAUCAACUCAUUUGCAGAUUAUUUUAAUUUUGUAAAAUUCAUUUAACCUGCACUUGGUCGCCCCUAUUCUCUGAAUGGUUAUGGCGAUAUCAUCAUUAUCGUUACUUGUACCAACGCUAAACCCUUCUUAUUCCCUUUCUCGCCUGUCAUACCCUAACAUUAUAUCCCGUGUCCACACUAAAGACAAGUAGUCAAUUCAAGCCAUCAGAUUAUAGUGGACCCACAUCAAUCCAACUACUUACAAUGACCGACAGCCUCUCCAUCUCCAUUUCAGGUUUCCUCUUCAACUGGCUUCUGCUUCCGCUGUAUUUGCUCCAUUUCUUGGAUUCGGAGUCCGUAUUUGGUCGGUCGGUCCCGCACAGCUCCCUCUCACUCCAAUUGUCACCCAACAAGACCAAUUGCUUAAUCAAGGCACAGAACAAGAAGAGGAUGAGAAAUUGAAACAAGAAUUUGAGAAUUGGAAAUCGAAAACGUACGCAUUGACCGUGCCUUUGAGGGCAAUUACUUUUCUUGAGAAUUGAAGUUUGGUAAUGUAAUUUGUUCUCCAUCUGUGUUCCCUUUGUAGUCAUUUCAUUUAUUUGUUUGUUUGCUUUUAUUUGCACUUACGAAGUCUCAGGUAUACCUACGCAGGAAUGAUGCAGGAGAAAUUGAUCCUCGAGGUAACAUAUGGGCGGCGCCAUAUCGGUGGGGCACAGUGGUGAUAGCUUACAAGAAAAGUAAAUUUCGAAAGCAUAAUUUGGUUCCGAUUGAGGUAAUAAUUGUCUUUAAGCUCAUUUAGUUUUAUAUCAAACAAAAUCAAGACUGCCUUUCUCUUCAAUAGUUUUGAUGAUAAUAUCUUUAGAAGCAUCUCAUUGACAGGUAAUCGUGGUACCCCUUAAAGAGUCUAUAAACUCAAGGAUAUUAUCUUCUGCAAAUGGUUCAUUAAACUUCUUAGAUGUAGUUAAAUGUACACUGAGAACAACGAGAAGCUAUGCCACUGUAGCAUGUAGUGAUGGCACUUAAUGAGUGAGUUGCUAGGAUAUGAACUAGAAAAAUUAAAUAUUGUCUCCCUCUCCCUGGGUAUGCUAGCUCAUAAGUCAGGGUUAAUAUUAGAGCUUGAGAUACUAUAACCAUGAGAAGCUAUUGACCACCAGUUAAAAUAUCCAUUAAAAUGUCUAGGGAGUUAUGAAGGUGGAGGUAUCUCCCAAUUUCUAAGGCCAUAUAAUAGACAUCAUCCAGGAUCCUAUAGAGUGCAGUUAGCCUCCUGCUUGAUGCUAAUGUCAAACAAUUAAUAAAUUUGGUCAAUGUAACUGAAACUUGCUAAUUGACGUCAGAUUGCGACUUGAGCACCUUAAAAUGGGAUAGACGAUUAGUGGCACUGAAUUCUUCUUGCCUAAGAUUGAGCAAUUGUUUUAACUACUAUCUCCUAUUGUAGGUUGAUUAUUAUGUUUUAAUUAUGUCCAUUUUGACCCAAAAAAUUACACAAUCUUGAUCUGCAUUUUGUCACUGAGCAGUGUCAAUAUCGUCUAACAACUAACUUGAUUUUGAUAUGACAAACACACGGUGUGUCUCUCAUGUCUCACCCAUGUCUCACCAUGAUGGAGAAUUUUUCUAAUGCAUGAAGUAAGCUUUGAUAUGUGGGUUAGCUUGGAGAACAUAUCUCAAAAUGAAGAAGAUGGGGAGUUAAUGGGAAGAAACAGUCCAGUAGUUUAUAAUUCUGUCGACGAGCUGUAUCUCUAACAUGGUCAAAAUUUAUGUGAAUAAGGACAGGGAAUCGUCAUUCCUCUUUUCCUUUUUAUACCGGGAUAUCUCUCAACCUUUAUAUGUUGCCCGCUGGAGAUCUCCUUCUAAUAACUAAAAUAAAAAUUUCAUCCACUCAAAUAAAUGUUGACCAAGCUUUCACAAGAAAAAGUAACGUCUUUAGUGAAGUAAUUUACAGUUCCUUAUCAUCUUCGUGUGAGUCUAUCAGUAUGAUCCAAAAACAUAAUAAAUCUUGUUAGAUCCUGUUUAUUGAUGUUUAAAUGUUGUUCAUUGUGCAAUGUAGAAAUGAUGACGUGAAGUUUCUUUGGUCAUCAAUUAGUGAGAUCUUGUUUGAAGUUGUUUUCUGAAAUGAACUGCAAAAUGGUAGUUUUUUUUUUUUUCUUGGGUGCAUUUGAUGGCUCUUUUCUCCUCAUUUUAAGCAUGUGUCUGCUUGAAAUGGGAAGGAAUAGGCUUCAGAGUUGUUAUAUAUGUUGAUAUGCUCUGGUCAUUACACAAUAUGUUCAAAUUGGAAAUUAGAAUGAGAUAUUUGUUGAUGCUUUUUGAGAGAUCUGCAUUCUAUGCACCAUAACAUGAUUAAUGAAAACGGGUUUAAGGACUGGAAAGAUCUGUGGCAGCCCAAGCUUGCAGGAAGGAUUUCAAUGGUUAAUUCUCCUAGAGAGGUUAUUGGUACAGUUUUGAAGUAUAUGGGAGUAUCAUACAAUUCAAACGACAUUGGGAGGAUUGCUGUUCAGCAGAAUCUGGCAUUACUGGGAAACCAGGUACUCUUAAAGAAACGAUAUCUGGUCAAUGCAUAUUAUUGGGUGACGGCUGAUUUUGUUUGUAAAGUGUGCCUUUUCAUACCUAUGAAUGCAUAUGUUAGUGUUGUGUUCUCCUUUCCAUAAAUAUGAAUGCAUAUGUUGGUGUUCUUUUCUGAGAUGGAUGCAAUAAAGGCUUUUUCUUCUAAAUUUAGUUGAAGAAAUGGCAAGGAAUGUGAGAUUCUAUCUCAUUAAAUUAACAAAAACCCAAAACAGUGAAAACCCAUAUUAUGUGGAUGAAUUGGCGACAUUUGGCUUGUUUCCUGAACGUGAAUUAGCAAGCAAUAGAGACUAAAAAAAUGGAGUGAUAAUAACAAGUCAUUGUCAUUUGAUGAAUGCAUUUUUAAGCAAAAAUAGGUUUGUAACUGAAUAAAUUUGUCUGGCAUGCCAAUAUCAAAAAAUUAAAUUAUGUGGUUAUGAGCUGUAAUGAAGGGGGAUUGUAGGUGCAAUCAGAUCGAUCCAAGAAAGUUCAACAAAGUUCUGGUUUGGUGUAGUGAAAUUGGUUUGUGCAACUUGAGUCUUUCAGAUGAACAAUGACGAGUUUUCAUUUAAAAAUGUUAUAAAUCUGCCAUGCAUAGUAUUCUAGUAGAAUCAUCUAUAAAUUCAAGUUAUUGAAAUUGUCUAUUUGUCCAGUUUGAGUUAAGGACGCAUGUAAUAUGAAAAAUUGUUGUCGAAUAUUGUAGGUUAGCUAAUAUUUGAUCAAUCCUAUAGGGAGGGCUUUAAGAUGUCUAACAACAUGUAGAAUGCCCCUGCUUCCCCCACAAUUUUUAUCUUAUACAAUUUUUAUCUAUAAACAGUAUUUGCCAGACCUUAACCGUUCAGAUUCCCCUUCUCGACUAUCAUACCCUACGCCCCAUCUCCGUGUCUCCGAUAAACAGUGCUCAAUUAAGGCCAUCAGAUUAUCCCGGUCCCGCAUUGAUCAACGGCUCACAAUGGCCGACAACCUCUCUGUCUCCAUUACAAGCUCCCUCUUCAACUCGCUUCUGCUUCCACCUACUCUUUCUCGGAUUCGGAGCCCGUAUAUGCUCAGCUGGUCCCACAAAGCUCCCUCUCACUCCAGCUGUCAACCGACAAGACCAAUUGCCUUAUCAAGACACAGAACAAAAAGAGGAUGAGAAAUUGAAACAAGAAUUUGAGAAUUGGAAAUCGAAAACGUACGCAUUGACUGUACCUUUGAGAGUUGUUUCUCUUCAGAAUUCAGUGCCUCAAUCUUGGGUUAAGGAUUUUAUGCGAAGUCAAGGAAAGUGAUUGAAGUUUCAGAUGAAUUUGUGUGCUAGCAUUGGUGGGAUCUUUAACAAUUUAUCUCUGCCCUUUAACAAAGUCAAGGCUAAUUCAGCUACUUAUAUGGCUGCUGAUUUGGUUAGUGUUGGUGAUUCAUGGCUUAGUUUUGCCAUUAAAGAGAGAUUGAUUGAGCCAACGGCUGGAGCUGAAGACCAAGAUUGGUUCAAAUGCUUAAGUCACAAAUGGAAGGUAACAUCUUUAUCUUUGACCCGAUAAUUUUUAUUGUCUUACAUUGAAAUUUGGUAAUGUAAUUUGUUCUCUAUCUGUAUUACCCUUUUUAGUCGUUUUAUUUAUUUGUUUAUUUGCUUUUAUUUGCACUAACGAAGUCUCAGGUAUAUCUACGCAGGAAUGAUGCAGGAGAAAUUGAUCCUCGAUGUGAAAUAUGGGCGGCACCAUACAGGUGGGGCACAAUGGUGAUAGCCUACCAGAAAAGUAAAUUUCGAAAGCAUAAUUUGGCUCUGAUUGAGGUAAUAAUUGUCUUUAAAAUCAUUUAGUUUUAGAUCAAACAAAAUCAAGACUGCCUUUCUCUUCAAUAUUUUUAUGAUAAUAUCUUUAGAAGCAUCUUAUUGAUGGGUAAUAAUUGUAUCCCUGAGACAGUCUAUAAACUCAAUGAUAUUAUCUUCUACAAAUGGCUCAUUAAACUUUGUCGUUGUAGUCAAAUGUACACUCAGAGCAAUGACAAGCUAUGCCACUGUAGCAUGUAGUGAUGGCACUUAAUAAGUGAGUUGCUAGGAUGUGAACUAGAAAAAUUAAAUAUUGUCUCCCUGGGUAUGCUAGCUCAUAAGUCAGGGUUAAUAUUAGAACUCAAGAUACUAUAACCAUGAGAAGCUACUGACUGCCAAUUAAAAUAUUCUUUAAAAUGUCUAGGAAGUUAUGAAGGUGGAAGUAUCUUCCGAUUUCUAAGGCCACAUGGUAGAUAUCAUCCAGGAUCCUAGUACAGUGCAGUUAACCUCCUGCUUGAUGCAAUUAAUAAGUUUGGUCAAUGCCACUGAAACAUGCUAACUGACGUCACAAUGCGACAUGAGCACUUCAAAAUGGGACAGACGGUCGGUAGCACUAAAUUUUUCUUGCCUAAGAUUGAGCAAUUGGUCUAACUACUAACCCCUUUUGUAGGUUGAUCAUUAUUUUUUCAUAUUUUCAGUUUGACGGAAAACGUUACAGAAUCUUGAUCUGAAUAUUGUCACUGAACAUUGUCAAUGUCGUUUAGCGUAGCCAAUUAACUUGAGUUUGGUAAAACAAAUACACAGUGUGUCUCAUGUCUCACAAUUCAAAUUAUCAUUUGUAAUGAUGGAGAAUUUUUCCAAUGUAUGAAGUAUGCUUUGAUACGUGGGUUACCUUGGAGAAGGUAUCUCAAAAUAAAGAAUAUGGGGAGAAAACAGUUCAGUAGUUUAUUAUUAUGUAGUCAAGUUUUGUCUCAAAAAUGGUCCAAAUUUAAAUGAAUAAGGACAGGGGAUCUUCAUUCUUUUUUCCCUUUUUUAUACCGAGAUAUCUCUCAACCUUUAUUUAAUCCCCACUGGAUAUCUGCUUCUAAUAAUUAAAAUAAAAAUUUCACCCACACAAAUAAAUACUGACCAAGCUCUAACAAUAAAAAGUAACAUCUUUAGUCAAGUGAUUUACAGUUCCUCAUCAUCUUAGUGAGACUAUCAGUAUGUUCCAAAAACAUAAUAAAACUGGUUUGUUCCUGUUUAUUGAUGUUUAAAUGUUGUUCAUUGUGACAUGUAGAAAUGAUGAGGCGAAGUUUAUUUGGUCAUCAAUUUGUAAGAUCUUGUUUGAAGUUGUUUUCUGAAAUGAACUGCCAAAUGGUGGUUUUUUUGGGGCAUUUGAUGGCUCUUUUUUCCUCAUUUUAAACAUGUGCCUGCUUGGAACAGGAAGGAUUAGGCUGCAGAGUUGUUAUAUAUUUUGACAUGCUCUGGUCAUUGCACAAUUUGUUCACACUGGAAAAUAUAAUGAGAAAUUUGUUUCAUUCUAUGCACAAUAACAUGAUUAAUGAAAAUGGAUUGUAGGACUGGAAAGAUCUGUGGCAGCCUGAGCUCGCAGGACGAAUUUCAAUGGUUAAUUCUCCCUGAGAGGUUAUUGGUUUAGUUUUGAAGUAUAUGGGAGCAUCAUUCAAUUCAAACGAUAUUGAUUCGCAAGUUGCUGGUGGGAAGAUAGCUGUUCAGCAGAAUCUGGCAUUACUGGCAAACCAGGUACUCUCAAAGAAAUGAUAUCUGGUCAUCGCAUGUUAUUGCCUGACAACUGAUUUUGUUUGUAAAAGUCUGCUACUUCAUACAUAUGAAUGCAUAUGUUAUUGUUUUCUUCUCCUUUUCAUACAUAUGAAUGCAUAUGUUGCUUCUUUUCCUUUCCAUACAUAUUAAUACAUAUGUUGGUGUUCUCUCCUGAGAUGGAUGCAAUAAAGGCUUUUCUGAAGAAAUGGCAAGGGAUGUGAGAUUCUGUCUCAUAAAAUUAACAAAAACCCAAAAACAAUGAAAACCCAUAAUAAUGUGGUGUGGGUAAAUUGACGCCAUUUGGUUCGUUUCCUUGAUGUGAAUACGCGGGCAAUAGAGACUAACAAAAUGAAGUGACAACAAGAAGUCAGUGUCCUUUGAUGGAUGCAUUUUUAGGCAGAAAUAGGUUUGUAAUUGACCAAAUUUGUCUAGCAUGCCAAUUUCAAAAAAAUUAAAUUAUGUGGUUAUUAGCUGUAAUGAAGGGGGAUAGUAGGUCCAAUCAGGUGGAUCCAGGAAAGUUCAACAAAGUUCUGGUAUGGCGUAGAAAUUGGUUUGUGCAACUCAAGAGUCUUUCUGGUGAACGAUGAUGGGUUUUGAUUUAUAAAUGUUAUAAAUCUACUGUGCAUAGUAUUCUAGUAGAAUCAUCUAUAAGUUCUAGUUAUUGAAAUUGUCUACCUUGUUCAGUUUUAGUUAAGGGCACAUGUAAUAUGAAAAAUAGUUGUUGCAUCUUUUAGGUUUACCUAACAUUUGAUCAAUCCUAUUAUGAGGGCUUCAAGAUGUCUAACAAUAUGUGGAAUGCCCAUGCUCCUCCCCAUUGUUUAUCUUUAUAUAAUAAUUUGUUUUAGAUGCUAAUAUCUUUGUCGAUACCGGUAACAAUAUUAGAAUAUCUGCGUUUAUUGGGUUUUACAUAGGUUCGACUGUUUGACAGUACACACUAUCUGAAGGCAUUUGGAAUUGGAGAUGUAUGGAUUGCUGUUGGGUGGAGUAGUGAUGUUCUUCCUGCUGUCAAACGUAUGUCUAAUGUUGCAGUUGUUGUUCCCAAGUCUGGUGCUAGCUUAUGGGCUGAUCUUUGGGUAUACCCAUGCCUGCCAUUCUACUUCAAUAUUCACAUUGUUAUCUCCUUCAUAUUAGUGAUCAGUAAACAUGAUAAUGUGACUAAUAAGUUCGUAUUCUCUUUAUAGGCAAUCCCUGCUGCCUCAAGACUUGAAACAAAACAAAUUGGACGGUGAGUCAGAGGUGCAUUUCCAUUAAUCCAUCAAUGGAUAGAAUUCUGCUUGCAAACAGCGAGAGCAUUGCCUUUCAAGCAAGAGGUUAUCCCGAGCGCAUCUCCCUCUGCCCUUGAGAGUACUCUGGUUAAGUUGCCUGAAGAACUUUUUAAGGGUAAACCAAGUCUGGAUACUAACUUAAUUGCUGGAGUACCCGACUGAAAUUAUGGCCAGAUGUGAGUUUUUGGAGCCAUUAUCUGAAGCUACAUUGUCGGAUUAUGAGUGGCUGGUUGCUAAUCUGCAAAAAUCCACUCCUGUACUGAUCAACAAGAUGCAACAUUACAUGUCAUCAUUGAUCUUUAGCUAAAGGUACAUUGAAUAUUGAAGUAGGUCAGAGCAUAACUUCAUUAGGAAAAGAGGCUUCAGCUACGUUAAAUAUUACAGGAUGUACUGAGAUGGCUGAAGUUGUUGAGGUUUUACGAGAAACGAAAGAUAGUGUUUGUUUGAACAAAGUUGUUGCCAAUCUUGCAGAGUUCGAGAAGAAAGAUCACGAAGCGAAUGCCACCGAUUUAUUCAUCAUUGUAGCCUCCAUAGUUGAAGUUUCCUCAUUUGAAGCUGUUUAUGCAUAUGCUUUUUCCCUUCUCAAGUACAGGAAAUUGAAGAAUUAACCAGAUGUGAUGUGCUGAAAGAGGGAAGUUUUCUUCCUUGAAUGUGGCGAAGAACCCUAUCAAGGUAGAUGGCGAAGAACCCUAUCAAGGUAGAUUUUAUGAUGUUAACAUAUUAUUAAGCAUUUUGUUACAUCAGCAAUGAUGCUUUCAUAGCAGCAUGAAAGUGUUUAAAUUUAACUGAAUGAUCUUGACUGAUCAAUUAUGAGUUUUAAUCGAGUAAAAACUAAAUACAAUAAUCGUUAACAAAUAUUGAAAUUGGGUAAAUAAGAUCUUGAUAGUGAAGAAUUUGAAAUCACAACCCACACAGGAAAUCACCCUUCGCGUGGGGAUGGAGAUGUUUACUGCAGCGAUAUUGAAUAUGUCCACUGCUCUUUGGGUUAUGAUGCGACUUGCCCUGAAACAAUGGAAAAGAUUAACAUACCCUCCAAUGAAUGAAAACGGGUGGACUAAUUCUGAUUACCUAAUUGACUCAGGAUCGGCUGGUAAUAAUAACAGUUUAUUAACAAUGCACAGUCCGAGUACUUUUCCAGGAUCAGAUACGACGUGGUCUAAUGUUGAUAAUAAUAGAUUAUCAAAUGACAAAUCGUUGUUCUACUAUUGCAAGCCCCCAAAUUUAAGAAUCUUUUUCAGAAAUUAAAUACGUUCUGAGAGAUGCUGGUCUACUAUUGCAACUUGCCAGCCCCCAGAUUUAAGAAUCUUUUGAUGGUAAUUUAUCACCUGUAACUGUGCCGGAAGAUUCAACUAGCACUGAAAAAGAUGAUAAAUUAAUUGAUAUGGAGAGUUUCCAUAUCACUUUUAAAUCAUCUUAUGUAAUUGUGAUGUUAGGAAGCAUUAUUGAUCUGUAUGUGAAUUAUUAUUGGCGCCAUUGGUGGUUUUAUCUUGUUAAAAUAUGGAUGAAUUCCAGUUACUAUUUUGUUGCAGACAAUCUUCUUCAAUUAACAUAUAGUUUAAAAUCAUUAUGUAAAUCAAUCUAUUAAUUUUUAUGAUAUUUAACUGAGUUAAAACUAAGUGCACUCAAUAAAUCUCUUUUCCUUUAAAAAACGGUUACGCUUUGAUUUUAGUGCUUAAUAUUUAUUGAACUCCAAUACAGGGAAUUUGAAAUCAAACUCGUAACUACAUAUUAUCUAAUUGCAAGUUUCUGUCCAUAGCUGCUGAUUUGUAGUGAUUAUCUAAUUGACUGAGGUGACGACAAUUUUUUUUUUUAAUUUUCAAUAGCACAUUGUGGAAUUCAAUAAUUAAAUUCUCCUUUUUAAUUUGUUUCCAGUUAAAUUAUUAAUUACUUAAACUCUGUUUUAAGUCUUUAUGUUUAUGUGUUUAUGCAGAAUUGGAUUCUUGAGCGUGUUGGACACGACCAACAAUGAAAUUGACAGUAAAGAAACAUUACAACGUGUGGACUCCGGUAGAUGCCAUACAAGUCUACAACUUUACAAAUAAUAAUUGAGUAAGCAACUUUGAUUCUCGGGGCCCUUCAAUGAAUUUCUAGCCCCGUUGACUCCGCCAACUAAAGUUUUGUAAAAUAAAAAAAUACAUAGAAUUCCACCAAAUGCAAAACGCGUGGAAUUUAAUUUUCGGCCAUGUGGACCAAAACAUAAUUUAAUGAAAAAGGAAAAAAAUGAUAAGAUUUCUAAAAUAUGUGAAAGAUGAUCCAUAUGUUACUGAAACGACUUAUUAAAUUUUUCAAAAAUUUAGAAUAUUUAGUCAUAAAUUACGUGCAUGUUAAUUUUUCCGCCAUUGACUAUCAUAUUCUAAACUUAAUAGUACCUUUCUUGUUGAAGGGUACUUAGUCUCUCUUCUCCUCUUAUAAAAAUUAUAUUGAUGAAUUUCUUAUUAUAGUUAAUAGUCUUUAAGAACGGAUAACUUUAUUGUUUUCGUGACCAAAUUAUGUCUGCCUAAGGUUGUGACUAUUAAUAAAAUUAAUAUUUAAUGUUUAUGUUAAAAGAUAUAAGAUUUUAUGCGUUCAUUAAUUGUUAUUAGCUAAAGGAUGAAUUAUUUUUUCAACCCAAUCAGUUGAUGCAUCUGCAAGAAUUUUUUCUUUUAUUGACCCUAAUUAUGUUCCGGGUACAAUAAAUUGUCUUUGGUGCUUGGAAAAUAUGACUUCUUACUUCAAGUUUGAUAUGUCUCUCUCCAUAAACUUACUGGAAAUAUAUCCUCAUCUAUUAUCAUUUAUCUAAUAUCAAUUGAAGAUCGCACUUUUUCAAACUAUCACUUCCAAGUCUCAUUGUCACUUGGCCAUUCUUGGACCAUUCAGAACCAAUCAAGUGUUGAAAUAAUCAAAUAUAUGCAAAAUUAGAGUCACAAUUUUUGGUCCCCCAAAUUCUAAUUAUAUAACUUCUAUAUAUUUCAUUGCCAGGUCACGAACUUGUUGGCACAUUUUCCAAAUUCCUCUUCCAUCAGCUCUCACACGUUAACUUAAGUGGAAAGUUUCCAAGUUGAUUGCUAGAAAGCAACGCAAAAUCAGACACACUUGAUCUGUCCCCUAAUUCUCUUUUCUACGUUGAAAAAGAAAAAAAAAAAAUAUAUAUAUAUAUAUAUAUGUAAAAAUAAAUAAUAAACUGAGUAAAAAUACAUUUAUUUAAUUAACAUCUGAUCGGGGCAUUUUUGGUGUAAGCCACAACUAAAAUCAAACAGCCCCUUAGCAUACUUCUUCCAUUUUAUCUGCUACUUUUGUGGAUCUUAUAGGGUGGGCAUGUGGACAGAAUUUAAAAGUUUUAAUAGUCUCAAAGAAUAAGAUGUGUUAAAUCUAAAGUUGUUGCACCUUCUGAUUACCUUCUGAUUAAAUAAAGUUGCACAAUUUUACCAACUUGAAAGAAUUGACAUUAAUGAACUGGUCGCCUCUCCAUAUAUGAAGCCUUCUUAAAAGUUCAUUUUUAUUUCAGAAAAAAAAAGUUUAAGUUACAUAUAUUAUAGUAAGAUUUUUUUUCUUGAAAUAAUAAUGGAAAAGUAUUAAUUUAAAAAUAAAUUGAAUAUGUAUUGAUUAUAUCUUGAUUUUCAUCGAUUAUAGUGAGAGUUUCUCCAAAUCAAUUCCCUUAUUCAAAUAAUACCGAAAAAAUAGUAUUUUAAUAGUAAAAUAAACAGGUGUUGAUUAUAUAUUCUAAGGUUCAUCGAUUAUGUGAUCAAAGUGGCAUUGUUGAUUUAUUUCUUGUUCAAUGUUAAUUUUUAGGUUAUCUAAAUUUCAAGAAUUUAAAAUCUUUGAUCAUGGAUUACACGCUUAUUAAUUUUUCUGCCAUUGACUAUCAUAUUCUAGACUUAAUGAUACUUUUCUUGAUCAAGGGUAAUUACUCUCUCUUCUCCUCUUAUAAAUUCCUCUUCCAUUAACAUCACUAAGAGUAUGUUGAUCUCUCAUACGUUAACUUGAGUGGAGAGUUUCCAAAUUGAUUGUUACAAAACAACAAAAGAACUAGCCACACUUGAUCUGUCUAAUAAUUCUCUUUCGGUAAAAUUAAUUAAUUUUAGGAAAAUAUUCUGCCAACCUCUGUAAAUUCAGAGUGAUCAUUAAUUAAUUAAACGAUACAAAUAUCUAAAGUGAUUAGAUGUUUGCCGACAAUACAACCUUUGUGGCGAUAAUCGAACAAGUUCCCAUGAUUAUUAUUUUUCCAAAAACUUUUUUACAACAAAUUCAUCUCGCCAAAAAUUCUAUGUUGCUAACUAACAAUAAUUGAGCACUUGGCCGCAUUGACUCCACGUCUCCACCUCUUUCUAAAAACAUGGAAAUGUAAUUUCCACAAAAUGUCAAACGUGUGGAAUUUAAUUUUUUGCCUUGUGGAUCAAAAUACAAAUGAAAGAAACAGGAGAAAAAAAAGGCCCAAAGACUUCUAAAAGAUGAAGAAGUCUUUGGGCCUUCUUAUAAUGGUGAAUUUUUUAAAAGAAAAAAAUAACAACAUUUUUAUGGUUUGUUUUGAUAAUCAUAUUUACAAAUACUCUAAUUCUCAAAAUGGACACAUAAAUCUUUUUUUUUUUACAAAUAUAUAUUAUUCAUAUUUUUAUUUUUUAUUAUCAUAUUUUUAUUUAUUAUAAAUGUUUAGAGUAAAUUUUUAGGUUGAAAUAUAAUAAAAAGGUAUAAUCGUUCUCUUAUUAAACACACAUACUUUUAUUAGUUUCUAUCCAUUUGUCAUCUCAAUCUCUCUCAAUUAUUCUUUAUUGCGAGCUCAAAACGCGUUGUUGUUGCAAAUUAUAGCAAAAUGACAAAUAUGGAAAAAAAUGGAAGAAAAUUAAUGCAUGAAAGACUUGGAGAAAACAACAAAAUAAGCCAACUAUGAGCUAGUUGGGUGUAUAAAUUGUUAGAUGUGUUAUAUACAAAUAGCGUAGAGCCCUCUAGUUGGUUCCAGAGACAGAAAGAGCGUGUGUGUUUUUUCACAGUUAGAGAUAUAGUUAGAAUGGGUGGUUCAAAAUCAAAAAUGAUGAUAAUGUUUAUUAUGUUAUUAAUAAUAUUUAAAAGUAGGUGGAGUGAGGGAUGUUUGGAUCACGAGAGAUUUGCUCUUUUGCGAUUCAAACAUUUCUUCAAUGAUCGUCUUAAUUAUCUUUACGACUGGGUAGAUGGUGAGGGAGCUACUGAUUGUUGUCAGUGGGAAAGGGUUGAGUGCAGCAACACCACAGGCCGAGUGAUAGCGCUAGACCUUAUUGAUACGUAUGGGGGAGAGCACAGCUGGUAUCUGAAUGCUUCUUUGUUUACUCCUUUCCAACAACUUGAGUCACUUGAUUUACAUGGCAACAACAUAGCCGGUUUUGUUGAGAAUGAAGGUGCUUCAUUUAAUUUAAUUAAUUUACUUUCUCCCCCCUAAUUUAAGUUGAAUAUCAAGACCGAGCAAUGAUACGCAUAUUCAUUUAGUCGACAAUUUUGACUUUUUUUAAAUGAUUAAUUUUGAAAUUACACCAGUAUCUAUGAUUAUUUUUUUUAUUUUAUUUGCAGGCAUAGAGAGGCUAUCAAGAUUAAACAACUUGAAGGUGCUUGAUUUAAGUGAAAACUCGUUCAACAAUAGCAUCUUAUCAUCUCUAACUCGUCUUUCAUCAUUAAGAUCAUUAAAUUUAUAUGGGAAUAGAUUGGAAGGAAGUAUUGACGUUAAAGGUACAUAAUUAAAACUUCAUCCCUUCUCCAAGCUCUUUCAUUAACUUGCUAAAAUAAGAUUCAAGGCUUUGAAUUCAAUUUUUUUUAUGAUUAGUAUUAAAAAAAAAAACAGUUUUAAGCAAUUUAUAAAUACAAGUUUUAAUGUUUCUCAUAAUUUCAUCUUGUACUUUCAUGUGUCUUGAAUUUAAGAUUAAAAAAAAAUCUAAUAGCAAACCAAACACCUCCACAACUUAUUGUUAUUAUUAUUAUUAUUUGUGGUGAGGUUUGAAACAUUCAACUCAAUUUGUACUUAUUACAGAAUUUGAUUCUUUGAGAGAUUUAGAGGAGCUAGACAUUGGCAGGAACAAGAUUGACAAAUUUGUGGUCUCAAAAGGUACUACAAAUACCAUAAAAAAAAUGCUAACUUUUACAAAUUAGCUGGAUUCUUUGCCAUUUGGUUUAUUAUUUUACAGAUUUGAGUAAGUUGAAGUCUCUUGGUUUAAGUGGUGUCAAACUCAACCGUAGCAUCUUAUCUUCUCUGACUGUCUUUUAUUCGUUAAGAGAAUUAGAUAUAAGUGAAACCGGAUUCAAAGGAACAUUCGAUGUUCGAGGUAAGCCUAAACCCUGCUUUCUCAUUUUAUAUAUGCCAACUAGAUUUGUGUAUCAUCGACAUAAUUUAAUAUUUAAUUUGAUUAGUCUGAAGGAAUUACAUGCUAAUUUAAACAUACUUUUAUUUACUCUGUCAAUCAAUUAAUUAAUUAAUUACUAUUUGGCUUGGUUUGGACGAAAUUCUCAUGAUGUUUUAAUUUCUUUAAAUUGAUUAAUUAAUUAACUCUGUUUUUAAGUCUUAAGUCUGGGCAUGUUUACAGAUUUUGAUUCCUUCAAUAACUUAGAAGUGUUGGACAUGAGUGGCAAUGAAAUCGACAAUCUUGUGGUUCCUCAAGGUAAACAAUUAAAAUAUUAUUCAAUUACAUUAUUUUAAUUCAUUUGAUUAGGGAAGGCCAAACAGGUCCCAAAAAAUAAUAAUAAUAAAGAAACAGAUAAUUUGUAUUAAUUAAAAAACAAAAUGUAAUAAAGAUUUGAUUCCAGUUCUUUAAUCUUUAAAGCGAUUGAAAAACAAUGUUGCUCUUUUCCCAAAGCAUAAAAUACAAAUUGAAUGGCAAUUAACUUAAUCAUUCAUUUCGUUUAGCUCUAAAUUUAGACAAUGAAUUUUUAUAUUAUUUCAAAAACAGGACGUAAUAGAAUUUUUUAAAAAACAGAAUGUAAUAAAGAUUUGAUUCCAAUUCUUUAAUCUUUACAGUGAUUGAAAAACGAUACCAAUUAAAUUAAUCAUUUAUUUCGUUUAGGUCUAAAUUUAGAAAAAUGAAUUUUGAUUAUCUUCAAUCUUUUCUUAAUUAUUAUUAAUAAACAGGUUACAGAGGUUUGAGGGCUGAAAAGCCUUGAUCAUUCCCAUCCCUCAACACUCUUUACCUUUGGGAUAAUAAUUUUACAGAAACAGUGACUAGGCUAGCUAAGUGAAAAGGUACAGAUGUGGCCAAAUUUAUAAAUAAAUUGUUAAUUAAUUAAUUUUUCCGUAUUAUUAAUAAAGCGAAAUUCGUUGCUCCUUCCUUCUAAAUCUAAACAGAGUUGCACAAUUUCACCAACUUGGAAUAUUUGUCAUUGGACGAUUCCUCUCUCAAUUUAAGCCUUCUGCGAAGCAUUGCAUCAUUAUUCCCUUCAUCAUUAUUCCCUUCAUUAAAAAAUCUUUUUCUUCAUUAAAAAGAAAAGCGUUGAUUGUGAACUCACUCAAUGGUUUCCUACGUGUUCAACAUGUUUGUUUAUUUAUUUUAUUGUUUAAUGUUUCUGCUAGGUUUUCCUCAUUUCAAGAGUUUGGAACAUUUGGACAUGAUGUCCACGCGCAUUGCACUCAACACCAGCUUUCUUCAAAUCAUCGGUGAAUCGAUGCCUUCUCUUAAGUACUUAUCGCUGUCAGAUUCUAACAGCAGCAGGAUUCUUGAUCGAGGUUAAUCAGAUGCUCCCACCCUCCCUUCUUAAUCUAUAAUAUUAAUUUUCAAUUCAAUAUUCAAUUACACAAACCAAUCACUUAUUAUAAAUGAAUAAUACGCAUUCAUUAAUUUUUAUAUUGUAUUAAUAAUUGAUGAAUUUAAUAAAUUUUCAGGCCUCUGUUCGUUGGUGCAUCUACAAGAGUUGUACAUUGAUAAUAAUGAUUUAAGAGGUAGCUUGCCUUGGUGCUUGGCAAAUAUGACAUCCCUCCGAAUAUUAGAUGUUUCUUCCAAUCAACUUACGGGAAGCAUCUCCUCAUCUCCCCUCGUUCAUUUGACAUCCAUUGAAGAGUUGAUGCUUUCAAACAAUCACUUCCAGAUCCCAAUUUCACUUGAACCAUUUUUCAAUCACUCAAGACUUAAGUUUUUCUAUGCUGAAAAUAACCAAAUAAAUGCAGAAAUAACUCAGUCACAUUCUUUGAUCCCCCCAAAAUUCCAAUUAUCACGUCUCUCAUUGUCUUCCGGUUAUGAAGAUGGCGUCACAUUCCCCAAAUUCCUUUACCAUCAACAUGACCUGGAGUAUGUUGAUCUCUCACACAUAAAGAUGAAUGGAGAAUUUCCAACUUGGUUGUUGGAAAACAACACAAAGUUGAUACAACUUUCUGUCGUCAAUGAUUCUCUUGCAGGACCUUUUCGGUUGCCAAUUCAUUCACACAAGCAGUUAAGACUGUUGGAUAUAUCCACCAACAACUUCCGAGGCCACAUUCCAGUAGAAAUUGGAGAUGUUUUACCAAGUUUAUACGUUUUCAACAAUUCCAUGAAUGCUUUAGAUGGUAGCAUUCCCUCUUCAUUUGGUAAUAUGAAAUUCCUCCAAAUUCUAGACUUAUCCAACAAUCACUUGACUGGUGAAAUCCCCGAGCACUUGGCCGUCGGUUGCGUCAACUUGGAGUCUCUUGCAUUAUCAAACAACAACUUAGAAGGUCAUAUGUUCUCCAGAAACUUCAACCUGGCAAACUUGAAAUUGUUACAAUUGGAAGGCAAUCGCUUCGUAGGAGAGAUCCCACAAAGUUUGUCUAAAUGCUCUUCACUAGAAGGAUUGCAUCUUAAUAAUAAUAGUCUCUCGGGUAAGAUUCCACGAUGGUUGGGUAAUCUCACAUGGUUACAAUAUAUUAUAAUGCCCAAUAAUCAUCUUGAAGGCCUUAUUCCAGUGGAGUUUUGUCAGCUUGAUUCGCUUCAGAUUUUGGACAUUUCAGACAACAACAUAUCUGGAAGUUUACCAGCUUGUUUCCAUCCUCUCUCUAUCAAACAAGUUCAUCUUUCAAAAAAUAUGUUACAUGGACAGCUAAAAAGAGGUACAUUCUUUAAUUGCUCUUCCCUUGUGACAUUAGAUCUUAGCUAUAACCGCUUGAAUGGCAGCAUUCCGGAUUGGGUUGAUGGACUUUCUCAGUUAAGCCACCUUAUCUUAGGUCACAAUAAUCUUGAAGGUGAAGUGCCAGUUCAAUUGUGCGAAUUGAACCAACUACAAUUGUUAGAUCUUUCUAAUAAUAAUCUUCACGGUCCUAUUCCUCCUUGCUUUGAUAACACCACACUUCAUGAAAGUUACAGCAAUAGUUCUAGUCCUGAUGAGCAAUUUGAAAUAUUUUUUUUCAUCGAAGGCCCUCUGGGAGAUUUAAAAGAGCAAAUCCAUGAAAUUUUUGAGUUCACAACAAAGAACAUUGCGUACAUUUACCAAGGAAAAGUGCUUAGCCUCCUAUCAGGACUUGAUCUUUCUUGCAACAAGCUAAUCGGUGAUAUUCCUCCUCAAAUUGGAAAUUUGACAAGGAUUCAAACAUUGAAUCUAUCACACAACAACUUGACAGGAUUGAUCCCAUCAACAUUUUCAAACUUGAAGCAUAUCGAAAGUUUGGAUCUUUCCUACAAUAAAUUGAAUGGGAAAAUCCCUCAUCAACUUGUGGAGUUAAAGGCAUUGGAGGUUUUCAGUGUGGCAUACAAUAACUUAUCAGGCGAAAUUCCAGAAUGGGAAGCACAAUUUGCAACCUUCAACGAGAAUAGCUAUGAGGGAAAUACUUUUCUUUGUGGACUGCCAUUGCCCAUUUGCAGAUCACCAGCAACUACGCCGGAGGGUUCAAUCGGCAAUGAACGAGAUGAUAAUUUAAUUGACAUGGACAGUUUCUUUAUCACAUUUACAACAUCGUACGUAAUUGUGAUAUUCGGAAUUGUUAUUGUUUUAUAUGUAAAUUCUUAUUGGCGACGUAAAUGGUUUUACUUUGUUGAAAUGUGGAUAACUUCAUGUUAUUAUUUUAUUGUAGACAAUCUUAUUACAACAAGAUAUUGUCAUUGAAAUUAAUUAGCAGUUUAAUUACGAUUCUUUAAGUUCUAAUCAAGUUUGCACUUGAUCGCCUAUUUUACUUUAAAAAAUAAUGAUUAUGGUGCUAUCAUCAUCUUCUUCACUAGCAACAUUAACACCAAAUCCAGCGAUGGACCCAGACAUUUUAUCAAGAUAUAUAUAAUAAAGUUGAAGCUUGACAAAAAAUUUAGGAAGAUUAAUGCCUCGCCACAACAAGGGGCACAACAACAUCAAAGCAGAGAUGAAGCAAUAUUCUCAAAGCUAAAACUCUCCAAUCCACCCACCAGAAUUUCAUAUCUCCUCAACAAUUUUAAGAACUAAAGAUAAUUAGGAUAUAACAUUAGUUUUUUAUAUAUUAGUUUCAUAAUUUACAAAUCAAUGAAGAUGAAGAUUAUGUUAAUGAAUUCAAAUUAUACCAUACAUUCUCGAGAUGCUACCAAAAAUUUCUAAGUCAAUCCCACAUAUUUCAUAAUUUUAAGACUAGAAAAUUUCAUUAGGUAGAAGUUUCAUUACCUUCAAGUGGAAGAUGAAGAACAUUAUACAAUUGAUUCAGAUUAUAUCAUACAUACUCCAAAUGCAACUAGAAAUUAACAAGUUCAUGCGCACAGAUUUCAUAACAUUAUGAAUGGAAAGUUUCACAAAGAGAAAUUAUAAAUUCAAUCUCUUGCAUCAAGGUAGUUUGAUUGAUUUGAGUUACUUUCUGAUCAAGCUAUUAAUAUAACAUUCAAGUCAGGGAGAAAGUAAAUUAAAACUGGGAAGAAAUAACAGUAAAAAUUUGUUGCUAAACAUGAUGUGUAUUUUUUUUUUAAGGCAAUUUGGAAACACAGUUGUUACUACAGAUAUUCUCCUCAACUUAGAGAUAAUACAAAUAUUAAAAUGCAUAUGAUCGCACAUAUUACUUGGAGCUUAGUAAGAUUUCAUUAAGAGAAGCAAUCAAACCACUUAUCGUUGCAAUCGUUCUAUAAGCUAAAAUAGCAAUAUAAUACAAGAAAAAGAACAUAUAGAUACUUGGCAAGAGUUCAUUAAGAAGUCGCAUCACAUUCGGGUGAGGAGUUUGCUUCUGAUAUCUUGCUAGCUGCGGCUUUUUCUUGUCUUUCUACGUAUGCCGAGGGAAACCAACCAGCUUGGCCCUUGCAUUCACCUUCCGACCAUCCAGUAGGAGCCACCUUGAGAAGUUAUAACUAAAACAGUGAAUUAAACAACAGUUGACUGUUCAAAGACCUAAGGGGAAAUUCUUUUACGUAGGAGGAGUGAAUUAGUUGUGAUCACUGAAAUAACAGCAUAACUAUGGAAGCAUAACAAGAUAUAAAUUCACACGUCUAUAAGGGUAAACUGGGUGGUUUAGAACUGAGCUAGCAACCCUACUAUAUUCUGAUUUGCACUUCAAUGUAAAAGGGAAUAUAUGGUAGGAAGAAAGAAAACCAACCAUCAUUUGUUAACUCAUUGCUUUUCAAUCAAAAUUUUAAGAACAAAAUGCCAUGUGCUUUGAACAUCAAAUAAGUAUAAGCAUUAGUUCUAAAUUCCACAUAUCAUAAUUUAGAAGGAUAAGUUAAUAGCAUAGUAGAAAAAUCUAUGUGUUGUUAUUUAGAGGGGAAAGUACCCGGCGAACCACAACAUAAUCAUCAAUUGAAAGACUUAGCUCUCCAUUUGCUUGAGCAUCAAAUGGAUGUAUAACCUGCAAGAUAAUGGGAUAAAUAGAACUUAAUCUUAAAAAAAGCAUAACAAAAGCAGCAACAGUAGCAGCAGCGUUCAUUGUAACCACUAUGAUCAUGGCCAACAAAGAUAUAUUAGAAACAAAAUUCCAUUUUUACUACGACAUUAAUAUGUACUAUAUGAUAUCAUGACGAUUGGGUUACCAAGAGCUAUCAAAGUCCAAUAAGUUCUGUAGAACUUUAUGUAGUUAUUCAAAUUAUGGAUCAGAUUUUAAAUCUGAAAUUUUGACUGCUCUCCACAAAACAUGGCCUACGCACAAGAAAGUCAUAGAUAAUGAGGAUUACAAGUGGCUGACAUCUUUUGAGGGAUGGAUUUAACAUGAGAGCUUAUGGUCAGUCAAUUUCCUCCGCCUAGCAAUAUAAGCUUUCUCGGCCAGAUUUAUCAUCAAAUACAUAGAUUGCCCCAAGUCACAUCCAUAUAAACAUAGUUUUUCUAGGUAAACCAAGCAAGGAGAAUCAUAAUUCAGACAUAAUCAUAAAAAGGCCCAUCUAACUUAAGAGAAAAUCUCAAAAAGAGGGAUGUUGAGCUAUCAGUCUUGUAUCCAUAAGGAAUGUCAAGACUUUACAUCACCUGCUACAUCGUGAGUGGCUACACAACUUUCAGUGGUUUGUCUUUCUUUGGCAUGCCUAACUCAGCUUUGAUGUUGCUGAGAUAUUGAUAGUAGAGACACAUGAUACUUCUAGCUCAUGCAUUCUAUCUAGCUCAUCCGACAACUAUCUCUUUUUUAAUUCAUUAGUGUUUGCUAAACCUCAUGCUUAAAAGUCCUGUUGUUCUAAACAAAGUUUCCUAAGAAUGACUUCCUCAGCACCACAUUUGGACACUUUUAGAGCAAUUUUAUUUGGGGGAAAAGAAUUUUCAAGGUGUUAACUAAUAAAUUUUAAAAAAUAAUUACAAUUUGUCCUACAAUUAUAUGACAAUUUAUUUGGGAUGAAAGGAUACAGACAGACAUCUUCCACUUUCAAGACUAAUCACUACUUCCGUAGAUGUUUUGCAAUAAUAAAAAUACUUGACCAGAUGGUAGAAAAAAAUUUUAUUGCUCCAAAAUUAAAAUAGGAAUGCAAUAUGUUAAGCAAAAGACUGUGCAACAUCAAAUUAAUUGAUAAGUUUGUAAUUCAGUAAAUUAACAACUUUCAUGGUCAAAUAUAACAAAUUUCUUUUAAAAAAAAAUUAAAAAUAAAUAAAUCUUAAAAGACAACAUUCAAUUUUGUGCGCAUCUUAUUUCUUAAGAUUUUCCAGGAGGGCAAUAGAGGGACUUUCACCUAUGCAAUAGAGAGCAGAAGCCUUACUUUCGCUAUAAAGUAGACGUCAUUCUGAUUAAUAUGCGUUUGCAAAUCAGCUCCAUUUGAAUCAGUAUUCUGAUAGACACACGAGGCAUUUACAUCCAUUUCCAAAGUCACAUGUUGCGAGGAGGACUCAUUUGAUUGCUCCUCUAGGAUCAUCUAAUUCAAGUAGCAAGGGUUGGAAGAGAAUAAAAAGUCACAAUUAUUCUUUUGCAUAAGUGAGACGAAGAUGAUAAAUGCAAUAUUAUCAGCAGUAAUAACGUGUUGAUGAUAUGCUUUCUCAGCAUCUACCUGCAAAGGCCCGAGACCAGGAAAACAACAAUAAAACCACUAGCUAAAGGAGAAAGUAAAGAAAGAAAUACACUUGACAUAAAUCUUGACAAGAAGCACAAUUUAAGACAUAACAAACCCCAAUCAUAUUGUUUAGAACUACCAUUCGUUAUUUCGUUAUUGUUGCAUUUCGAACAAGUGUUGACUUAAUUCAACAUUGUUGGAAAGAUAGGCUUUUAGAAGCGGAAGAAAGCCACUCAAACCAAAGUGAUUGUCCUUGUAUUGAUCAAGGGAUGUAAACAUAUUACAUUUGCAGGAUGAGUUUUAAUCACUCCCCUGAUUUAUUUGGGUUGCAGUAAAACUAAGCGAGCAACUGUUUGACCUUCAAGCAACAUCUGAAUCAGCUAUUAAAAUUCAAAUAAAAUCAUAAUAGAAUAAUAACAGGCCAUCUUGCAUCAAAAAUUAAGUUUAAUUUGUGAAUUUUUUUCCAUAGACAUGUUAGCUCCUGCUAUUGAAAUGUUAAAAGCAUUGAAAAAUUAUUCAAUAAAUUAUGCAAACAUUAAAAUAGAGGACACAUUAAAAUGUUUCUAAUUACAAUGUUAAUAUUUCCUAUAUUUUAGCAUUUGAAUAUUUUAAUUUAUUUAAAAGCUACGUCGAUCAACUUUGGGCGUGAAGAUUUUAGCUUCUACGAGACUUGAUUGGAAUAUGCAUAAGGAAGAGUGUUAAAAUAUGAUGCAUCCAACGAAAGACAAACCACGUGUAGUCUUUUAAUUAAGCCAAAGUAGCAGCUCAAACAAAUGACACUUGGACCAACAUGCAAUCAUGAAGUGGCCGGAAAAAGGACAAAUGCAACUUUGGCUUAAAUAAAAAAUAACAUGUGACUUGACUUUUGCUGGACAUGCAUCAUGUUAUUACAAGACAACAGAAAUCAGUAUGAUAGUACUAAAAGUUGACAAUAACAUGAAGAUAAGAGGCAGAAUGUCAACACAUGCAUAGGCACACACAAGAAAGUAUUAACUUAUAUACCAUAGCAAAAAGUCUUUGAUAUGUCAUCUGUUGCUGCUGUGAUUCAACUGACAGCAUGGCAGCUGUUGCUUCUCUACCAAGAGCCAUUAUUGUAGAUUUAAGCUCGGUCAAUCUUGCUUCUGCAUUUCGAAGCUUCACAGCACUCUCUGCUGAUAUAUCAGAUUCCCUAAUCUUUGAUCGGCGCCUAAAUACUUCAGCUGCCUGGUGAAAAUAUUCAAUAUAAAUCUAACAUAAUUCUAAUCUUACCUGGGCUUCAACUUCAUGUCGAAGUUUGUCAUAACGAUGAGUCAGGUGUCGAGCAUCUUCCAAAGGUGCUCCGUUGAUUAACGCCCGUAGUGGCUCAGAUACCUACAUGUCCAAAAACCUGUAACAUAGUUAGAAAAAUGAAAAGAAAGAGCGAAACCUCAAUUAAAAAGUUCCUCCAACAUAAUCAUGGAAUUUGGGCCUACUUCAAGGAUAUAUAUAAGGAUAAUUUAUGCAAUUUUGGGUCUUAGGAUGAUUCAUAUUAGGUUAGUGUUCUUCUCUUCUGUAUUUAAGGUUAAAAUAGAAAUAAACCUAUGCAAAUAUAUAAAUUAGGGCUGUAAGACUUCCACAUGCAUCCUUCAGUCUCAUGGAUUUGAUUUUACUAUAGAUGCAAGUGUCGUUAUCGAAAAUGCUUGGAGUCAAUUGAGAGAACUCACGGCCAAAAACUUGUCACACGCUAGUCUUUGCUAGUGAUGUAAGAAGUCACAAGGUCUCUUCAACAUUUGAACCAAUAAAAUUAUUAAGUCAUGGAUGUCACUAGCAAUGAUUUUAAUAUAAAACAUUAAAUAUUUCAGAGUUGUAACUUUAAAAUGGAUUCUUUUAUUCAAUAUCUUAGAACUAAGUUUCCUUAUGAGAAGAUAAUAGUUUCAGUAGUAAUUUACAUAUAAUUUUCUAUAUUUGAAUUAUUUUCUAGUUAGGGAUGAACUAACCUGAUCACGAAGAAUCCCAAGCAAAGUUUCCCUCUCAUUUUCCAUCAAAUCAUGUGAAGUGCCAAAUUGAACAGCAGCUCUUGCAACGCAAGAAUUGUCACUCUGAUUCUCCGCUCCAUACUUGCAACAAUCUUCGGCCAACUUUCUCGCUACAAUAUUUGAAUACAAAAAUAUUGUACACAAGAACUAGUCAAGAAAAAAAAAAAAAUCAAAUAUUAUAACGAGAGCAAGAGCAAACGAACAACCUAUUUCCAUUUGUUUCAAGCUUACUGCAACAAACACUUCAACGCCACGGACAACAUUCCUCUGAAAAUGCUGCGCUACAGAGCAUAUAUUCCAAAUUAUUGUUCAGAUAAAACCAUAGAAACCAUCAUAAUUAUUCAACAUACAUUAAGCUCCGUUUGGUAAAUACUUGCAACUUCAGUCUAGAAAAUACAGUUAAUUUUUAUUUAAAAAAACAUCAUAAUUAUCAACAUACAUAUUUGACAAAAUUAUUAUUUAAAAAUCAUAACUAAUUACCAAAAGCCACAAUAAAUCAAUAUCAAACAGAGUCUUAUUAUUAGCUAAAGGAGGAUGGUGCCUUAGCUGCCCUGGUGGAAUUGUAUAGAUUUUGAAGUUGUUGGUGACACUCAAUUUCAGCUUCAUCAACCGCAACAUUUUCAAUGCCAAGAUGGAGCAGAUGCUUCAAUACUGCCUGUACAAACCAUAAAAAACUAAUGAAAAAUAAAUAAAAUCGAGAAAUUUCACUAAUUAAAAGUCUAAAUAAUUCAAAAACAAAAAAAGAAAAGAAACGGACUUGCUGCUGCUUGGCGACUUGUUCUCGGAGCUUGAUUGCCUGUUUCUUGAUAGCUUCCAUACUGUUUCUUUCAAAAAGCGACGACGGCUCAGCUCAUGGAAGUGGAAAAAAAAAAGUGUGAUCGAGAAAAAUGAAAAGGCGUGAAUAAUUUUUGACAAAAAGCGAAAAUCAAGGAAAGCCGGCUCUUUCCAGAAAAUAAAAAAGAAAAAAGAAAAUUAUAAGUUUGAAAGGAGAAGAUGAUAGUGGAAGUGUGCGGUGUGGCUGCCAGCUACUUGAAUUAUAAGAAAUUUUUUUUUUUUUUGGAGAAAAAUAGUAGAGAAUUUUUUAAGAAUCUAGAAUAACUGCAUCACUUCUUAAUCGCUUGCUUUAACUGCAUCGCUCUCUUUGUGCUCUUCUAUAUAUGUAACGGUUAUGCGGUUGUAGUUCACCACUGAGGCUACAUGUUGGUUUGACGUGGCAGUUACGUUACAAGGGGAUAAAUAAGAUUGGUUUCAACAAACCCACUAAUUUUAUAAAAUUCGAGUAAUAUAGAAUAAAAUAAAAAAAUAAAUACAAAAUGGGCUUUUACUUUUUAUGGUUGACUGUAUUUUGUGUUCUCUUCUGGCACUACUACAAUUGUUCCCUAUAUAUCAGUCACAGCCAUAUAUCAUUAACACAAGAAAUGAAAUCUAAUGUCACCUAUUUAGUUAAAGAAUCACUCAUGAAAAAAAUUUACCAUUUUGAUUUGAGGAUCCAUAUUUUGAACUGCAAGCUAAUGUUCAUUAAGAAUCCCUAAUGUUCAUAAAAAUCAGAGUAUGGCCAUUGAGUAGAAAAACUAUUUUUGGACAAAUUAUUUUUGUUGAUAGAAGAAUUUCUUAAGGGACUACUAAAAUUAUUAAUAAAAAUGUAGAACACACCCACAUAUCAUCGACACAAUUGACUUUGAGGAUCCAUGCUUUGAAUUGCUGCCUAAUGUUCAUCAAGAACAGAGUAUGACUUGUGAGUAGAAAAUUUUAUGAUUUUGGCCCGAAAUAAAAGGAAAUUAAAUUAGAUGAGAAUCUGCCACUUUCUCAUGAAGAAAGGCAUACGGAGCAUACCAUGGUACCAUACAAUACAAAGAGUCUCUGUUCUCUGGUUUUUCAAACUCUGAAGGGGCCAAUAUUCCCGAAUUCCCCCUUGAAAAUUCUGAUUACGACAUUAUCCAUCGCUUGACGCAAUCAAAGUAGCGACAAAGUUAUGAAAAAUAUGAGUCCUAAGUAAUUGCUAGGUAGGGUUCCUGAGAGUAAAAUUGUCCUAAGCAUUAUAUGCAUACAUGGUGUGGUACAUAGAGCACGUUGAAUUCCCCACUAUAACACAAACCCAGAAAGACAAGUAAUAACUCAACUGAUAUAAAGACAAAAAGAAGAUAAAAUGAUAUAGAAAAAAGAAUUUCAAAGAGACAGCAACAUACGAUAGACUGAAGCCACUUGAUCUGCUCAUUGAUUGCAGCCUUAAACUCGCAAAUAGUUACUGUACGCUAGUGCUCUAAGAAGUGAAAAUGAUGCGAGCCCUGAUUCCCUUUUGACUUCCAUUUAUUGUCAAACAUUCUAGUAAUACAAAAAAUUGUUUAGAUAUCUCGCUAUAAAUAUAGCCGUUUGACUGUCAUAAUAAAGUCACAAAUAACCAUUCAUAUUGAUCCACUGUCACACAACAUGCUUUAUGCAUACAACAACUGUAUGUAUACCAACUCCUAACCUUAUCAAUACAUUUGGCAAAAACUUAAGAAGAAAACUAUUUCUCCAUCUCUUUUUUGAAAUUUCACAAUAAACCAGCACAUUGUAAACGUUAUGUUGUAACCUUAUGAUAAAUGCUCUAGACUCCAAAUGAAUUUUAUAUAUGAGGGUUUGUUGCAGCAGAUAUAUUGACUUAUCAAGUAUGAAUCAUUGUCUAGAAGAACUAUCUUUAGAUAAAAGAACAUUAGAACCACUAUAGAAUAUCUUUAGGCUGCUGGUUCUAACAGGAAUCUGCGUGUGGCAACAAUUGCUAGAUCCACAAUUCCCCAACUUGAAAUACAUAGUUGCACACCGUGAGAUAGUGCUGCAAUCUACUGAGAUCUAACUUAUAUGAUAUUUUAAGCUACUAAUGUUUGCAUAUUUCUACAUGUUAAAUUAAGCAGCUUUUGGCCACUUAUUACUAGCAUCCACAAUUAAUUUUUGUUCAGUAAUCAGCUUAUUUUAAAGAAAUUGAUUUAGUCAACAAGAAACACUAUAAUCCUUGAAAUUAGUUCUUGUUCUUUGUAAUUAUGUAUGAUCUUUCAUACAUCAAUUAAUCUGCAGUACCAAGAUGAGGUUUUCAGAGAAUUGGGGGUGAACUAGCUAGGUGGUUUACUGUUAAAGAUAUAGUUGCAGCUGAGCUAAACAGAGUAGCUGGAGGUUGCUGAACAGUUACAUCAAAAGACGGGAUCAUAGUCUAUGCAUUGAACAGUUACAGUUGCUGCUACCAAUUGCUUCGGCAAAGAUCAAGAAGACUGAACGGGAAGUUAAUGCCAUCAAUGUCGUCUUCACUAUAGCUGCUGGGAAUGUAGGUGAACUUUCCUCAUUUGCAGCUGUCUAUACAUAGGCUUUUCCCCAGCUUAAGUACAAAUAAAUGAACCUGCCUUGAAGGCUUUAUUAUUGACCCCAAUAAGGAUUACUAAUUGAAGAAGACUAUACGGAGUUAAUCCCACACUCUCGUUCUCUCAAUUUCUUUCAGAAGUGCCUCUGAAAAUAGCUGCCAAACCGUUAGUCAGCUUGUAUACUCUGUUUUCUGGAAACAGAGCCCUCACUAACUGACUGUACAGAGUAAGUCAACAUAGCAUAUUUAAUCGUUUUAAUUGAAUUAUCUUCGCAGCGAUCAUCAACAAACUCAUCAUAAGAUAUUUGAAGCACCCAAGGACUAUCACUGGGUUUCUCUUCUGGUUGAUUUAUUAAUUAAUCAUAGAACGGUUGGAUACCCAGCGACAAUUAAAAUUAUUCGACUUCUGGAACUAGGAAUGAAGUGCAAUGAUGGAGCAAAAUUUACAAUGUCUCCGGUUUCUCCUGACCAUCGGACUUUUGCAGUGAGAACAUAUAACAAAAAGGCCUUCAUCAAAAUUUGUAGACUCCGGGUAUGGAUUGGAUUGAGUUUUUUGUUUGAUAUUGAAGAACCUCUUUACUAUCGCGAUAUAGAUUAUGUGCAAGGAGUUGUCUACUGUUCUUUGCCUUGUGCUAUGAUCGGUGCUCUUGAGACUGCCCUGAAACACAGGAAAAUACUUCGAUAUCCUCCGUUCGAUGAUGCAAAGAACCGGUUAAUGUAUGAUUAUCUAAUUGACUCAGGAUCAGGUAACAACAACAACAAUUUAUUAAUAGUAAUAUCACAAACGAAGAAGAUUUCGGAGAGGGAGAUGUAUGCGUAUACUGUUUACAGGUUUGAUCCACUGGGGAUGAAGUGGUCUCAAGUGGAAAGUGAUUUAUUAAACAACAAAUCGUUGUUCUUGGGUUAUACCUCAUGAUGUCAUCAAGUGGAAGAUGAAGAUUAUGCAAGACGAAGAUCGUUUGAUAUUGAAGAAUUUGAACAGAAAGCCCAUAGAAAGUACUUAAAUAAGCAUAUUCUUGUUGGGGUAGAAUAUUGAGAAAGGAGUUGUCUACUGUGUGUUGCGUAAUUAUGCUAUGAUCGGUGCUUUCAACAUUGCCCUGAAAACAGUGGGAAAUACUUCAUAUCCUCGACAUGAUGAUGAAAAAUUGGUUACCGAUUACCUAAUUGACUCAGGUGACAACAAUCCAUUAAUAGCACAAUUUGACGUGAUGCCGUUUAGGUAUAUGGUUUUCAAGUUUGAUUCAUCAGUGAUGAAGCGGACUAAAAUUAAAAGUUUAAAUGAUAAGUCAUUGUUCUUGGGCAUAUCGUCAUUACUACUUCCAGUGAUCAACGAUGAAGAUGAAGAUGAAAAUUGUGCGAGUUCAAGAUUACCAUUUAUCAUUACUUGGGAUAUUACUUCAACAUAGAUGGGGUUAUAAUUUACUCCCACGAACAUCAACUCAACUUUAUGAUUGGAGUGUCUCACCGUGACUCAGACAAAUUCUGAUUCAACCUCCUUCACCAAUGGAUUUUGAUUAGUUAUUUUGUGAUCAAGCAACUUAAUUAAACUCAGUUUGUUAGUCUAAUUUUAGUUUUACUGUGACCACUAUUCAAGGUAAGCGAAAGUUACAGAUGUGGCAAAAUCAAUAAUUAAAUUCAUAAAAUGUUAAAAAAUAAAACUUAUAAAUGUUGCAUGACUACUUACUAAUAAAUAAAUAAGUUAGAAUGUAGUUAUUUAAUUUUACACCAUAUUAUAUAUUAUUCGAUAAUAAUAUAAAAUAAAAAUAAUUAAAAAAUAAAUAAUUGAAUAAACAAAUAUGGCUUUCUAAACAGUAAAAAUUCUAGAGUUAAAAUUUAUAUUAUUAUUUUAUUUUUUAAAAUUGACAUUUUUCUAUUGUCUUACAUGUAUAAAGAUUUUGAGAGUUGAGAAGAAUAUAUUUAAUGAAGCUUGAUAACAUUUGAUGGGAUAGCAAGUAAGGGUAAAUAAGAUAUUUUUAUUUGUUAUUUAUUUGAAUUAUAUCUAUUUUGUUCAAGUUAAAAUACUAAAUAUAAAUUGGAGGUAGACAUUUUAACAGAUCAUCUAAGCUCUCAAAUCUGAAAUUUUGUGUAGAUUUAAAUUCAUAAUUUUAGUUAAUUUUCAUACAUUCAUAUAAACAAAUUUAUGAGAUUUUUCUUUUCAGCAUGUUAUAUUUUGAAACUUUCAAUGUAUUAUUCUAGCUUUAUUUAAACAAUUAAUUUAUUUAAAAUUUAUUUAAUUUUGAAUUUGAUCAGUAGUAAAAUUAUUUUUAUAUCAAAUUUUUUUAUUUAAAUAGUUCGUGGAUUGGACAAAAUUAAAAAUUUUUAAUCCACAAAAUGGUGGAUUAGAUAUGAAUUAGGUUAAAUCCACAUUCGAUCUGCAGUGGUAUGAAUUUGAUUUGGAUUGAAUUUCAUCAAUUCAUGGAUUAGAUUGGAUUGAAAAUUUAUUAUCCGUAAAAUCAUGGAUCGAAUAUGGACUAAUGUCCAAUCAGCAAAAUCCGAUCCCCGAACACGCCUCUAUCAAAAUUUUCAAGAAUAUGUUUUAUCUUACAAAUUUUUUUUAAAGUCAUAGUCUAAUGGCAGCCCAAUUUUAUAAAGUCACACACAACCAUUCUUAUUAAAUUAGCAAGAUCAAACACUGCACUGGAUCUUGAACAGAUCAACACAAGUUGCACAACUUGCGAUUGAAUUCGGCCAGAAACAAUCAACUCUUUAGCAAGAACAAUUAAUCAGAGUCAAGAAACAAGUUUAAUGAAUAUAAACCUAUAAUUGAAACAAACAUAGCCAAGAAAAAAAUACAGAUUUUACACGGUUCAGUUGUACCCAGGAUGGCACAACCUACACCACGAGAGAAGCUUUCUGGUGAGAUUUUAUUGAUGAUCAAAGAAGAAUCUUUUGACAAAGCUAAUAAUAGAGAUUUCAGAGAAUAAGCUAUGACCCUCUCUCCCUCUUCAAUCUCUCUUUAUUUUGUUCCCAUUGAUGACCCCAAUCUGCUUAGUUAGCCAGCUUUAUAGCUGCAUCAGUAACAAACCAGCAAACCCAGAUUGAGCAGAUUGACGACACGUGGAUAACGGCUUUAACGAACCUGGUUAAGAACUGCUCACAUGUUCGUCACGCGUAGGGAUGGCAAAUAUCCAAUUAUGGAUGGAUAAUAUCCAUCCAAACACAAAUCCAUAAUUAUCCAUAAUAGAUAUAUCCAUAUCCAUAUCUAGUAUUUAAUAUUGGACAUGGAUAUGGAUUUUAUCCAUAUAACUAUGGAGAUCCAUGGAUAUCCAUGGAUAUUUUAUUUUUAUUAUAUAAAAAUAAUAAUAUAAAAUAGUUAAAAUAUCCAUAUCCAUAUAACUAAUAAUAUAUAUAUAUAUAUAAUAAAAUGGCGGUCCGGUAGUCGGUGGCGGCGGUCCGGCAACUUUCCGGCAAAUUCCGGCGAAAUUCCGGCGACGGUCCGCGCGAUGUCCGACGGUGGUCCGGCAACUUUCCAGUGAAUUUCGGCGGAGGUCCGGCGACAUUCCGGCGUGGUCCGGUGGUGGUCCGGCGACUUUCCGGUGGAUGUCCAUUUAUAAUAUUAAAUUAAUAAAAUAAAAUAAUAAUUAUUAAUAGUAUUAAAUAAGUUAAAAAAUUAAAGGAUAAUUUUGAAAACUUUAGUUUUUAAUAUAAGAGGAAUUUAAAAUUUUCACUAGUUAAUAUAAUAUUUUUAUAAUUGUUUGUUUAUUAUAUUUUUUAUUUUUUAUUUUAUAAAAUUAAAAAUUUUUUAAACUUGUGUUGGGUUAAACGGAUAUUCAUUGGGUAAAAAUAAUUAUCUAUAUCCAUCCAUAUCCAUCUGGAUAUAAUUUUAAAAUAUCCAUUUCAAAAUCCAAAAAUUUUUGGAUGGAUAUUAUCCGAUCUAAUUGGAUAGAUAUUGUGGAUAUCCAUUAUGGAGCGAUCCAAUUGCCAUCCCUAGUCACGCGUGCUGCUUAAAUGAUGGCCAAAACGACUUCAAACAAAUGUCGUUUUGAGGCUUAUGAAUUACAAGUGAUAACACGAGCUUGUCUCAUGACUUUUAAAUGCAACAGCGUGCCCAAAACGCCGUCGUUUUACUCUGUUGAGUUUGAUUCAUUACUAAGCUUUACGACUGGCACUGGAGAAGAUGAUAAUUUAAUUUACAUGGACAGUUUUUAUAUCACUUUUACAACAUCCUAUGCAAUUGUAAUAUUGGGAAUUAUUGAUGUUUUAUUCUGUGAAUCCUCAUUGGCAAAAACUAGUGGUUUUAUCUUUGUUGAAAUGUAAAUGACCUCUCGUUACUAUUUUAUUAUAAACAUAUAGUUUCGUAAGUGAAACUACAUGUUUAUAAUAAAAUUAACAUAUAGUUUCGUUACAUUUCUGCCUCAUUAAGAUUCUCAAAUACCAGUCAGGUUUGCUUAAGAAAUAAAAUUUUUCCAUUAAAAUUGCAGUAGUAUUUCCAAGCAUAUCGCAUUUUCUAUGAUUUUUCAUAAAUUAAUUAAUCUGCGGUGCCAAUAUCAGAUUUAGUUUUUCAAACUAAAUAAUCAAGAAAGCAAACAUACAAAUAUACAGUUUAGAGGGGUAAACUAGGUAGGUGGUUUAGAUUUUAGAACUAAGCCAGCUACCUCACUAAAUUCCGAUUCGUACAGUGAACUGCAAGAAAUUGAGAAAACAAUGAAUUUAUAAUUUAAUAGAAUCAUAAGAAAACAAUGUAGUCAUUGCUCCAUAUAAGAUGAUGAUUUCGGAGAGGCACAUUGUUUUCAAGUUAAUUUGAUCCGUUUAUAAGAGAUGAAGUGGAAUCAAGUUGAAAGUUUAAAUAACAAAUCCUUGUUCUUGAGUUUUACGACGUCGUUACUCCUUCAAGUGGCAGAUUAUGCAAGUGAAUGCAGAAACACAAUGCAUCAUCCGCGGGGAUGAUACAUCAAAAGGCGGGAUUUGUUUAUGCCUGCAGAUUAGCAAUUUCACUCAUAUAGAAAAUUAAUUUUUUAUAUAUACUAAUCAACACUAAAUUGAUUAUGUGUUGUAUGUUUAUAUGCUAAUCAACACGAAAUUAUAUUGAAUUAUUAACAUUCAUAUUCCUAAUAAAAAUUAUUUUCCAUCAGUAUUCAAAAUUUUCACUUAUGGAAAAUGCGUUUUAUGUGAAUACUAGUUAUUGUGUAAAUUUGAAUGAUAGCGAAAAAUAAACCUAUUUGAAAACUGUAAGGGUGUGUUGGGAUAUUUUACAACUGUCGGAAUCUGGUAGGAUAUUGCACCAUUUGCCCAAUAUUUUUAGACGUACUCUAACCGGUAUUCAAGAUAAGUAAAAGUUACAAGCGUGGCAAAAUAAAAAAAUAAAAUUUGUAAUUUGUAAACGAAUUUUCCUGACAUGUAUAGUAGAUGAAGUUGUUGAUCCUUUCUUUGGAUUAUUUCAGCUCUGGUUGUUGGUCACCGAUGAGCCGAAGUCUUAUUUUAAUUUUAUUUAAACUCAUCAUAAGAUUCGUGGAGCACCUAACUAACUUAACUGACUGUGCAGAGCAUCUCAACAUGGCAUAUUUAACCAUCAUUCAAGUGAUGGGUUUAAUAAGACUGCUUUUGUUCUAUCAACUAUCAAGUUCCUCUGCCUCUAAGCAGAAUUACUAUUGAAGGGCCAAAAGGAAAAUGAAAACGUGUGAGCUCCAACAACCACCCCACAAAUUCAAUGACGAUGCUCGGAGAGGGUUAGGUUGGGCCUCUGAGAAAAAAAAAUUAUUUAGUUAAAAAGUUACCCUUAUUGAAACCUGUAUAAAAAUUUUAUAUUAAUUAGUUAUGUUGCCUCUUCAACUAUGAUCAAAUUUUUAUCCGAGCUCAUCAUUUAAUGAGUAAACAUGUAUUUUAAUGAUCUCAAUUAAUAUUUAGAACAAAUAUUUUAAGAAGUAAAGCUCAUUAUAUCUUCCAUUAUUAUGUAUUUCUUUAAUUUCUUAUUUACAUAAUUAUAUUGUACAUUAAAAAUGUAUUGAAUUUGAAGAAAAAAAAAUUCAACUCACUCAAAAAAAAAAAAAAAUGCUGGUAGCUUCGUAAUAAUUACUGUAUUGACUGCACCAGAUAAAGUUUUGUAAAAUAAUAAGUUCUCAUUAGUGGUUUUUAAUUUUUUUAAUUUUUUUUUCCGGCACACCUGAUCAAGAAUUCUAUUUUGUUAACUAAUCAAUUGCAAAGCAUAAGUGUUGAACGGCAAAAAAAUUUAAAAAAACACUUAAAACGUGGGGAAAUGAGAAAUAUAGAAAGAAAGGAAGAAAGUUGAGACAUGAAACUGAUCUGCAGUGAAAUUGAUAAUCAUGUUUCUAUUUCGUUAACUAAUCAAACGGAAAACUGAAACUGUAAACAAACAUUAACACGUGUGGACUCUGCUAGCUGCCCUACAAGUCUACAAUAGUAAUUGAGUACCUUUGAUUCAUCCUUCUAUGAAUUUCUAGCUGUAUUGACCCCAACUGCUAAAGUUUUGUAAAAAAUAAAAAUAAAAAUAAAAAAACUGGAAUUUCAACAAAAUUCAAAACGUGUGAAAUUCAAAAAUGGACUUUGGCCAUGUGGAACAAAAUGUAAAUUAAGGAAAAAGUAUAAAUCUCAAUUGCUUAGUAUGGUUAGGAUUUUGUGAGCAUCACUAAAAAGUGAAAACUAUGAAUGAUAGAGGUGAUGUUUGCAACAUGAAUAAAUGAUGAACUGAAUCAAUUGAUGAUCGUAAUUACAUAAUGAACAAAAUUUACAAAAUCAACAAAAGUUAAUAAAAAUUUAUUUAAAUAAUAAAAAAUCAAUAAAAACUUAUUAUUUAACGACGCUCUAACCAAGGAGUAUCAUAAUCAUAAUCUUCUUUUAAGAAUUAUAACCUAUUUCAAAUAGCACCGCAAUAUAAUUCUAGAUAUUUAAAAGAAAAACAUUAUCCACCUGGAAUGACUUGAAGUCUAAAGAAAAAGAGAGAAUGGCUCCCCGCAAUUUUCUUGUCUUCGGUAUAUUUUCUUUUUUAAAAUCUUUUGCCGCAUACAUAAUCUACCCUUGUUUAUUAUCUCCACUUUGAUCUGUUCAAGUCCAUUUUUUUCAAAUCUUAUUUUAAAUAAUAAAUUGAAUAAAAGUAUAUUUUUGUAAUUAAUUAGUAUUUGAGAGAGGGGAGGGGGGGGGGGGGCAUAUUUUUUGCACUCAGCUAUUAUCAAACAGUUCCUUAACCUAUUUCUCAGUUUAUUUGCUAUCUUUGUGGAUCUCAUGGGCGUGGCAGAAUUUAAUAAUUUUAUUCGUCUGAAGAAUAAGAUAUUGGCUUCAAUAAAUUUAAACCAACUUUUAUUUACUCUAUCAAUUAAUUAAUGCCAUUUUGUUUUAGAUUAGAUUCUUUUAAUGGCUUAGGUACAUACACAGUACCAGAUCCGGAUCCCGGAAAUGGUGCUCUGAAGGAAUGGAGGGAGAAGAAAAGAUUUACAACUGAGGAUUGAGAUCUGGUCUCGUUGCCUCAGAGGAAUGUACAGAUUUUAUGGCAGAUCUGAUAAAAACCAGUCUGCAAACAUGCUUUGAAGAAAGAAUUAGGCGGUUUCUGUAAACAAUUCAAUUAUGACCCCUUUAAAACUUCUACUUCCAAAGAUUGUAAUGGUGAGUGUUCUAAACCUCGCAAAAACAUUACAAAUCUAGAAAUUUUAGGAAACCCUUUCGUAAUUUUAGAGAACUUCCUUAUAAGAAACCUUCGAGGCCUUAUAAGAAACCCAAGUUCCCUAAAAAAGAGUUCAAAGCCAAACCAAAAAACUCCUUUCACUCCUUUCAAUUACAAAGAAGCUAUAUGUCACAGAUGUGGCAUGAAAGGUCAUACUGCAAAGUACUGCAGAAUGAACAAAAAGCUUCAUGAGCAGUUCGUCAUAAGGGAUUCGGUUAUCAUACAGGGUUUUAAUGGAAUUUCUAACCUUCUCUCCAAGGAGAGUUGGUAAUCCUGCAAGGAAUUUUUCUUUCCAAGUUGUAUGAUUAGCAUCAUCCCUAAGGAAAAGACGAGUGAAGAAAGUGGUUUUAUAGCUUUGGAAUUCACUAAGUUUCCUACAUCUUAAAUUAUGUAGUAACUCAGCGUUUUUAUCACGAAGAUGAGAAGGAUCACCAAUUAAAUGGAGGGAAAUUGUCAAAAUUAGAGUAGCAACGGCAUCCUGGAUUGGAUUGUUGAACUCAUCAAGAAUAGGGGCUCCAUUUUCAUCGACUUGUAUAGAAUUUAGAAUGUCUAGUUGUUGCCGAUUAGUGAGAAGAUGAUCCCACCAACCUUUCAAUUGACCAGUAAAACCGGCAAUGAGGAUUUCUGAUAUGGCACGAUCAGAAGUUCCUGCUUGGGUUUUAUAGGCAUUGGCUGCCAUUGUCAUUUGUUGCAACAAUCCUAGAAUAUUAUACUCGGACAUACCAUCAAUAUUCCACUCAUAGACUGAGGAUGCAUUAUAUCGAGAUUGAUUUAAUGCACUUGGUCUAUUAUCUAUUGCUAGAUCUGGUGGAGUCUUGACAGUGGGAAGGGCUAUUUACAAAAGGAUUUAAAUUUUCAAAGAAUUGAAAGUCAAUUACAAAGUGAUUUUGUUCAAAGAAAAAUCUCUGAUUUCAAAAACCUUAUUGAAAACGAAAUCUGUGCUGAUUUACCAUCUGCUUUUUGGAAUCGAAAACAGCAUUUAGUGGAUUUGCCAUAUGAAAGUUCUUUUGAUGAAAAACAGUAAGAUUCCACUCAGGGAUUUUCUUUCUAACAGUAAUAGGGUUUGACUCUUUGAAUGGAUAAGAGAUGUUGUUCUCCGAAGAAUAUAUUUCGAACCAAUCAAAAAACAAUAUAUGAAUUUUAUGAAAAUUCACAAAUUCAUAAUAAGUUUGUUGGAUUUCUUUUCUUUGAUUUAAAAAAUGUUUGAAGAACCAAAUUCUUUUUUCUUUGUUCAAAUCUGAAUAAAAAUCAUUAUGAAGAAAUGCUUUAUCCAAUUCAAAAUCUUUUUCGAUGACAUUAAUGACAUUUUCUGUAACAGCAGAAAAUGUAGGAGAUGUUGGAGGAGAAGGUUCCUUCUCUUCCUGACUUUGUACCUGUUGACUACUAGUGUAGAUCGGAUGAGGAACACUAGUGGUGUAAUCAACUGAAUGAAUGGAGGUGCUAGGUAAAUCUGAAGUAGAAAACCUAGGCUGACACUUUGUAUUUUGGAAUGGAUGAUUUAUAACAGAAGGUACUUUUGUAAAUUUCCUUUCUAGUGAAGGAAUGCUUGAGCACGACUCUUUAUCAGAAAAUCUGUGAGAGGUAGACCUUCUGAAUGAUAGUUUGACUUUACCAUCGGAAUACUGAGUCACAUUUUGCAACUCUGUAUUGGGCUCAAGUUGUUUCGGAGUCACCUGUGGGGCAGCUCCUUUAAGGAUCCAUUCUUCUGGAAGAUUAACAUCUUUCCAUUGGAUCGGUUUUGGAAUGACAGUGUUUGCUUUGGACAAGUCAGUCUGCAAGAGAAGAGUUUCAUCUCUUUUUGACUGGAAUUUAUGUUGCGUACAAAACGCAGAGACCAUAGCUUUAUAUGAAAUCUUGAAAAUCAAAGCAACUGGGAUGGACCCUUUAACCAUUUGGUAAUUAUGGGUUUUGAUUUGUAAAAUCAUGCUUUUUAAAAUGUUUUUGUCUUUAAGAGAAGAAAUUCUUUUCUUUUAAUUUCUUUAAAGAUUUUUCUGAAAAUAAAUAAAUUGUUUCAAAAGGCUCUGAAAGAGUGGUAUCACGUUCUUCAGUUUUUAUAAUAUAAUCACUUUUUAAAAGAUCAAGCAUUUUUGUUUUGUAAAUCUUUUCUUUGGAAAUUUUUGGAAGUUCCCAACAAUCAAUUGCUUUAUCAAAGUUCUCAAUAAUGAAUUCUUCUGAACUCACAACAUGCUUUGAAUCACUAGUCUUCCCGGAAGAAGAGCUAGAAAAGGACGAUGUUCUACCGAGUAGAGGAUCCAUGUCCAAGACCUUAUGGUCUAUUUUUGGUUUGGUCAGAAUGGCUACAGGUAUGGAUUUACAGCCCUCAGCGGAUAGCUAGAUUGUGGGGUAUCAGGGGCUAUUUGAACUUUGCUAGAUGAGGAAGAAGCAGCUUCUAUCCGAUCUAGUUGUUCUCUAAUGGCUUUAGCAAAAUCUGAUUUUGACUCUUGGACAAGCUUUUGGCUAGUUUUCGAAACCUGAAAAGGUUUGAAAAUAGGUUCCUUAAGCUUUUUAUCAGAAUCCGAUUUUGUUUGAACAGUAGUUGAUGAAACAGUAAUGGUUGACUUUUGGAAUUGGUUUUCUAUCCUAGUCAACUGCUUUCCGAUUGUAUUUAAGUUAGUAUUACAGAAAUUGUUCUGUUGGAUAAUACUACUUAAAUUUGCCUCGGAAUCAUUUGGUUUUGGAAUUUUGUAAGGUGAUGCUCUAAUUUCGACAGGAGGUUCACCAUGAUCUAUGGUUAUACUCCUAAGAGGUGGAUGCUCAGACUCGAUGGAUCAUUCAUUUUUAAAGAAAAUCAAUGUUUUGACUAAAGACUAAGAGACUUUUCUUGAACUUGUAAAACAUAUUUCUGAUCCAAAUCUUCAAAAAGAAUAUCUUGAUAAACUUUUGAAAACUUUGGAUUUUAAUAAAGCCGAGACUUCUAAAGUCCCAAUUGUUAAAAAGAAUUCUUAUGAUCUUACCCAGAUUUUAGAUAAAAAGAAAACAAAGAAGUCAAUGCCCACGAUUCAAGAUCUUCAAAAAGAAAUCAAAGAGAUUAAACUUGAGAUUAAGGAUUUGAAAGAAAAACAGAAAACUGAUUCUGAAACUAUCCAACUCCUUUUACAAAAGCAUUUGGAUAAUGAUUCUGAUAAAGAUGCCGAUUCUGAUGGUGAUCAUAAUGACCAAAAUGUUGAUAAUAUUGAAUCUAUACCAAAUGAUUUUUUGUUUGUUUUAAAACAAAUCACCACCAGGAAGUAUUUAAUUAAAAUCUCUUUAAUUUUUUCCAAAGAUUUUGCUAUCGACGCCAUUGCCCUUUUUGACACUGGUGCUGAUUUAAAUUGUAUAAGAGAGGACAUUGUCCCCAAAAGAUUUCAUGAAAAGACAAAAGAAAGCCUUCUGUUCAAACACCAGUCACUAUCAAUAAAAUGAGCUGUGAUCACCAUGUAGCUCAUGUUUUGAACAGAAGUCCAUAAAUCAGUGGUAAGAGACACUCGCUGUUUGUUGUUGCAAAUCAAACUCUUCAACAUUAUCUUUUCUUCCAAAAAUAAAUCCAUAACAUCCCUACCAACAGUUCUCCGAGAUGGCAUAACAAACUGUGGAAUGGCUACACUACAGAAAUGCCUGAACCCUUUGUUAUCCACAAAACUAAGUGGCAACUCACCCAUAAUGAUCAUUUUGGUGACUGCCCUUCUACAAGCGUCUUGACUCCACCCUUUAGCCAAAACCAUAUUACUUGCAUUUCCUUCCCCACCCUCAGUUGUCAAGUUUUGUUGACUUCCCUCUUGUUGUUCCCGGAAUGUCUUGUAUGCAAGGCAAGCCAGUAUAUGAUUUCUCAUAUUUGUAAUCCCAUCACGCCUUGAAUGACAUUGAUAUUGUCUACCACAAUAGUUGCACUUGCAUUUGUUUGGAUUGUCCUCGAGCAAAGUAAAAUGAUUCCACGUCGCAGAUCUUUUCUUCAUCGCUGGUCUUUUCCGCUUUGCCUUUUGAGUUCCUUCCAUUUGAACACUUUGAUUGUCAUCAUCACUUAUUGAAUUCGAUCUUGAGUGUCCAGACAUCUAAACAUACAAAUAAAUAAUUAUUAAUCAUUAAUUCAUAAAUUAAAACACAAAAAGACUAUUAAAAAAAUCUACUUAAUAGUUAGUAUUACAAAUUGAUUCAAAUAAUUGUUAAUUUAAUUUUAUGAAACUUUUUGAAAUCGAUAUUUCCAAUUUUCCACCAUAAUGUUUAUAUAUGAUCAAGAAUUCAAGAUGCAUAUGCCCACAUUAUAUGUAGUUAACCACUUAAUAUUUACUUAUUGGUUAAUGGUUAUCAUGCAAUUAAUUAAAUUGAUUAAUUAUUUAUUGAAGUUGAAACUUAAAACUACUGCAAUUAAAUUGGUUAAUGGUUAAUUUUUUGUUGAAGUUGAAACUAUUCUACAAAUACACAUAUCAUAUGACAUAUACAAUUAUAAUUUAUAUUGUAACAUAAUAUUUAAUUUUAAUUUUUAAUCUAACAUUAUACUAUUCAUACAAAAAAUCAAUUAUUAAUUAAUAACAGAAAAUUAAUGCCAGAUUAUUUUCAUUUUAUUGAUAAAAUUUAACAAUAUAUAAUUAAAAAUUUAACAUACAAAAUUACAAUUAACAUUUCUCAUAUAACAUAUAACAAAUAAAAAUUAUAAUUAAUCAUUAAUGCAUAUAUAAUUAUAUAAUAUAUACCAUCUCUUAAAUAACUUUAAAAGCCGGAUUUGCUGUCUUGCACUCUUGCUUUGCUUCUUAUUCGGGCUUCAGCCUUCAAGCCUUCAAGUUCCAAUUCCAAACUUCCAAAUUUCCAAUUCCAAAACAGAGAGUGAAGAGAGUCAGAGAGACAGAGACCUUUUGAGACUGGAGGCUGGAUCCGUGACCCGUGAGGCGUGACCGUGAAUGGGUGUGGUGGCCGGAUGUCAACACUCAACAGCCGUGACCCGUGGAUGCCAAUGGUGGAGACUCGAGUAGAUCGGAGGUAGCUUGCUGGGUGGAUCUUCAAUCGGACUGAGUUAUGGUGGAGUGGAGGAUUCAAGGCGUGGAUCCGGCGCUUGGUUGCAGCAGAUCUGUAGAUCGGGUCACGAUCUUCGCGAAUCAGCUUCGGCUUCGGUUGGGGUCGUUCUCGGAAGUGGUUGCUGGCUGCGUGUGGUGGCCGGUUGAAGCUAGCUCCGUGAACUGUGCGUGUGUGUUUGCUGCGCGUGGUGAGUGACGAAGGCCGUGACUCCGUGAGGCGUGAAUGAGCGUGGGACAGUGGGUUGGCUGCUGCCUGCUUGUGCUUGACGGCUGCUGGUUUCAGUGAUUUUUGUGUGACACUGUGACAGUGAGGGUUUGUGAAUUGUGAUAGUGAUACCGUGAGUGAGGGUUUGUGACUGUGAGUUGUUACUUGUUACUUUGCUUAAUUGCUUUGCUUGUGUUGUUUUCUUGGUGAAUUAUUGAAUUGUUUUGUAACUUUUGUUGCGGUGAAUACUGAAUAGUUUGGAGUGAAUUGACUGAAUUCCUGAAUUGUUUUGUUGCGGUGAAUACUUUGUGAAAUGUGAAUUAUUGAAUUGAAUUGUGAAUUACUGUAAAUCCGUGAGUCUGUACUCUGUACUGUGAUCUGUAUUUUGUUUCUGUGAGAGUGUGAGUUACUGAUUCAAUGCAUGUACUCGUGUGAGAUGUGAAUGUGCCAUGUGUGUGUCUGUGUGAUAUUGUAAGUGUAAAUCUGUAAUUUUUGCCCACUUUUUUUUUUUGUCUCAACCCGAUCGGGUUUUCGGAUCGGAUCGGGUGAAACCCGAUCCGAUCAUGAUCCGAUCGGGUUGAGACAAUUUCACCCGAUCGGGUUUUGUUGACCACCCGAUCCGAUCCGAAUCCGAAAUUUUUCGGAUCGGGUCGGGUCGGAUAAUUUGCCCACCCCUACUUCUAGUUCUAGAUGAAAUUGAGAGAGAGAGAGAGAGAGUGUGAGAGAAACUCUGAAAAGCUUCAAGAAUAAUAAAGCCUAUGUACAGGCUGCUGUUCAUUUAUUUGUACAUAAGCAGGGGAAAAGCCUAUGUAUAGACUGCUUCAAGUGAGGAAACUACACCUAACUACCCAGCAGGUAUAAUGAAGAAGACAUUGACGGAGGUUGGUAGCAGCAACUUUAAUUGUUCAAAGCAAACACGUACCUUUCGUUUCUCAUAAAACCUUGUGAGGUAAUGCUUUAGAUGACUGGCAUGCAAUAUUGUCAAUGACAAAAUUUAAUGUUGCAUCCUGCUGAUAUUAGGUUUAUUAAUAGUUGCAGCCUUAGGCAGGCAUAAUUUGGUCACGGAAACAAUAUAUCCAUCCAUUUUCAAAGGAUAGUAACUGUAACAAUAAAUCAAUUAAUAUAAUUUUUAUAAUUGGGAUAGCAUUGAGAAAGUCAAAAUUCAUUGUCCAGAUUUAGAUUUAAACUCGCCAUAGAAAGUUUUUACUUUCAUUCAAUAUCACAACUACAUUUGGGGACCACAAGACAGUCAAUUUUGAACAGAGUUAUAGUUAAUGAGUAAUUUAAAUUCAAACGCAUGAAACGUGAGGAUUUAAUUAUUGAUUUUUUAGUUUUAGUGUCAUUGAAGAUCAUAGAGGGAAAACGAUCGGUAAAAAGAUUGUAGCUUGUUUACAAGAUUGGGGGAUAGAGAGAUUGUUUGCAAUAACUGUUGAUAAUGCCAGUACAAAUGAUGUUGCUGUUAAUUAUGUGACUAUGCAAUUACUUGCUUGGAGGAAUGAUGAUGCAAUUGUAUUGGCGGGUCAGUAUAUGCAUGUGCGUUGUUGUGCACAUAUUUUGAACUUGAUUGUUGUUUCGGGGUUGAAUGAAUUGCAUGCUAGUGUUGCCGCCAUCCGGAAUGCUGUGAAGUAUGUGAGAUCCUAGCGGCAGCUAUGGUGGUACAAGUUAUUCUCCUUAUUUUACAACUGAUGUUGGUUUGCCGGAGGGUCCUAGUGGUGAUGGUGAUGACAUUUUCCGAGUUUCUCGCCCUUUCUUUGGGUAUGCUCAGAAAGUGUUUGUUCAGAAUGAGGGCAAGAGAGUAGUAUCUGAGGUGGAACGAUAUUUGAGUGACCCAGUUGAAGAUCCGAGCAAUCUUAAGCUCAAUGUUUUGCUUUGGUAGAAGGUUAAUGGAUCGAAGUAUCCGAUAUUAGAGAAAAUUGCAAGGGAUGUCCUCGUUGUUCCUGUUUCCACAAUGGCAUCUGAAUCUGCCUUUAGCACAGGGCGUCGCGUCAUUGACGAAUAUCGGAGUUCUUUGACCCCUUGUAUGGUUGAGGCAUUGAUAUGUACCGAAAAUUGGUUACAAGCUAAACUUUUUGCUAAUCUUGUCUACAACCUUCAGGAAGAUAUUAAAGAGCAGAUAUUCCAUAUGGAGCUACAAGAAGGUAAUAUUUUUCUCAUACUUUAUAAAGUUAAGAUGUAUUAUAACUUUAUAAAUAGCAUCUACAUGUACUUAAGUUACUUACUAAUUUCAUUUUUUUUUUGACAUUUUAAAGAGUUUGUAAGAUCACAAGCUUCAACGGUGGAAACAGUGAGCGUUGAUAUGGGUGUUAUGGAUAUUUGAAAGGUAAUUCUUAAUAUAUAUUAUUAUUUAUAAUUUCAUAUUAUAUGUUUAGGUUGUAAUUUACACUAUAAUAAUAGACAAUAGUUGUUAUAGUUUUAAUUUUUAAGUUUUAAUUCAAAUUGUAAUAUUAUAAUUGUUUUAUUUAUUUUAGACACAUUGAAAUUGAUGGAAUGGUAUUACUUGGGCAUAUUUUUUCAAUUUUUCCCUAGGGGAUAUAUGCUUCAAUUCUUCAACUUGGAGUAGAAGAAAUUGAAGUUAAAAGUUGUCAAAGUGCUUGCGAGGAAUGGUGGAGCCGUGGAGGAAGUUGAUCUAGAUUUACAUUUAAACUUUGUUGUGUUUUGGAUUUUGGAACUUUGUCAUUUGUGUUUUGGAAAAUGGAAACUAUUUAAUUAUGUUUAAUUUUGUGUUCUAAAGAUUAAUGUUUAGAUUUUAGAAUUGGAUAUUGCGCUUUGGAUGGAGACUAUUAAAUUUAAACUUUGUGUUAAUUUUAAUUUUAUGCUUUGUGUUAAUUUUUAAUUUUGAAUCAUUUGAAUUUAAUUCUAGAGUAGUUUUCUUUUUUUGUUGGUUGAAAUGAAUGGAUGGAUAAAUGAGGGAGGACAAGGAAGGUGGGAGAGAAAUGUCUUAGUUAGCAAGGUGACAAUAGUGGAAAAGAAACCAAUUGAAAAAUUUUGAGAAAAAAAGAAGAUUAGAAUCCAGCUUAGAUUAUUUGGAAUUUUGGUUAGAAUCCGUGCAUAUAUUAUUUGGAAUUUUGGAUACCAUGCAUAUAUUAUUUGGAAUUUUGGUUAUAGGAUGCACAUGAUAGUUCAACUUUUUUCAUUAUUAAAUGGCAGAGGUAUGAGUAUUUGUUAUAGCUUAAAGCAUUGAUGACAUACUCCAUUGAAGAUUUUUCUUUGUAUUGACAAGUUGGGUUGGUUUUAAUAGUCUGCAAGUGCACAAAUUCUGUUAUUGCCAGAAUGUGAGUAUUUCUUUGUAUUGACAAAUUCUGCAAGUGCACAAGCCACAAAUGCUUGUUUUACAAAUGACAUGCACGUUCAUGUUGUUAUUGCCACUUUGCCAGAAUGAAAAUGAAUCAAUCCCUUACGUUUGCUGUGUUUGUCUUUUGGAUUAGAUAAAUGUUGUCAAAGUUUGGUUAAUUAUUAUAACUAAGUAAUGAAUCAAUCCCUUGUUUUAUAAAUGUUGGGCAAUAAUGCAAAUCUUAUGUCCGUCUCUAUAAAUUUUUUUAUACAUGUUGUCAAAUUUUGGUUUCUUUUAAACGGUUGUACUAUGCCUGUAUCUCCCGAGGUCCCCAUGGCAAAAAGAAUAAAAAAAAGAAGAAAAAAUACAAUAAAAUUAUAAUAAAUUAAUUUCCUUAGUUAGAAUGUGACUUUCCAGCAUCAAAACCCCUUAGGAAAAAAUACAAUAAAAUUAUAAUAAAUUAAUUUCCUAAUUUCACCUCCCCAAUUGCCAAAUUAAUUAUAACCCGAAUUGACCCGAAUUGAUCCGAAUAACCCGAAUUUAAUCCGAACCCGAACUAAUCCGAAUCCGAUCCGAUUACACCCGACCCGAAUUAACCCGAAUUCAUCCGAAUAACCCGAAUUUAAUCCGAACCCGAAUUAACCCGAAUCUGAUCCGAUCCGAACUCCACCCGACUUUUUAACCCGAUCCGAUCCGAUCCGAAUUUAAUUCGGAUCGGAUCGGAUCGGGUUUUAAGUUCGGGUGGAGUUCGGAUCGAUUUUUAUCCAACCCGACUAACCCGAAACCCGAUCGGGUUGAUCCGAACCCGACCCGAACCCGAUUUUGCCCACCCCUAUCUAGAAGUCCCUCCGAAAGCAUCACCCAAGACAGUUUGUCAUCUUUUAUACUCUGUUUUAACAGUAAUUUGAACCGUCUUCAGAGUUAUCGUCAACAAACUCAUUCAUAAUUUGUCCAAUCUUACGGACGAUAUCAUAUGCUUAACUCGACACAAUCUAGAUUCAACCUCCUCCUAUCCAACAACGGAUUUCGAUUUGAGUUACUUUGUGCUCAAGCAAAUUCACAUCAUAGUUUUAAUUCUUUUGAUAUGAAUUCAUCACAUUACAUAUAUCAGAUUAAGUGUAACAAAAUUUUUAAUUUACUACGAAAAGAAUAUGCGCUAAAAAUUAUUUCAAGACUAUUUGAUUACCAAAAGCUGCUGUCAGAGUGCACUGAAAGUUUCUGUAGGAUACUUUGCGGUUGUUUAUUAUGUUAUGAUGGGCAUAUAAUUCUCAAAUUUUGACUCCUCUUAGCGAAAAAUAUAUCAAAGUUUAGAUUGAGUGCAGCAACUCCACAGGCCGAGUGGUACAACUACACCUUGGUCUUACUAGGAAUAUCGAUCUGGGAGAGUGGUAUCUGAAUGCUUCUCUAUUUACUUCCUUUCAACAACUUGGUAACAAAAUAGCCGGCUGCAUGCGUUGAGAAUGAAAGUCCUUCAUUUAAUUUAAUUUACUUAAUUUCUCCCUCCUAAUUAAUGUCUGUAACCAUUAGGAGGAACAAGGGAUUUUAUUAACUCAAAUAUAUGUAAUGGAGGAGCUCAUUCUUUGGUUUUACUAGCAGGUCUAGAAGCAGGUGUCAUCUAACAGCUGCUUUGAUAAUUUCCCACCCCUUCAUCUUUGAUGGAAAGAUGAAAUAAAAACAAAAUGGUGAAAAUGGUAUUGGUACCUGAGGCUAUGUAAUCUAAUUCAACAACUGCACCAUCAAAACGAUUACAUAAGUCCCAGAAGAAUCAAACAUUAGUUUGCAAAAUAUCAAUUGCUGGAGGUUAGAUUCUAACUUCCGCUCUUGGUUUUUAUGGGCAUGUUGUAUUGUACUUGCAUACGAAAAUCAUAUUUUAGUUUACUUACACCCAACGCUUGGAUUAAAGUUUCAGAUGGGGAAAAUUGAAGGAGACUAAAAUGACUCAAAAAAUAGUUGAAUGAGUGAGGGUUUUGUCUUCAUUUAAGGAGCUCUUUAUAAAUUUUAGGAUUUUUUUUCCCGAGAAAAUAUAUUUCAACUUAUUCUUUGCUUCUUUUCUGAAGGGACAAAUGCAACUGAAAGUGUAUUCUUGAAUUCUCCAGGAUAAGAGACAUACGUUUAAUUAGAUUCUCGAGCCUUCAAAACAAUAUAAAAUUUUAGAUUGAUAAAAUUUUAUAUAUCUGAGCAUGAUGGUGUUUGACAUGACUUAAAACUAUUUAAUUUACUCUCACGUACAAGAAUAUCUAGUUAUAUUGUAGCUCAGAGUUCGAGGUUAAUCCAUAGACAAAUGAUUUAAUUUCUUUAUUUAAGAUUAUCCCAUAAAUAAAAAUAAAAUUUAAAUAUAUGUAAUUUAAUUUGAAAAAAGUUAUGAAAUUAAAUUAUUUAGGGUCAUGGAUCCACUCUUAGUAAGUACAAUUUAAUAAAUUCUUUUUAUUUUUAUUUUAUUUCCCAAAAGAUUAAUUAUAUAAAUUAUAAUUAUUUUCCCAUUAAUUUUAUUAUGGAUUAAGUACUUAAUGUGCCAAAACUUAACUUGUUUACAAUAAGUCAAAAUACCAUUUUACCAUACUUUAUGCUAAGAUAUUAAGAAUUCAUGUGCCAAACUCCCAUGUUUGUCUACAAUAAAUCAAAAUUUCAAAACAUAAAAUAUGGAUCAAAUUAAAUAAAAAAUAAUUUAAUUUAUAUAAUUAAAAAUAGAAUUUGAUUAAAUCAUAUUUUUCUACUCAGAGUUUUACCUCACCCUAACUAUUAGUAUUUAGCUAAACAUAUUUGAAAUAAAUGAAAUUAUUAAAAUUGAAAAAUACAUAAUUAAAAAAUGGUAUUUGAAAAUUAGAAAUAAAACUAAUUUUAUUUAUUGAAAAUGUAUUACAAAGAAAGAUGAGAAUAAGAAUUUGAGGGGAAAGAAGAGAAGAAAAUUUGUGGAGAGGUGUGUGAAAUUAUAUUGUAAAGAUGUUACACAAACAAAUGAAUAAAAAAAAAACUAAAUGAAAAUUACACAAAUUAAAAAGAAAAUGAAAAUUAAAUAAAUAAGAUAAAUGUGCAAGAAAAAAAUGCGCAAUAAAAAUAAAUAAACUGAAAAGUAAUUAACUAAAAUUAAAAUAACUAAAUAGGCGGUAAACAAAGUAAAUGCCAAAAAUAAAAUAAGUGCGAAAAUUAAAUUACAUAAAUUAAAAGAAGAAAGAAAGAAAAAAAAUUAUCUCAAAGUGUAAACUCUUUUUCUUUUUCUUUUUCUUUUCAAAUUUUAAAUAUUACUAGUCAAUUAAGUGAUUAAUUCAAAUUAUUAGGCUUUAAUAGUAAUUUUUAAAAUCAAUAUUCAGUUUAUUGAGUCCAAAUAAGGUCCAAAGAAGUUCAAGUUGUUGGUCUAAAAUUGAGAAUUUUGGGAAAUAUUGGCAACGGACCUAUUCAAAAAGUUCUAUAAUUUUGUGGUCAAACUACAAUUAUGAGAAGAAUGAUCCAAAAAUUAGAAUUUUUGGGGUGAGUGAGAUUUAGAAAGAUUUUGUGGAUAUAACAUAAUUUAAGAAAGAAAAAGGAGGUAAAUGAAAAUUUACACAAAAAGUAAAAAAAGAAAAAAAAAAGAAAACAAAAUAAAUACCUCUCCCAGCAACGGCGGUAAAAACUUAACACGAAUUAAAAGUAUUUAAUUUACUCUAAAGUAUAAGAGUACCUAGUUAUAUUAUAUCGCGAGAAGUCUGAGAUCGAUCUACAGAAAAAUUAUUUAAUUAAUUUAUUUAAGUUUAUCUAAAAAAUAAAAAUAAAAUUAAAUACAUGCAAUUUAAUUUGAGAAAAAUUAUGAAAUUGAAGUAGUUAGGAUUAUGGAGCUCUUUAUAAAUUUUAGGAUUUUUUUCCUGAGAAAAUUUAUGCCACCUCAUUCUUUGCUUCUUUUUUGAAGGGACACAUGCAACCGAAAGUAUAUUCUUGAAUUCUCCAGGAUAAGAGACAUACGUUUACAUGCUGGAGCAUUUAAAACAAUGUCAAAUUUUAGAUUGCUGAAAUUUUAUAUCUCCGAGUAUGAUGGUGUUCCAAUUAUAAGCUCCAGGGUGCAACUUCACUGAGGUUUAGAAUGCCAUCCUUUAGAAUUGAGAAAUCUCCGUUUGCAUAAAUAUCUUUUGAAAAUACUGACAUCAGAUUUUGAAUUGGAGAACCUGAUUGGACUCAGCUUGCCUUGUAGUAAGGUUAAGCAAAUUUGGAAAAGAGAAAAGGUAUAAUGUAUUACUAUUACCAAAGUAUAUAUUUUUCUUUCUUUAAGUAUUUAUAAUGAAUAACUUUGAAAUUCAAUGAUGCUCAUUUAGUAUAGUUAUGUAUCUUUGGUUAUAGGAAGCUGUCAAGUUAAAAUCUAUAGACCUUCACCACCCCUCUAUCUCAAUAGGAUCCCAGAAAUACUAAAUCUUAAAAAAAUAAAUCUUUCAAAUUGUGAAAGCAUGCUUACGUUACCCCCGUAUAUCCACAAUUUCAACUAGCUGAGUAUGUUGUGUUUCAGGGAUGCAAAAUUCAUUUUGUUUCUCAUGAAAGGAUUGACUUGUCCGGAUGUAUUAGGGUUAAUAAACCAACUAAUCCCAUAAUUUGUUGAUGUAGGGUCCUAAAAAAUUAUUGCAGUAGAUUGUAGAUCAGUACACUAUUCGAAAAUGUAUUUGAUCCACACAGUGAAGUGGAUAUUGGACCAAUUUGAUGAUAAUGAAUUUCUUUCAAUCUCAAUCGUUUUUCCUUUUAGCAACAUGACUAGUCAUUGCGCAAAUUCAAACUCUGACAAUGAUUUCUCAAUCGGUUUCUAAGAUGAUGACCAUGCAUGUAUAUGUAUAUGCGUGUGUAUAUGUGUGUGUGUGUGUGUAGAGAGAGAGAGAGAGAUCACACGUGUGUGAUUUCCUUUUGCCAAUAGGAUAUGCAGAGAGCUUGAUCUUACCCAAUAGCGAAACAAACUUCCUAAUAAGUGAAGGUAUAGUAUAAAUACUUAUACUUUCAUGUUAUUUUUUUCAUCAGUAGCUUGAUUAUUUUAUAUGCGUCUUCGAUUUUAAUUUUCUUUCCCUAUAAUCGCUAUUAUCUUUGAACUGGUCAUGAUUUGCCUAUAAGAUUUCUCAUGUUGUUUUGAGGUGCAAUGGAUUUUGAAUUUAGUGACGAGCAGUGGAAGCCAGAAGGCAAAUUAUGAAUAUGGAUAAAGAUCUAUAAUUAGCUGUUAUGGGAUGUCACAUAUCAUAUUGAUGGUAACAUUAUACAUAUGUACAUAUAAUUAAUGGGGUUGGCUCACGAGCCCAUUAAUAAUCAUAUAUUAGCUUAAAUACUUCAAACAAUGUACCAUGAAGCAAUUUCACAAAUACUUGUUAGCUUAUGUUGAGCUUUAUUGAAUCAGUAGUUCACAGUUCAAUAAAAUGCAGGUUUGCUAUUUAACGUACAUGGUUAUGGUGUGUGCAUUCUUCAUAAGGCUAACUACAAAUUUAUCAAUGAAACUUGAAAAAUGUAACAGAGAGAUGUCGAUAACAACCGCAAAACACUGAGAUUGAAAAUCAGGGCUAGUAAAUUCUAUUAAAAGCUCUUAAAAUAGACAGCGAUCAUCCUUAACCGCAAAGUUAUGCACUAAUAGAACUAUUGACUACUUAUCUUUAGCAGAAGGUAUAUUUUUAACUACAGCUUUCUGCUUUGUUCUAAGAACUAGGCAAAAGUGGUAUAUCUUCAAUCCAAUCAACAUAUAUACCACUUAUCUUCCUCUUCACUUCUGUCUAUUUUGAUUUGCACUUUACAUCCUGCACUUGCUGCUUAGAAAUAGUCUUAGUCUGGACAUUGAAAGUAGAAAAAGUACUUGAAACUAUCAUUGGCACAGCUCGAGAUUCCAUUGAAUCGUGGACUCCAAGCUUUCAUAGUUCUAUAAAGAAAAUUACAUAACUUCAUACAACUGGCAUUCUGCUUUUAACAUUUGCACAACCUGAGCAAGUUAGCAAGCCCCUUGUCGCGUUCCCAUUGAAUAGACCUACUUCUGUUAUCCACAGAAGAUCCACCACUCAAAAUGUUUAUCACCAGGCUAUUCUUAAACUGAGCCUAAACUGAGUAGAAACUUCCGCACAUCUCUCAGCAUUUACAUGAAGAAAUCGACAACUAUCCUCAUCUCUCAGCACAUCUCUCAGCAUUCUACAAAGUUGCAUUUCACUAGGCAAUCUAUCCUCUCCAUUCCUAGCAAAGUGACAUUGAUUCUCGUAUUUGUAAUCUCCUAACUUGGGUUUUGGGCAUAGCGUGGUCUUAUAAUUACCACCCAAUACUUUGUUCAGUGCCACUGGCAUCCACAAGCUCUAGCCCUGUUAGCUGAAUCAUAUUCAAUGGGACAGUGAGGCAGCAUUUCACUAACAUAUUCAAUUUGACUACUUAUAUUGACGCAAAUAUUAGAAUUUGAAAUCACUUCUUUUCUUGGAAUAUUAUAUUAAAAUAACCCCAAAUGAAAGUUCUUGAAUGGAAAUGAUUUUUAUUUAAUCUUCCAACAGAUUCAAGAAAACCCAGAGAACACAAAAUUUACACAGUAAUAUGAUUAAGAGCUAAGAACGUACAUGUAGUAAAUGUCUAUCAAAAACACCAAAGGGUUUCUUUAAAAUUAGAAACUAGGUAAACUGUUAAGAUUUCGUUGGCUUCACUUGACUAAUUGAGAGAGAUUGUUUCCUUAUAUGUGGCUGAUUUGUAAUCCCUUUGAAUAUGGGAUCGUUAUUUACGUUCCUUUGUUUUGUGAAUAUUAGCUCUUUUAAACUUAUAUAUAAAUCCUCUAUAAUUCUACUGCAGAAAAAACAGAGAAGAAUAAAAUCAGUAUUCUUUUCAAAUAUCAUUUUUUCAUGGUAUCAGAGCAAUGGUUUUGAUUCAGUAAAACACUUUCGCUUCUCUUUUUUUUUUUAUGGAUGAUAUUGAUAGUGAUAGCAGUCACAAUCAUUCACCAAAUCAUAUAUCCUCUCAAACCUCUCAUCACAUUAUGUCUAUGUCUAUGGUUGAUUCCUCAUACCCUCUUUUUCUUCAUGCUUCUGAUCAUCUUGGCAUGAUUCUUGUUCCAAAAGUCUUAGAUGGAACAAAUUAUGCUAUGUGGAAGAGAUCUAUGCUAGUGAGUCUUAGUGCAAAAAAACAAACUGGGAUUCAUUAAAGGAACCAUUCACACACCAGAUGAAGAUGAUCCAAAACAUUCUUUAUGGCAGCGCUGCAACGAUAUGGUGCUUUCUUGGAUCCUUAACUCUCUAAAUCAGGAGCUUGCAAUAGUGUACUCUAUUUAGAGACACCCUCAGAGAUUUGGACUGACCUUCAAGAACGUUUCUCUCGAGGUGAUUUUUCCCACCAUUAUCAAACUCAGCAAUUUAUUGUUGAAUUGAAACAAAAUCAAGAUUCAAUUUUUUCUUAUUACACAAAGAUAAAAAUGUUGUGGGAUGAGCUAACUACUUGCAGUCCUUCAAUCACAUGCACAUGUGGAGGACAAAAAGACUUGAAAGAAAAAGAAGAAAAGAUUAGGCUGGGACAAUUCCUCAUGGGAUUGAAUGAAACAUACUCAGCUUUGCGAGGACAAAUAAUGUUAAUGUAUCCUCUACCAACUGUCAAAAGGCAUAUUCUCUUCUCUGUGAGGAAGAAAAGCAGCGAGGACUUACUGAAGCCAAAGGCAUUGAUCUCAUUCAUGCCAUGAGUAUCAAAGCUCGUGAUAAAUCUAGAGAAACACAAUUUGAUGCACAACAACAAACCAAACAAGGAUCAUCCUCUCAUCCCAAGCCACAAGGAAUGAAGAAAUCUUUCUUUCAUACUUACUGUGAGGGCACAACUCAUUCAGUAGAUUGUUGUUACUACUUGAAUGGAUUCCCAGUUGGUCAUAAGCUUCAUGGCAAAGACGUUCAGCCUCCAAAUCGAAGCAGAAAACCUGUUGUGCAUUAAACUAGUGCUGAAAUGAAUCAGAACUUAGCAAAGACACCAACUAAACAAACUCCCCAAUUUAUCUCUGAAGAGCUUGCCCAAAUAAAAGCUUUCUUUAGAAAUGGUAACAAUCCUGCUCGAUCAAACUACAUAGGUAUCCCUAUACCUUUCUGUUCAUCUUUCAAUACGCAAAAGACAGACUUGAAUCACUGGAUUAUUGAUAGUGGUUCAACAAAUCACAUAGCAACUUCAAUACCUAUUAAAACUCCUCUGUCAUCUCAAGUAACCUUGCCUAAUGGUGCCUAUUCUUAGAUAACUGGAAUUGGUUCAACACAACUCUCAAACCACCUACAUGUUAAUAAUGUAUUAUGUGCACCAUCAUUUCAUGUUAAUUUACUUUCAGUGAGUCAACUUACUGUUGCCAUGAAUUGUUCAAUCCAUUUUUUUUCCCACUUUCUGUAUAUUGCAGGACCUAGCUUCGAAGAAGAUGAUUGGCUUGGGGAAGCAGCUUAAUGGCUUGUACUACUUUGUUCCUCAAGUGAAGUCUACACCAACUUCUUUUUCAAUCACCCAUCAUGCUGAUUUUACUACACAUAUUACUUGGCACAAGUGGUUAGGACAUCCCUUAAAAGCACCUUCACAAUUUUUAAGCAAUAAUAUUCCUGCAUUUGUAUUUGAUUCUCAAUAUUCCUGUGAAACUUGCCCUUUGGCAAAGCAAACUCGUUUACCAUUUUCUUUAAGUUCUAUUCAAACUUUGCAUUCAUUUGAUCUUAUUCAUUGUGAUAUUUGGGGACCUUUUCGUACUGCAACUCAUACAGGGGCACAUUAUUUCAUGACUAUAGUUGAUGAUUACACUCGUUUCACUUGGAUUUUUUUAAUGAAAUUUAAAUUCGAAACCCAAGGAUUAAUAAAAACAUUUAUUUCUUUUGUGAACACUCAAUUUAAUUGUCAAGUUAAAUGUCUUAGAAGUGAUAAUGGCUCAGAAUUUCUUUCCAUGAAACCUUAUUUAUCCACCCUUGGUAUUUUAUUUUAAAACUCAUGUCCAUCUACAACUCAACAAAAUGGUGUCGUGGAACGAAAACACCGUCAUCUCUUAAACGUUAGUCGGGCUUUGAGAAUGGAUGCCAAUCUUCCUUUAAAAUUUUGGGGGGAGAGUUUACUUACUGUAGCCUAUCUUAUAAAUCGUCUUCAUACUCCCUUGUUGCAAUAUAAAUCUCCAUAUGAGUUGUUGUAUAAUAAGCCACCUAACUACACUCACUUACAAGUUUUUGGAUGUCUCUGUUAUGCAACAAAUCUACAGCCGUCCAAUAAGUUUGAUUCUCGGGCUCGACAAUGCAUCUUUGUUGGUUACCCUAUAGGCCAAAAAGCCUAUCGAUUAUAUGAUCUCCAUACUCACCAAUUCUUUUCCAGUCGUGAUGUCAUUUUUCAUGAGUCUAUUUUUCCUUCUCUUCGUAUUGAAAAAUCAUUAGAUAGCACUUUUCCUCAACUUGAGAUAUUAGAUUACAUCGAUAAUCUAUCUCCUCCUGCAACUCAUCCUGUCCCUCCAACAUUAGAGACCAUUAUUCCCUCUCCUAAUCUUUUAUUGUCAUCAACUCCUUCCCCUUCUUCCUCUAUAUCUUCUCCUGCCCCUCAUAUUCGUAAAAGUGAUCGUGUCAGGCAACCAUCUGUUCUUCUUCGUGACUUUCAUUGUGGACAGAUUAGUACAACACCAUCAACUGCAACUUCAAGUCAGUCAUUUUCAACUAAGUCAGGUACUCAAUAUCCUUUAAGCAAAUACAUUUCCUAUGAUUCUUUGUCUUCUACUCAUAAACACUUUGUUAACACCAUUUCAAGUGUCCUAGAACCAACCUCUUAUGCUCAUGCUAUAUUGGAUCCGAAAUGGCAAGAGGCUAUGCAAUGUGAACUUGAUGCUCUCAAAUCACAGAAGACAUGGUCCUUGGUCCCUUUACCCGCUGGCCAUCGCCCCAUUGGCAGCAAAUGGGUUUAUCAUAUCAAAUACAAUUCUAAUGGUACGAUUGAAUGUUACAAAGCUCGAUUAGUUGCCAAAGGAUUUUCUCAACAAGAAGGCCUGGAAUACACUGAGACAUUUGCUCCUGUGGCUAAAUUGACCGUUGUUCGUUGUUUACUUGUUGUGGCAACUGCAAGACAUUGGCCAUUGUAUCAAAUGGAUGUGACCAAUGCUUUUUUGCAUGGUGAUUUAGAAGAAGAAGUAUAUAUGACUCCACCGCCGGGACUUUGUCGACAGGGGGAGAAGCUUGUUUGUUGACUUCAUAAGUCCCUUUAUGGGCUUAAAUAAGCUCCUCGCAAUUGGUUUGCGAAAUUUUCUCAUGCUGUCAAGAAAGCUGGCUUUAUUCAAUCACAUUCGGAUUACUCGUUGUUUGUGAAGACAAAAGGCACAUCUAUAACCAUGGUUCUUAUUUAUGUAGAUGAUAUGGUGAUAACUGGAAAUGAUGCAGUCGCUAUACAUAAUCUCAAACAAUUUCUUCACUAGCAAUUUCAUAUCAAAGAUCUCGGUCAUCUUAAAUAUUUUCUUGGGCUGGAAGUUGCAAGGUCCAAAGCAGGUCUUGUUAUCUCUUAACGAAAAUAUACCUUAGAAAUCAUAGAUGAUGUUGUAUACUUGGGUGCUCAACCGGUAAAUUUUCCCAUGGAGAUGAAUUUGAAACUCACAAACCAUUAAGGUGAUUUGCUACAUAAUCCAACUCGCUACAGGAGAUUAGUUGGCCGACUAAUAUAUCUCACAAUUACGAGACCAGACAUUACAUACUCAGUUAACAUCUUAAGCUAAUUUAUGCAUGCUCCAAGAAAGCCUCACUGGGAUGCUGCUCUUCGUAUUAUGAAAUAUUUAAAGGGCAGCCCUGGUUUAGGUUUGUUAUUCUCCUCAAGCAAUUCCUUUACUUUAAAGGCUUACUGUGAUGCUAAUUGGGCAAAUUGUCGUAUAACAAGAAGAUCAACAACAGGUUAUUGUGUGUUCUUAGGGGAUUCUUUGAUUUCUUGGAAAGUAAAGAAGCAGAAAACAGUCUCAAGAUCAUCAUUAGAAGCUGAGUACAGGUCCAUGGCAGCAGCAACUUGUGAGCUCACUUGGUUUAGAUUUUUAUUCAAUGAUAUGCAAAUUUCCAUAGGACCAGCAAGGCUAUUAUGUGAUAACCAAGCUGCUCUUCACAUAGCAGCAAAUUCGGUAUAUCAUGAACGCACCAAACACAUAGAUCUUGACUGUCAUGUGGUAAGGGAGAAAAUGUACGAUGGUCAGAUAAUCACCAAAUUUGUUCCAUCUCAUUUACAGUUGGCAGACAUUUUUACAAAAGCUCUUGGAGGAAAGGUGUUUAAGAGACUAACAACCAAGUUGAACAUGCUAGAUAUACAUGCUCCAACUUGAAGGGGGAGUGUUAAGAUUUCGUUGGCUUCACUUGACUAAUUGAGAGAGAUUGUUUCCUUAUAUGUGGCUGAUUUGUAAUCCCUUUGAAUAUGGGAUCGUUAUUUACUUUCCUUUGUUUUGUGAAUAUUAGCUCUUGUAAACUUAUAUAUAAAUCCUCUAUAAUUCUACUGUAGAAAAAACAGAGAAGAAUAAAAUCAGUAUUCUUUUCAAAUAUCAUUUUUUCAUAAACAAAAAGAAAGAAUCAUUUUACAUUUUUAGCAAGUUUGAAUGAGUGAGAAAUUGAAACCCUAAAGUGAUGACAACAAUAAGAUUCAGUAUGAAGUGAAACCCCAAUUUGAAAUGUAGGCAUGAGUUGCUGAGUCAGUAGAUGAAGCUAUAAAUAGGCAUUCGGUUUCUUUCUUUUCGGUUUGGAGGGCCAUGGAAUAGUGUAUUGGAGUGGGCUCGAAGUAAUAGCCUUUAUCACUGAAUGACACGUUUGCAAAACGUGAUACAUAGGGAAGGAUUGAGCAUUAUACUCUUAGAUUAGCGCCUUAUUUAGGGUGUAUAUUAAGCAGAUUAUCUAUAUAUUACAUGGAGAUGGAGUUUAUGAAAUAGAUUAAAAAGAAAAGGAAAAUUAGUGUCUGGAGUUUGCCACUUGGAAUAUUUCGGUGUCUAAACAUUCACUCACCACUUAUUUCAUGUCUGAUCAUAUGUUGAAAAAAUAUUAAAGUAAUAUAACGCUAUUAAGGCUUAACGUAUAUUUUUUAUUAGUAGAGUGUAGAACUUUUAAGAAAUAAAUUAUUAAAUUACUAUAACUAGCAUAUUAUUUUAAAGUUGUGUUGUGAAAAAAAAAAUGAAAUAAAAACGUGAAGUAAAUUAGAGUAUUCUAAAACUUUUAUCUUUUUAAAAUUAGUUUUUAACAUAAGGUGAACUAUUUUUUUUUUAAAUCACAUACUCUAGUUAAAAUCAAAUAUGUAUUUAUAUGAAGCUUGUAAUUUUUUUUUCAGUACUGAUAUUUGAAUAUUAUCAAUAUUAUUUUUAUGGCCCACAAAAGGACAACACCGUUUAUGUUAUAAUACUAUCACCUCUGUUAUGAUAAUAUUUUUUUUGUGGCCAAAUAUCAUUUUUUUAAGUAAAAAGGUGGACAAAAUGCAAAUCAAUUUUUAAUCCUCAAACUCUCCCAAAAUUUAAAUUCGUAGUUAACAAAACACAAUUGUUGGAAAACCAUUAAGCUAGGUCCAUCGGUUGUUAAAACUAGGGAAAUUUAUAAAAAUAACUUAAAAACUUUUAUAAUUUCACAUUUUACCCUCCGAAAUUUUUCCUAUCAACAUUAGCAAAAAAUCCUUUCAAGUGCCGAAAAUACCCCUCCCAUUCUCAUCAAACUUCCUCUCUCUCUCUCUAACCAACGAUUUCUUUCUCAAGGUGGUCACUCAUCGCCGCCGGCUUUCCAGAGUCCAUCCUUGAUAGUCAACAUCACCAAAAUUUCAGUCAAGAUCUGAAAUCAAAGAUUAAUUUAAAAACCCUAGAUUUUGAAGCAUGUUCUAUUUCUAUUCUUCUUUUAUGUUGUGGUUUUGUUGUUGUGCUGGUGAUGGUGAGUGAAGAUUGAAGUGUUUGUGAUGUUGAUGGCAUGGGCGAAGUUGUUGGUGUAGUGCAUGGGUGAAGAUUGAAGUUGGCGUGGGCUUGGGGCCGGGAGAUAUCGUGCCUGAUCAGGCGCAACAACGCCCCUGUCGCACAAGAUCUGGGAGACAGGCACGCGCACCUGUCACUCACGCCUGUCGCGCGUGCUUGGUGCGACAGGCAGCAUGUUACAAUUUUUUUUUUUAACGUGAAGUUGGUGCGACAGGCGCAAUUUCGGUGCAACUCACACCUGUCGCACAAAUUUAGUACGACAGGCGCCUGUCGCACUAACAUACAAUCACACUGAAACUCUCUUGUCGCACGAAAUCAAGUUGACAAAACAUCUCUUAACACUCGGUGAUGCAAAAACAAAGUAUAAACAAUCAAAGAAACAUUUCAUCAAACACUUAAUACGCAAUAUUUUUACAAAACUAAUUUCCUUUUAAUUAGCUUACCUAGAUUUUGGGCUCUAUUUCACUUUGUUAGAAUUGUGUCCGAUUGGUGUUGGAUCCGAAUGGAUUUGGCUAUCUUUGAUCUUAGUUCACUUUUACCGUUCGCAGUCAUCGUUUGCCGUUGCCAUUUGCCUGUGAUGAUUUAAGAGUUCAAGGCUGCGUUUGGUUUGAUAAAGAGGGAGAAGAAAAGUUGCGUUUGGUUUGAUAGACAAGAGUAAUUUAGGGAAGAAACCUUAUGUUUGGCUGAUUAUGAUAGUAAAAACUUUAGAGGGCCAAUUGUAAAAAUUAUAAAAGUUUUUAGGUUAUUUUUAUAAAUUUCUCUUAAACUAUAGCUGACAAAAAGUUACUAACAAAAAGAGAAUGUCUAUUUUAUAACUUUCUUAAAAAACUUUCCUUAACUUUUUCAAAAAAGUAAUGAUAUAGUCACAAAUUCUUGUAUAAAUUUAUUUUGUACAAAUUAAUGUGAUAUGAUAAAAUUAGUUGAAUUAAAUAUCUUUUGGUCCACAUAAUUUAUUUUUAUUAUUUAUAUUUUCAUUCAACUAAUAAAUUAAUAACACGUAAGAGUUAUGACUGUAUCAUCAUUCUUUUUAAAAAGUUACUAACAAAAAGUUAUUUCCAAUUUUUAUUUUGUUAUAAUUUUUAAAACAAAAUUCGUAGUUAACUAAACUCUUCUUAAUUCCUAUGCCCUUUCUCAACUGCCAUACCCUACCCUGCUCCCCAUGUCCCCACUAAACCACGCUCAAUUCAGGCCAUCAGAUUCUCCCGGACCCACAUUAAUCCAACUGCUCACAGUGACCGACAGCCUCUCUAUCGCCAUUUCAAGCUCCCUCUUAAACUGGCUUCUGCUACCGUCGUACUCUUUCUCGGAUUCGGAGUCCGUAUUUGCUCGGCCGGUCCCACGCAGCUCCCUCUCACUCCAAUUGUCACCCAACAAGGCCAAUUGCUUACUCAAGGCACAGAACAAGAAGAGGAUGAGAAAUUGAAACAAGAAUUUGAGAAUUGGAAAUCGAAAACGUACGCAUUGACCGUGCCUUUGAGGGUUGUUUCUCUUCAGAAUUCAGUGCCUUAAUCUUGGGUUAAGGAUUUUAUGCGAAGUCAAGGAAAGACAUUGAUAAGUUUCAGAUGAAUUUGUUUGCUAGCAUUGAUGGGAUCUUUCACAAUUUAUCUAUGCCCUUUAACAAAGUUAAGGCUAAGUCAGCUUCAUAUAUGGCUGCUGAUUUGGUUAGUGUUGGUGAUUCAUGGCUCAGUUAUGCGAUUAUAAAGAGAUUGAUUGAGCCAAUAGCUGUAGCUGAAGAUCAAUAUUGGUUCAAAUGCUUAAGUCACAAAUGGAAGGUAACAUCUUUAUCUUUGCCCCGAUAAUUUUUAUUGUCUUACAUUGAAAUUUGGUAAUGUAAUUUGUUCUCUAUCUGUGUCACCCUUUGUAGUCAUUUUAUUUAUUUAUUGUUUUGCUUUUAUUUGCACUAACGAAUUCUCAGGCAUAUCUACCCAGGAAUGAUGCUGGAGAAAUUGAUCCUCGAGGUAAAAUAUGGGCGGCAGCAUACCGGUGGGGCACAAUGGGAUAGCUUACAAGAAAAGUAAAUUGCGAAAGCAUAUUUGGCUCCGAUUUAGGUAAUUGCCUUUAAGCUCAUUUAGUUUUAUAUGAAACAAAAUCAAGACUGCCUUUCUCUUCAAUAUUUUUGAUGAUAAUAUCUUUAGAAGCAUCUCAUUCACGGGUAAUCAUGGUAUCCCUUAAAGAGUCUAUAAACUCAAUGAUAUUAUCUUCUACAAAUGGUUCAUUAAACUUCUUAGUUGCAGUCAAAUGUACACUAAGAACAACGAGAAGCUAUGCCACUGUAGCAUGUAGUGAUGGCACUUAAUAAGUGACUUGCUAGGAUGUGAACUAGAUAAAUUAAAUAUUGUCUCCCUGGGCAUGCUAGCUCAUAAGUUGGGGUUAAUAUUAGCUAUUGACUGCCAAUUAAAAUAUCCAUUAAAAUGUCUAAGGAGUUACGAAGGUGGAGGUAUCUUCCAAUUUCUAAGGCCAAAUAGCAGACAUCAUCCAGGAUCCUGGGAAAGUGCAGUUAACUUCCUGCUUGAUCCUAAUGUGAAAACAAUUAAUAAAUUUGGUCAAUGCAACUGAAACCUGCUAACCGAUGUCACAAUGCGACAUCAGCACCUCAAAAUGGGAUAGAUGGUUAGUAGCACUAAAUUUUUCUGGCCUCAGAUUGAGCAAUUGGCCCAACGACUAACCCCGAUUGUGGGUUGAUGAUAAUUUUUUAAUUAUUUUCAUUUUGACCGAAAAAGUUACAGAAUCUUGAUCUGAAUAUUGUCACUGAACAGUGUCAAUAUCGUUUAGCAUAUCCAACUAACUUGAGUUUGGUGAAACAAACACAGAGUGUGUCUCUCAUGUCUCACCCUUCAAAAUUAUCAUCUGUAAUGAUGGAGAAUUUUUCUAAUGUAUGAACUAUGCUUCGAUAUAUGGGUUAGCUUGGAGAAGAUAUCUCAAGAUAAAGAAUAUGGGAAGCUAAUGGGAAGAAACAGGGGAUCUUCAUUCUUUUUCCUUUUUAUACCCAGAUAUCUCUCGACCUUUAUAUGAUCCCUACUGGAUAUUUGCUUCUAAUAACUAAAAUAAAAAUUUCACCCACCAAAAUGAAUACUGACCAAGCUUUAACAAUAAAAAGUAGCAUCUUUAGUCAAGUAAUUUGCAGUUCCUCAUCAUCUUAGUGUGAGUCUAUCAGUAUGAUCAAAAAACAUAAUAAAACUGGUUAGAUCCUGUUCAUUGAUGUUUAAAUGUUGUUCAGUGUGAAAUGUAGCAAUGAUGAGGUGAAGUUUCUUUGGUCAUCAAUUAGUAAGAUCUUGUAAUCUGGCAUUACUGGGAAACCAGGUACUCUUAAAGAAAUGAUAUCUGGUCAUUGCAUGUUAUUGCCUGACAACUGAUUUUGUUUGUAAAAGUCUGCUUCUUCAUACAUAUGAAUGCAUAUGUUAGUGUUGUCUUUUCCUUUUCCUACAUAUUAAUGCAUAUGUUGGUGUUCUCUUAUGAAAUGGAUGCAAUAAAGGCUUUUUCUCCUAAAUUUAGCUGAGGAAAUGGCAGGGGAUGUGAGAUUCUGUCUCAUUAAAUUAACAAAAACCCAAAACAAUAAAAACCCAUAAUAAUGUGGUGUGGGUAAAUUGGCGACAUUUGGCUCGUUACCCUGAUGUGAAUAUGCGAGCAAUGGAGACUAACAAAAUGAAGUGACGAUUCAGUGUCCUUUGAUGGAUGCAUUUUUAAGCAAAAAUAGGUUUGUAACUGACCAAAUUUGUCUGGCAUGCCAAUUUAAAAAAAUUAAAUUAUGUGGUUGUUAGCUGUAGUGAAGGGGGGGUAGUAGGUCCAAUCCGGUCGAUCCAGGAAAGUUCAACAAAGUUCUGGUAUGGUGCAGUGAAACUGGUUUGUGCAACUCAAGAGUCGUUCAGGUAAAAGAUGAUGUGUUUUGAUUUAAAAAUGUUAUAAAUUUACUGUGUAUAGUAUUCUAGUAGAAUCAUCUAUAAAUUUAAGUUUUUGAAAUUAUCUGCUUUUCCCAGUUUGAGUUAAGGGCACAUGUAAUAUGAAAAAUAGUUGUCGAAUGUUGUAGGUUACCUAACAUUUGAUCAAUCCUAUUAUGAUGGCUUCAAGAUGUCUAACAAUAUGUAGAAUGCCCCUGCUCCUCCCCAUUGUUUAUCUUAUACAAUAAUAUGUUGUGGAUGCUAAUAUCUUUGUCGAUACCUGUAACAGUAUUACAAAAUCUGCGUUCAUUGGGUUUUAUAUAGGUUCAACUGUCUGACAGUUCACACUGUCUGAAGGCAUUUGGAAUUGGAGAUGUAUGGGUUGCCGUUGAGGGGAGUAGUGAUGUUCUUCCUGCUGUCAAACGUAUGUCUAAUGUUGCAGUUUUUGUUCCCAAGUCUGGUGCUAGCUUAUGGGCCGAUCUUUGGGUUAUAACCAUGCCUGUCAUUCUACUUCGAUAUUCACUUUGUUAUCACCUUCAUAUUAGUGAUCAGUAAACAUGACAAUGUGACUAAUAAAUUUGUAUUCUCUUUAUAGGCAAUCCGAGCUGCCUCAAGACUUGAAACAAAACAAAUUGAAGGCAAGUCAGAGGUCCAUCUCCAUUAAUCCAUUAAUAGAUAGAGUUCCACUUGCAAACAGCAAGAGCAUUGCCUUUCAAGCAAAAGGUUAUCCCGGGUGCAACUCCCUCUGCCCUUGAAAGUACUCUGGUUAAGUUGCCUGAACAACUUCUGAAGGGUAAACCAAGUCUGGAUACUAACUUAACUGCUGGAGUACCUCCGGCUGAAAUUCUGGCCAGAUGUGGGUUUUUGGAGCCAUUAUCUGAAGCUACAUUGUCAAAUUAUGAGUGGCUGGUUGCUAAUCUACAAAAACCUGCUCCUGUCUUGAUGAAAAGGGUGCAACAUUACAUGUCAUCAUUAAUCCGAAGCUUUCUAGCAAAAGCUACAUUGAAAAGUUAAUGGCACCGCAUGCCAGUCAUUAUAAUGCUGUCAGGGCAAUUGGGUCAGAGCAUAACUUCAUUGGGAAAAGAGGAUUCAGCUAGGUUACCUAUUACAGGACGUACUGAGAUGGCUGAAGUUCUUGAGGUUUUAUGAGAAAUGAAAGAUGAGUGCUUGUUUGAACAAAGUUGUCACCAAUCUCGUAAAGUUCAAGAAGAAAGAUCACAGAGCUAAUGCCACCAAUUUCUUCAUUAUUGCAGCCUCCAUUGUUGAAGUUUCCUCAUUUGAAGCUGUUUAUGCAUAUGCUUCUUCCCUGCUCAAGUACAGGAAAUUGAAGAAUUAGCCAGAUAUGAUAUGAUGAAAGAGGGAAGUUUUCUUCCUUGAAUAUGGCCUUGUAAUUUGUAGUGAAGGAGUAGGAUGAUCACUAGCAAGAACCCUAUCAAGGUAGAUUUUAUGAUGUUAACAUAUUACUAAGCAUUUGUUUCUUUAGCAAUGAUACUUUCAUAGCAUGAAUUUAAUUAUAUGAUCCUGAUUAAUCAAUUAAUUUUCAUGAGUUUUAACCUAGUUAAAACGAAGUACAAUCAUCGUUAACAAAUACUGAAAUUGGGUAAAUAUGAUCUUGACAUUGAAGAAGAAUUUGAAAACACAACCCGCAGAGGAAAUUACCUAUUGCAUGGGGAUGGAGAUGUAUAUUGCAGCGAUAUAGAAUAUGUGCCAGGCGUUGUCUACUGCUCUUUGGGUUAUGGUGUGAUUUGCGAAUUCAAUGUUGCCCUGAAACAAUGGAAAAGAUUAACAUAUCCUCCAAUGAAUGAAAACGGCUUGACUAAUUUUGACUACCUACUUGACUCAGGAUCAGGUGACAAUAAUGGCGGUUUAUUAACAUUGCACGGCCCCAGUACUCUUCCAGGAUCAGAUACGAAGUAGUCUAAAGUUGAUAAUAAGAGUUUUAUUAAAUGACAAAUCAUUGUUGUUGGGUGUUGGUUAUAUACGUCAUUACAACUACAAGUUGAAGAUGAAGGUUAUGCAAGUGAUUUCAGAAAUACAAUACAUUCCAAGAGAUGCUGGUCUACAAUUGCAUGCCCCCAGAUAUAAGAAUCUUUUGAUUGGGGCAUUGAAAAUGAAGAAUUGAAAAUGAAGUUGCAAGUUGCCGCCUAUAGCUGCUGAGUAAUAAUAAAACGAGAUAAAUUAAUUAAUCUCAGACCUCUAUGUAUAUGUUAUCCUAACUUUACUUACCCUUAUUUGUUAUAUUCACUUAAAACUUGAUGCCUAAACCAUUAAAAUCAAAUGACCAUAGGGGUAUUUACAGUAUGUAAAAACAAACAAAAACACGUAAAAAAUUUCAAAAAAUUAAUAAUCACACUCUAAACUUACCACUCAACUCCUAAGAAUAGUCAUAAUCUAAAACAAUUUACAACUUUUGAAGGGAGUAGCUAUGAAGAUGGGGGAAAAUCCUUUUCUCAGUGGAGUGCCAUUGCCCAAGAGUUGCAAUGAAAACGGACCACAUACAGCUGUGCCGGAAGAUUCAACGAGGUAUGAAAAAGAUGAUAAUUUAAGUGAUAUGGGCAGUAAUUGUGAUGUCAGAAAGCAUUAGUAUUCUAUAUGUGAACCAUUAUUGACGACAUCAUUGGUUUUAUCUUAUUAAAAUGUGGAUGACUUCCAGUUACUAUUUUAUUAGAAACAAUCUUAUUCAAUUAACAUAUAGUUUAAAACUAUUAUGUAAAUCAAUCUAUUAAUUUUCAUGGUAUUUAACUGAGUUAAAACUAAGUGCAAUCAAUAAAUCUUUUUUUCUUUAAAAAACUGCUACGCUUUGAUUUUAUUACUUAAUAUUUAUUGAACUCUGGUACAGGAAAUUUGAAAUCAAACUCGUAACUACAGAUUAUCUAAUUGCGAGUUACUGUCCAUGGCUGCUGAUUUGUAGUGAUUGUCUAAUUGACUGAGGUGACAAUAUUUUUUUUUUAAUUUUCAAUAGCACAAUGUGAAAUUCAAUAAUUAAAUUCUCCUGUUUAAUUUGUUUCAAGUUAAAUUAUUAAUUACUUAAACUCUUUUUUAAGUCUUUAAUUUUACGUCAAGUGACUUGGACAUGACGUACAAUGAGAGUGACAGUAAACAAACAUUAAAACGUGUGGACUCCGGUAGCUGACCUACAAGUCUACAAUAAUAAAUUGGGCCGGGGUUAAGUUACAUGAUCACGUAACAAACAUUACAUGAAUGAGGGCCGUUAGAUGUGAACAGUAAAAUCGAAUGGAUGGGAAUGAAAUGAACAGAAAAAAAGAAGUGAUGGGAAACUGGGAAAACUGGUGAACGAAAACCGCUUGGGCCACCGGGUCAAAACAAGGGUUAUUGUUUGAAUUCGAUUCAGGAGGCAAGAAACCUGAUUUUUUGUAAUUCGAUUCAGCGCCAUUAAAGCUGGUUUUCACAGCAACUAUGAUUUUUUUUUUUUAUAAUAGCACCAACUCCUACCCUUAAUUUAUAAUCAAACAUUACAUCUUCAAGAUUUAAUUUAUACCAAUAUUCAGGGGCAGACGACCAUGAAAAGUUCCUUGGAGCUUCCAUUAAUGGAGUUAAAAAUUAAUAUCUCGUUGAUGACUACUCUCAGCACAAGCGGUGAAGUGGCUUUGGCUUUAGCAAAAACCUUCUAUGCAUCUUCAUCUUUUAAAAAGCACACCCUUUCUUGCUCCCCAGUUAGUCCACAUCAAAAUUACAAGCGAACAAGCGAUUCUUUUUUGAGUUAUUUGAUGAAGAGGCAGCAUAAUUCAUAAAAUCCAUAAGUUAUGUCCAGUCCUUUUAAUCAACUCAGGAAAAAAUUAGAAUGAAUCUAAUUAAACUUUUGAUUUUUUGCAUCCAAUACGAGCAGGACAUAAAACUGCAUCUUUCACCGGCUUCAGAUGGUCAGCAAAAACUUUCUUUUUUUAAGCGUUUGGGAGCAAAUCGGAUAAAGCUCUUCAUAAAAAUCAAAAAGUAACCCCAAGGAUCAUCCAGGUCAAUCUGCAUGAGUUUUGCUGUUCAUACAUGAGCCAUAGAAGCAAGUUGAACCGCCAAACCGGGCACUAUGGUAAGACGUGGAAACACCGGAUCCCAUUCGUACCUCGAUCUGUUCGUUUUCUCGUUCAGAACGGGCCGAUAUGCGCAAGUAAGAAGUUUCCUCAGCCUGAGAGUUCAAAGAAAUCAUGUCACUUUGGGUUGCACAGGCUAUAGGAGAAAUUAUUCUUUUCGACUUACUUUUUUCAACCGGCUACAAACCGCUUCAAUCGGUAAAAUUAGAAUUAUAAUAGUUACACGUGUUGUAAUGUUGUUGAUUUAUUUGUCAAUUUCUUUAAUGUUUGUUACAUGUUAUGUAAGGUAACGAGACCCAUAAUUGAGUGCAUAGAAUUUCAAUGAAUUUCUGCCCCGUUGAGUUCACCGACUAAACUUUUGUAAAAUUAAAAAAAAAAAAAGUACAUAAAAUUUCAGAAAGGCUAAUACUAAGUUAUAUGCAUGUAACUUACAACCCUCUUACAUAAAUAAUGAAUAAUAUGAGCCCACUCAUUAUUUAUGUAAGAGCAUUAUAAGUUACAUGCAUGUAACUUAAGGUGAUCCUUUCAGAAAAUACAAAACGCGCGGAAUUAACCAAAAUAUAAUUUAACAAAAAAGGAAAAAAAAAGUAAGAUUUUUAAAAUGUGUGGAAGGUAAUCCAUAUUUUAUUGAAAUGACUUGUCUCGAAUAUUAAAAUGAUUGAUUUUUUUUUUUAAUAAUAUCAACUUCCAUAUUUUCUACCCCAGAACAUGCUCACAUUCAAGUCAAUCUCGCUAAUUUGAAAUACAAAAUCAAAUCAACACCAAAGCAAUGAAAAGUAAAGCUUUUAAAUUUUAACUCCAGCUAGCAAACGUAUUCAGCGUUUUCAAAUUCUUCCCAUUGCAUCUUCCUCCAUCAAUGCAAUAUUUGAACGAUUAAGAAAGAGUUUGAGAACAUAAAAAAUCCCCAAGGCUUAUACGGUAUUAACAAAUUUAAAUUCUCAAUUAUAAUAGAUAAUAAUUAAACUAAUAAUUAUUUAUUUUUUUAUUUUAGUAAUUUCACCUAAGAAUAAUAUUGUAAUUAGAAAAAAAAUCUAAUAAGUAGGGUGGUCUUAUACAAAAUCAACUGCAUAUACAUAUAUAUAUAUAUAUAUAUAUAUGCAGAUGCAAAUGAUAAUUUUUAAUUCUUUUUUUUUAAUAAGAAAAUUGUGUAUUGAGAUGAAUGAGAUGUUUAAUUUAAUUAAUUUCCUUACUUUCAUAUACAUUGUCUUUCUAUCUAAAGAAAGCUUGGUGUUGAGAUCGACAUGAAGUUGCAAGUUGCUGCCCAUGCCUGGCUGCUGAUUAAUAAUAAAACGAGACAAACUAAUUAAACUCUGGCCUCCAUGCGUAUGUCAUCCUAACUUUACUUGCUCUUGUUUGUUAAUAUUCAUUCUUAGAGAGGUGAAAAAAUUACAAGUCUUGAAUAACAAGGAGUUUAAUUGCCUCUAACUUCACUUGGUCUAUCAAUUCCCCUGCAAUUUCGGAAGCCAAGCGCAAAAUCAUACAGAGAAUUAAUUAUCUUUUUAUUAUCAACCCAUCUUCAAGAAGAUUUUCCUCAAUUUGCCCCAGAGGAGUUGGAGCUGUGUUUCUGAUAAGCCAAAGAGAUAGUAGCAAUUAAUAUUGAUAUUGCCUACCCAAGAAAUAUGAGUGAAUUAAGUAUUAGCAAGACUUCAUUCAGAGGAGCAAUUAAACCACUUCCUUAUCAAUUGCGGCAGCCGUCUAUUAACUAAAAUGCCAAUCUAAUACAGGAAGAAACAACAUUUACAGAUUCGGCAAUUGAGUUCAUUAAGAAGUAGCAUCAUAUUCGGGUGAUGAGUUUCAUUUUUUUAAUAAUUUUAGUCUAAUUUCAAUUGUACUGUGACCGCUACUCAAGGGAAGUGAAAGUUACAGAUGUGGCAAAAUAAAUAAUUAAAUUAACAAAAAUGCUAACUAAUUUUCCUGAAUACCUAGGGUUGCACAAUUUCACCAACCUGGAAGAAUUGACAUUAGUGGACUGGUCUCCUCCCCAUAUAAUUAUAAUCCUUCUAGAAAGCUAAUUUUUAUUAAAUAUUUGCUUUUAAGUUAAUUUCAAUUAAAAAAUGUUUUAAGUUAUAUAUACUCUAAUGAGAUUCUGAAUUCCUUUCUUCCAAUAAUAAUGAAAACUUAUUAAAUUAGAAAUGAAAAAAUGGGCGUUGAUGAUUCAUCCUGAUUUGGAUAGAUUACUUGUAUAAAAUUGACAAUUUUGAUUUAAUUUUUGUUUAUUGUUAACUUUCAGGCUAUCUUAAUUUCAAGAAUUUAGAAUAUUAAUUUGGUCAUGGAUUUCAACCCGUGACUGUUAUAUUCUAUACUUAAUGGUACCAUUCUUGAUUGAGGGCAAUGACUCUCACUCCUCUUGUAAAAAAAUAUUUUCAACUAUUUUGAUGACUUAAAAAUUGAUAGAUUUAUUGUUGUCAUGACCAAAUUAUUCAUUCGGCAAAGCUUAUCUUACAUCACCUGUAACAAACAGCCAAUACAUAUGGGUGGUUAGAUUUUGAUAUUUCUUAAUCUAAUGGAUGAAAAUAAUUUUAACGCAAAACAAGGUAUGGGUGUAAUAGCUAUUUACAAAAAAAUUUAUUUUGAAUCACAUAUUACUUAUUUUUUCAAAUAAGUCCUCAUUAAUUUUUUAUAACUAAAUGAUUUUAUCGUCCAUCUCUUUUACAUCUAUUUUUAAAAAUUGUUAAAGUUUUUACUAAAUUUUUAUAAAGAUCUAAAUGAUUAUCAUGUUUAUAAAAAUCUACAAAUUCUAAAUAUAUAUUUGCAUUUACAUUUAUAAUUUUUUGUCUCUCUUAAAAUAUAAACUAGAUUUUUUUUUCUUUUAUAUAAUUCAAGAUGCUAAAUUUAGAUAAGAGAUAUUAUAUGUGAUAAAUAUAUUAUGACUCUAAUAAAUUACUAGAAAGAUGGUAAAAUGAAUAAAUUAUUGGAACCUCUAAUAAUUUCACAAAAUAUAAAAAUUAAUAAAUUAUCACAUUCUAGCUAUACACAAAGAGGAUUUUCGUAUGAAAGAUUAAAAUCCUUUGACCUAAUCAAUGAUUCAGACAUGCGGAGAAAUAAUCAAUUAAAUUAAAUUUCACUAUAUUUAUCAAAUAAAUUAGGAAAACCCAAAUUUAUCUAUAAAUGAUAUAAAAAAAAUGAAAUAUUAAAAAUUAAAAAUUUCAAUGAAGAAAACAUACAACAAAUUAAAAAGUUAGGAGUUCAAAUGAGUAAAAAGUCUGCGCUCUUACCAUUUGAGUUAGCCUUCGCCUCAACUUGAACUUUAUUAUUUUUUUGUAACCCUAAUUGACAUCAACUUUAACUUUAUUAUGUUAUUAUUUCAAUCCCCCAUUAUGCCUUUUUAAUACUCCAUUAUACCAUUUUUAUAGUGCAAAUUUAAUUGCACAUCUAAAUAAAUUGAUUAUUGUUACUCCACCACCAAUAUUUCGAAAAGUCACUAGACCAUUCCUGCCUUUAGUUUCCCUUAAGUUUAACCAUUGACUGUUUUUAGCAUCUUAAAAUAUACAUUUAUUCCUUGAUUAUGUGAUAAAUUUAUGAAAAUAUCCAUUUAACUUAAAUUAAUUGGAAUAACCAUGCGUAACAUAAAUUAAUAGAACAAAAUUAUCAAGUGUAUGUUCUAUCUUACUUUUUGAAGAAUUUAACAUAUAUAAUGCUAUACUAUUAAUUAUAUCCUGAUUUUCAUCGAUUAUAGCGAGAGUUUCUCCAAAUCAACUCCCUUAUUCAAAUAAUACAGAAAAAAUAGUAAUUUAAUUGUAAAAAAAACAGGUGUUGAUUAUAUAUCCUAAGUUUCGUCGAUUAUGUGAUCAAAGCGGCAUUGUUGAUUUAUUUCUUUUUCAAUGUUGAUUUUUAGGUUAUAUAAAUUUCGAGGAUUUAAAAUCUUUGGUCAUGGAUUACAUGCUUAUUAAUUUUUCUGCCAUUGACUGUCAUAUUCUAUACUUAAUGGUACCUUUCUUGAUCAAGGGUAAUUACUCUCUCUUCUCCUCUUAUAAAUUCCUCUUCCAUUAACAUCACUAGGAGUAUGUUGAUCUCUCAGACGUUAACUUGAGUGGAGAGUUUCCAAAUUGAUUGUUAUAAAACAACACAAAAACUAGACAUACUUGAUCUGUCUAAUAAUUCUCAUUCGGUAAAAUUAAUUAAUUUUAGGAGAAUAUUGGGCCAAACUAAUUGCACUCAAUAAAUCUCUUUUCCUUUAAAAAACUGCUACGCUUUGAUUUUAGUGCUUAAUAUUUGCUGAACACCGAUACACGGAAUUUGAAAUCAAACUCGUAACUACAGAUUAUCUAAUUGCAAGUUUCUGUCCAUAGCUGCUGAUUUGUAGUGAUUAUCUAAUUGACUGAGGCGACAACAAUUUUUUUUUUUUAAUUUUCAAUAGCACAAUGUGGAAUUCAAUAAUUAAAUUCUCCUUCAUAAUUUGUUUCCAGUUAAAUUAUUAAUUACUUAAACUCUGUUUUAAGUCUUUAAUUUUAUGUGUUUAUGCAGAAUUGGAUUCUUGAGCGUGUUGGACACGACCAACAAUGAAAUUGACAGUAAACAAACAUUACAACGUGUGGACUCCGGUAGCUGCCCUACAAGUCUACAACUUUACAAAUAAUACUUGAGUAAGCACCUUUGAUUCUCCGGACCCUUCAAUGAAUUUCUAGCCCCGUUAACUCCACCGACUAAAGUUUUGUAAAAUAAAAAAAAAAUACAUGGAAUUCCACCAAAUGCAAAACGCGUGGAAUUUAAUUUUCGGCCGUGUGGACCAAAACAUAAUUUAAUGAAAAAGGAAAAAAAUGAUAAGAUUUCUAAAAUGUGUGGAAGGUGAUCCAUAUUUUACUGAAACGACUUGUUAAAUUUUUUAAGAAUUUAGAAUAUUUGAUCAUAAAUUACAUGCAUGUUAAUUUUUCCGUCAUUGACCAUCAUAUUCUAGACUUACCUUUCUUGAUGAAGGGUACUUAGUCUCUCUUCUCCUCUUAUAAAAAUUAUAUUAAUUGAUUUCUUGUUAUAGUUAAUAGUCUUUAAGAACGUAUAGAUUUAUUGUUUUCAUGACCAAAUUAUGCCCGGCUAAGGUUGCGACUAUUAAUAAAAUUAAUAUUUAAUGUUUAUGUUAAAAGAUAUAAGAUUUUGUGCAUUCAUUUUGUGCAUUCAUUAAUUGUUAUUAGCUAAAGGAUGAAUUUUUUUUUCAACCCAAUCAGUUGAUACAUCUGCAAGAGUUUUUUCUUUCAUUGACCAUAAUUAUAUUCCGGGUACAACAAAUUGUCUUUGGUGCUUGGAAAAUAUGACUUCUUACUUCAAGUUUGAUACGUCUCUCACCAUAAGCGUACUGGAAAUAUAUCCUCAUCUUCUGUCAUUUAUCUAGGACCUUGCUACGUUACAGACUCUGUAUGUAACGCAGCAAAUGAGGAGCAUCCACGCGUUGCAGGAGAGAGGAAAAGUUGUUGGAAUUUAGCUGAUACAAGACUAAUUUCCAUUGAGCUGUUACAUACAGAGUCUGUAAGGUAGUUUUGUCCCAUUUAUCUAAUAUCAAUUGAAGAUCUCACUUUUUCAAACUAUCACUUCCAAGUAUCAUUGUCACUUGGCCAUUCUUGGACCAUUCAAAACCAAUCAAGUGUUGAAAUAAUCAAAUAUAUGCAAAAUUAGAGUCAUGAUUUUCGGUCCCCCAAAUUCUAAUUAUAUAACUUCUAUAUAUCUCAUUGUCAGGUCACGAACUUGUUGGCACAUUUUCCAAAUUCCUCUUCCAUCAGCUCUCACAUGUUAACUUGAGUGGAAAGUUUCCAACUUAAUUGCUAGAAAGCAACGCAAAAUCGGACACACUUGCUCUGUCCCAUAAUUCUCUUUUCUACGUUGAAAAAGAAAAAAAAAAGAAAAAAGAAAAUAUAUCUAUGUAAAAUUAAAUAAUAAACUGAGCAAAAGUACAUUUGUUUAAUUAACAUCUGAUCGGGGCAUUUUUGGUGUGAUUUCGUGCUGUGUAAGCCACAACUAAAAUCAAACAGCCCCUUAGCAUACUUCUUCCAUUUUAUCUGCUACUUUUGUGGAUCUUAUAGGGUGGGCAUGUGGACAGAAUUUAAAAGUUUUAAUAGUCUCAAAGAAUAAAAUAUGUUAAAGCUGAAGUUGAAAAAAUGGGUGUUGAUGAUUCAUCCUGAUUUGGAUAGAUUACGUGAAUAAAAUUGACAAUUUUGAUUUAAUUUUUGUUUAUUGUUAAUUUUCAGGCUAUCUUAAUUUCAAGAAUUUAGAAUAUUAAUUUGGUCAUGGAUUUCAAUCCGUGAGUAUCAUAUUCUAGACUUAAUGGUACCAUUCUUGAUUGAGGGCAACGACUCUCACUCCUCUUGUAAAAAAAUAUUUUCAACUAUUUUGAUGACUUAAAAAUUGAUAGAUUUAUUGUUGUCAUGACCAAAUUAUUCAUUUUAAUGAAAUAUAAUUAAUGCAUCAAAAUUAGCAGGUGUAUGUUCUAUCUUACUUUUUCAAUACUGCACCUUUUCAAUACUGUUUCUCUUGUAAUUUUCUUUUUCCUUUUUUCAAUGAAAAAAAAGGGAAGGUUUUUCCGAGUAAUCCAUUAUUUGAUUACCGUCAAUCAAGAAAACGACCAAAUUAAUUUCUCUCCAUGAGCUAGAAAAUUUUGUUAUUUGAAAAUAACAUCAUUAAUUAUAGAGUGGAUCAAACCGUGUUAUUGUCUUUCAUAAAAUUGAUGUCUUUUUAAGAGUCAAUACUUUUUAUUUACGCAAACCAGUCGACAUCAAUUUAAACUUCCAUAUUUUUAUUAUUAUUAUGUUAUUUAUUUUAUCAGCGGCUAUAUAUCAAGAAAGCGACAAAAUUUAUUUCUCAUGACUUCCAAAAACUAGAAAACAACAUCAUUAAUUGGGGUUGAUCAAACCGCAUUAUUAGUGUCACACUAUAUUUGUACAACCAAGUCAACAUCAAUUUUUUUAAAUUUUAUAAAUUAAGAAGAUCAUUUUGGCCUUACAGAGUCUGCGCUCUCACCAUUUGAUUUAGCCUUCGCCUCAACUUGAACUUCAUUAUUUUUUUGUAACCCUAAUUGACAUCAACUUUAACUUUAUUAUGUUAUUAUUUCAAUCCCCCAUUAUGCCUUUUUAAUCCUCCAUUAUACCUUUCUUAAAGUGCAAAUUUAAUUGCACAUCUAAAUAAAUUGAUUAUUGUUACUCCACCACCAAUAUUUUGAAAAGUCACUAGACCAUUCCUGCCUUUAGUUUCCCGUAAGUUUAACUAUUGAUUGUUUUUAGCAUCUUAAAAUAUACAUUUAUUCCUUGAUUAUGUGAUAAAAUUAUGAAAAUAUCCAUUUUAGCUUAAAUUAAUUGGAAUAACCAUGCGUAACAUAAAUUAAUAGAACAAAAUUAUCAAGUGUAUGUUCUAUCUUACUUUUUGAAGAAUUUAACAUAUAUAAUGCUAUACUAUUAAUAAAUUUAUCAUUUAAUAUAUAUGUUCAAAUAUUUUAUAUAUUUAUUAAUUGUUAUAUAGUCAAAGGAUGAAUGAUUUUUCAGGUCUACAUGAGUUGGUGCAUCUGCAAGACUCAAUUUUGACAACAAUGAUCUAAGGGGUAAUUUACCUUGCUGUUUGAAAAAUAUAACCUCUCUUCAUGAUUUACUUCCAAUCUACUUACUGUAAAUAUCUCCUCAUCUCCUCUAACUUAUAUGAUAACCCUUGAAGAUCUCACAUUUUCAAACGAUCAUAUUAGGGUUUUUAUUCUUAGCAUCAUCGUGUCAAUAAUAUAUGUUGCAGUAAGAUUUUUUCAGACCAAUUCCCUUCUUCAAAUAAUAAUGGAAAAGUAUUAAUUUAAAAAUAAAAUGAAUAUGCAUUGAUUAUAUCCUGAUUUUCAUCGAUUAUAGCGAGAGUUUCUCCAAAUCAACUCCCUUAUUCAAAUAAUACAGAAAAAAUAGUAAUUUAAUUGUAAAAAAAACAGGUGUUGAUUAUAUAUCCUAAGUUUCGUCGAUUAUGUGAUCAAAGCGGCAUUGCUGAUUUAUUUCUUUUUCAAUGUUGAUUUUUAGGUUAUAUAAAUUUCGAGGAUUUAAAAUCUUUGGUCAUGGAUUACACGCUUUUUAAUUUUUCUGCCAUUGACUGUCAUAUUCUAUACUUAAUGGUACCUUUCUUGAUCAAGGGUAAUUACUCUCUCUUCUCAUCUUAUAAAUUCCUCUUCCAUUAACGUCACUAGGAGUAUGUUGAUCUCUCAGACGUUAACUUGAGUGGAGAGUUUCCAAAUUGAUUGUUACAAAACAAAACAAAAACUAGACACACUUGAUCUGUCUAAUAAUUCUCAUUCGGUAAAAUUAAUUAAUUUUAGGGGAAUAUUCGGCCAACCUCUAUAAUUUCAUAGUGAUCAUUAAUUAAUUAAACGAUACAAAUAUCUAAAGUGAUUAGAUGUUUGCUGACAAUACAAGUUCAUGGCUUGAAAUUUGAUCUCUAUCGAUUGAUUUACAAAUGGAAGUACUUGUGCCUUUGUGGCGAUAAUUGAACCAGAGAUGUGAAGCUGUAAAGAUUUGGCAGUAGUAAAUUGUUAAUUAUAAAGACAUAAAGAAAAGUUCCCAUGAUUAUUAUUUUUCCAAAAACUUUUUUACAACAAAUUCAUCUCGCCAAAAAUUAUAUUUUGCUAACAAACAAUAAUUGAGUACUUGGCCGUAUUGACUUCACGUCUCCACCUGCUUUCUAAGUGAAAACAUGGAAAUGUGUAAUUUCCACAAAAUGCCAAACGUGUGGAAUUUAAUUUUUAGCCUUGUGGACUAAAAUGCAAAUGAAAGAAAAAGGGGAAAAAACAAAAAAGAGCCCAAAGACUUUUAAAACGUGUAGAAGUCUUUGGGCCCCAAAGACUUCUAAAACGUGUGGAAGUCUUUGGGCCUUUUUAUAAUGGUGGAUUUUUUUUUUUUUUUUUAAAUUGGAAACUUCAUUAAGAGGCAAAGAUUACAGAGAAGUCCCCAGUUCGAGUCGCAGGAAAGUCGCCUUUGUUGGGAGAACCUGUGCCUCUCGGUUCGAGUGGGGACUUCUAGUCUAGGUUGUGGUACGGACUUAAAGGUGUCUCCCACAGUUGGGGCCCUCCCCAGAAUACCUCGUGGUCAAAACAAAAAAAAAAAAAAAAAAAGAUUACAGAGAAGUAAAUAACCAAGGAGGUGGGACAUGACUCCACUCCUCAAAGCCUGACAAAGAACCCCCCACCCGAGCGGUAACAUGGGCGGCAGUGUUCAAAGACCUUCGAAUAAAAGAGAACUCAAUAUCUCCUAUAGACUUAGCUAAAGCUAGACAAUCAUCAAGAAUAAGACCAUACCCAUUCGGACAAGAAUAGCUUGCUGUGAGAGCUUUAAAAACCUGGAAGCAGUCCAUUUCUACUACAACACAAGACAAAUGCCGCUUCUUAAUCCAGCUGAGGAUCUCACGCACACCAAGCGCUUCAGCAUCCCUUGCACCAAAACUACCCAGGACAGAUGCACAGCAAGCUGCCACAAACAGCCCAUCAGAGUUGCGAAUGACCCCUCCAUAACUUACUUUUCCCUAAGCUGAAAAUGUUGCGGCAUCAACGUUACACUUAAGCCAACCUAACUGAGGAGGUGUCCAGCAAAUUGCCCCAUGACGGCCUUGGAAACAAGUAGCAUUAUUGACAUCAGAUUUCUGCCUCGCAAUUUGACAUUGAAACAAAUAAUUUCCAGCAGAGUUGAGGACAUGACGCACACUACAGACUUUGUUAUUCCAAACUUUGGAUUUUUUAAAAGAAAAAAAUAACAACACUUCUAUGGUUUGUUUUGAUAAUCAUAUUUACAUAUACUCUCUAAUUUUCAAAAUGGACAUAUAAUUUUUUUUUACAAAUAUAUAUUAUUCGUAUUUUUUAUUAUUUUUAUUAUCAUAUUUUUAUUUAUUAUAAAUGUUUAAAGUAAAUUUUUAGGUUGAAAUAUAAUAAAAGGGUAUAAUCGUUCUCUUAUUAAAGACACAUACUUUUAUUUUCUAUCCAUUUGUCAUCUCAAUCACUCUCAAUUAUUCUUUAUUGCUAGCUCAAAACGUGUUGCUGUUGCAAAUUAUAGCAAAAUGAAAAAUAUGGAAAAAAAAAAGGGAAGAAAAUUAAUGCAUGAAAGACUUGGAGAAAACAACCAAAUAAGUCAACUAUAAUCAAGCUGGGUGUAUAAAUUGUUUGAUGUGUCAUAAGCAAAUAGAGAGACGGACAGUGUGUGCGUUUUUUAAUAGUUAAAGAUAUAGAUAGAAUGGGUGGUUCAAAAUCAAAAUUGGUGAUAAUGUUUGUUCUGUUAUUAAUAAUAUUAGAAGGUGGGGGGAGUGAGAGAUGUUUGGAUCAAGAGAGAUUUGCUCUUUUGCGACUUAAACUUUUCUUUGAUGAUCCUUUUAAUUCGCUUCACCACUGGGUAGAUGAUGAGGGAGCUACUGAUUGUUGUCAAUGGGAAAGGGUUGAGUGCAGCAACACCACAGGUCGAGUGAUACAACUAGACCUUUCUUUCAUUGGGAAUUGGGAUUUGAAAGAGCGGUAUCUGAAUGCUUCUUUGUUUACUCCCUUUCAACAACUUGAGUCACUUUAUUUAAAAUACAACAAUAUAGCCGGUUGUGUUGAGAAUGAAGGUGCUUCGUUUAAUUUAAUUAAUUUACUUUCUCUCCCCUAAUUUAUGUUGAAUAUCAAGACCAAGCAAUUAUAUGCAUAUUCAUUCAGUUGACAAUUUUGACUAAUUUUUUUUAAAUGAUUAAUUUUGAAAUUACACGAGUACAAUUUUUAAAUGAUCUUUUUUUUUAUUUUACUUGCAGGUAUAGAGAGGCUAUCAAGAUUGAGCAACUUGAAGAUGCUUGAUUUAAGUGAAAACUUGUUCAACAAUAGCAUCUUAUCAUCUGUAGCUCAUCUUUCAUCAUUAACAUCAUUAUAUUUAUAUUCGAAUAGAUUGGAAGGAAGUAUUGAUGUUAAAGGUACAUAAUUAAAAUUUCAUCUCUUCUCCAAGCUCUUUCAUUAACUUGCUAAAAUAAGAUUCAAGGUUUUGAAUUCAAUUUUUUUUUAUGAUUAAUAUUGAAGAAAAAAAUAAUUUUAAGCAAUUCAUAAAUACAAGUUCUAAUGUUUCUCAUAAUUUUAUCUUGUACUUUUUCGUAUGUCUUGAAUUUAAGAUUAAAAAAAAACUCUAAUGGGGAACCAAACACAUCCACAACUUAUUAUUAUUAUUUUCUAAUUUUUCUGUGUGUUUUGAAACAUUCAACUCAAUUUGUACUUUUUACAGAAUUAGAUUCUUUGAGAGAUUUGGAGGAGCUAUACAUUGGUUGGAACAUGAUUGACAAAUUUGUGGUCCCAAAAGGUACUACAAAUACCAUUAAAAAAUUUAAAUUUUUACAAAUUAGGUAGAUUCUUUGCCAUUUGGUUCAUUAUUUUACAAAUUAGCUAGAUUCUCUGAAUUUAGACAAUGAAUUUUGAUUUUCUUAAAUCCUAUUAUAAUUACUAUUAAAAAACAGGUUACAGAGGUUUGAGGAAGUUGAAAAGCCUAGGUCUAUCGGGAGUUGGAAUUACAAAUGGAAGCAAGUUGUUACAGUCAAUGGGAUCAUUCCCAUCCCUCAACACUCUUCACCUUUCGUUUAAUGAAUUUACGGAAACAGUAACAACUACUACUCAAGGUAAGUAAAUGGUACAUAUGUCGCCAAAUUUAUAAAUAAACUGUUAAUUAAUUAAUUAAUUUUUUCGUAUUAUUAAGAAAGCUAAAUUCGUUGCUCCUUCCUUUUAAAUCUAAACAGAGUUGCACAAUUUCACCAACUUGGAAUAUUUGACAUUGGACUAUUCCUCUCUCCAUAUAAGCCUUCUGCAAAGCAUUGCAUCAUUCACUUCGUUAAAAAAUCUGUCGAUGUCUUAUUGUGAAGUCAAUGGCGUCCUAAGCGGUCAAGGUAAAAGAAAAGUGUUGAUUGUGAAUAAGCUGUUAAUUAAUUAAUGUUGUUGCUCCUUGCUUCUAAACAGAGUUGCGCAAUUUCACCAACUUGGAAUAUUUGAAUUGGACUCUUCUUCCUCGCUUGUCAAAUAUUGGACUCUUCCUCGCUUGCGCAAUUUCAUCAUUCACUUCUGCAAUUUCUUGAAGAAUGAAUUUAUUUAUUUAUUUAUUAUUGUUGUAGUUGUUGUUGUUGUUGAAGUGGGGUGGGCAAGCGUUCACUCAAUUAAUAUGUGGGGAAUUAAAUAUUAACAUCAACGUAGAAUUGUGGAAAAUUAAAGUAAAAUGAGAAAUAUGGAAUGAAAGGAAGAAAGUUAAGAGCAUGAAAGACUGGGAGAAGAAUAAAGACCACCAAAUAAGUCAACUGAAAACAAGCUGAGGCCUGGGUGUACAAAUUGUUAGAUGUGUUUAUUAUAAAUAACAUAGAGCCCUCUUGUUGGUUGCAGAGGCAGAGAGACAGAGAGUGUGCAUUUUAUUAAUUAAAAAUAUUUAUAGAAUGGGUGGUUGCAAAAUCCAAAAUGGUGAUAAUGUUAGUUUUGUUAGUAUUAAUAAUAUUAGAAGGGGGGUAGUGUGAGGGAUGUUUGGUGCAUGAGAGAUUUGCUCUUUCGAGACUUAAAACAUUUCUGCAAACCUCCUUAUAAUUUUCGUCACGAAUGACCGCUGUCAACACCACAGGCUGAGUGGUAUCUGAAUGCUUCUUGGUUUACUCCCUUUCAACAAUAUAGUCGGUAGUGUUGAGAAUGAAGGUGUUUCGUUUAAUUUAAUUAAUUUACUUUCUCCCUCCUAAUUUAAGUUGAAUAUCAAGACCGAGCAACUAUAUGCAUAUUCAUUUAGUUGACAAUUUUGACAUAUUUUUUUAAAUGAUUAAUUUUGAAAUUACACCAAACAGAUGCGAUCUCUGUUUUGAUUUUACUUGCAGGUCUAGAAAGAUUGGCCAACUUGAAGAUGCUUGAUUUAAGAGGAAACUUGUUCAAUAAUAGCAUCUUAUCAUCUCUAGCUCGUCUUUCAUCAUUAACAUCAUUAGAUUUAUCUUACAAUCGAUUGGAAGGAAGUAUUAAUGUUAAAGGUACGUAAUUAAAACGUCAUCUCUUCUCCCAACUCUUUCAUUAACAUGCUAAAAUAAGAUUCAAGGCUUUGAAUUCAAUUUUUUUAUGAGUAAUAUUAGAAAAAUAGUUUUAAGCAAUUCAUAAAUACAAUUUUCAAUGUUUCUCAUAAUUUCAUCUUGUACUUUUGUAUGUCUUGACUUUAAGAUAAAAAAAAAAAUUACUCUAACUAUGAAGCAAAUACCCCAUGACUAAUUUAUCAUUUUGUCCAGUUAAAAAUGAUAAAAUUUAUCAUUUUGUUUUUAUUGAUUAAUUAACUCUGUUUUAAGUCUUAAGUCUUGGCUUCUUGGCAUGUUUGCAGAAUUUGAUUCCUUGAGCAACUUAGAGGAGUUGGACAUGAGCGGCAAUGAAAUAGACAAUUUUGAGGUUCCUCAAGGUAAACUAUUAAAAUAUUAUUCAAUUACAUUAAUUUAAUUCGUUUGAUUAGGGAAGGCCCAAAAGGUACAGAAACAUAAUUGAAAAAAAAAAUAAAGAAACAGAGAAUUCAUAUUAUUUCAAAAAACAAAAGGUAAUACUAUUAUUUCAAAAAUAGAAUGUAAUAAAGAUUUGAUUUCGGUUCUUUAAUCUUUACAGCAAUUGAAAAACAAUGUUGCUCUAAAUAUGAAAUGACUCCAAAUUGAAUUAGUCAUUUAUUUCGUUUAGCUCUAAAUUUAGAAAAAAUGAAUUUUGAUUCUCUUCAAUUCUUUCAAAAUUAUUAUUAAUAAACAGGUUACAAAGGUUUGAGGAAGUUGAAAACUUUGUAUCUAUUGGGAGUUGGAAUUAGAGAUGGAAGCAAGUUGUUACAGUCAAUGGGAUCAUUCCCAUCCCUCAACAAUCUUGACCUCUCUUAUAAUAAUUUUACCGAUACAGUGACCACUACUCAAGGUAAGUAAAAGGUAUAGAUGUGGUCAAAUUCAUAAACAAACUCUUAAUUAAUUAAUUAAUUUUCCAUAUUAUUAAUAAAAGUGAAAUUUGUUGCUUCUUCCUUCUAAUUCUAAACAGAGUUGCACAAUUUCGCCAACUUGGAAUAUUUGACAUUGCACGGUUCCUCUCUCCACAUAAGCUUUCUGCAAAGCAUUGCAUUAAUGUUUCCUUCGUUAAAAAAUCUGUCGAUGCUUGAUUGUAAAGUAAAUGGUGUCGUACGUGGUCAAGGUAAAAGAAAAGUGUUGAUUGUGAACUCAUUGUUGUCCUACGUGUUCAACAUUUUAUUUAUUUAUUUUAUUGUUUAAUGUUUCUGCUAGGUUUUCCUCAUUUCAAGAGUUUGGAACAUUUGGACAUGGAUGACUUGCGCAUUGUACUCAACACCAGCUUUCUUCAAAUCAUCGGUGAAUCGAUGCCUUCUCUUAAGUACUUAUCACUGUCAUAUUCUAGUGCUAUCACUAACAGCAGUGGGAUUCUUCAAGGUUAAUAAGAUGCUCCCACCGUUCCCUCUUAAUCUAUAAUAUUAAUUUUUGAUUAAAUAUAUAAUUACAAAAACCAAUCACUUAUAAAAGAAUGCUAUGUAUUUGUUAAUUUUUUUAUUGUACUGAUGGAUAAAUUAAUAAAUUUUCAGGCCUCUGUUCGCUGGUGCAUCUGCAAGAGUUGCACAUGGCUGAUAAUGAAUUAAGAGGUAGCUUGCCUUGGUGCUUGGCAAAUAUGACAUCCCUCCGAAUAUUAGAUGUUUCUUCCAAUCAACUUACUGGAAGCAUCUCCUCAUCUCCCCUCUUUUACUUGACAUCCAUUGAAGAGCUGAGCCUUUCAAACAAUCACUUCCACAUCCCAAUUUCACUUGAACCACUUUUUAAUCACUCAAGACUCAAAAUUUUCUAUGCUGACAACAACCCAAUAAAUGCAAAAAUAACUAAGUCACAUACUUUGACCACCCCAAAAUUCCAACUAGCAUCUCUUUCAUUGUCUUCCAGUUAUGGAGAUGGUGUCACAUUCCCCAAAUUCCUUUACUAUCAACAUGACCUGGAGGAUGUUCAUUUCUCACGCAUACAAAUGAAUGGAGAAUUUCCAAAUUGGUUGUUGGAAAACAACACAAAAUUAAGACAACUUUCUCUCGUCAAUGAUUCUCUUGCAGGACCUUUUCGAUUGCCAAUUCAUUCACACAGGCAUUUAAGACUGUUGGAUGUCUCCAACAACAACUUCCAAGGCCACAUUCCAGUAGAAAUUGGAGAUAUUUUACCACGUUUAAUAUCCUUCAACAUUUCAAUGAAUGCUUUGGACGGUAGCAUUCCCUCUUCAUUUGGUAAUAUGAACCUUCUCCAAAUUCUGGACUUAUCCAACAACCAAUUGACUGGUGAAAUCCCCGAGCACUUGGCCAUGGGUUGCGUCAACUUGGAGUUUCUUGCAUUAUCAAACAACAGCUUAAAAGGUCAUAUGUUCUCCAGAAACUUUAACCUGAUAAACUUGAGAUGGUUACAAUUGGAAGGCAAUCACUUCGUAGGAGAGAUCCCACAAAGUUUGUCUAAAUGCUCCUCACUAGAAGGAUUGUAUCUUAAUAAUAACAGUCUCUCGGGUAAGAUUCCACGAUGGUUGGGUAAUCUCACAUGGUUAAUACAUAUUAUAAUGCCCAAGAAUCACCUUGAAGGUCCUAUUCCAGUGGAGUUUUGUCAUCUUUAUUCGCUUCAGAUUUUGGACAUUUCAGACAACAAUAUAUCUGGAAGUUUACCAUCUUGUUUCCAUCCUCUCUCUAUCACACAAGUUCACCUAUCGAAAAAUAUGUUACAUGGACAGCUAAAAGGAGGUACUUUCUUUAAUUGCUCUUCCCUUGUGACAUUAGAUCUUAGCUAUAACCUCUUGAAUGGCAGCAUUCCAGAUUGGAUUGAUGGGCUUUCUCAGUUAAGCCACCUUAUCUUAGGUAACAAUAAUCUUGAAGGUGAAGUGCCAGUUCAAUUGUGUGGAUUGAACCAACUACAAUUGUUAGAUCUUUCUAAUAAUAAUCUUCACGGUCUUAUUCCUCCUUGUUUUGAUAACACCAAACUUCAUGAAAGUUACAACAAUAGUUCUAGUCCUGAUGAGCAAUUUAAAAUAUUGUUUUCCAUCAAAGGCCAUCAGGGACAUGUAGAAAAGAAAAUCCAAGAAUUUUUUGAGUUCACAACAAAGAACAUUGCGUACAUUUUCCAAGGAAAAGUGCUUAGCCUCCUAUCAGGACUUGAUCUUUCUUGUAACAAGCUAAUCGGUCAUAUUCCUCCUCAAGUUGGAAAUUUGACAAGGAUUCAAACAUUGAAUCUAUCACACAACAACUUGACAGGAUUGAUCCCAUCAACAUUUUCAAACUUGAAGCAAAUCGAAAGUUUGGAUCUUUCCUACAACAAAUUGAAUGGGAAAAUCCCUCAUCAACUUGUGGAGUUAAAGGAAUUGGCUGUUUUCAGUGUGGCAUACAAUAACUUAUCAGGCGAAAUUCCAGAAUGGAAAGCACAAUUUGCAACCUUCAACGAGAAUAGCUAUGAGGGAAAUACUUUUCUUUGUGGACUGCCAUUACCCAUUUGUAGAUCACCAACAACUAUGUCGGAGGCUUCAAUCGAAAAUGAACGAGAUGAUAAUUUAAUUGACACGGACAGUUUUUUUAUCACAUUUACAACAUCGUACGUAAUUGUGAUAUUCGGAAUUGUUACUGUUUUAUAUGUAAAUUCUUAUUGGCGACAUAGAUGGUUUUACUUUGUUGAAAUGUGGAUAACUUCAUGUUACUAUUUUGUUGUAGACAAUCUUAUUCCAACAAGAUUUUGUCAUUGAAAUUAAUUAGUAGUUUAAUUACAAUUCUUUAAGUACUAAUCAAGUUUGCUUAGGAAAUAAAUUUAUUUUUAUUUUUAUUAAAAUUGUAGUAGUAUUUAGCAUUAUAUAGCUUCCAACUUCCAAGCACUUCACAUUUGUCUCUACACUUAAAAAGCUGAGUGAUCAUGUUUUACAGAUAUGGAUCUGGAGUAGGAUAGAUCCAAACACCAAACUCAUAUCUGUCCAUCAUAGCUUAUAGCUUCCCUAUACUGUGCAGCAUACUUAAAUAAGAGAAUCAUCUCCAAUGUUAAAAGCAGCCACUCUAUAACAUUCAUUUAGAAACUAUAUUCAGAAUAGUUUUAUAAUCAUACACAAGAAAUGAAACACCUAGAUGCACUUGAUCGCCUAUUUUACUCUGAAAAAGAACAAUUAUGGUGCUAUCAUCAUCUUCUCAAUUAGCAACAUUAACACUAAAUCCAGCGAUGGACCCAGACAUUUCAUCAAGAAAGGUAUAUAUCUAAUAAAGUUGAAGCUUGACAAAAAAUUCAGGAAGAUUAAUGCCUCGCCACAACAAGGGGCACAACAACAUCAAAGUAGAGAUAAAACAGUAUUCUCAAAGCUAAAACUCUCAAAUCCACCCACCAGAAUUUCAUAUCUCCUCAACAAUUUUAAAAACUAAAGGUAAUUAGGAUUUAACAUUAAUUUUUUAUAUAUUAGUUUCAUAAUUUACAAAUCAAUGAAGAUGAAGAUUAUGCUAAUGAAUUCAAAUUAUACCAUACAUUCUCUAGAUUUUACCAAAAAUUUCCAAGUCAAUCCCACAUAUUUCAUAAUUUUAAGACUGGAAAGUGUUAUGCCAAAACUCAGUAAAGAACUGACAAUGGCUCCCCAAGAUCCACUCAAGAAGGGUUCUUGUAUCUAAAACUAUUGUGAGCCCAAGCAAUCAAAGCAAGUCAAUGAAAGAAUUAAAAGAGGCAGAAAGAACAAUACACAGGAAAGCUUAUAGUGGUUCGGCUAUGGAAGCCUACAUCCACUGUGAAAGGGUGAAUCCAAGUUUGUAUUCAAUGAGUGUCUUACAGAGUACAAGCUUAUUAGAGAAGCUUAACCAUUCAUGAACAACAUGACAUAUUCCAGAAUACCCAGCUAUAUAUAUAAGCAAUGCUCGAUCAUCACCUGCAAGCUUCCCCUGUUAUCCGUGAAGAAGAACAGCAGCUUCCCGCGCUAAUUAACGGCUUAACAGACUCCUGAUAAGCCUCCCUCACACGUGUCUUCAUCUCUAUUAUCUUAAGUACUAAAACGACACUUCAAGCAGCCGUUUUGGUUAAGUGAAUCACGUGCAAACCACAAGCCUUCUUUGCGCACACAGACGACACAAUUUUCUUGUCAUAUAGCUAUCUCAGGACUGUCAACCAACGUGUAAUGGUGUUAACAAAUCUUCAACCGACUUGUCGCACUUGACUAUAAACUGAUUUGCAGUUCAUAUUCAACAUUCUCCACCUUGAGCUCAAAUCAUCCAUCCCUCAGGUUCACCCUUCCACUUCUUUCCUGCAGUCUAUAUCCUGCAGAUGCCAGCUGAGUUCAAACAGAACUCAAACUUGGCUCCUGGUACAGCUUUGGUAAGCAUGUCAGCAAUGUUGCUAUCAGUGUGUAUUUUAGCCAGCUUAAUCACACCCUUUGAUAUUUCCAAUCUGACAAAGUGAAGCUUGAUGUCAAUAUGCUUGGUUUUCUCGUGAUGUAUCUGGUUCUUACUCAGACAUAUAGCACUUUGGCUGUCACAGUGAAUUGUAAUUUGGUUUUGUUCAAAUCCCAGUUCUGUCACUAUCCCUCUGAGCCAGAUAGCUUCUUUGAUUGCCUCUGCAGCUGCUGUGUAUUUUGCCUCAGUUGUUGACAGAGCAACAACACUCUGCAGUGAAGCCUUCCAGUUUAUGGUGCAGCCAUUAAGCAUAAACAGAAAACCUGUUAAAGACCUUCUUUUAUCCAGAUCUCCAGCAUAAUCUGCAUCCACAUAACCCUCCACACUAACCUCUUCAUAUUUCUCAGCUCCAUAGAUCAGACCAUAACCAGUUGUACCAGCCAGGUAUCUUAAGAUCCAUACAACAGCCCUCCAAUGAUCUUUCCCUGGGUUUGCCAUGUACCUGCUUACCACACUCACUGCAUGAGAGAGAUCAGGCCUAGUCAGGACCAUUGCAUACAUUAAACAUCCAACAGCACUUGAGUAUGGAUAUUUAUUCAUUUCAGCCUUUUCAGUAUCAGAGUUUAGACACUGUUGGCAGGACAGUCUGAAAUGAGAGGGCAGUGGUGUCUGUACUGGUUUACAUUUAUCCAUAUUGAAUUUCUCAAGUACUUUCCUGAUGUAUUUGUGCUGUGUUAGGCUUAGGAUACCAUUCUUUCUGUCUCUCUUUAGCUGAACUCCAAGGAUCUUCUUUGCAGCACCCAGAUCCUUCAUCUCAAAUGUAUUGCUCAGCUGCUGUUUCAGUUCAUUGAUGAACUCCAUCUCCUUACAAGCUAUUAACAUAUCAUCUACAUAGAGUAGCAGGUAGAUCUUGUCACCACCUUCUAUGGUUUUAAAAUAGAUACAGCAGUCAAAACUGCUCCUUUGAAAACCAUGAUCUGACAUGAACCUGUCAAACCUUAGAUACCACAGUCUUGGAGACUGUUUUAAUCCAUAUAGUGACUUCCUUAGAUGACAUACAUGAUCAGUCUUUUCUGGAUCCUCAUACCUUUCAGGUUGUGACAUCACUAUCAUCUCAUCUAUUUCACCAUGCAAGAAGGGAGUCUUCACAUCCAUCUGUUCAAGAUGCAUGUCUUGUACAGCCACUAGAGAUAACAAGAUCCUCAGGGAGGCAUGUCUCACCACUGGGGAGAAAACUUUUGUAAAGUCCACCCCCUCUUUCUGAGUGAAGCCUUUUGCAACCAAUCUGGCUUUAUAUCUUUGUGGCUCAACAUCUGGUAUUCCCUCCUUAAUCCUGUAGAUCCAUUUGCACCCUACUACCUUCUUGUUUGCUGGUCUUUCAAUGAGAUUCCAGGUGUGAUUCUUUUUCAAAGACAUCAUUUCCUCAUCCAUGGCCUUGAUCCAUUCUUCUGCUUUAUCACUGUUAAUAGCUUCUGAGUAUGUUCUUGGUUCAUCUGUUGCUACUUCAUGUGCUGCUGUUAAUGCAAAUGCUAUUAGGUCUGCAUAUGCAUAUCUUCUAGGAGGUCUUAUUACUCUCUUUUCUCUGUCCCUUACUAACUGAUAAUCUCCACUUCUUCCCUGAUCACUUGCUGCUUCAAUCUCAGUGUCAUGCAUUUCCAUGUCUGCUAUGUCUCCAGCCUCUGAUCUUGGUUUCAGUUUCUAGUUUGAGUUUGACAGCUCCACCUCAAGAUAAGAUUUCUCAUCUUUUUCUUUCAUUUCUGCAUUUGUAGUUUUUAAGGAUGCUGAGUGUUGGAGCAUUUCAGCUUCAUUAAAAACUACAUCUCUGCUUAUGAUUGCUUUUGGUGGCUUCAUGUCUGUGCACCACAGUUUAUACCCUUUUACCCCUUCAGGGUAACCAAGAAAUACACACUUCAAUGCCCUAGGCUCUAAUUUGCCUUGUCUAAUGUGAGCAUAUGCUGGACAACCAAAUAUCUUCAAACUGGAGUAAUCUGCUGGUUCACCAUACCAAAGUUCAUAUGGUGUCUUGAAGUUAAUUCCAGUUGAAGGGCUUCUGUUCACAAUGUGACAAGCUGUUGACAGAGCCUCAGCCCACAAGGACAUAGGUAGCUUGGAGUGAAUGAGCAUACACCUCACUUUGUCAACUAAGGUUCUAUUCAUCCUCUCAGCUAAUCCAUUUUGCUGAGGUGUAUAUCUUACUGUUCUGUGCCUCAUGAUCCCAUGCUUGCUGCAAAACUCUUCAAACCUCUUGUUGCAGAAUUCUAAUCCAUUAUCAGUUCUGAGCUUCUUAACCUUCCUAUUGGUCUGAGUUUCAAUCAGUGUUUUCCAGUUCUUGAAAUGUUCAAACACUUCAUCUUUGUUCUUCAGCACAUACACCCAAACCAUUCUGGAAUGGUCAUCAAUUAGAGAUAGAAAAUACCUUGCCCCUCCUAAAGAUGUUGUUUGUGCAGGUCCCCACAGAUCAGCAUGUAUGUAUUCUAGAGUUCCUCUUGAAACAUGUGCACCUGUGCUGAAUUUGACUCUUGAUGAUUUGCCUAGGACACACUCCUCACAAAAUUUCAAGUACUCUAUUUUACCUUCACCCAAGACUCCCUGUUUUGAUAGUUCUCUCAAGCCUCUCUCACUCAUAUGGCCUAAUCUAAAGUGCCACAAUAAGGUUUUGUUUAGGUUCUGGUUUGAAACUCCAACAUCUCCUGUGACUUCAGACCCCUGGAGCACAUACAGGCCAUUGUCUAAGUUUCCUUUCAUCAACACCAUAGACCCUUUUAUCACCUUUAAAGUGCCUGACUCAAGCUUGAUUACACACCCCAUUCUGUCAAGCAUGCCAAGAGAAAUUAGGUUCCUCUUUAAAUCAGGGAUGUGUCAAGCAUUUGUUAAUUCUCUUAUUGUGCCAUCAAGCAUUUCCAGAAUACCCAGCUAUAUAUAUAAGCAAUGCUCGAUCAUCACCUGCAAGCUUCCCCUGUUAUUCGUGAAGAAGAACAGCAGCUUUCCGCGCUAAUUAACGGCCUAACAGACUCCUGAUAAGCCUCCCUCACACGUGUCUUCAUCUCUAUUAUCUUAAGUACUAAAACGACACUUCAAGCAGCCGUUUUGGUUAAGUGAAUCACGUGCAAACCACAAGCCUUCUUUGCGCACACAGACGACACAAUUUUCUUGUCAUAUAGCUAUCUCAGGACUGUCAACCGACGUGUAAUGGUGUUAACAAAUCUUCAACCGACUUGUCGCACUUGACUAUAAACUGAUUUGCAGUUCAUAUUCAACAGAAAGUUUCAUUAGUUAGAAGUUUCAUUACCUUCAAGUGGAAGAUGAAGAAGAACAUUAUGCAAGUGAUUCAGACUACAUCAUACAUACUCCAAAUGCAACUAGAAAUUAAGAAGUUCAUGCCCACAGAUUUCAAAACAUUAUGAUUGGAAAGUUUCACAAAUACAGACAAAUUUUAAAUUCAAUCUCUUACAUCAAGGUAGUUUGAUUGAUAUGAGUUACUUUCUGAUCAAACUACUAAUAUAACAUUCAAUUCAGGGAGAAAGUAAAUUAAAAUUGGGAAGAAAUGAUAGUAAAAAUUUGUUGCUAAACAUGAUGUGUAUUUGUUUUUUUUAGGCAAUUUGGAAACACAGUUGUUACUACAGAUAUUCUCCUCAACUUGGAGGUAAAUACAAAUAUUAAAAUGCAUAUGAUCACACAUAUUACUUGGAGCUUAGUAAGAUUUGAUUAAGAGAAGCAAUCAAACCGCAAUCAAAGCACUUAUCAAUUGCCGCAGUCGUUAUAUAAACUAAAAUGGCAAUAUAAUACAAGAAAAAGAACAUAUAGAUACUUGGCAAGAGUUCAUUAAGAAGUCGCAUCACAUUCGGGUGAGGAGUUUGCUUUUGAUAUCUUGCUAGCUGGGGCUUUUUCUUGUCUUUCUAUGUUUGCCGAGGGAAACCAACCAGCUUGGCCCUGGCAUUCACCUUCCGACCGUCCAGUAAGAGCCACCUUGAGAAGUUAUAACUAAAAAGGUGAAUUAAACAAAAGUUGACCGUUCAAAGACCUAAGGGGAAAACUAAUUCUUUUACGUAGGAGUGAAUUAGUUGUGAUUACUGAAAUUACAGCAUUAACCAUGAAAGCAUAACAAGAUAUAAAUUCAUAUAUCUAUAAAGGUAAACUGGGUGGUUUAGAAUUGAGCUAGCAACCCUACUAUAUUCUGAUUUGCACUUCAAUGUAAAAGGGAAUAUAUAGUAGGAAGAAAGAAAACCAACCAUUAUUUUUUAACUCAUUGUUUUUCAAUCAAAAUUUUAAGAACAAAAUGUCAUGUGCUUUGAACAUCAAAUAAGUAUAAGCAUUAGUUCUAAAUUCCACAUAUUAUAAGUUGUUAGAAGAAUAAGUUAAUAGCAUACUAGAAAAAUCUAUGUGUUGUUAUUUAGAGGGGAAAGUACCUGGCGAACCACAACAUAAUCAUCAAUUGAAAGACUUAGCUCCCCAUUUGCUUGAGCGUCAAAUGGAUUUAUAACUUGCAAGAUAAUGGGAUAAAUAGAACUUAAUCUUAAAAAAAACAUAACAAAAGCAGCAACAGUAGCAGCAGCGUUCAUUGUAACCACUAUGAUUAUGGCCAACAAAGAUAUAUUAGAAAAAAUUUCCAUUUUUACUACGACAUUAAUAUGUACUAUACGAUAUCAUGACGAUUGGGUUACCAAGAGCUAUCAAAGUUCAAUAAGUUCUGUAUAACUUUAUGUAGUUAUUUAAAUUAUGGAUCGGAUUUUAAAUUUGAAAUUUUGACUGCUCUCCACAAAACAUGGCCUAUGCAUAAGAAAGUCAUAGAUAAUGACGAUUACAAGUGUCCGACAUCUUUUGAGGGAUGGAUUUAACAUGACAGCUUAUGGUCAGUCAAUUUCCUCUGCCUAACAAUAUAAGCUUUCUCGGCCAGAUAUAUCAUCAAAUACAUAGAUUGCCCCCAAGUCACAUCCAUAUAAACAUAGUUUUUAUAGGUAAACCAAGUAAGGAGAAUCAUAAUUCAGACAUAAUCACAAAAAGGCCCAUCUAAAUUAAGAGAAAAUCUCAAAAAGAGGGAUGUUGAGCUAUCAGUCAUGUAUCUAUAAGCAAUAUCAAGACCUUACAUCACCUACUACAUCGUGAGUAUCUACACAACUUUCAGUGGUUUGUCUUUCUUUGGCAUGCCUAACUCAGCUUUGAUGUUGCUGAGAUAUUGAUGGUAGAGACACAUGAUACUUCUAGCUCAUGCAUUCUAUCUAGCUCAUCCGACAGCUUUCUCUUUUUUAAUUCAUUAGUGUUUGUUAAACCUCAUGCUUCAAAGUCUUGUUCUCUAAAACAAAGUUUCCUAAGAAUAACUUCCUCAGCACCACAUUUGGACACUUUUAGAGCAAUUUUAUUUUGUGGAAAAGAAUUUUCAAGGUGUUAACUAAUAAAUUUUAAAAAAUAAUUACAAUUUGUCCUACGAUCAUAUGAUAAUUUAUUUGGGAUGAAAGGAUACAGGCAGACAUCUUCCACUUUCAAGACUAAUCACUACUUCCGUAGAUGUUGUACAAUAAUACAAAUACUUGACCAGAUGGUAGUGAUAGAAGAAAAAAAUUUUAUUGCUCCAAAAUUAAAAUAAGGGUCAAUCUAUAAUGCCGUAACUAAAUUUACGACAUUGAUACCGUAAUGUACGUGGACCGUUAGAUUUGAAAAAAAAAUCUCUACCAUUAAUUCUAAAUAAAUAGGUAACCUGUUACCUAAGUAGCAGGUAAUUACUAUUUUUUGUUCAAGUUCCAUGUUACAUUUACCAAUUUUAUGUGUGAUUUACAAGUUUUAUGAAACUUUUACAAGUUUUAAGCAACAUUUACAAGUUUUAUGCAACAUUUACAAGUUUUUGUUUUAUUUACAAGUUCUUCUCACAAUUACAACUGUAACAUUAAUUUACCUAUUUUUCCAUUAAUUUAUUAGUUUUAUGUGUGGUUUACAUAUUUUAUGUUUUAUUUCACACUUAAUGUGAAUUUACUAGUUCUAUGUCAUUUUUCUAAGUUUUUGUUUUGUUUACAAAUUCUUCGUACAAAUUACAACUCCGGCAUUAAUUUACUCAUUUUUUCAUCAAUUUACUAGUUUUAUGUGUGAUUUACACAUUUUUUGUUUUAUUUCACAAUUAAUGUCAAUUUACUAGUUCUAUGUCAUUUUUAUAAGUUUUUGUUUUGUUUACAAGUUCUUCGUGCAAAUUACAAUUCCAACAUUAAUUUAUCAUUUUUUUCAUUAAUUUACUAGUUUUAUGUGUGAUUUACAUAUUUUUUGUUUUAUUUCACACUUAAUGUGAAUUUACAAGUUCUAUGUCAUUUUUCUAAGUUUUUGUCUUGUUUACAAGUUCUUCUUACAAUUUACAACUCGAAUAUUAAUUUACCAUUUUUUCCAUACAUUUACUAGUUUUAUGUGUGGUUUACAUAUUUUUUGUUUUAUUUCACACUUAAUGUGAAUUUACAAGUUCUAUGUCAUUUUUCUAAGUUUUUGUCUUGUUUACAAGUUCUUCUUACAAUUUACAACUCGAACAUUAAUUUACCAUUUUUUCCAAACAUUUACUAGUUUUAUGUGUGGUUUACAUAUUUUUUGUUUUAUUUCACACUUAAUGUGAAUUUACUAGUUCUAUGUCAUUUUUCUAAGUUUUUGUUUUGUUUACCAGGUUUUCGUACAAAUUACAACUCCAACAUUAAUUUACUCAUUUUUCCAUUAAUUUACUAGUUUUAUGUGUGAUUUACACAUUUUUUGUUUUAUUUCACAAUUAAUGUCAAUUUACUAGUUCUAUGUCAUUUUUAUAAGUUUUUGUUUUGUUUACAAGUUCUUCGUGCAAAUUACAAUUCAAACAUUAAUUUACCAUUUUUUUCAUUAAUUUACUAGUUUUAUGUGUGAUUUACACUUUUGUUUGUUUUAUUUCACACUUAAUGUGAAUUAACAAGUUCUAUGUCAUUUUUCUAAGUUUUUGUUUUGUUUACAAGUUCUUCGUACAAGUUACAACUCCAACAUUAAUUUACUCAUUUUUCCAUCAAAUUACUAGUUUUAUGUGUGAUUUACACAUUUUUUGUUUUAUUUCACAAUUAAUGUCAAUUUACUAGUUCUAUGUCAUUUUUAUAAGUUUUUGUUUUGUUUACAAGUUCUUCGUGCAAAUUACAAUUCCAACAUUAAUUUACCAUUUUUUAAUUAAUUUACUAGUUUUAUGUGUGAUUUACACUUUUGUUUGUUUUAUUUCACACUUAAUGUGAAUUAACUAGUUCUAUGUCAUUUUUCUAAGUUUUUGCUUUGUUUACAAGUUUUUCGUACAAAUUACAACUCCAACAUUAAUUUACUCAUUUUUCCAUCAAUUUACUAGUUUUAUGUGUGAUUUACACAUUUGUUGUUUUAUUUCACAAUUAAUGUCAAUUUACUAGUUCUAUGUCAUUUUUAUAAGUUUUUGCUUUGUUUACAAGUUCUUCGUGCAAAUUACAAUUCCAACAUUAAUUUACCAUUUUUUUAAGUAAUUUACUAGUUUUAUGUGUGAUUUACACAUUUUUUGUUUUAUUUCACACUUAAUGUCAAUUUACUAGUUCUAUGUCAUUUUUAUAAGUUUUUGUUUUGUUUACAAGUUCUUCGUGCAAAUUACAAUUCCAACAUUAAUUUACCAUUUGUUUAAGUAAUUUACUAGUUUUAUGUGUGAUUUACAUAUUUUUUGUUUUAUUUCACACUUAAUGUCACUUUACUAGUUCUAUGUCAUUUUUAUAAGUUUUUGUUUUGUUUACAAGUUCUUCGUGCAAAUUACAAUUCCAACAUUAAUUUACCAUUUUUUUCAUUAAUUUACUAGUUUUAUGUGUGAUUUACAUAUUUUUUGUUUUAUUUCACACUUAAUGUGAAUUUACAAGUUCUAUGUCAUUUUUCUAAAUUUUUGUCUUGUUUACAAGUUCUUCUUACAAUUUACAACUCGAACAUUAAUUUACCAUUUUUUCCAUACAUUUACUAGUUUUAUGUGUGGUUUACAUAUUUUUUGUUUUAUUUCACACUUAAUGUGAAUUUACAAGUUCUAUGUCAUUUUUCUAAGUUUUUGUCUUGUUUACAAGUUCUUCUUACAAUUUACAACUAGAACAUUAAUUUACCAUUUUUUCCAUACAUUUACUAGUUUUAUGUGUGGUUUACAUAUUUUUUGUUUUAUUUCACACUUAAUGUGAAUUUACAAGUUCUAUGUCAUUGUUCUAAGUUUUUGUCUUGUUUACAAGUUCUUCUUACAAUUUACAACUCGAACAUUACUUUACCAUUUUUUCCAAACAUUUACUAGUUUUAUGUGUGGUUUACAUAUUUUUUGUUUUAUUUCACACUUAAUGUGAAUUUACAAGUUCUAUGUCAUUGUUCUAAGUUUUUGUCUUGUUUACAAGUUCUUCUUACAAUUUACAACUCGAACAUUAAUUUACCAUUUUUUCCAAACAUUUACUAGUUGUAUGUGUGGUUUACAUAUCUUUUGUUUUAUUUGACACUUAAUGUGAAUUUACAAGUUCUAUGUCAUUGUUCUAAGUUUUUGUCUUGUUUACAAGUUCUUCUUACAAUUUACAACUCAAACAUUAAUUUACCAUUUUUUCCAAACAUUUACUAGUUUUAUGUGUGGUUUACAUAUCUUUUGUUUUAUUUCACACUUAAUGUGAAUUUACUAGUUCUAUGUCAUUUUUCUAAGUUUUUGUUUUGUUUACAAGUUUUUCGUACAAAUUACAACUCCAACAUUAAUUUACUCAUUUUUCCAUUAAUUUACUAGUUUUAUGUGUGAUUUACACAUUUUUUGUUUUAUUUCACACUUAAUGUCAAUUUACUAGUUCUAUGUCAUUUUUAUAAGUUUUUGUUUUGUUUACAAGUUCGUCGUGCAAAUUACAAUUCCAACAUUAAUUUACCAUUUUUUUCAUUAAUUUACUAGUUUUAUGUGUGAUUUACAUAUUUUUUGUUUUAUUUCACACUUAAUGUGAAUUUACAAGUUCUAUGUCAUUUUUUUAAGUUUUUGUCUUGUUUACAAGUUCUUCUUACAAUUUACAACUCGAACAUUAAUUUACCAUGUUUUCCAUACAUUUACUAGUUGUAUGUGUGGUUUACAUAUUUUUUGUUUUAUUUCACACUUAAUGUGAAUUUACAAGUUCUAUGUCAUUUUUCUAAGUUUUUGUCUUGUUUACAAGUUCUUCUUACAAUUUACAACUCGAACAUUACUUUACCAUUUUUUCCAAACAUUUACUAGUUGUAUGUGUGGUUUACAUAUCUUUUGUUUUAUUUCACACUUAAUGUGAAUUUACAAGUUCUAUGUCAUUGUUCUAAGUUUUUGUCUUGUUUACAAGUUCUUCUUACAAUUUACAACUCAAACAUUAAUUUACCAUUUUUUCCAAACAUUUACUAGUUUUAUGUGUGGUUUACAUAUCUUUUGUUUUAUUUCACACUUAAUGUGAAUUUACUAGUUCUAUGUCAUUUUUCUAAGUUUUUGUUUUGUUUACAAGUUUUUCGUACAAAUUACAACUCCAACAUUAAUUUACUCAUUUUUCCAUUAAUUUACUAGUUUUAUGUGUGAUUUACACAUUUUUUGUUUUAUUUCACACUUAAUGUCAAUUUACUAGUUCUAUGUCAUUUUUAUAAGUUUUUGUUUUGUUUACAAGUUCGUCGUGCAAAUUACAAUUCCAACAUUAAUUUACCAUUUUUUUCAUUAAUUUACUAGUUUUAUGUGUGAUUUACAUAUUUUUUGUUUUAUUUCACACUUAAUGUGAAUUUACAAGUUCUAUGUCAUUUUUUUAAGUUUUUGUCUUGUUUACAAGUUCUUCUUACAAUUUACAACUCGAACAUUAAUUUACCAUGUUUUCCAUACAUUUACUAGUUGUAUGUGUGGUUUACAUAUUUUUUGUUUUAUUUCACACUUAAUGUGAAUUUACAAGUUCUAUGUCAUUUUUCUAAGUUUUUAUCUUGUUUACAAGUUCUUCUUACAAUUUACAACUCGAACAUUACUUUACCAUUUUUUCCAUACAUUUACUAGUUUUAUGUGUGGUUUACAUAUUUUUUGUUUUCUUUCACACUUAAUGUGAAUUUACAAGUUCUAUGUCAUUGUUCUAAGUUUUUGUCUUGUUUACAAGUUCUUCUUACAAUUUAUAACUCGAACAUUAAUUUACCAUUUUUUCCAAACAUUUACUAGUUUUAUGUGUGGUUUACAUAUUUUUUGUUUUAUUUCACACUUAAUGUGAAUUUACUAGUUCUAUGUCAUUUUUCUAAGUUUUUGUUUUGUUUACAAGUUUUUCGUACAAAUUACAACUCCAACAUUAAUUUACUCAUUUUUCCAUUAAUUUACUAGUUUUAUGUGUGCUUUACACAUUUUUUGUUUUAUUUCACACUUAAUGUCAAUUUACUAGUUCUAUGUCAUUUUUAUAAGUUUUUGUUUUGUUUACAAGUUCGUCGUACAAAUUACAACUCCAACAUUAAUUUACUCAUUUUUCCAUUAAUUUACUAGUUUUAUGUGUGAUUUACACAUUUUUUGUUUUAUUUCACACUUAAUGUCAAUUUACUAGUUCUAUGUCAUUUUUAUAAGUUUUUGUCUUGUUUACAAGUUCGUCGUGCAAAUUACAAUUCCAACAUUAAUUUACCAUUUUUUUCAUUAAUUUACUAGUUUUAUGUGUGAUUUACAUAUUUUUUGUUUUAUUUCACACUUAAUGUGAAUUUACAAGUUCUAUGUCAUUUUCUUAAGUUUUUGUCUUGUUUACAAGUUCUUCUUACAAUUUACAACUCGAACAUUAAUUUACCAUGUUUUCCAUACAUUUACUAGUUGUAUGUGUGGUUUACAUAUUUUUUGUUUUAUUUCACACUUAAUGUGAAUUUACAAGUUCUAUGUCAUUUUUCUAAGUUUUUGUCUUGUUUACAAGUUCUUCUUACAAUUUACAACUCGAACAUUACUUUACCAUUUUUUCCAAACAUUUACUAGUUUUAUGUGUGGUUUACAUAUUUUUUGUUUUAUUUCACACUUAAUGUGAAUUUACAAGUUCUAUGUCAUUUUUCUAAGUUUUUGUCUUGUUUACAAGUUCUUCUUACAAUUUACAACUCGAACAUUACUUUACCAUUUUUUCCAUACAUUUACUAGUUUUAUGUGUGGUUUACAUAUUUUUUGUUUUCUUUCACACUUAAUGUGAAUUUACAAGUUCUAUGUCAUUGUUCUAAGUUUUUGUCUUGUUUACAAGUUCUUCUUACAAUUUAGAACUCGAACAUUAAUUUACCAUUUUUUCCAAACAUUUACUAGUUUUAUGUGUGGUUUACAUAUUUUUUGUUUUAUUUCACACUUAAUGUGAAUUUACUAGUUCUAUGUCAUUUUUCUAAGUUUUUGUUUUGUUUACAAGUUUUUCGUACAAAUUACAACUCCAACAUUAAUUUACUCAUUUUUCCAUUAAUUUACUAGUUUUAUGUGUGAUUUACACAUUUUUUGUUUUAUUUCACACUUAAUGUCAAUUUACUAGUUCUAUGUCAUUUUUAUAAGUUUUUGUUUUGUUUACAAGUUCGUCGUGCAAAUUACAAUUCCAACAUUAAUUUACCAUUUUUUUCAUUAAUUUACUAGUUUUAUGUGUGAUUUACAUAUUUUUUGUUUUAUUUCACACUUAAUGUGAAUUUACAAGUUCUAUGUCAUUUUGUUAAGUUUUUGUCUUGUUUACAAGUUCUUCUUACAAUUUACAACUCGAACAUUAAUUUACCAUGUUUUCCAUACAUUUACUAGUUGUAUGUGUGGUUUACAUAUUUUUUGUUUUAUUUCACACUUAAUGUGAAUUUACAAGUUCUAUGUCAUUUUUCUAAGUUUUUGUCUUGUUUACAAGUUCUUCUUACAAUUUACAACUCGAACAUUACUUUACCAUUUUUUCCAAACAUUUACUAGUUGUAUGUGUGGUUUACAUAUCUUUUGUUUUAUUUCACACUUAAUGUGAAUUUACAAGUUCUAUGUCAUUGUUCUAAGUUUUUGUCUUGUUUACAAGUUCUUCUUACAAUUUACAACUCAAACAUUAAUUUACCAUUUUUUCCAAACAUUUACUAGUUUUAUGUGUGGUUUACAUAUUUUUUGUUUUAUUUCACACUUAAUGUGAAUUUACUAGUUCUAUGUCAUUUUUCUAAGUUUUUGUUUUGUUUACAAGUUUUUCGUACAAAUUACAACUCCAACAUUAAUUUACUCAUUUUUCCAUUAAUUUACUAGUUUUAUGUGUGAUUUACACAUUUUUUGUUUUAUUUCACACUUAAUGUCAAUUUACUAGUUCUAUGUCAUUUUUAUAAGUUUUUGUUUUGUUUACAAGUUCGUCGUGCAAAUUACAAUUCCAACAUUAAUUUACCAUUUUUUUCAUUAAUUUACUAGUUUUAUGUGUGAUUUACAUAUUUUUUGUUUUAUUUCACACUUAAUGUGAAUUUACAAGUUCUAUGUCAUUUUGUUAAGUUUUUGUCUUGUUUACAAGUUCUUCUUACAAUUUACAACUCGAACAUUAAUUUACCAUGUUUUCCAUACAUUUACUAGUUGUAUGUGUGGUUUACAUAUUUUUUGUUUUAUUUCACACUUAAUGUGAAUUUACUAGUUCUUUGUCAUUUUUCUAAGUUUUUGUUUUGUUUACAAGUUCUUCGUGCAAAUUACAAUUCCAACAUUAAUUUACCAUUUUUUUCAUUAAUUUACUAGUUUUAUGUGUGAUUUACAUAUUUUUUAUUUUAUUUCACACUUAAUGUGAAUUUACAAGUUCUAUGUCAUUUUUCUAUGUUUUUGUCUUGUUUACAAGUUCUUCUUACAGUUUACAACUCGAACAUUAAUUUACCAUUUUUUCCAUACAUUUACUAGUUGUAUGUGUUGUUUACAUAUUUUUUGUUUUAUUUCACACUUAAUGUGAAUUUACUAGUUCUAUGUCAUUUUUCUAAGUUUUUGUUUUGUUACAAGUUUUUCAUACAAAUUACAACUCCAACAUUAAUUUACUACAUUUUCUAUCAAUUUACUAGUUUUUUUCUAUUUUUUAUUUUUUUUAAUUUUGUAGACCAAUUUACCACUGUAACGCUAAUUUACCCGUUUUACCUUCAAUGUACGAGUCAUACGUGUGGUUUAGAAAUUUUUUUUCUUAUUUCACAUUUAUUUGGAAUUUAGGUUAUUUAGUUUAAGUCAAUUGCCUCAACUUAAAUCCAACGUGAAAAUGGUUAAAGAGUUGGAUUAUUGACAUUUUAUGAUUUAGAUAGAAUGAUAUAAGGGUGGGCAUGAGUUGGGUUUGAUAGGGUUAGUGAAAUUCUAACAUGGUCUACUUUUUAAUGAGCUGAUAUAAAAUUCAUCCAAUUUAACUAAAUAAACUUGUUUAACUAAAUUCUACCCAAACCUUAUAUCGUCUGGUUAAGUUGAUUAGGUUGAAGCUCAAAUCAAAAUUUUAAAUUGAACAAUGAAAAUGAUAUUAAACUUAUUAAAAUCAAAUAUAAAUCUUUUAUAACAUGAAAUUUUCAUUCACUAUCUAGUGUACGUAAAGAAAGUUAAUAAAUUAACUAUCUUUAAAUUAAGAAAAUUUCCACAAAAAGCAUAUAGACUUUAUUUCUCUUGCAUCUCCUUUUCCAAUUCCAAAUUAAGACUUUUUAGAUAAUUAGCUAGCAUCAUAUACAAAAAUAAAAUGAAAGUGAUAUAUAAUUAUGUGCCGUUAAGUAUUCACUAAAAAAAUAAAAAAAAAUUAAAACCAACUUACUUUUAUAUUAAUCUUAUAAAAUAAUAAAUUUACUUAUAAGAGAGUGUGAUUUUGGUUUUGGAAUUGUAGUCUAAAGCAGCAGAUGCAAGAAUGAAAUAUCCUCUUGUAUUAAAAGAUUAAAAAGAAUAAAAAAUUAGAUAAACCAUUUAAGUCGUUAUAAUCUUGCAAUUGAGAAUUAACACAUUAUCAUUUUCCUUUUUCUUCUUCUUCUUCUUCUUCUUCUUCUUAUUAUUAUUAUUAUUAUAGAUUUGGUUGGGUUAGACUGGUUAAUUAUAAUUUAUCCAACCCAAACUAAUUAUUAAUUAGGUUUGAAAAAAACAGACCCAAUUAAACCACAAUAAUCUGCUCAUGGUGCAUUUACCAAUCAGUAAUCAUAACGGGCUACAAUCAGAAUCAAGAAUGUGAAUAAGAAUAAGUUAUUUAUUUGAGCUGUAGAAAUUGAAGUCGGAAUGAGAUUCAUUUCCAUCAAUGUGUUUAAUUUGUCUUGAAAUCGGAAUGAAUUAUCAUAAUUUCUUAAAUGCCCUUUGUUGAUUAUUGUCAAUUGGUGGUAAUAAUAAUCAUAAUAAUAAUAAUAAUAAUAAUAAUAAUCAUCAUCAUCAUAAUAUUUAUUAAAAUAGUAUUAUAAUUAUGAUUACUAAUUCAUUAUUGAUAUUAUUUAUUAAUUUCAUGAUUUUGUUUUAUGAUUAUUAUUUAUGAAAAUAUUAUUGUAAUCAAACUUUAUAAUAAUUAUUAUAAUAAUAAGUUAUUAUUAUUAUUAAUAUUUUAUUAUAUUAUUAUUUCGUAAAAAUAUUAUUAUAUUUAUAAUUUUAUUGUUAUUAUUAUUAAUAUGAAAUUAUUUCAUUAUUGUUUAUUAUAAUAUUAUAUUAAUUAUAAUUCAUUAUAAUUUAUUAAUCUUUCAUUAUUGUUCAUGUGCGUAGGAGUUAGAUUUGAGAUAAUGUUCUGAAAAUAACUCGGUUAAUGUUUGAAAUCUUGUUUAUAUUAGGUCUUAUUUUUCUAGCUAGGUUACUAUUAUGCUUGCAAUUUUAUUUUUCUAAAUAAUUAGAUUAUCAUCAUGCUAUCGCAGCAAGUUUGGACAGACAUGAUGGUUGCGUAAAACCUCAACUAUUUUUUAUUAUUGACUAGGCCUUGCUUGCUUCUUGUUUUUCAAUUUAGGCAGUGAUGGUAGUAAAAGCUUUUGGAGUUUUGGACAAUGAUGAUGGCAACUCACAGCUCACAAUGUCAGAACACAUUCAAUUUUACACAACAAUGAUAAGUAUUGACCAUGAGGCAGGAUACUGAAAAUUUGUUGUGUCCGUCAAUGGUAAAAUGAUUACAAUUGAGAUGGUGAUUACAAUUGAUUUUUUUUUAAUGAAACCAUAUGUUUUAAUUAUUUAUGCUUGUAUCCGUCAAUGGUAAAAUUAUUAUGGUAUAUUUGUGUUAGAAAUUAUAUUUAUUUCAUUUGUUGCUGUAACAACAUAAAUAUAAACUAUGCUGAUUAACUUGAAUAUUUCGUUUGGAGUCAAACAAUGAUAAAAACAAAAUAAUACAUAAAAAUUGGAGUGUUGUGGUUGAAAGCAAAUAAAGGCAAAGCUCACACACGGUACAACUGCAAUUAAAAGAAAAAGGCAAAGCAAAACGCACUGAUAUCAAACUUUAAUCACAUCUCGAAUUUACACAAUAAUCAAUAGCAGAUCCUAAAAAAUUCCAAAAGAAAAUCUUAAAACAAAUAGUCAACAAGAUAUUAGAAUCAUUAUAAAAAUAAAUAACCAAGAAUAAUACUAAUUUCAAAUAAAAUAUAUAGAAUGGUAGUAAAACAAAGAACUAUCGUUACUACUGCUCCCCAACAAAGAUGAUCCACUUUCCCACAAGAUGUUACUAAAGAGGAAAUUGUGAGCCACCUGGAGAAUAAAGGAAAACUUGCAUUAAACAUUGACUAUUUCCAGUCCACAUUCUGCUUAUACUCGGUACGCAAUUGCAAAUUGGAAAUUGUUUCUAAUUAAUUUUAUGUGAAACAACAAUUAUAAUUGCAAUAACUAAUAAAUAACUACUACAAAUCAUGAAAUGUAAUAGGAGCAAAAAAAAAGCAAGAAAGAAAUAGUUAAAGAGAACCUACUUUUAACAUGCUGCAAGCUUUUGGACUCUACUUUUUCUUCUUCAAAUUCUUUUGACCAUUAACUUUGUUCGUCACUUUGUUCGGUGGAAGAUUAUUCUUGUGCGAAUCAUAAAUUCUUCAGCCUUACAUCUGAUACUAUCUCUCACUUUAUUUGUAUCUCCGUUGACAAGGUGGAGUGCAAUGCGAUAUCUUUCUAUUGUUGAGUUAUACUAAAUAUAGUACGAGAAAAAAUAAAAAAGUGAGAAACAGAGUCAUCAUUCAUUUUAAAACUUUAAAUCAAUAUGAUAUAAAAUUAAUGUCACAUACAUGUUUUAUAGAUAAUAGAUCACAUUGCGUCUCCAUGAACUUGAUCACAAACAAACCGCAGUCAGUUCCAUUUGGUUGUACUGGGACAUUAUCUGGAUAUGAAAUUUUAAAACUAAAAAAAUCCCAACAUGAAUAAAAUUUUCCCAAAAAAUCAUCGAGGAAAACUUCAUUGAGUCCCUGUAACUGUGAUAAUGAUGAUAAUAGUCAGCAUACAUUUGCAUUUAUUGGUAAUAAUACAGGUGAAAUGCAAGCUUCACUUACAAUUGCUCUAACAAUUUCCUCUCGAUGUGAAUUCGAACUAUUACUAGGUAAAGAGUCCCAAAUUUCAACGGUUUGCGUUUUAACAAUCAACACCGCUAGAUACCAAUGUGCAGAGCCAUCAUUUAUAGGAACAUAGAUCUACAUGACAAAUGCAUAAUUUUUAAUAAUUACCAUUAAAUGUCUUAAACAAUGGCAUGAUUUAUUGUAAUUUUGCAUUUAAUUUCUUACCUUUUCACAUACUGCUAGUUCUGACAUGUAUUUAUCUCGAAUAUUAUGAUUUUUGACAAAAUCUUCGAUGCUUGAUUUCUUAUUGCAGGCCAUGUUUGCCACUAUUUUUUGCUGCAAAACUCAUAAAAUAAAUACAAAAUUAGUAUAUUAUCAACAUAUAGGGUCAACUGUCAAUAAAAAAAUUCACAGUAUAACAUUUACAACUUACCGAAAAGAUGGUGGGCAAAUACCAAAUACGCAUCUUUAGGCUCGUUUUUGCACGUUCUUUGUUUGUCAAGUAGUUGACGAAACAAUCUAUGACCUACGAAUAGAGCCAUUAAACAAGAAGACUUAAAUACUUAGAAAGAAAAUAAAUAAAUUGAAUGAUUAAACUAAAUAUAAAGAAGGUAUGCUUACUGUGUCAAUGAUCCAAGUAUUAGGAGCCAAAGAAAACAUCUCUUGGCGAGAGACGAAAAAACUAAUUCCAUCAACAAUAUGCUCACUAUAUUAAGAAUCCAAAAAUAUAAUUAAAACUAUAGCAGUGUUAAUGCAAAAAUAAUAACAUAUGGAAAGUGGGUCAUGAGAAAAUCUAAUUACUCCAUAGGCAAUUCUCCUUGAAAUAUAUAUUGCAGCAACUUCAUAUCUUCCUCUGAAAAUGAAUUUAGUAGAGUGAUUGAAUCAUGAAAAAAUUUUUGUUUGCUUCGUCUUUUGGGAAACUGAUUAUAAGGGGAUUUUUGGUAUGGACUAGGCUUUCGCUUUCGGGAGCGCAUAUCUUUAACCUCAAAUACACUAAGUUGGUUUGAUGAUUCCUCUUCAAUAGAACAAUCAUCAUUCGGGCCAUUAUCCUACAAAAAUUAUGAUUUAUAACUUAAUACUCAUCUAUGCACUAUUAUGUUUUACUUGUGCAAAAAAGAAGAUCACAGUUUAUUGCUAAAUACUUGUAUAGCUGCAUUGUAGAAAAUUUGCUUACGCUUUCCCUCAUUUAGGUCUGACUCACCCGUCAAAAUUCUCUCAUCAUGUUUCUCUUCAACAUUCUCCUCAUCCACUAAUUUCUUCUCAAGAAUAUCAUCUCCAUCUGGCCUUUCUUUGGCUCUCUUCAUUAGUUCCGCAAAAGUUAAAAUUUCAUGGCUUGAUUCAUCGUUCUUUUGUUGCUUUCGGGAAGGAGAAGUAAUUCCAACAGCAGCGCCAUUAUUCUCCUUUUUCUGCUCAACUUGCUUUUGUGUUAAGUUCUCUUUAAGGGUUUCCAUUACUUGUUGCAUUUGCUGCAUCCAGCUACCCAUUGAAUGCUUUAAACCAUCAAGCUCCAAUGCCAUACGGCCAAUAUCUUUUCGAACAAGUGAUAAUUCCUUCUGAUGUUGACAAUUAUGUAUGCAUUCUUCAUUCUUCCGACUUAUUCCAUCAAAUGUUUCAUGGGCCGUGUUUUGUUGAGGAUGGAUUUCUCGCAAAUUAACCUAAUAAAUACCACAUACUAUUAAAUACAUGUCAUUUCAAUAUGAUACGUUAAUAUUUAAUUAAUAAAAAGUAGAUGUCCUACCUUUGAGCUCCCAUAACCGCCAUUUUUCUUAACAAAACUCAAUAAGUUAGUUACAUCUCGAUUUGUCCAUGUUGUUAUUGGACUCAAAGAUUUAUCAAUAAAUUUUCGUGCAAAUGAUAUAGAAUCCAUGUAAAAAAGCUACAAUAUUAACAAAAUGAUCAAAACAAAGCAAAAACAAAAUAACACAAUAAAACUGAUGAAAUCAUUUUUAAAAAAAAUUACCUCCAAAAAUAGUACACAACCAUUAACAACUUUAUGUUGUCCUGCCUUGAACUUUUGUAUGCCCUCAACUAGCCCUUUAAAAGCCCACGUUGCCCAAUUUUUUUUAUUUAUGGCACUGGUGUCUUUCAAAAAAACCAAGUAAUACGGGGCUAAAUUCAACCCCGAUUUAGGAAAAAUAAUUGUAGCUAUAGCAAACAAAACAAAGCUUCUUUUAAAGUCAUCAUUCACCUCCCUUUGAUUCACCAAUUUUGACUCUAAAGUUUUCAGCUUAAUGUAUCCACUGUCAUCACAAUAUUCAUUCCUCAAUUUAUCUAUGUCAUCAAUAGCAAGAUCCACAUCAAUGUCGACUCCACCAUCUUUUAUUCCCAUAAUGUACUCAAAAUCUCGAGGCGACAGAUUGAUACUCUUACCAUGCAAAAAAAUACAUGAAGUAAAUGGAUCAAAAUUUUGAACCAACCAUGAACAUAAAUCUCGUUUCAGUCGACCACAUUUUAUGUGCAGAAGACUUUCAAAUCCUAACUCCACAACAACUUUUUUUUGAUUUUCUGACAAUUUUGCGACCAGUUUUGUAAAACGAUCUGGAGCGCAUCUAGUUUCCAUGGCUUUUUGAGUUCCCUUCACAAAAUCAUCUUCUUUGUCUUUAUUCUGUGCUAUAUCACUAUCAACCAUUCUAAAUUUAGCCUUUUCUUCUUCACUCAAAUUUUUUAAACAUUUCCCUAAUUUAAUUCUGUUCUAAAAAAUUAAAAAAAAAUAUGACAAUAAGUUAUUGCUUGUAACACAUCCCAAAUUUAAUGGAAAUUAAUUAUCGCACCUACACUCACCAUUUUUUUCCUUGUUCCCAUAAUAUUUUUGCUUCUUGCUUGCUGCAGUCAAUUAAAUAUUUUGAAAAAAAUAUAUAUAAUCAGUGCAUGUUAACAUUAUUAUGCUCGGCUUUACUAAAUAUUCAUAAAUUUACCAACAGUCAAACACAUAAUAUUUAAUGUAAGAAGACUUACAAAUACUCAAUGAAAGGCCGAUUUCUUCUUAAAUUUUCAUUUUCCUGGCUCACAUUAUCAUUCUCCUUGAAAUCAUUCUCAUUACCCUCAUCUACAUUUUCAGCCAUUUUCGAGUUUACAAGAACCUGUACAUGAAGAUUUAGCACAAAAAGAAAUGUCAAAUAUCACAAGUUUUGGAUCCUGUAAAACAACAGAAACUUUAACCCAAAAGCAGUAAUAAAUUUAUCCAGAAACAGCAAAAAAUGUAACUAAAAAACAGCAGUAAAUUUUACCCAAAAAUAAUAGAAAAUUUAACCCAAAUACAGCAGCAAAUGAAGCCCAAAACACCAAAAACAUUUACAUGUAAACAGCAAAAAAUUUAGCCAAAAAACAGUCGUAAAUUUAUCCAAACAGCAACAAAUUUACCCAGAAAUAGCAAAAAAUUUAACACAAAAAUAACAAUAAAUUUAUCCAGAAAUAGUGAAAAAUUUAACUGUAAAACAGCAGCAAAUUUACCUAGAAGCAACAGAAAAUUUAACCUAAAAAGAGUAGCAAAUGAAGCCCAAACACCAGAAAAAUUUACCUAAACACAGCAGAAAAUUUAACCCAAAAAUAGCAGUAUAUUUACACAGAAACAGCAAAAUAUUUAACCAAAAAACAGCAGCAAAUGAAGCCCAGAACACCAAAAAAACUUACCUGGAAACAGCAAAAAAUAUAACCCAAAAACAGCAGUAAAUUUAUCCAAAAACAGCAAACAAUUUAACUCAAACAAAAGCAGCCAAUUUACCCAAAAAUAGCAGAAAAUUUAACCUAAAAAUAGCUGCAAAUGAAGCCCAAAAUACCAGAAAAAUUUAACCAAAAACGGCAGCAAAUCAUCACAAAUGCAGCAGAAAAUUUAUUCAAAAACAGCAAAAAAUUUAAGUGAAAAACAGUAGUUUAUUUACCCAGAAACAGCAAAAUAUUUAACCCAAAACCAGCAGCAAAUGAAGCCCAAAACACCAAAAACAUUUACCUUAAAACGGCAGAAAAUAUAACCCAAAAACAGCAGUAAAUUUAUCAAAAAAUAGCAAAAAAAUAAACUAAAAACCAGCAGUCACCUUACCCAGAAACAGCAGAAAAUUAAAUCUAAAAAUAGCAGCAAAUGAAGCCCAAAACACCAAAAAAAUUUACCUUAAAACAGCAGAAAAUAUAACCCAAAAACAGCAGUAAAUUUAUCAAAAAACAACAAAAAAAUAAGCUGAAAAAUAGCAGCCACCUUACCCAGAAACAGCAGAAAAUUAAAUCUAAAAAUAGCAGCAAAUGAAGCUUUAUCAAUAGGAAAGUUUAAAAUAUUUUUUUUCUGAAGCCAAAGCAAGAAAUCUAUAAAGUCCUUGUGAUCUUCAACUUGAGAAUUGUUACUCAUCCUAUUCUCAUGUUCUUGAAUGACUACCUCAAGAAAAUUAUCAACUCCUUGGUCACUAAAUUUUUCUACUCUAACAUCACGAAAAGAAUAAUGAAUCCUUUUGUUACUUAAAAGUUGUACAACAAAUAAGAUUUGAACUUUUCUUAAGUACUCACCAUAAGGUGUCAUAGAGACAUCUACACAACCGUUUAAAAGUUUUACAAAUGGGGUUAAUUUUGGUUGAUUGCAAAGAUUACAUUUCUAACGAUCUCACAGGAUAGCUUGUCAAAGCGGAACUAGAUUAUCGUUACAAUAAAUUAAAAUGCAUUUAUGGUUUUAUGCAUUUUUGUCAUUUAUUGUGAAUAUUAUUUCAAAUUAUUUAUGCAUGGAUGUUUUAUUUUUCAGAAAAUGUCUUCCCUGAGCCCACUUACUAUUAUUCUGAGUCAAAACAAACUCACUGGAGAGAACUAUAUAGAUUGGAAAAGAAAUCUAUUCAUUGUCCUGACUGCUGAAAAUUAUAAAUAUGUCUUAACCCAGCCAUGCCCCCCAGUUCCAGCGGAUGAUGCUCAUAGAAAUCAGAGGAGGCUUUAUGAGAAAUGGCAAAAGGCCAAUGAAAUGGCAAAGUGCUACAUUUUAGCCUCGAUUUCUAAUAUUCUGCAGACCAAACAUCAGAACUUGGAGACUGCCACUGAAAUAAUGGAUAGUCUCCAACAGAUGUUCGGUCAGAGUACUCGCUCUGCGAGACAAGCAGCGCUGAAAGGAAUUAUGAACAGUAAAAUGGGGAAAGGCACAAGAGUUCGUGAUCAUGUCCUCAAAAUGAUGGACUAUUUGAAUGAGGCUGAGAUUCAGGGAGCACAAAUCGAUGAUAACUCAAAGAUUGACAUGGUGCUAGAAUCUCUGCCAGAAACAUUCAAGGAGUUUAAGGUCAAUUAUAACAUGAACAAAAGAAACAUGACCUUAACUGAAUUGAUGAACGAACUCCAUUCUGCUGAAGAGAUCUAUCGUGCUGAGAAAUCUCUGGGAAGCAUAAAUAUUACUGAAAAAAGUUCAUCUUCUGGGCCUAAACCGAAAGGCAAAGGUAAGAAGAAAGCUGGGAAAAAGAGACCGUCUACCAAGCAAGAUGGCAAGCCGAAAGGCAAAUGCUUCAAGUGUGGACAGAAAGGUCACUGGAAAAAGGAUUGCCCUAAGAUUGUGAAAUCAGGUAUGGGAAAUCUUUUUGUAAUUGAGGCCUGUUUAGUUCAAAAUCCUAUUGACACUUGGGUGUUGGAUUCAGGAGCAACUAAUCAUAUUUGUAAUUCACUUUAUUGGUUUCAGGAAACCAGGAAAAUAAGUGAAGGAAGCGUCAACCUGCAGUUAGGGACAGGACAGUUCGUGUCAGCAGUAAAGACUGGAUCUGUUUUAUUAUCUUUUAAUAAUAAGACUUUAGUUUUGAAUAAUUGUCUUUAUGUUCCAGACAUUAAGAGGAAUUUAAUUUCAGUAGCUUGUUUGUCAAAGCAAGGGUACACUGUAAAUUUUGGAUCCUCUGUUUCUAUUUUUCAUAAUAAGAGACUUAUUUGUUCUGGUACAUUGGAAGAUAAUUUAUAUCAUUUAAGUCCAAUGAUCCAUUCUAUGCAUGACACAGUGAUAAAUAAUGAUGAGCAUACACAUUUAUCUAAGAAAAGAAAUAUUUCUUCCAACCAAUGUUACCUCUGGCAUUUACGCUUGGGUCAUAUAAACCAAAAUAGGAUACAGAGAAUGAUCAAAGAUGGGCUCUUGGGUCCAUUAGAAAAUGAAUCAUUGCCACUCUGUGAAUCCUGUUUAGAAGGGAAAAUGACCAAAAGGCCAUUCUCGGCCAAAGGAGUACGUGCAACAGUACCACUUGAAUUGGUACAUACAGAUGUAUGUGGACCAAUCAAUGUACAAGCUCGAGGAGGUUAUGAGUAUUUCAUCACUUUUACUGAUGAUUACUCAAGAUACGGUUAUGUUUAUCUAAUGCGUCAUAAGUCUGAAGCUCUUGAGAAAUUCAAAGAGUAUAAGGCUGAGACAGAAAAGUAAUUAGAUAAGAACAUAAAGAAACUUCGAUCUGAUCGAGGUGGUAAAUUUCUCUCAGGAGAUUUCAAAGAGUAUCUGGUUGAAAAUGGGAUUAUAUCUCAAUUGACUGCCCCGGGAACACCACAACAAAAUGGGGUAGCUGAAAGAAGAAAUAGAACUCUUUUGGAUAUGAUGAGAUCUAUGCUUAGUUAUUCGUCAUUACCAAUCUCUUUUUGGGGACUAGCACUGGAAACUGCAGUUUACCUUUUGAACUUAGUUCCAUCUAAGUCAGUGCCUAAAACCCCAAUAGAAUUAUGGUCAGGUCGCAAACCAAGUUUACGACAUGUCCGUAUUUGGGGAUCACCAGCACAUGUGCUGAAACCAAAGGCAGACAAAAUGGAUUCACGUUCUGAGGUUUGUAUGUUUGUGGGGUAUCCCAAAGGAACAAGGGGAGGUUUAUUUUAUAGUCCUCAAGAUAGGAAAGUGAUCGUGAGCACACAUUUCACUUCCCUUGAGGAAGACUAUAUGAAUAACUUCAAACCUAAGAGUAAGGUAAUACUUGAAGAACUGUCAGGUGAUCAGGUUGAUGCUCAGCUUUCAAUGCCUAUUACAGAACAGGAAGAACAGCAACAACCAGAUGAUCAACACAGGAUUAACCCUGAACAACCAUCACUUUUAGAACCUCGUCGUAGUGGGAGGGUAACUAGGUUACCUGCGAGAUACAUGCUUUUGGGAGAAACCUAUACGGCUAUCUCAGAUGAACAUGUACAAGAUCCCACUAGUUACAACGAAGCUCUAAUAGAUAGAGAUGUUGAAUUUUGGAAAAAGGCCAUGAAUCAAGAAAUGGAAUCUAUGUAUUCCAAUCAAGUCUGGGAACUUGUAGAGGCACCAAAUGGGGUAAAACCUAUAGGAUGCAAGUGGAUCUACAAGAGAAAAAGAGGAGUAGACGGAAGGGUGGAAACAUUUAAAGCAAGAUUAGUAGCCAAAGGGUUUACUCAGAAAGAGGGAAUCGAUUAUGAGGAAACUUUUUCUCCGGUUGCUAUGCUUAAAUCCAUCAGGAUUCUGCUCUCCAUUGCUGCAGUGCUAGAUUAUGAAAUUUGGCAAAUGGAUGUCAAGACUGCCUUUCUCAACGGGCAUCUUGAAGAAAACAUCUACAUGCAGCAACCAGAUGGAUUUAUACAAAAAGGCCAACAACACAUGGUAUGUAAGUUGCAGAGAUCCAUUUAUGGAUUGAAGCAAGCAUCCCGGUCAUGGAACAUCAGAUUUGAUCAAGCGAUAAAAUCGUUUGGAUUCAUUCAGAACAUUGAUGAACCAUGUGUGGACAAGAAAAUUCAAGAAAAAUCUGUAGCCUUCCUAAUUCUUUAUGUAGACGAUAUUCUCCUAAUUGGAAACGAUAUAGGAGUACUGACUACAAUAAAGAGUUGGUUACCAAAACAAUUUGAUAUGAAAGACCUGGGAGAGGCAAGUUAUAUUCUUGGUAUCAAAUUACUACGAGACCGGAAGAAUAAAACUUUAGCCUUGUCUCAAGCGGUCUAUAUCGAUAAGAUAUUGGCUAGAUUUAGCAUGGAAAAUUCCAAGACUGGUUUAUUACCAUUCAGACAUGGAAUUACAUUCUCUAAGGAUCAAUCACCUAAAACAUCUGAAGAGAUAGAGAGAAUGAGACGAGUUCCCUGUGCAGAAGCUGUGGGAAGUCUUAUGUAUGCCAUGCUUUGCACUAGGCCAGACAUCUGUUUUGCGGUAGGGAUGGUUAGUAGAUAUCAAUCUAAUCCUGGACCUGAACACUGGACUGCGGUCAAGCAUAUAAUGAAGUAUCUGAAAAGAAAUAAAAAUUAUAUGCUUGUGUAUUCUGGUGUUGAACUCAUUCCAGUGGGUUAUACUGAUUCUGACUUUAUGUCAGAUAAGGAUUCUAGAAAAUCAACUUCCGGCUAUGUGUUUGCAUUGGGAAGUGGAGCUAUUAGUUAGAGGAGUGUGAAACAAUCUUGUAUCACAGACUCAACAACUGAAGCUGAAUAUGUGGCUGCAUCUGAAGCUGCAAAAGAAGCUGUAUGGCUCUGCAAGUUCCUACGAAAUCUUGAGGUGGUACCUGUUGUAACUGCACCCCUUAAACUAUUUUGUGAUAAUGGUGGUGCGGUAGCUCAAUCUAAGGAACCAAGGAACCACAAGAAACAAAACAUAUUGACAAGAAGUAUCAUCUUAUAAGGAAAUAGUGUAGAAAGGUUAUAUGACAGUACCCCAAAUGGCAUUAGAUGCUAAAUGGCAGAUCUUAUUACAAUGGCCAUUAGUGGGAAACCUUUAUAACUUGCACUUAGAGCCCUAGAGCAUGUGCAAUAUGCCAGAUAUGCUUUGAGAGCUAGUGGGAGAUUGUUGGGAAAAUAUGCUCUUUAAAAGCAUAUGUGUUUAUUUAAUUGUAAUAAACAAUUUUUCUGAUUAAUAAAAUAAAUGAGGUAUUUUAUUCAAAUAUCUUAAUUGCAUUAAUAUUUGUAUUAAAGUCCAUUUAAUCAUAUUAUAUGUAUUUAUGUGAUCACCAUGUGGAUUCACAGAAGACAUAAAUACAAGUUAUCUUAUGAUUAAAUAAAUUUAGUUCGCAGUUGAUAAAUAAAGUUGGGCACUUUAUUUAGGUAUAGACUGUAAUAAAUUCAUUGAAUGAUUUGUCUUAAUCAUGUAUGAAUUUAUUGAUGUAGUACGACUACAUUGAACAGGAUCACAUAUGAGAUUUAAUUAACUUUGUAAUAACUGUCAGACUUAUUAAAUCUCAUAGGCGUUGAUUUUACUGUAAUCUUAAUCUUGAGUUAAUUAUGAUUUCAUGAUUGUGAUUGUUAUUUCAUUUGAGUUACCAAUGGGCACGACACAUCCUUGUGGUCAAGAUUACCCGGUAUCUUGGUGGGAGCAAUUAUGAGUAUUGGAGUUAUGGAUUAACAAUAUAGAAUUUGUACAACACAUCUCUUGAUAGGUUUUCGGUACUUGAUCAUAGAAUUCUCUGGCCAGAGUGUGUCAACAUAUUUAGUAUGUUGAAAAUGAUCAUUAGAGAAAACCAGUAAGGAUCAAGGAAUAAGAUGUUAUUAAAUUGAUUGGACAGUUGAGAUAUCAAUUUAAUUAACGAUGUGGUACAAAGGAUUGUGCAGUAAAGAAAUCAAUGUGGCUUGGGACGAAUUAUUAUUCGAGCAUACAAUUAUGGAAGUCAGUUCUAAUCUUUUAGUGGAGUAGAUUUGGAAUUAAAUAAUUGGGCUAGUUUAAUUACAGGCCUAAUUAUUGUAGCCACUAUUGUAUGUUCCCAAAUGAUCCCCGGGUUAGCUCAUUUAAUUGACUGCACCACUACUGGACUAAUAAGUAAGAUAACUAGCUAUUUGGGUCAAAAGCCUAAAUAUAUCAUUUAGUGGGAGGCUCCAUUUAAUUAGCUUUUGUAUAAGGGGCCUUAUGUUAUUUUACAAGGUGGGUCCCCUAUUGAAAAAGCAAAUAAACGUGAGUUUUGUUUUUUGAUUAUUUGGAGCCCAGGGUUUUCACUAAAGGGUGAUAUAAAAGGCUUAUUUUUCCCUAAAGAAAAAAAGAGAAGCCAUUUUAUACAGAUCAGAGAAAAAGAUUUUUAUCUCCAUUGUUGAGAGAAAAAUUUUCUCGUGCUAGUUGCUUUGGUAGUGAUAAAGGCGCCCACACGUCAAGUGCAUAUCGAACCUGAGUCAUAACCUGGAAGAUCAUUGGAGACAGUUCGUGAUCUAACAAGCGUGGUGGUGACGGAUCGUGAUCUAACAGGAGUGGUGGUGGCGGAUCGUGAUCUAGGAGCCUAAAUCACUUCAACGGAAAAAGUCCAAUCGGAUUUUCAAGGUACGAUUUCUAGAAUACAAAUUCUUAUAUAUUAUAUGAGAGCGAUCUUCAAAAGGUUUUAUAAAAAUUUAAAAACCGAAUUUUUCCCCAACAUAAAUAUCCUUUGAAAAUAUUGCCAUCAGAUUUUGAAUUGGAGAACCUGAUUGAACUCAGCUUGCCUUGUAGUAAGGUUAAGCAAAUUUGGAAAAGAGAAAAGGUAUAAUGUAUUACUAUUACCAAAGUAUCUAUUUUUCUUUCUUUAAGUAUUUAUAAUGAAUAACUUUGAAAUUGAAUGAUGCUCAUUUAGUAUAGUUGUGUAUCUUUGGUUAUGGGAAGCUGUCAAGUUAAAAUCUAUAGAUCUUCACCACCCCCUGUAUCUCAAUAGGAUCCCAAAAAUACUAAAUCUUAAAAAAAUAAAUCUUUCAAAAUGUGAAAGCAUGCUUACGUUACCCGCGUAUAUCCACAAUUUCAACUAGCUCAGUAUGUUGUGUUUCAUGGGAUGCAAAAUUCAUUUUGUUUCUCAUGAAAGGAUUGACUUGUCCGGAUGUAUUAGGGUUAAUGAACCAACUAAUCCCAUAAUUUGUUGAUGUAGGGUCCUAACAAAUUAUUGCAGUAGAUUGUAGAUCAAUACACUAUUCGAAAACGUAUUUGAUCCACACAGUGAAUGUUUGAGGGUGCAUUUCUCGCGAACUAGCCAUACCCUAAACGAGGAGCCAGUCUCCUUGUAAUUGAGCAGACAGGUGAAGUCUGGUAGCAAAUAUCCAAGAGCAGGAAUUCUAUGCUCAAUCACAAGGACAUCCUCUUUUGGACUAUAAUUCGAACAUGGUUCCUACUAGGAGCCGAGAGCCUUUCCUGCUGGAGAUCGGGGUCGGCAGACCUAGUCUAUAACGGUUAACGAGACGUGCACUCCUAUUUGAGAAUCUAGGCACGAAACCAACUCAGCCGCAACUACGACAUUCAGGCAUCCACUUCCGUAAGCUGAGGGAGGUGAUGGACGUGGAUCGUGGGGCGUUGGAUUCGUAGGAAGGCUAUAAAACGGUAAUCAACGAAGGUAAAGGGGUUAGACACUUUUACACUAGAACUUAAGAAAUAAGAGCAUUUACUAAAAAAGGAGAGAAACACUCAUAGGUGUUCCACUGCCUAAGAGAUCAUGAGAGAGCCACGAGAUCAGUGGCCGAGUUUCCCAAAAAGUAAACUUAAAUUUUUGACUUGAGCGUAGGAGGAUUUUUCCUGCGUGCUCUGACCAGUUUUUGUGUGCGCAGGAGUCUGCUAAGUCAUACGAGGCAUAGCUCUGCUCGGUUAGAAGAGUUACGUGAAGUAUCCUAGGUUGGUCGUGAGUUCGGGAGUUGAGGAGAGAUCCUGGUUGCAGACGAGCAGACACCAGAAUCUCGCAUCAACAGUGAAGAUAGGGAUGGCAAAAGUCCGGGUCGGGUCCGGGUUUGGGGGUGCCCGAGACCGACCCGGAUUUCACACAUAACUGCCCGGACCCGGACCAUGCCCGGAUUUUUUCUAUGCGGGCCGGGUAUAUACCCGGCACUAUCCGGGCAUGGGUUUUUUCCAGGUUUUCUCUACCCGCAUUUUCAAAACUGACUAAAAAAAAAAAUUUGAUAAAAAAUGCUAAAUAAGUAAACAGGGCAGUGGAAAUUCACAAGGUUGAAAGCUUGCGCAAUUGGGCCUGAAAAUUCAUAACUUAUCCCCGAAUUAGCACUUAGCAGAAAACUCCCUUUCAAACUGUAAAGAGAUUUGAUGCCCAGGAAUCGAUUUGACGAAAGAAGAAAAAUGCCUUGGUCUUUUUGUUCUCUCUUCUUUUUCCACAGUGAAGAGGAAAGAAAAAUGCCCAGGAUUAUCUUGUGGACAGCAAAGUUGAUUUCAUGUGCUUUGUUGUCUUCUUAUUUUCAAAUCCCUUAGAAACAAAGUCAGAACCUGAAAUCACUAUCCUUAAACCUGCAAUUCCCUAUGUUGCAAGUCAUUUUCAGCUUCAUAGUUUUCGGUAUCAGCCUCCCUUUCCCCUUCUCCGUCAUCAUGGACGCUUCCAUUUUCUUCUUCCUCAUCUUCAUCUACUUCUACUUCAUCUUCCUCGUACUCCCCUUCUUCUAGUUCCUAGAUGUCAUCCAAGAAAAUAAUUAAGCAUGCUGCAUAUAUAUAUAUAACACCUAACAACAAUAAUGCCAAUUACUUAAUUUCUUCAUUUUUUUUUGAAAAAAACAGCCAAAAAAAAUUAAUAAUACCUCGUGGUCGUGGGUCGUGGCUGUGUUGGUGAAGUUGCAGCUGAACAAGAACAGCUGAUGCCGUCGCGUGGUGGCUGCUGCUGAGAAGAUGAACAAACGGUGAAGAGCCCUGUGACAGGACGGCUGUGCUUUGCGAGGAGAAAUAGAGUUGACUGAGGAAGGUAAGAGUUUCGGGGAGGGAGAGGCACGGUCAACACUGCAUCAGUGCCGGUGGGUGGUGGAGAGACGGAGAGAGGUGCCGCCGAUUUGGAGAUUUCUGGGUGGGUGCUGACUGCUGCAGUGCUGCAUUGUUCACUUGCAAAGUUGCAAUCGCGUUUUAGGGUUCAGUUUUGGGGGCAAUUAGGCAAAGCAAAUUUUAUUUUCGGUUUUAUAUUUUCCUUUUUUUUUUUACUUAAUAAAAAACCGGGCACAGGUCCGAGUUCCGGGUUCUUGGUGCUGUGACCGGACCCGUGCCCGGAAGCAUCCGGGCAUUGAAAAUCAAUGCCCGGAUUCGCUUUUUUCAUUCAUGCGGUCCGGGUAAAACCCAGACCGCACACACCGGGUCCGGGCCGGAUCCGGUCCGGACGGGUUUUUCUGCCACCUCUAAGUGAAGAUGAUUCAAUAUUAAGCAUGUCAUAUAAUCUAGAAGUGGAUAUUGGACCAAUUUGAUGAUGAAUUUCUUUCAAUCUCAAUCUUUUUCUUUUUAGCAACAUGACUAGUCAUUGUGCAAAUUUAAACUCUGACAAUGAUUUCUCAAUCGGUUUCUAAAAUGAUGACCAUGCAUGUAUAUGUGUGUGUGUAGAGAGAGAGAGAGAGAGAUCACACGUGUGUGAUUUCCUUUUGCCAAUAGGAUAUGCAGAGAGCUUGAUCUUACCCAAUAGCGAAACAAACUUCCUAAUAAGUGAAGGUAUAGUAUAAAUACUUAUACUUUCAUGUUAUUUUGUUCAUCAGUAGCUUGAUUAUUUUAUAUGCAUCUUCGAUUUUAAUUUUCUUUCCCUAUAAUCGCUAUUAUCUUUGAACUGGUCAUGAUUUGCCUAUAAGAUUUCUCAUGUUGUUUUGAGGUGCAAUGGAUUUUGAAUUUAGUGACGAGCAGUGGAAGCCAGAAGGCAAAUUAUGAAAAUGGAUAAAGAUCUAUAAUUAGCUGUUAUGGGAUGUCACAUAUCAUAUUGAUGGUAACAUUAUAUAUAUAUAUGUACAUAUAAUUAAUGGGGUUGGCUCACGAGCCCAUUAAUAAUCGUAUAUUAGCUUAUAUACUUCAAACAAUGUACUAUGAAGCAAUUUCACAAAUACUUGUUAGCUUAUGUUGAGCUUUAUUGAAUCAGUAGUUCACAGUUCAAUAAAAUGCAGGUUUAAUGUGACAGAGAGAUGUAGAUAACAGCCGCAAAACACUGAGAUUGAAAAUCAGGGCUACUAAAUUCUACUAAAAGCCCUUAAAAUAGACAGCGAUCACCCUGAAAUGUAUAUACUGAAACUAAGAAAUAUUAAUCGCAAAGUUAUGCAUUAAUAGAACUAUUGACUACUUAUCUUUAGCAUAAGGUAUAUUUUUAACUACAGCUUUAUGCUUUGUUUUAAGAACUAGGCAAAAAUGGUGUAUCUUCAAUCCAAUCAACAUGUAUACCACUUAUCUUCCUCUUCACUUCUGUCUAUUUUGAUUUGCACUUCAUAUCCUGCACUUGCUGCUUAGAAAUAGUCUUAUUCUGGACAUUGAAAGUAGAAAAAGUGCUUGAAACAAUCAUUGGCAUAGCCCGAGAUUCCAUUGAAUCGUGGACUCCAAGCUUUCAUAGUUCUAUAAAGAAAAUGACAAAACUUCAUACAAUUGGCAUUCUGCUUUUAACAUUUGCACAACCUGAGCGAGUUAGCAAGCCCCUUGUUGCGUUCCCAUUGAAUAGACCUACUUCUGUUAUCCACAGAAGAUCCACAACUCAAAAUGUUUAUCACCAGGCUAUUCUUAAACUGAGCCUAAACUGAGUAGAAACUUCCGCACAUCUCUCAGCAUUUACAUGAAGAAAUCGACAACUAUCCUCAUCUCUCAGCACAUCUCUCAGCAUUCUACAAAGUUGCAUUUCACUAAGCAAUCUAUCCUCUCCAUUCCUAGCAAAGUGACAUUGAUUCCCGUAUUUGUAAUCGCCUAACUUGGGUUUUGGGCAUAGCUUGGUCUUAAAAUUACCACCCAUUACUUUGUUCAGUGCCACUGGCAUCCACAAGCUCUAGCCCUGUUAGCUGAAUCAUAUUCAAUGGGACAGUGAGGCAGCAUUUCACUAACAUAUUCAAUUUGACUACUUAUAUUGACGCAAAUAUUAGAAUUUGAAAUCACUUCUUUUCUUGGAAUAUUAUAUUAAAAUGAACCCAAAUGAAAGUUCUUGAAUGGAAAUGAUUUUUAUUUAAUUUUCGAACAGAUUCAAGAAAACCCAGAGAACACAAAUUUUACACAGUAAUAUGAUUAAGAGCUGAGAACGUACAUGUAGUAAAUGUCUAUCAAAAAACACCCAAGGGUUUCUUUAAAAUUAGAAACUAGUAAACAAAAAGAAAGAAUCAUUUCACAUUUUUAGCAACUUUGGGGUGAGUGAGUGAGUGAGAAAUUGAAACCCUAAAGUGAUGACAAUAGUAAGAUUCAGUAUGAAGUGAAACCCCAAUUUGAAAUGUAGGCAUGAGUUGCUGAGUCAGUAGAUGAAGCUAUAAAUAGGCAUUCGGUUUCCUUCUUUUCGGUUUGGAGGGCCAUGGAAUAGUGUAUUGGAGUGGGCUCCAAGUAAUAGCCUCUAUCACUGGAACGACACAUCUGUAAAACGUGAUACAUGGGGAAGGAUUGGGCAUUAUAUUCUUAGAGUUAGAUUAGCGCCUUAUUUAGGGUGUAUAUUAAGCAGAUUAUACAUUACAUGGAGAUGGAGUUUAUGAAAUAGAUUAAAAAGAAAAGAAAAUUUCGGUGUCUAAAGUUUGCCACUUGGAAUAUUUCGGUGUCUAAAAAUUCACUCACCACUUAUGUCAUGUUUGAUUAUAUGUUGAAAAGAUAUUAAAAUAGUAUAAUGCUAUUAAGGCUUAACGUAUAUUUUUUAUUAGUAGAGUGUAGAAUUUUUAAGAAAUAAAUUAUUAAAUUAUUAUAACUAACAUAUUAUUUUAAAGUUGUGUUAUGAAAAAAAAAUAAAAUAAAAACAUACAGUAAAUAAGAAUAUUCUAAAACUUUUAUCUUUUUAAAAUUAGUUUUUAACAUAAGGUGAACUAUUUUUUUUUAAAUCACAUAUUCUAGUUAAAAUCAAAUAUGUAUUUAUAUGAAGCUUGUAAAUUUUUUUUUUAGUACUGAUAUUUGAAUAUUAUCAAUAAAAAAAAAAGGGUAAUGUUCAUGCUGCAUUAUUUUUGUAGCACACAAUAGGACAACACCGUUUAUGUUAUAAUACUAUCGCUUCUGUUAUGAUAAUAUUUUUUUGUGGCCAAAUAUCUUUUUUUUUUUUUUUAAGUAAAAGGGUGGACAAAAUACAAAUCAGUUUUUAAUCCUCAAUCUCUCCCAAAAUUUAAAUUCGUAGUUAACAAAACAAAAUUGUUGGAAAACCAUUAAGCUAGGUCCAUGGGUUGUUAAAACUAUAUAGCUGACAAAAAGUUACUAACAAAAACAGAAUGUCCAUUUUAUAACUUUCUUUAAAAACAUUCCUUAACUUUUUUAAAAAGUUACCAACAAAAAGUUAUUUCCAAUUUUUAUUUUGUUAUAAUUUUUAUAACAAAAUUCGUAGUUAACUAAACUCUUCUUAUUCCCUUUCUCAACUGCCAUACCCUAACCCACUAAACCACGCUCAAUUAAGGCCAUCAGAUUCUCCCGGGCCCACAUUAAUCCAACUGCUCACAGAGACCGACAGCCUCUCUAUCUCCGUUUCAAGCUCCCUCUUCAACUGGCUUCUGCUACCGUCCUACUGUUUCUCGGCUUCGGAGGCCGUAUUUGCUCGGCCGGUCCCACGAAGCUCCCUCUCACUCCAAUUGUCGCCCCACAAGACCAAUUGCUUAAUCAAGACACCGAACAAGAAGAGGAUGAGAAGUUGAAACAAGAAUUUGAGAUUGAAGUAAUUUGAGGAUAGACUGCCUAUCCUCUUUCUUUUCGGAAUUCAGUGCCUCAAUCUUGGGUUAAGGAUUUUAUGCGAAGUCAGGGAAAGAGAUUGAAGUUUCAGAUGAAUUUGUGUGCUAGCAUUGAUGGGAUCUUUAACAAUUUAUCUGUGCCCUUUAACAAAGUUAAGGCUAAGUCAGCUUCGUAUAUGGCUGCUGAUUUGGUUAGUGUUGGUGAUUCAUGGCUCAGUUUUGCAAUUAAGAUUGGUUCAAAUGCUUAUGUCACAAAUGGAAGGUAACAUCUUUAUCUUUGACCCGAUAAUUUUUAUUAUCUUUUUAAUUGCAAUGAGAAGAAAUGCCACUGUAGCAUGUAGUGAUGGCACUUAAUAAGUGAGUUGCUCGGAUGUGAACUAGAAAAAUUAAAUAUUGUCUCCUUGGGUAUGCUAGCUUGUAAGUCAGGGUUAAUAUCAGAGCUUAAGAUACUAUAACCGUGAGAAGCUAUUGACUGCCAAUUAAAAUAUCCAUUAAAAUGUCUAGGGAGUUAUGAAGGUGGAGGUAACUUCCAAUUUCUAAGGCCACAGAGUAGACAUCAUCCAGGAUCCUAGGAAAGUCCAGUUAACCUCCUGCUUGAUGCAAUUAAUAAAUUUGGUCAAUGCCACUGAAACCUGCUAACUGACGUCACAAUGUGACAUGAGCACUUCAAAAUGGGACAGACGGUCAGUAGCACUAAAUUUUUCUUGCCUAAGAUUGAGCAAUUGGUCUAACUACUAAUCCCUAUUGUAGGUUGAUCAUUAUUUUUUCAAUUAUGUUCAGUUUGACCCAAAAAGUUGCAGAAUCUUGAGCAGAAUAUUGUCACCGAACACUGUCAAUGUCGUUUAGCAUAGCCAACUAACUUGAUGUUAAAACAAGCACACAAUGUGUCUCAUGUCUCACAAAUCAAAUUAUCAUCUGUAAUGAUGGAGAAUUUUUCCAAUGUAUGAAGUAUGUUUUGAUACGUGGGUUACCUUGGAGAAGAUAUCUCAAAAUAAAGAAUAUGGGGAGAAAACAGUUCAGUAGUUUAUUAUUCUGUAGUCAAGUUUUGUCUUGAAAAUGGUCAAAAUUUAAAUGAAUAAGGACAGGGGAUCUUCAUUCUUUUUUCCCUUUUUUAUACCAAGAUAUCUCUCAACCUUUAUAUAAUCCCCACUGGAUAUCUGCUUCUAAUAAUUAAAAUAAAAAUUUCACCGCUCUAACAAUAAAAAGUAACAUCUUUAGUCAAAUAAUUUACAGUUCCUCAUCAUCUUAGUGUGAGACUAUCAGUACAUUCCAAAAACAUAAUAAAACUGGUUUGAUCCUGUUUAUUGAUGUUUAAAUGUUGUUCAUUGUGACAUGUAGAAAUGAUGAGGCAAAGUUUAUUUGGACAUCAAUUAGUAAGAUCUUGUUUGAAGUUGUUUUCUGAAAUGAACUGCCAAAUGGUAGUUUUUUGGGGACAUUUGAUGGCUCUUUUUUUUUCCUCAUUUUCAACAUGCGCCUGCUUGGAACAGGAAGAAUUAGGCUGCAGAGUUGUUAUAUAUUUUGAGAUGCUCUGGUCAUUGCACAAUUUGUUCACACUGGAAAUUAGAAUGAGAAAUUUGUUGAUGCUGUUUUGAGAGAUCUGCAUUCUAUGCACAAUAACAUGAUUAAUGAAAAUGCAUUGUAGGACUGGAAAGAUCUGUGGCAGCCUGAGCUCGCAAGAAGAAUUUCAAUGGUUAAUUCUCCCCGAGAGGUUAUUGGUUCAGUUUUGAAGUAUAGGGGAGCAUCAUACAAUUCAAAUGAUAUUGAUUCACAAGUUGCUGGUGGGAAGAUUGCUGUUCAGCAGAAUCUGGCAUUACUGGCAAACCAGGUACUCUUACAGAAAUGAUAUCUGGUCAUUGCAUGUUAUUGCCUGACAACUGAUUUUGUUUGUAAAAGUCUGCUUCUUCAUACAUAUGAAUGCAUAUGUUAGUGUUUUCUUCUCCUUUUCAUACAUAUAAAUGCAUAUGUUAGUGUUGUCUUUUCCUUUUCAUACAUAUUAAUACAUAUGUUGGUGUUCUCUCCUGAGAUGGAUGCAAUAAAGGCUUUUGCUCCUAAAUUUAGCUGAAGAAAUGGCAAGGGAUGUGAGAUUCUGUCUCUUUAAAUUAAAAAAAACCCAAAACAAUGAAAAUCCAUAAUAAUGUGGUGUGGAUAAAUUGGCUCCAUUUGGUUCGUUUCCUUAAUGUGAAUGCGCGAGCAAUAGAGACUAACAAAAUGAAGUGACAACAAGAAGUCAGUGUCCUUUGAUGGAUGCAUUUUUAGGCAGAAAUAUGUUUGUAAUUGACCAAAUUUGUCUGGCAUGCCAAUUUCAAAAAAAUUAAAUUAUGUGGUUAUUAGCGGUAAUGAAGGGGGAUAGUAGGUGCAAUCAGGUGGAUCCAGGAAAGUUCAACAAAGUUUUGGUAUGGCGUAGUGAAAUUGGUUUGUGCAACUCAGGAGUCUUUCAGGUGAACGAUGAUAGGUUUUGAUUUAUGAAUAUUAUAAAUAUACUGUGCAUAGUAUUCUAGUAGAAUCAUCUAUAAGUUCUAGUUAUUGAAAUUGUAUACUUUGCCCGGUUUGAGUUAAGGGCACAUGUAAUAUGAAAGAUAGUUGUCGCAUCUUUUAGGUUACCUAACAUUUGAUCAAUCCUAUUAUGGGGGCUUCAAGAUGUCUAACAAUAUGUAGAAUGCCCAUGCUCCUACCCAUUGUUUAUCUUCUACAAUAAUUUGUUUUAGAUGCUAAUAUCUUUGUCGAUACCGGUAACAAUAUUACAAUAUCAGCGUUUAUUGGGUUUUACAUAGGUUCGACUGGUUGACAGUACACACUAUCUGAAGGCAUUUGCAAUUGGAGAUGUAUGGGUUGCUGUUGGGUGGAUCAGUGAUGUUCUUCCUGCUGUCAAACAUAUGUCUAAUGUUGCUGUGUUGUUCCCAAGUCUGGUGCUAGCUGCCUGCCAUUCUACUUCGAUAUUCACAUUGUUAUCUCCUUCAUAUUAGCGAUCAGUAAACACGAUAAUGUGACUAAUAAGUUCGUAUUCUCUUUAUAGGCAAUCCCUGCUGCCUCAAGACUUGAAACAAAACAAAUUGGAGGGCGAGUCAGAGGUCCAUCUCCAUUAAUCCAUCAAUGGAUAGAAUUCUGCUUGCAAACAGCGAGAGCAUUGCCUUUCAAGCAAGAGGUUAUCCUGGGUGCAUCUCCCUCUGCCCUUGAAAGUACUCUGGUUAAGUUGCCUGAAGAACUUCUGGAGGGUAAACCAAGUCUGGAUACUAACUUAAUUGCUGGAGUACUCCCGGCUGAAAUUCUGGCCAGAUGUGAGUUUUUGGAGCCAUUAUCUGAAGCUACUUUGUCAGAUUAUGAGUGGCUGGUUGUUAAUCUGCAAAAACCUGCUCCUGUCUUGAUGAAAAGGGUGCAACAUUACUUGUCAUCAUUAAUCCAAAGCUUUCUAGCAAGAGCUACAUUGAAAAGUUAAUGGCGCUGCAUGCCAGUCAUUAUAAUGCUGUCAGGGCAAUUGGGUCAGGGCAAUUAGGUCUGAGCAUAACUUCAUUAGGAAAAGAGGCUUCAGCUACGUUAAAUAUUACAGGAUGUACUGAGAUGGCUGAAGUUCUUGAGGUUUUAUGAGAAAGAUGAGUGUUUGUUUGAACAAAGUUGUUGCCAAUCUUGCAGAGUUCGAAAACAAAGAUCACGGAGCGAAUGCCACCAAUUUCUUCAUCAUUUUAGCCUCCAUAGUUGAAGUUUCCUCAUUUGAAGCUGUUUAUGCAUAUGCUUUUUCCCUUCUCAAGUACAGGAAAUUGAAGAAUUAACCAGAUGUGAUAUGCUGAAAGAGGGAAGUUUUCUUCCUUGAAUGUGGCCUUUGUGAUUUGUCUUGAUGGAAUAGGGUGAUCACUGGCGAGAACCCAAUCAAGGUAGAUUUUAUGAUGUUAACAUAUUAUUAAGCAUUUUGUUGCAUCAGCAAUGAUGCUUUCAUAGAAUGAAAGUGUUUAAAUUUAACUGAAUGAUCUUGAUUGAUCAAUUAUGAGUUUUAAUCGAGUAAAAACUAAAUACAAUGAUCGUUAACAAAUAUUGAAAUUGGGUAAAUAUGAUCUUGAUAUUGAAGAAUUUGAAAUCACAACCCACACAGGAAAUCACCCUUCGCGUGGGGAUGGUGAUGUUUACUGCAGCGAUAUUGAAUAUGUCCGCUGCUCUUUGGGUUAUGGUGCGAGUGCGACUUGCGAUUUCAAGGUUGCCAUGAAACAAUGGAAAAGAUUAACAUGCCCUCCAAUGAAUGAAACUAUUAUGUUAUUAACAAUGCACAGUCCGAGUACUUUUCCAGGAUCAGAUACGAGGUGGUCUAAUGUUGAUAAUAAUAGAUUAUCAAAUGACAAAUCGUUGUUCUUGGGUGGUGAUUUCAGAAAUAAAAUACAUUCUGAGAGAUGCUGGUUUACUAUUGCAAGCCCCCAGAUUUAAGAAUCUUUUGAUGAUAAUUUAUCACCUGCAGCUGUGCCGGAAGAUUCAAGUAGCACUGAAAAAGAUGAUAAUUUAAUUGAUAUGGACAGUUUUCAUAUCACUUUUAAAUCAUCUUAUGUAAUUGUAAUGUUAGGAAGCAUUAGUGAUCUAAAAGUGAACUAUUAUUGGUGUAAUUGGUGGUUUUAUCUUGUUAAAAUAUGGAUGACUUCCUGUUACUAUUUUAUUAUAGACAAUCUUAUUCAAUUAACAUAUGGUUUAAAACCAUUAUGUUUUAUGUAAAUCAAUCUAUUAAUUUUCAUGAUACUUAACUGAGUUAAAACCAAGUGCACUCAAUAAAUGUCUUUUCCUUUAAAAAACUGCUACGCUUUGAUUUUAGUGCUUAAUAUUUCGUAACUACAGAUUAUCUAAUUGCGAGUUGCUGUCCAUAGCUACUAAUUUGUAGUGAUUAUCUAAUUGACGAAGGUGACAAUAAUUAUUUUAUUUUCAAUAGCACAACGUGGAAUUCAAUAAUUAAAUUCUCCUGUUUAAUUUGUUUUAAGUUAAAUUAUUAAUUACUUAAACUCUGUUUUAAGUCUUUAAUUUUCUGUGUUUAUGCAGAAUUGGAUUCUUGAGCGUGUUGGACAUGACCAACAAUGAAAUUGACGUAAACAAACAUUACAACGUGUGGACUCCGGUAGCUACCCCGCAAGUCUACAACUUUACAAAUAAUAAUUGAGUAAGCACCUUUGAUUUCUAGCCCCGUUGACUCCACCGACUAAAGUUUUGUAAAAUAAAAAAAAAAUGCAUAGAAUUCCACCAAAUGCAAAACGCGUGGAAUUUAAUUUUCGGCCGUGUGGAUCAAAACAUAAUUUAAUGAAAAAGGAAAAAAAAUGAUAAGAUUUUUAAAAUGUGUGGAAGGUGAUUCAUAUUUUACUGAAACAACUUGUUAAAUUUUUCAAGGAUUUAUAAUAUUUGGUCAUAAAUUACGUGCAUGUUAAUUUUUCCGCCAUUGACUAUCAUAUUCUAGACUUAAUGGUACCUUUCUUGAUGAAGGGUACUUAAUCUCUCUUCUCCUCUUAUAAAAAUUAUAUUAAUUGAUUUCUUAUUAUAGUUAAUAGUCUUCAAGAACGGAUAGAUUUAUUGUCUUCAUGACCAAAUUAUGCAUGCCUAACGUUGCAACUAUUAAUAAAAUUAAUAUUUAAUGUUUAUGUUAAAAUAUAUAAGAUUUUAUGCAUUCAUUAAUUGUUAUUAGCUAAAGGAUGAAUUAUUUUUUCCCAAUCAGUUGAUGCAUCUGCAAGAGUUUUUUUUUUCUUUUAUUGACCAUAAUUAUAUUCCGGGUACAAUAAAUUGUCUUUGGUGCUUGGAAGAUAUGACAUCUCUCUGUCAACUUACUGGAAAUAUCUCCUCAUCUACUCUCAUUUAUCUAAUAUCAAUUGAAGAUCUCAUAUUUCCAAACUAGGACCUCCAAAUCUCAUUAUCAUUUGAGCAUUCAAAACUAAUCAAGUGUGGAAAUAAUCAAAUAUAUGCAAAAAUCGAGUCACAAUCUUUGGCCCCUCAAAAUUCUAAUUAUAUAACUUCAUAUCUCAUACAUUUUCCAAAUUCCUCUUCCAUCAACAUCACUAGGAGUAUGUUCAUCUCUCACACAUUAACUUGAGUGGAGAGUUUCCAAAUUGAUUGUCAGAAAACAAUACAAAAGCUAGACACACUUGAUCUGUCUAAUAAUUCUCUUUCGGUAAAAUAAAUUAAUUUUAGGGUAAUAUUCAGCCAACCUCUGUAAUUUCAGAGUGAUCAUUAAUUAAUUAAUUAAACGAUACAAUAUCUAAAGUGAUUAGAUGUUUGCGGACAAUAUAAGUUCAUGGCUUGAAAUUUGAUCUCUAUCGAUUGGUUUACAGAUGGACGUACUUGUGCCUUUGUGGUGAUAAUUGAACCAGAGAUGUGAAGCUGUAAGGAUUUGGCAGUAGUAAAUUGUUAUAAAGGCAUAAAGACAACUAUUUUACAACAAAUUCAUCUCGCCAAAAAUUCUAUUUUGCUAACUAACAAUAAUUGAGCACUUGACCGCAUUGACUCCACGUCUCCAGCUACUUUCUAAGUAAAAACAUGGAAAUGUAAUCUCCACAAAAUGCCAAACGUGUGGAAUUUAAUUUUUGGCCUUGUGGACCAAAAUGCAAAUGAAAGAAAAAGAAGGAAAAAAACAAGGCCCAAAGACUUCUAAAAGAUGUAAAAGUCUUUGGGUUUUUUUAUAAUGGUGGAUUUUUUAAAAGAAAAAAAAUAACAACACUCCUAUGGUUUGUUUUGAUAAUCACAUUUACAUAUACUCUCUAAUUUUCAAAAUGGACACAUAAAUCUUUUUUUUUCCUACAAAUGUAUAUUAUUCGUAUUUUUUAUUAUUUUUAAUAUCAUAUUGUUAUUUAUUAUAAAUGUUUAAAGUAAAUUUUUAGGUUGAAAUAUAAUAAAAGGGUAUAAUCGUUCUCUUAUUAAACACCCAUACUUUUAGUUUCUAUCCAUUUGCCAUCUCAAUCUCUCUCAAUUAUUCAUUAUUGCUAGCUCAAAAUGCGUUGCUGUUGCAAAUUAUAGCAAAAAGACAAAUAUGGAAAAGAAAAAACGGUAGAAAAUUAGUGCAUGAAAGACUUGGAGAAAACAACGAAGUAAGUCAACUAUAAUCUAGCUGGGUGUAUAAAUUGCUUGAUGCUUUAUAAGCAAAUAACAUACAGAGACAGACAGUGUGUGUUCGUUUUUUCAUAGUUAAAGAUAUAGUUAGAAUGGGCGGUUCAAAAUCAAAAAUGGUGAUAAUGUUUGUUAUGUUAUUAAUAAUAUUUAAAAGUGGGUGGAGUGAGGGAUGUUUGGAUCACGAGAGAUUUGCUCUUUUGCGACUCAAACAUCUCUUCGAUGAUACUGGUAGUUAUCCUUACGACUGGGUAGAUGGUGAGGGAGCUAUUGAUUGUUGUCAGUGGGAAAGGGUUGAGUGCAGCAACACCACAGGCCGAGUGAUAGCGCUAGACCUUUUUGAAAUGUAUUCGGGAGAGUACAGCUGGUAUCUGAAUGCUUCUUUGUUUACUCCCUUCCAACAACUUGAGUCACUUGAUUUAACUGACAACAAAAUAGCCGGUUGUGUUGAGAAUGAAGGUGCUUCGUUUAAUUUAAUUAAUUUACUUUCUCCCCCCUAAUUUAAGUUGAAUAUCAAGACCGAGCAACUAUACGCAUAUUCAUUUAGUCGACAAUUUUGACUUUUUUUUAAGUGAUUAAUUAAUUUUAAAAUUACACCAAUAUCUAUGAUCUUUUUUUUUUUUUAAUUUUGCUUGCAGGUCUAGAGAGGCUAUCAAGAUUGAACAACUUGAAGAUGCUUAAUUUAAGUGAAAACUCGUUCAACAAUAGCAUUUUAUCAUCUCUAACUCAUCUUUCAUCAUUAAGAUCAUUAAAUUUAUUUUGGAAUAGAUUGGAAGGAAGUAUUGACUUUAAAGGUACAUAAUUAAAACUUCAUCCCUUCUCCAAGCUCUUUCAUUAACUUGCUAAAAUAAGACUCAAGGCUUUGAAUUCAAUUUUUUUUAUGAUUAGUAUUAAAAAAAACAGUUUUAAGCAAUUUAUAAAUACAAGUUUUAAUGGUUAUCGUAAUUUCAUCUUGUAAUUUCAUAUGUCUUGAAUUUAAGAUUAAAAAAAAACUCUAAUAGCGAACCAAACACCUCCACAACUUAUUAUUAUUAUUAUUAUUAUUAUUAUUUAUGGUGAGGUUGGAAACAUUCAACUUAAUUUGUACUUAUUACAGAAUUUGAUUCUUUGAGAGAUUUAGAGGAGCUAGACAUUGGCGCGAACAAGAUUGACAAAUUUGUGGUCUCAAAAGGUACUACAAAUACCACAAAAAAUGUAAACUUUUACAAAUUAACUGGAUUCUUUGCCAUUUGGUUUAUUAUUUUAUAGGUUUGAGUAAGUUGAAGUCUCUUGAUUUAAGUGGUAUCAAACUCAACCGUAGUAUCUUAUCUUCUCUAACUGUCUUUUCUUCAUUAAGAGAAUUACAUCUACGUGAUAUCGGAUUCAAAGGAACAUUUGAUGUUCGAGGUAAGCCUAAGCCUUGCUUUCUCAUUUUCUAUAUGCCAACUAGAUUUGUGUAUCAUCGACAUAAUUUAAUAUUUAAUUUGAUAAGUCUGAAGGAAUUACAUGCUAAUUUAAACAUACUUUUAUUUACUUUGUCAAUUAAUUAAUUAAUUAAUUACUAUUUGACAUUGGACGGUUCCUCUCUCCAUAUAAGCCUUCUGCAAAGCAUUGCAUCAUUCACUUCGUUAAAAAAUCUGUCGAUGUCUGAUUCUGAAGUCAAUGGUGUCCUACGUGGUCAAGGUAAAAGAAAAGUGUUGACUGUGAAUAAGCUGUUAAUUAAUUAAUGUUGUUGCUCCUUGCUUCUAAACAGAGUUGCGCAAUUUCACCAACUUGGAAUAUUUGAAUUGGAUUCUUCCUCGCUCCAUAUAAGCCUUCUACAAUUGCUUGAACAAUUUAUUUAUUUAUUUAUUUAUUAUUAUUGUUGUUGUUGUUGUUGUUGAAGUGGGGUGGGCAAGCGUUUACUCGGUUAAUAUGUGGGGAAUUAAAUAUUACAAUCCAAGGUAGAAUUGUGGAAAAUUAAAGUAAAAUGAGAAAUAUGGAAAGAAAGGAAGAAAGUUAAGGGCAUGAAAGACUAGGAGAAGACUAAAGACCACCAAAUAAGUCAACUGAAAACUAGCUGGGGCCUGGGUGUAAAAUUGUUAGAUGUGUUUGUUAUAAAUAACAUAGAGCCCUCUUGUUGGUUGCAGAGGCAGAGAGACAGAGAGUGUGCAUUUUGUUAAUUAAAAAUAUAAAUAUAUAAAAUGGGUGGUUCAAAAUCCAAAAUGGUGAUAAUGUUAGUUUUGUUAGUAUUAAUAAUAUUAUAAGGGAGGUGGCGUGAGGGAUGUUUGGUGCAUGAGAGAUUUGGUCUUUCGAGACUUAAAACAUUUCUUCAAUUCUCCUUCUAAUUUUUGUCACGACUGACCGUUGUCAAUGGGAUGGGGCUGGGUGCAGGGUUGAUUUACGUUAGAACAAUAUAGCCGGUAGUGUUGAGAAUGAAGGUGUUUCAUUUAAUUUAAUUAAUUUACUUUCUCCCUCCUAAUUUAAGUGGAAUAUCAAGACUGAACAAUUAUAUGCAUCUUCGUUCAGUUGACAAUUUUGACAUAUUUUUUUAAGUGAUUAAUUUUGAAAUUACACCAAACAUUAUUUGUGAUCUCUGUUUUGACUUUACUUGCAGGUCUAGAAAGAUUGAGCAACUUGACGAUACUUGAUUUAAGUCAUAACUUGUUCAAUAAUAGCAGCUUGUCAUUUGUUGCUCGUCUUUCAUCAUUAACAUCAUUAGAUUUAUCUUACAAUGGAUUGGAAGGAAGUAUUAAUAUUAAAGGUACGUAAUUAAAACGCCAUCGCUUCUCCCAACUCUUUCAUUAACAUGCUAAAAUAAGAUUCAAGGCUUUGAAUUCAAUUUUUUUUAUGAGUAAUAUUAGAAAAAUAGUUUUAAGCAAUUCAUAAAUACAAUUUUCAAUGUUUCUCAUAAUUUCAUCUUGUACUUUUGUAUGUCUUGACUUUAAGAUUAAAAAAAAAAAUUACUCUAAAUGUGAAGCAAAUACCCCAUGACUAAUUUACAAUUUUGUCCAAUUAAAAAUGAUAAAAUUUAUCAUUUGUUUACAUUGAUUUAUUAACUCUAUUUUAAGUCUUAAGUCUUGGCGUCUUGGCAUGUUUGCAGAAUUUGAUUCCUUGAGCAACUUAGAGGAGUUGGACAUGCGCGGUAAUGAAAUAGACAAUUUCGAGGUUCCUCAAGGUACACAAUUAAAAUAUUAUUUAAUUACAAUAAUUUAAUUCGUUUGAUUAGGGAAGGCCCAAAAUGUACAAAAACAUAAUUAAAAAAAAAUAAAGAAACAGAGAAUUCAUAUUAUUUCAAAAAACAAAAGGUAAUACUAUUAUUUCAAAAAAAGAAUGUAAUAAAGAUUUGAUUCCGGUUCUUUAAUCUUUAUAGCAAUUGAAAAACAAUGUUGCUCUUUUCCUAAAGCAUAAAAUAUGAAAUGAGUCAUAAUUGAAUUAGUCAUUUAUUUUGUUUAGAUAUAAAUUUAGACAAUAAAUUUUCAUUUUUUUUUCAAUCCUAUCCUUAUUAUUAUUAUUAAACAGGUUACAGAGGUUUGAGGAAGUUGAAAAGCCUCUAUCUAUCGAACGUUAAAAUUAGAGAUGGAAGCAAGUUGUUACAGUCAAUGGGAUCACUCCCAUCCCUCAACACUCUUUACCUGAAGCAUAAUAAUUUUACCGGUACAGCGACAACUACUACUCAAGGUAAGUAAAAGGUACAGAUGUGGCCAAAAUUAUAAACAAACUGUUAAUUAAUUAAUUUUUCCGUAUUAUUAAUUAAGCUAAAUUUGUUGCUCCUUCCUUCUAAAUCUACACAGAGUUGCACAAUUUCACCAACUUGGAAUAUUCGACAUUGUCCGGUUCCUCUCUCCAUAUAAGCCUUCUGCAAAGCAUUGCAUCAUUAUUCCCUUCAUUAAAAAAUCUGUCGAUGUCUUAUUGUGAAGUCAAUGGUGUCGUACGCGGUCAAGGUAAAAGAAAAGCGUUGAUUGUGAACUCACUCAAUGGUGUCCUGCGUGUUCAACAUUUUUGUUUAUUUAUUUUAUUGUUUAAUGUUUCUGCUAGGUUUUCCCCAUUUCAAGAGUUUGGAACAUUUGAACAUGGAACGCGCGCGCAUUGCACCCAACACCAGCUUUCUUCAAAUCAUCGGUGAAUCGACGCCUUCUCUUAAGUACUUAUCACUGUCAGAUUUUACUCUCAGCACUAACAGCAGCAGGAUUCUUGAUCGAGGUUAAUCAGAUGCUCCCACCCUCCCUUCUUAAUCUAUAAUAUUAAUUUUCAAUUAAAUAUUUAAUUACACAAAUGAAUCACUUAUUAUAAAAGAAUAAUACGCAUUCAUUAAUUUCUAUAUUGAAUUAAUUGAUGAAUUUAAUAAAUUUUCAGGCCUCUGUUCGUUGAUGCAUCUGCAAGAGUUGUACAAGGUUAAUAAUGAUUUAAGAGGUAGCUUGCCUUGGUGCGUGGCAAAUAUGACAUCCCUCAGGAUAUUAGAUGUUUCUUCCAAUCAACUUACUGGAAGCAUCGCUUCAUCUCCCCUCGCUCAUUUGACAUCCAUUGAGGAGUUGCAUCUUUCAGACAAUCACUUCCGGAUCCCAAUUUCACUUGAACCACUUUUCAAUCACUCAAGACUCAAGAUUUUCGAUGCUGAAAACAACGAACUUAAUGCAGAAAUAACUGAGUCAUAUUCUUUGACCACCCCAAACUUCCAAUUACAAUAUCUCUUGUUGUCUUCCGGUUAUGGAGAUGGUGCCACAUUCCCCAAAUUCCUUUACCAUCAACAUGACUUGGAGUAUGUUGAUCUCUCACACACAAAGAUGAAUGGAGAAUUUCCAAAUUGGUUGUUGGAAAACAACACAAAAUUAAAAACUCUUUUUCUGGUUAAUGAUUCUCUUGCAGGACCUUUCCGUUUGCCAAUUCAUUCACACAAGCGGUUAAGACAGUUAGAUGUCUCCAACAACAACUUCCAAGGCCACAUUCCAUUAGAAAUUGGAGAUAUUUUACCAAAUUUAAUAUCCUUCAACAUUUCAAUGAAUGCUUUAGACGGUAGCAUUCCCUCUUCAUUUGGUAAUAUAAACUUACUCAAAAUUCUGGACUUAUCCAACAACCAAUUGACUGGUGAAAUCCCUGAGCACUUGGCCGUCGGUUGCGUCUACUUGGAUUUUCUUGCGUUAUCAAACAACAGCUUAGAAGGUCAUAUGUUCUCUAGAAACUUUAACCUAAAAAACUUGAAAUGGUUACAAUUGGAAGGCAAUCGCUUCGUAGGUGAGAUCCCACAAAGUUUGUCUAAAUGCUCCUCACUAAAAGGAUUGUACCUUAACAAUAAUAGUCUUUCGGGUAAGAUUCCACGAUGGUUGGGUAAUCUCACAUGGUUACAAUAUAUUAUAAUGCCCAAUAAUCAUCUUGAAGGUCCUAUUCCAGUGGAGUUUUGUCAACUUUAUUCGCUUCAGAUUUUGGACAUUUCAAACAACAACAUAUCUGAAAGUUUACCAUCUUCUUUCCAUCCUCGCUUUAUCAAACAAGUUCACCUAUCGAAAAAUAUGUUACAUGGACAACUAAACAGAGGUACAUUCUUUAAUUGCUCUUCCCUUGUGACAUUAGAUCUUAGCUAUAACUGCUUGAAUGGCAGCAUUCCGGAUUGGGUUGAUGGGCUUUCUUAGUUAAGCCACCUUAUCUUAGGUCACAAUAAUCUUGAAGGUGAAGUGCCAGUUCAAUUGUGCGAACUGAACCGAUUGCAAUUGUUAGAUCUUUCUAAUAAUAAUCUUCACGGUCCUAUUCCUCCUUGCUUUGAUAACACCACACUUCAUGAAAGUUACAGCAAUAGUUAUAGUCUUGAUGAGCAAUUUGAAAUAUUUGUUUCCAUCGAAGGCUCUUGGGGAUCGGUAGAAAAGUAAAUCCAUGAAAUUUUUGAGUUCACAAUAAAGAACAUUGCGUACAUUUACCAAGGAAAAGUUCUUAGCCUCCUAUCAGGACUUGAUCUUUCUUGCAACAAGCUAAUCGGUCAUAUUCCUCCUCAAAUUGGAAAUUUGACAAGGAUUCAAACAUUGAAUCUAUCACACAACAACUUGACAGGAUUGAUCCCAUCAACAUUUUCAAACUUGAAGCAUAUCGAAAGUUUGGAUCUUUCCUACAACAAAUUGAAUGGGAAAAUCCCUCAUCAACUUGUGGAGUUAAAGACAUUGGAGGUUUUCAGUUUGGCAUUCAAUAACUUAUCAGGCGAAAUUCCAGAAUGGAAAGCACAAUUUGCAACCUUCAACGAGAGUAGCUAUGAGGGAAAUACUUUUCUUUGUGGAUUGCCAUUGCCCAUUUGCAGAUCACCAGCAACUACGCCGGAGGCUUCAAUUGGCAAUGAAAGAGAUGAUAAUUUAAUUGACAUGGACAAUUUCUUUAUCACAUUUACAACAUCGUACGUAAUUGUGAUAUUUGGAAUCGUUGUUGUUUUAUAUGUAAAUCCUUAUUGGCGAUGUAGAUGGUUUUACUUUGUUGAAAUGUGGAUAACUUCCUGUUACUAUUUUGUUGUAGACAAUCUUAUUCCAACAAGAUUUUGUCAUUGAAAUUAAUAAGUAGUUUAAUUAGGAUUCUUUAAGUACUAAUCAAGUUUGCUUAGGAAAUAAAUUUUUAUUAAAAUUGUAGUAGUAUUUAGCAUUAUAUAGCUUCCAACUUUCAAGCACUUCACAUUUGUCUCUACACUUAAAAAGUUGAGUGAUCAUGUUUUGCAGAUCUGGAUUUGGAGAAGGAUGGAUCCAAACCCAAAUCUGUCCACCAUAACUUAUACCCUACACUGUGUAGCAUACUUAAAUAAGAGAAUCAUCUCCAAUGUUAAAAGCAACCACUCUAUAACAUUCAUUUAGAAACUAUAUUCAGAAUAGUUUUAUAAUCAUACACAAGAAAUGAAACACCUAGAUACACUUGAUCGCCUAUUUUACUCUAAAAAAGAACGAUUAUAGUGUUAUCAUCAUCUUCUUCACUAGCAACAUUAACACCAAAUCCAGCGAUGGACGCAUACAUUUCAUCAAGAAAGGUAUAUAUCUAAUAAAGUUGAAGCCUGACAAAAAAUUCAGGAAGAUUCAUGCCUCGCCACAACAAGGGGCACAACAACAUCAAAGUAGAGAUUAAGCAGUAUUCUCAAAGCUAAAACUCUCAAAUCCACCCACCAAAUUUUCAUAUCUCCUCAACAAUUUUAAGAACUAAAGAUAAUUAGGAUUUAACAUUAGUUUUUUAUAUAGUAGUUUCAUAAUUUACAAAUCAAUGAAGAUGAAGAUUAUGCUAAUGAAUUCAAAUUAUACCAUACAUUCUCUAGAUGUUACCAAAAAUUUCUAAGUCAAUCCCACAUAUUUCAUAAUUUUAAGACUAGAAAAUUUCAAUAGUUAGAAGUUUCAUUACCUUCAAGUGGAAGAUGAAGAACAUUAUGCAAGUGAUUCAGGUUAUAUCAUACAUACUCCAAAUGCAACUAGAAAUUAACAAGUUCAUGCGCACAUAUUUCAUAACAUUAUGAUUGAAAAGUUUCACAAAGAGAAAUUCUAAAUUCAAUCCCUUGCAUCAAGGCAGUUUGAUUGAUUUGAGUUACUUUAUGAUCAAGCUACUAAUAUAACAUUCAAGUCAGGGAGAAAGUAAAUUAAAACUGGGUACAAAUAACAGUAAAAAUUUGUUGCUAAACAUGAUGUGUAUUUUUUUAAGGCAAUUUGGAAACACAUUUGUUACUAGAUAUUCUCCUCAACUUGGAGACAAAUACAAAUAUUAAAAUGCAUAUGAUCGCACAUACUACUUGGAGCUUAGUAAGAUUUCAUUAAAAGAAGCAAUCAAACCACUUAUCAAUUGUCGCAAUCGUUCUAUAAACUAAAAUAGCAAUAUAAUACAAGAAAAAGAACAUAUAGAUACUCGGCAAGAGUUCAUUAAGAAGUCGCAUCACAUUAGGGUGAGGAGUUUGCUUCUGAUAUCUUGCUAGCUGGGGCUUUUUCUUGUCUUUCUACGUAUGCCGAGGGAAACCAACCAGCUAGGCCCUUGCAUUCACCUUCCGACCAUCCAGUAGGAGCCACCUUGAGAAGUUAUAACUAAAACGGUGAAUUAAAAAAAAGUUGACAAUUCAAAGACCUAAGGGGAAAACUAAUUCUUUUACGUAGAGGAAGUGAACUAGUUGUGAUCACUGAAAUAAAAAAAUAACUAUGGAAGCAUAACAAGAUAUAAAUUCACAUGUCUAUAAGGGUAAACAGGGUGGUUUAGAACUGAGCUAGCAACCCUACUAUAUUCUGAUUUGCACUUCAAUGUAAAAGGGAAUAUAUGGUAGGAAGAAAAAAAACCAACCAUCAUUUGUUAACUUAUUGCUUUUCAAUCAAAAUUUUAAGAACAAAAUGCCAUGUGCUUUGAACAUCAAAUAAGUAUAAGCAUUAGUUCUAAAUUCCACAUAUUAUAAGUUGUUAGAAGGAUAAGUUAAUAGCAUAGUAGAAAAAUCUAUGUGUUGGUAUUUAGAGGGGAAAGUACCUGGCGAACCACAACAUAAUCAUCAAUUGAAAGACUUAGCUCUCCAUUUGCUUGAUCAUCAAAUGGAUGUAUAACCUGCAAGAUAAUGGGAUAAAUAGAACUUAAAAAAAGCAUAACAAAAGCAGCAACAGCAGCAGCAGCAUUCAUUGUAACCACUAUGAUCAUGGCCAACAAAGAUAUAUUAGAAACAAAAUUCCAUUUUUACUACGACUUUAAUAUGUACUAUACGAUAUCAUGACGAUUGGGUUAUCAAGUGCUAUCAAAGUCUAAUAAGUUCUGUAUAACUUUAUAUAGUUAUUUUAAUUAUGGAUCAAAUUUUAAAUUUGAAAUUUUGACUGCUCUCCACAAAAUAUGGCCUAUGCACAAGAAAGUCAUAGAUAAUGAGGAUUACAAGUGUCCGACAUCUUUUGAGUGAUGGAUUUAACAUGAGAGCUUAUGGUCAGUCAAUUUCCUCUGCCUAGCAAUAUAAGCUUUCUCGGCCAGAUUUAUCAUCAAAUACAUAGAUUGCCCCCAAGUCACAUCCAUAUAAACAUAGUUUUCUAGGUAAACCAAGGAGAAUCAUAAUUUAGACAUAAUCAUAAAAAGGCCCAUCUAACUUAAGAGAAAAUCUCAAAAAGAGGGAUGUUGAGCUAUCAGUCUUGUAUCUAUAAGCAAUAUCAAGACUUUACAUCACCUGCUACAUCGUGAGUGGCUACACAACUUUCAGUGGUUUGUCUUUCUUUGGCAUGCCUAACUCAGCUUUGAUGUUGCUGAGAUAUUGAUAGUAGAGACACAUGAUACUUCUAGCUCAUGCAUUUUAUCUAGCUCAUCCGACAACUAUUUCUUUUUUAAUUCAUUAGUGUUUGCUAAACCUCAUGCUCAAAAGUCCUGUUCUCCUAAACAAAGUUUCCUAAGAAUGACUUCCUCAGCACAACAUUUGGACACUUUUAGAGCAAUUUUAUUUGGAGGAAAAGAAUUUUCAAGGUGUUAACUAAUAAAUUUUAAAAUAUAAUUACAAUUUGUCCUACGAUCAUAUGACAAUUUAUUUGGGAUGAAAGGAUACAGACAGACAUCUUCCACUUUCAAGACUAAUCACUACUUCCGUAGAUGUUGUGCAAUGAUACAAAUACUUGACCAGAUGGUAGUGAUGGUAGAAAAAAAUUUAUUGCUCCAAAAUUAAAAUAAGAAUGCAAUAUGUUAAGCAAAAGACUGUGCAACAUCAAAUUAAUUGAUGAGUUUGUAAUUCAGUAAAUUAACAACUUUCAUGGUAAAAUACAACAAGUUUCUUUUAAAAAAAAUAAAAAAAAUAAAUCUUAAAAGACAGCAUUCAUUUUUGUGCGCAUGUUAUUUCUUAAGAUUUUUCAGGAGGAGGGCAAUAGAGGGACUUUCACCUAUGCAAGAGAGCAGAAGCCUUACUUUUGCUAUAAAGUAGACGUCAUUCUGAUUAAUAUGCGUUUGAAUCAGCUCCGUUUGCUAUAAAGUAGACGUCACACAUGAGGCAUUUACAUCCAUUUCCAAAGUCACAUGUUGCGAGGAGGACUCAUUUGAUUGCUCCUCUAGGAUCAUCUAAUGCAAGUAGUAAGGGUUGGAAGAAAAUAAAAAGUCACAAUUAUUCUUUUGCGUAAGUGAGACGAAAAUGAUAAAUGCAAUAUUAUCAGCAGUAAACAAGAAGAGAACGCUCCAAGGAAUAGAUAGAUGCAGACAAGCAAGUUAAAAUGCAUAGUCCCAAACCUCCGCAUACAACUUCUCUAAAAUAGCAAUAACGUGUUGAUGAUAUGUUUUCUCAGCAUCUACCUGCAAAGGCCCGAGACCAGGAAAACGGCAAUAAAACCACUAGCUAAAGGAGAAAGUAAAGAAAGAAAUACACUUGACAUAAAUCUUGACAAGAAGCACAGUUUAAACCCCAAUCAUAUUGUUUAGAACUACCAUUCGUUAUUGUAACAUUUCGAACAAGUGUUGACUUAAUUCAACAUUGUUGGAAAGAUAGGCUUUUAAAAGCGGAAGAAAGCCACUCAAACCAAAGUGAUUGUCCUUGUAUUGAUCAAGGGAUGUAAACAUAUUACAUUUGCAGGAUAAGUUUUAAUUAAUCACUCCCCUGAUUUAUUUGGGUUGCAGUUUAAUUUGUGAAUUUUUUUCUAUAGACAUGUUAGUUCUUGCUAUUGAAAUGUUAAAAGCAUUGAAAAAUUAUUCAAUAAAUUAUGCAUAACAUUAAAAUAGAGGACAUAUUAAAAAGUUUCUAAUUACAAUGUUAAUAUUUCCUAUAUUUUAGCAUUUGCAUAUUUUAAUUUAUUUAAAAGCUACGUCGAUCAACUGUGGGCAUGAAGAUUUUAGCUUCUACGAGACUUGAUUGGAAUAUGCAUAAGGAAGAGUGUUAAAAUAUGAUGCAUCCAACGAAAGACAAACCACGUGUAGUCUUUUAAUUAAGCCAAAGUAGCAGCUCAAACAAAUGACACUUGGACCAACAUGCAAUCAUGAAGUGGCCGGAAAAAGGACAAAUGCAACUUUGGCUUAAAUAAAAAAUAACAUGUGACUUGACUUUUGCUGGACAUGCAUCAUGUUAUUACAAGACAACAGAAAUCAGUAUGAUAGUACUAAAAGUUGACAAUAACAUGAAGAUAAGAGGCAGAAUGUCAACACAUGCAUAGGCACACACAAGAAAGUAUUAACUUAUAUACCAUAGCAAAAAGUCUUUGAUAUGUCAUCUGUUGCUGCUGUGAUUCAACUGACAGCAUGGCAGCUGUUGCUUCUCUACCAAGAGCCAUUAUUGUAGAUUUAAGCUCGGUCAAUCUUGCUUCUGCAUUUCGAAGCUUCACAGCACUCUCUGCUGAUAUAUCAGAUUCCCUAAUCUUUGAUCGGCGCCUAAAUACUUCAGCUGCCUGGUGAAAAUAUUCAAUAUAAAUCUAACAUAAUUCUAAUCUUACCUGGGCUUCAACUUCAUGUCGAAGUUUGUCAUAACGAUGAGUCAGGUGUCGAGCAUCUUCCAAAGGUGCUCCGUUGAUUAACGCCCGUAGUGGCUCAGAUACCUACAUGUCCAAAAACCUGUAACAUAGUUAGAAAAAUGAAAAGAAAGAGCGAAACCUCAAUUAAAAAGUUCCUCCAACAUAAUCAUGGAAUUUGGGCCUACUUCAAGGAUAUAUAUAUAUAAGGAUAAUUUAUGCAAUUUUGGGUCUUAGGAUGAUUCAUAUUAGGUUAGUGUUCUUCUCUUCUGUAUUUAAGGUUAAAAUAGAAAUAAACCUAUGCAAAUAUAUAAAUUAGGGCUGUAAGACUUCCACAUGCAUCCUUCAGUCUCAUGGAUUUGAUUUUACUAUAGAUGCAAGUGUCUUUAUCGAAAAUGCUUGGAGUCAAUUGAGAGAACUCACGGCCAAUAACUUGUCAGACGCUAGUCUUUGCUAGUGAUGUAAGAAGUCACAAGGUCUCUUCAGCAUUUGAACCAAUAAAAUUAUUAAGUCAUGGAUGUCACUAGCAAUGAUUUUAAUAUAAAACAUUAAAUAUUUCAGAGUUGUAACUUUAAAAUGGAUUCUUUUAUUCAAUAUCUUAGAACUAAGUUUCCUUAUGAGAAGAUAAUAGUUUCAGUAGUAAUUUACAUAUAAUUUUCUAUAUUUGAAUUAUUUUCUAGUUAGGGAUGAACUAACCUGAUCACCAAGAAUCCCAAGCAAAGUUUCCCUCUCAUUUUCCAUCAAAUCAUGUGAAGUGCCAAAUUGAAGAGCAGCUCUUGCAACGCAAGAAUUGUCACUUUGAUUCUCCGCUCCAUACUUGCAACAAUCUUCAGCCAACUUUCUCGCUACAAUAUUUGAAUACAAAAAUAUUGUGCACAAGAACUAGUCAAGAAAAAAAAAAUCAAAUAUUAUAACGAAUGCAAGAGCAAACAAACAACCUAUUUCCAUUUGUUUCAAGCUUACUGCAACAAGCCCUUCAAUGCCACGAACAAUAUUCCUCUGAAAAUGCUGCGCUACAGAGCAUAUAUUCCAAAUUAUUGUUCAGAUAAAACCAUAGAAACCAUCAUAAUUAUUCAACAUACAUUAAGCUCCGUUUGGUAAAUACUUGCAACUUCAGUCUAGAGAAUACAGUUCUAUAUAUGUAGCAGUCUAAAGGAGGAUGGUGCCUUAGCUGCCCUGGUGGAAUUGUAUAGAUUUUGAAGUUGUUGGUGACACUCAAUUUCAGCUUCAUCAACUGCCUGUACAAAUCAUAAAAAACUAAUGAAAAAAAUAAAUAAAAUCGAGAAAUUUCACUAAUUAAAAGUCUAAAUAUAAUUUUAAAAAAGAAAGAAACGCACUUGGUGCUGCUUGGCGACUUGUUCUCGGAGCUUGAUUGCCUGUUUCUUGAUAGCUUCCAUACUGUUUCUUUCAAAAAGCGGCGACGGCUCAGCUCAUGGAAGUUGGGGAAAAAAAAAAGUGUGAUCAAGAAAAUAAAAAGGCAUAUUAUUGUUGACAAAAUGUGAAAAUAAAAAAGAAAAAAGAAAAUUAUAAGUUUGAAAGGAGAAGAUGAUAGUGGAAGAGUGCGGCGUGGCUGCCAGCUACUUGGAUUGUAUUGUCGGGUAAGGUAAUUGUAGAAAAUUAUAAGUUUGAACAGAGCAUGUUAGACUUUUGUUGACCAAAUUCAAAAGGCAAAUGGCACGGCCCAGAAGCUUUGGAAUACAGUAACUUACAAGAAAGCUCCAUUUAUUCUUCUUAUACUUUACGCUUGCAUCAGCUUAAAUCACUUCUUAAUCGCUUGCUUUAACUGCGCCGCUUUGUACUGUUCUAUAUAUGUAGCAGUUAUGCGGAUGUAGUUCACGGCUGAGGGUACGUGUUUGUUUGACGUGGUAGUUACGUUACGACGUUACGAGAGUAUUAUUAGUUAUUUCACAGGGAUAAAUAAGAUUAGUCACAAUAAACCCACUAGUUUUAUAAAAUUCGAGUAAUAUAGAAUAAAAUAAAAAAUGAAUACAAAAUUGACUUUUAUUUUUUAUGGUUGACUAUAUUUUGUGUUCUCUUCUGGUACUACUACAAUUGUUCCCUGUAUAUCACUCAUACCCAUAUAUCAUUGACACAAGAAAUGAAAUCUAAUGUCAGAUGUUUAGUUAAAGAAUCACUUAUGAAAAAAUUUUACCAUUUUGAUUUGAGGAUCCCUAUUUUGAACUGCAAGCUAAUGUUCAUCAAGAACAGAGUAUGGCAGUUGAGUAGAAAAACUAUUUUUGGACAAAUUAUUUUUAUUGAUAGAAGAAUUUCUCAAGGGACUACUAAAAUUAUUAAAAAAAAAUGUCAAACACGCCCAUAUAUCAUCAACACAAUUGGUUUUGAGAAUCCAUACUUUAAACUGCCGCCUAAUAUUCAUCAAGAGCAGAGCAUGGCUUGUGAGUAGAAAAUUUUCUGAUUUUGGCCCCAAAUAAUCCAGCACUUUCUCAUGAAGAAAUGCAUACAAAGCAUACCAUGGUACCAUACAAUACAAGGAGUCUCCGUUCUCUAGUUUUUCAAACUCUAAAGGGGCCAAUACUCCCUAAUUCCCCCUCGAAAAUUCUGAUUAUGACAUUAUUCAUCCCUCGAUGCAAUCAAAGUAGUGACAAAGUUAGGAAAAAUAUGAGUCCUAAGUAAUUGCUAGGCAGGGCUCCUGUGAGCAAAAUUGUCCUAAGCAUUAUAUGCAUACAUGGUGUGGUACAUAAAGCACAAUGAAUUCCACACUAUAACACAAACCCAGAAAGAGAAGAAACAACUUAAUUGAUGUAAAGACAAAAAGAAGAUAAAAUGAUAUAGAAAAAAAAAUUCAAAGAGAUAGCAACAUACUAUAGACUGAAGCCACUUGAUCUGCUCAUUGAUUGCAGCCUUAAACUUGCAAAUAGUUACCGUAAGCUAGUGCUAUAAGAAGUGAAAAUGAUGCACACCCUGAUUCCCUUCGACUUCCAUUUACUGUCAAACAUUCUAUUAAUACAAAAAAAUUGUUCAAAUAUCUUGCCAUAAAUAUAGCCGUUUGACUGGCUUAAUAAAGUCACAAAUAACCAUUCAUAUUGAUCCACAGUGUCACACCGCCUGCUUUAUGCAUACAACAGCUGUAUGUAUACCAACUCCUAACCUUAUCAAUACAUUUGGCAAAAACUUAAGAAGAAAACUAUUUCUCCAUCUCUUUUUUGAAAUUUCACAAUAAACCAGCAUAUUGUAAACGUUAUGUUGUAACCUUAUGAUAAAUGCUCUAGACUCCAAAUGAAUUUUAUAUAUGAGGGUUUGUUGCAGCAGAUAUAUUGACUUAUCAAGUAUGAAUCAUUGUCUAGAAGAACUAUCUUUAGAUAAAAGAAUAUUAGAACCAUUCUAGAAUAUCUUUAGGUUGCUAGUUCUAACAGGAAUCUGCAUGUGGCAACAGUUGCCAGAUCCACAAUUCCCCAACUUGAAAUACAUAGUUGCACACCGUGAGAUAGUGCUGCAAUCUACUGAGAUCUAACUUAUAUGAUACUUUAAGCUACUAAUGUUUGCAUAUUUCUACAUGUUAAAUUGACACUACCAUCUAUAAUCACUCUAAAACGACAGAUGAUAAGCAGCUUUUGGCUACUUAUUACUAGCAUCCACAAUUAAUUUUUGUUCAGCAAUCAGCUUAUUUUAUAGAAAUUGAUUUAGUCAGCAACAAACACUAUAAUCCUUGAAAUUAGUUCUUGUUCUUUGUAAUUUUCUAUGAUUUUUCAUACAUCAAUUAAUCUGCAGUGCCAAGAUGAGGUUUGGUUUUUCAAACUAAAUAAUCAAGUAGCAAAAAUACAAAUUUAGAGAUUAGGGGGUGAACUAGCUAGGUGGUUUACAAAUAUUCCUAUUUGUAAGGUGAAUUAAUUGAAUCAUGAGAAAACAAUGUGACCAUAGCUCAAUAUGAGAUGAUUUCGGAGAGGCAUAUUGUUUUCAAGUGAAUUUGAUCCAUUAAGAGAUGAAGUGGAUUGAAGUGGAAAGUUUAAAUAACAAAUCCUUGUUCUUGAGUUUUACGACGUUGUUACUCCUUCAGGUGGCAGAUUAUGCAAGUGAAUUCAAAAACACAAUGCAUCAAUCACGGGGAUGCUACACCAAAAGACGGGAUCAUAGUCUAUGCAUUGAACAGUUACAGUUGCUGCUACCAAUUGACUCGGCAAAGAUCAAGAAGACUGAACGGGAAGUUAAUGCCAUCAAUGUCGUCUUCACUAUAGCUGCUGGGAAUGUAGGUGAACUUUCCUCAUUUGCGGCUGUCUAUACAUAGGCUUUUCCCCAGCUUAAGUACAAAUAAAUGAACCUGCUUUGAAGGCUUUAUUAUUGACCACAAUAAGGAUUACUAAUUGAAGAAGACUAUACGGAGUUAAUCCCACACUUUCGUUCUCUCAAUUUCUUUCAGAAGUGCCUCUGAAAAUAGCUGCCAAACCGUUAGUCAGCUUGUUAGACUCUGUUUUCUGGAAACAGAGCCCUAACUAACUGACUGUACAGAGUAAGUCAACAUAGCAUAUUUAAUCGUUUUAAUUGAAUUGUCUUCGUAGCGAUCAUCAACAAACUCAUCAUGAGAUUUUUGAAGCACCCAAGGACUAUCACUGGGUUUCUCUUCUGGUUGAUUAAUUAAUUAAUCAAAGAACGGUUGGAUACCCAAGGACAAUUAAAAUUAUUCGACUUCUGGAACUGGGAAUGAAGUGCAAUGAUGGAGCAAAAUUUACAAUGUCUCCGGUUUCUCCUACCAUCGGACUUUUGCAGUGAGAACAUAUAACAAAAAGGCCUUCAUCAAAAUUUGUAGACUCCGGGUAUGGAUUGGAUCGAUUUUUUUGUUUGAUAUUGAAGAACCUCUUUACUAUCGCGAUAUAGAUUAUGUGCAAGGAGUUGUCUACUGUUCUUUGCCUUGUGCUAUGAUCGGUGCUCUUGAGGCUGCCCUGAAACACAGGAAAAUACUUCGAUAUCCUCCGUUCGAUGAUGCAAAGAACCGGUUAAUGUAUGAUUACCUAAUUGACUCAGGAUCAGGUAACAACAACAACAAUUUAUUAAUAUCACAAACGAAGAAGAUCGCGGAGAGGGAGAUGUAUGCCUAUACUGUUUACAGGUUUGAUCCAUUGGGGAUGAAGUGGUCUCAAGUCGAAAGUGAUUUAUUAAACAACAAAUCAUUGUUCUUGGGUUAUACCUCAUGAUGUCAUCAAGUGGAAGAUUAAGAUUAUGCAAGACGAAGAUCGUUUGAUAUUGAAGAAUUUGAACAGAAAGCCCAUAGAAAGUACUUAAAAAAGCAUAUUCUUGUUGGGGUAGAAUAUUGAGAAAGGAGUUGUCUACUGUGUGUUGCGUGAUUAUGCUAUGAUCUGUGCUUUGAACAUUGCCCUGAAAACAGUGGAAAAUACUUCAUAUCCUCGACAUGAUGAUAAAAAAUUGGUUACCGAUUACGUAACUGACUCAGGUGACAACAAUCCAUUAAUAGCACAAUUUGAGGUGAUGCCGUUUAGGUAUAUGGUUAACAGGUUUGAUUCAUCAAUGAUGAAGUGGGCUUAAAUUAAAAGAUCAUAUAAUAAGUCGUUCUUCUUGGGCAUAUCGUCAUUACUACUUCAAGUGAUCAAAGAUGAAGAUGAAGAUGAAAAUUGUGCAAGUGAGUUCAAGAAUACCAUACAUCGUUACUUGGGAUACUUCUUCAAAUAUGGAUGGGGUCAUAAUUUACUCCCACGAAUUUCAACCCAAUUUUAUGAUUGGAGUGUCCCACCAUGACUCAGAAAAAUUUUGAUUCAACCUCCUCCACCAAUGGAUUUUGAAUAGUCACUUUGUGAUCAAGCAACUUAAUUAAACUCAGAGAGUCAGAGUUCGAUUUUGCUGGCACCGCAUUUUCUUUAAAAUGUGGCCAUGUAAGGAGAGCGGCACAUAAUGUCACUUCCUUAUCAAGCACUUUAAAGAGGGAUUUUAGAAGAAGAUACAACUGCAAUUGUUUUCGUAUGUAUAUAUAUAAACAACAGCACACAUUCAGUUCAUAAAAGAAAUUUUUGCUAACCAUGAUAUGUGGUAGUGCUUUUUAGGCAAUUUAGAAACAGAGUUGUUCAACUUACAGCAGGUAUUCUCCUCAAGUUCGACGUAAAUACAAAUAUUAAUUAGAAUCCAUAUUAUAAUGACACACAUAACUUGCUUCAAAAUUAUCAGAAAUUAAAAUUGCUGAUUCAUAAUGCAGAUAACUUGGAUGAAUUGAUGUUAAAGGAAAAAUCACACGCAUAACUUGGAGAGCAAUUGCGACAGCAGCCAAGUAUAUAUUUUUAUUUGAGAGUUGAGAAGAAUAUAUUUAAUGAAGCUUGAUAACAUUUGAUGGGAUAGCAAGUAAGGGUAAAUAAGAUAUUUUUAUUUGUUAUUUAUUUGAAUUAUAUCUAUUUUGUUCAAGUUAAAAUACUAAAUAUAAAUUGGAGGUAGACAUUUUAACAGAUCAUCUAAGCUCUCAAAUCUGAAAUUUUGUGUAGAUUUAAAUUCAUAAUUUUAGUUAAUUUUCAUUCAUUCAUAUAAACAAAUUUAUGAGAUUUUUCUUUUCAGCAUGUUAUAUUUUGAAACUUUCAAUGUAUUAUUCUAGCUUUAUUUAAACAAUUAAUUUAUUUAAUUUUGAAUUUGAUCAGUAGUAAAAUUAUUUUUAUAUCAAAUUUUUUUUAUUUAAAUAGUUCGUGGAUUGGACAAAAUUAAAAAAUUUUAAUCUACAAAAUGGUGGAUUAGAUAUGAAUUGGGUUAAAUCCACAUUCGAUUUGCAGUCGUAUGAAUUUGAUUUGGAUUGAAUUUCAUCAAUCCAUGGAUUAGAUUGGAUUGAAAAUUUAUUAUCCGCAAAAUCGUGGAUCGAAUAUGGACUGAUGUCCAAUCAGCAAAAUCCGAUCCCCGAACACGCCUCUAUCAAAAUUUUCAAGAAUAUGUUUUAUCUUACAAAUUUUUUUUUAAAGUCAUAAUCUAAUGGCAGCCCAAUUUUAUAAAGUCACACACAACCAUUCUUAUUAAAUUAGAAAGAUCAAACACUGCACUGGAUCUUGAACAGAUCAACACAAGUUGCACAACUUGCGAUUGAAUCCGGCCUGAAACAAUCAACUCUUUAGCAAGAACAAUUAAUCAGAGUCAAGAAACAAGUUUAAUGAAUAUAAACCUAUAAUUGAAACAAACAUAGCAAAGAAAAAAAAUACAGAUUUUACACGGUUCAGUUGUACCUAGGAUGGCACAACCUACACCACGAGAGAAGCUUUCUGGUGAGAUUUUAUUGAUGAUCAAAGAAGAAUCUUUUGACAAAGCUAAUAAUAGAGAUUUCAGAGAAUAAGCUAUAACCUCUCUCCCUCUUCAAUCUCUCUCUAUUUUGUUCCCAUUGAUGACCCCAAUCUGCUUAGUUAGCCAGCUUUAUAGCUGCAUCAGUAACAAACCAGCAAACCCAGAUUGAGCAGAUUGACGACACGUGGAUAACGGCUUUAACGAACCUGGUUAAGAACUGCUCACAUGUUCGUCACGCGUACUGCUUAAAUGAUGGCCAAAACGACUUCAAACAAAUGUCGUUUUGAGGCUUAUGAAUUACAAGUGAUAACACGAGAUUGUCUCAUGACUUUUAAAUGCAACAACGUGCCCAAAACGCUGUCGUUUUACUCUGUUGAGUUUGAUUCAUUACUAAGCUUUACGACUGGCAAUGGAGAAGAUGAUAAUUUAAUUGAUAUGGACAGUUUUUAUAUCACUUUUACAAAAUCCUAUGCAAUUGUAAUAUUGGGAAUUAUUGAUGUUUUAUAUGUGAAUCCUCAUUGGCAAAAACUAGUGGUUUUAUCUUUGUUGAAAUGUAGAUUACCUCUCGUUACUAUUUUAUUAUAAACAUAUAGUUUCGUAAGUGAAACUAUAUAUUUAUAAUAAAAUUAACAUAUAGUUUCGUUACAUUUCUGCCUCAUUAAGAUUCUCAAAUACCAGUCAGGUUUGCUUAAGAAAUAAAAUUUUUCCAUUAAAAUUGCAGUAGUAUUUCCAAGCAUAUCGCAUUUUCUAUGAUUUUUCAUAAAUUAAUUAAUCUGCGGUGCCAAUAUCAGAUUUAGUUUUUCAAACUAAAUAAUCAAGAAAGCAAACAUACAAAUAUACAGUUUAGAGGGGUAAACUAGGUAGGUGGUUUAGAUUUUAGAACUAAGCCAGCUACCUCACUAAAUUCCGAUUCGUACAGUGAACUGCAAGAAAUUGAGAAAACAAUGUAUUUAUAAUUUAAUAGAAUCAUAAGAAAACAAUGUAGUCAUUGCUCAAUAUAAGAUGAUUUCGGAGAGGCACAUUGUUUUCAAGUUAAUUUGAACCGUUUAUAAGAGAUGAAGUGGAAUGAAGUUGAAAGUUUAAAUAACAAAUCCUUGUUCUUGAGUUUUACGACGUCGUUACUCCUUCAAGUGGCAGAUUAUGCAAGUGAAUGCAGAAACACAAUGCAUCAUCCGCGGGGAUGAUACAUCAAAAGGCGGGGUUUGUUUAUGCCUGCAGAUUAGCAAUUUCACUCAUAUCGAAAAUUAAUUUUUUAUAUAUACUAAUCAACACUAAAUUGAUUAUGUGUUGUAUGUUUAUAUGCUAAUCAACACGAAAUUAUAUUGAAUUAUUAACAUUCAUAUUCCUAAUAAAAAUUAUUUUCCAUCAGUAUUCAAAAUUUUCACUUAUAGAAAAUGCGUUUUACGUGAAUACUAGUUAUUGUGUAAAUUUGAAUGAUAGCGAAAAAUAAACCUAUUUGAAAACUGUAAGGGUGUGUUGGGAUAUUUUACAACUGUCGGAAUCUGGUAGGAUAUUGCACCAUUUGCCCAAUAUUUUUAGACGUACUCCAACCGGUAUUCAAGAUAAGUAAAAUUUACAAGCGUGGCAAAAUAAAAAAAAUUAAAUUCGUAAUUUGUAAACGAAUUUUCCUGACAUGUAUAGUAGAUGAAGUUGUUGACCCUUUCUUUGGAUUAUUUCAGCUCUGGUUGUUGGUCACCGAUGAGCCGAAGUCUUAUUUUAAUUCUAUUUAAACUCAUCAUAAGAUUCGUGGAGCACCUAACUAACUUAACUGACUGUGCAGAGCAUCUCAACAUGGCAAAUUUAACCAUCAUUCAAGUGAUGGGUUUAAUAAGACUGCUUUUGUUCUACCAAGUUCCUCCGCCUCUAAGCAGAAUUACUAUUGAAGGGCCAAAUGGAAAAUGAAAACGUGUGAACAACAACAACCACCCCACAAAUUCAAUGACGAUGCUCGGAGAGGGUUAGGUUGGGCCUCUGAGAAAAAAAAAAAUUAUUUAGUUAAAAAGUUACCCUUAUUGAAACCUGUAUAAAAAUUUUAUAUUAAUUAGUUAUGUUGCCUCUUCAACUAUGAUCAAAUUUUUAUCUGAGCUCAUCAUUUAAUGAGUAAACAUGUAUUUUAAUGAUCUCAAUUAAUAUUUAGAACAAAUAUUUUAAGAAGUAAAGCUCAUUAUAUCCCCCAUUAUUAUGUAUCUCUGUAAUGUAUUGAAUUAGAAGAAAAAAAAAAUUCAACUCACUCAAAAAAAAAAAAAUGCUGGUAGCUUCGUAAUAAUUACUGUCUUGACUGCACCAGAUAAAGUUUUGUAAAAGAAUUCUGAUAUUUACCCCGGGUCAAACCCCGAAAAUAACUUAAACGGUGUCGUUUUGAUUUUUUUUUUUUUUAUACUCCAAAACGUUCUUACCAUUUCCGUUUCACUUACCAUUUAAUGCUCACAACUCAAAUAAAAAGCCCAGAAACUAGAAUCAAACUUUACAGAAACUAGAAUGCCCAGAAACGUUGUAUAGCAGGAACGUAUGUAAAGAGAGUAAACAAGAGGGAUUAAACAGAACAUACGUUUUCUUCACUUAUUAUUAGCAACAAACACCCUACACAACACACAUUUAAUGCUCACAACUCAAAUAAAAAGCCCAGAAACUAGAAUCAAACUUUACAGAAACUAGAAUCAAACAAUACACAUUUCAUUUCUUCAAGGUUAGGGAGAGACUCAGGGGAGUGAUUAAUUAACAAAAAUAAGAAUAAUAAUACCAACAUUUGUACAGGUCAAAUAAGAAUAAUAAUACUCAACCUAAUACCCAGUAUAUACAAACAAAUGCCCAGGCCAUCGUUCCUAUUUUGCCAUAACCUAAAGAGGAAAAAGCGAAGCACUACCUCAGGCUGUGAACUUUGCCGCUUCGUGAGUUUAAUUUCCCGAACAAGUUUCGGCUACCAGCGUUACCAGUGUUGACGGUGACCGUGGCUGUCAGCGUUGACGGUGACCGUUGGUGGAUCCCGAAUGCCUGGACCUUGGUCGAGGAAGGAAAGUAACGAAUUUUUUGAACAAACGAAGAAACGAAGCACCGAAGAGAUUUACGGUCAAACGGAACAAGACCAACUUGCUCUUCUAUCUAUGGCUUUCCCAGUUGAAACGAAGAAACGAAGAGGAAGAGGUUUAAUUCUUCUCAAAAUCGUCCAUCAGAAACGGCAACGUUUUGGAGUAUAAAAAAAGAAAAAAAAAUCAAAACGACGCCGUUUAAGUUAUUUUUCGAGUUUGACCCAGGACAAACAUCAUUUUCCUUUGUAAAAUAAUAAGUUCUCAUUAGUGGUUUUUAAUUUUUAAUUUUUUUUUCGGCACACCUGAUCAAGAAUUCUAUUUUGUUAACUAAUAAAUUGCAAAGCAUAAGUGUUGAACGGUACAAAAAAAUUUGAAAAAAAAACACUUAAAACGUAGGGAAAUGAGAAAUAUAGAAAGAAAGGAAGAAAGUUAAGACAUGAAACUGAUCUGCCGUGAAAUUGAUAAUCAUGUUUCUAUUUCGUUAACUAAUCAAACGGAAAACUGGAACUGUAAACAAACAUUAACACGUGUGGACUCUGCUAGCUGCCCUACAAGUCUACAAUAAUAAUUGAGUACCUUUGAUUCAUCCUUCUAUGAAUUUCUAGCUGUAUUGACCCCAACUGCUAAAGUUUUGUAAAAUUAAAAAAAAAAAAAAAAAAAAAAACUGGAAUUUCAACAAAAUUCAAAACGUGAGAAAUUUAAUUUUUGGCCAUGUGGAACAAAAUGUAAAUUACGGAAAAAGUAUAAAUCUCAAUUGCUUAGUAUGGUUAGGUUUUGUGAGCAUCACUAGAAAGUGAAAACUAUGAAUGAUAGGGGUGAUGUUUGCAACAUGAAUAAACGAUGAACUGAUUCAAUUGAUGAUCGUAAUUAUAUAAUGAGCAAAAUUUACAAAAUCAACAAAAGUUAAUAAAAAUUUAUUUUAAUAAUAAAACUUAUUAUUUAACGGCGCUCUAACCAUGGAGUACCAUAAUCAUAUUCUUCUUUUAAGAAAAUUAUAACUUAUUUCAAAUAGCACCAUAACAUAAUUCUAGAUAUUUAAAAGAAAAGCAUUAUUCACCUGAAAUGACUUGGAAGUCUAAAGAAAAAGAGGGAGUGGCUCCCCACAAUUUUCUUGUUUUCAGUAUAUUUUCUUUUUAAAAUCUUUUGACUCAUACAUAAUCUACCCUCGUUCAUUAUCUCUAUUUUGCUCUGUUCAAGUCCCUUUUUUUUCAAAUCUUAGUUUAAAUAAGAAAAUUGAAUAAAAGUACAUUUGUGUAAUUAAUUAGUAUCUGCGGGGGAUAUUUGGUGUAAUGUUUUGCUAUGUAAGACUCAGCUAUUAUUAAAUAGUUCCUUAACCUGUUUCGCAGUUUAUUUGCUAUCUUUGUGGAUCUCAUAGGCGUUGCAGAAUUUAAUAAUUUUAUUCGUCAGAAGAAUAGGAUAUUGGCUUCAAUAAAUUUAAUUUAAACCAACUUUUAUUUACUCCAUCAAUUAAUUAAUGCCAUUUGGUUUUGAAAAAUUCAAUAAUUAAAUUCUCACGUUUCAUGUGUUUGAAGUUAAAUUAUUCAUGGGUAAUUAUCACAAACCUCCCCUGAAGUUUGAUGUAUUAUCAAUUUGAUAGAUUGUAUUCGCGUAUUCUCAGCCACCUCCCCUUAAGUUAGUACACCGUUUAGUAUAAGUUUAGUGAGUGAGGGCAAGAUAGUAAUAGAACUCGUUAAUAAUAAAAAAUUCAAACAAACUUAAAAAUAUCAAAUUGGAUUCUGAAAUUGAUUUGAAUUUUGUUAAUAUUCCAAUGGGUAAAAACAAAAACAUGAUUUUAACCAACAGACAAUAUUAUAACAAAAAAAUGAGAAAGGAAAAUGGCAUCUUCUUGCUCCAUUCAGACAAGAGCUAACAAGAACAACGCCCCUUUCAUCUCUACUAUACUUUAAUAGAAAAAGGGUGCCACGAUCGGGAGACCAUGACGAUGAACUCGAAGACGCCGAUAGCAGGGACGACCGAAUCACGAACGCCAGGUGGAAGAAUGUUGACCAGUGAGUUUCCAUGUUGACCCACAGACAACCUCAGUUUGUUCGAGCCGCGAAUGAGGUAUGAAAAUGCUUAUUACUGUGCAUGUCAGUUUUAUUAGAUGGAAUUAAUCAAUUUGGUAAAAAUGAGUAAUGGGUCUCGACAAUUUUUUGAGAGUAUCUAUGUUGCUUCCAUUGUUUUCCAUCGAUUGGGUUAGUUGUAGGUUAAUGAUUGUUGUAAAUGCAUGUUCACCUGAUUUUGAUUGAAGAUGGCUUCAGCUACAUUAUGCUGCCUUGUGAAUGAUUGAAGAUGGGUAUGAAAAUUUUUUAAUUGUUUAAGCUAUUGCCACUGAUUGUUUGGAUUCAUGCUAGUUUUUAUUAAAUUACAGAUGUAAUUAAGUGUUGGAGAUUCCUUGUGCCGCAAUAUUAAUAUUUUGAGGAUACUUGAUUUUGUUUUUUUUUCUUUUUAUCACGAUAUGUACAUGUCUUGGUUGAAAAAAUGUCAUGAUUUGCUGCAUUCUCUCACACUGGAGCAGUGAGUUUAGUGGUUUUAAUUCUUUUCUUCUCUUUGACUAUGGCUCUACUUCACUGCAUUCAGAUGUCUUUAUUUGUCCAGCGUCAAAUGAUAAAGGAACAUAGUCUCCUUUUGAUUUCAGUUUGUCUUUCUGUUUUGCAGCCAAGAGGUUCUAACUACCAUCGAGAGUGAAAGGCUCUCCAAGUCAAGGCACAUAGCUCCUGCUGCUCUUGUUACUUUCCCUGAAGAUUUUGAUAAUGGGCUGGUGAUUAUUUAGUUUGGUUUCAAAUUAUGUUCUCGACAUUGUAUUUUGAAAUAUUUGGUUGGUGAGAUAAAGUUUAUUAUUAUAUCUCUAAUAUGUGAGAUGGGAUAUUUCAAGAUGGUAUUUUGGUUACAAUGUUUUAUUUGGUAUUUACAAUGUAAUCACAGCUCUUGGCGCUAAAACGGAUAUGACUAGCCAACAAUUCUUUGAUUUGUGUGAACGAAGUAUUUUUUUUCAACACAAGGGUAUUUUGGUCAUUUUGUCAAGUAACAAACAGUCAACUAAAUGGUAUACUAACGUUAGGGGAGGUGGCUGAGAAUACACAAAUACAAUCUAUCAAACUGAGAAUACGCUAAACCUCAAGGGAGGUUUCUGAUAAUUACCCAAUUAUUCAUUAACUAGAACUCUGUUCAAAAUUGACUGUCUUGUGGUUCCCAAAUGUAGUUGUAAUAUUGAAUGAAGGUAAAAACUUUCUAUGCGAGUUUAAAUCUAAAUCUGGACAAUGAAUUUUGACUUUCUCAAUGCUAUCCUAAUUACAAAAAUUAUAUUAAUUGAUUUAUUGUUACAGUUACUAGCCUUUUAAAAUGGAUGAAUUUAUUGUUUCCGUGACCAAAUUAUGCCUGCCUAACGGUGCAACUAUUAAAAAAACUAAUAUUUAAUGCAUAUGUUAAAAGAUUUAAAAUUUUAUGCAUUUAUUAAUUGUUAUAAUCUAAAAAAAAAUAAUUAAUUCAGGUCAAUCUGAGUUGGUGCAUCUGCAGGAGCCUUUUUUUUAAAUUUUUUUCCCCUUAUUGACCAUAAUGACAUCUCCUUCAACAUGACUAUUGACUAGGAGCAUGUAAAAACAUGGAAACAGAAUUUCCACAAAAAUGUCAAACGUGUGGAACUUAAUUUUUGGCCAUGGGGAACAAAUGCAAAUGAAAGAAAAAGGAAAAGACGCCUCUAAGAUUUGUUUCAAUGGUUUACAUUGACUCUUUAAUUUAAUUUAUAGUAACACAAUUUUUUUUUGUACAAAUAUAUAUUAUUCAUGUUUUGUAUUAUUUUUUAACAUCAUAUUUUUAUUUAUUAUAAAUAUUUAAAAUUAAUUUUUAGGUUGAUAUUUAAUAAAAGGGUAUAAUCGUUCUAUCCAUUUCUCAUCUCGCGAUCUCUCUCAAUUAUCCUUUAUUGAUAUCUCAAAGCGCGUUGCUGUGGAAAAUUGUAGCAAAAUGAAAAAUUGGAAAGAAAGGGAAGAAAAUUAUUGCUUGGAGAAAACAACCAAAUAAGUCAACUGGUCUUUAGUGAGAACAUAUCAUUUGUUUUGAUAUUGAAGGACCUACUUCUCUGCCGCGAUGUAGAAUAUGUGAAAGGAGUUGUCUACUGCUCUUUAGGUCAUAAUAAUGUGAUUGGUGCAUUCAACGUUGCCCCGAAACACUGGAAAGUACUUCCAUAUCCUCCGAAUGAGAACUGAUUUAUAUAUGAUUUCCUAAUUGACUCAGGAUCAGAUGACAACAACAACUUAUUAAUAGUUAUAUCAAAACGGCAGAAGACGUGUUUUGUUUACAGGUUGAUCCAUUUGGAAUGACGUGGUCUCAAGUCGAAAGUAAUUUAUUGCAUGCCUGUCGUCUAAAGCAUUACCUCACAAGGUUAUAUCAAAGGGUGUUUUACCUCAUCACGUCUUCAAGUAGAGGAUGAAGUCAGCCACUCGGCCUUUGGCCGAGUGGUGAGAGCUGCUCUCCAAUUUGGAGAGCAGCAGUUCGAACCCCCACAAUGUAUUGUGGGGGUCUUCCUUUCUUCAAUUAAAUUUGAGUGAAGGCAGUCUGUUUUUUUACCCAAGUGUGAGUAGCAGACAUCCCUUGAAAGUGUGAGUAGCAGACAUCCCUUGAAAGGAAUGAAGUUAUAGUCUGAUUUGUAAAUAUCAGUUAUAUUCUCAUGUAAUAUGAGUUGUAGUUUGAGCAAUAGUCUCAUGUAAUCAAAAAAAAAAAAAAAAAAAGUAGAGGAUGAAGUCUAUGCAAGUGAAUUCAGGAAUAUUGCAUGCCUGUCGUCUAAAGCAUUACCUCACAAGGUUUUAUGAGAGACGAAAGAUGUGUUUGCUUUGAACAAUUAAAGUUACUGCUACGGACCUCCCCAAAGGUCAAGAAGACAGAACAGGAAGCUAAUGCCAUCAAUGUCUUGUUCAUUAUAGCUGCUGGGUAGUUAGGUGUAGUUUCCUCAUUUGAAGCUGUCUAUACAUAGGCAUUUCCCCUGCUUAUGUACAAAUAAAUGAACAACCUUGAAGCUUUAUUAUUCGCAACAAAAAGGGAUUACUAAUUGGAGAAGACUAUACAGAGUUUCUCUCACACUUUCUCUCUGUCAAUUUCAUCCAGAAGGUCCCUCUGAAAGCUUCUCCCAAAACAGUUAGUCAUCUUUUAUGCUCUGUUUUCUGAAAGCAGAGUCCUAACUAAAUUAAUUGACUGUACAGUGCAUUUCAACAUAGCAUAUUUAACCGUUUUAACAGUUAUUUGGACCGUCUUCAGAGCUAACAUCAACAAACUCAUUCAUAUGCUUAAUAAUGAACGAAUAGUCUUGGAUCGAUGUUUUGCAGCAAGAGCAACUCGACACAAUCUGGAUUCAACCUCCUCCUUUCUAACAGGGGAUUUCGAUUUGAGUUACUUUGUGCUCAAGCAAAUUCACAUCAUAGUUUUGAUUCUUUAGAUAUGAAUUCAUCACAUUACAUGUAUCAGAUUAAGUGUAACAAAAUUUGUAAUUUACUGCGAAAGAAUAUGCACUAAAAAAUGAUUUCAAGACUAUUUGACUAUAAAAAGCAGCUGUCAGAGUGCACUAAAAAUUUCUGUAGGAUAUUUUGUAGCUGUUUAAUAUGUUAUGAUGGGCAUAUAAUUCUCAAAUUUUGAUGCCUCUCAGUGAAAAAUAUAUCAAAGUUUAGAUUAUGUGUUCGAGCUUUAAUAAAUGGUCGGAAAAAAAGCUGCUGUCAGAGUGCACUGAGUUAAUAAUAAUAACAACAAUAAUAAUAAACUAAAAAGCAGAAUUAAUUACUAUUGAAUGGUCGGAAAAAAAAUUGAAAACGUGUGAACUCCAAUAAUCACCCCACAAAUUCAGUGGCGAAUUUUGGCGAGGGCAAGGCCGGGCUUCUCAGAAAAAAAAUUAUUUAGUUACAAAAUUAUCUUUAUUGAAACCUAUAUAAAUUUUUUUUAUAUUAAUUAGUUAUGUUAUCUCUUCAAUUUGGUGAAUAAAUGUGUGUCUAAAUAAUUUCAAAUAACAUUUAGAACAAAUGUUUUGAGAGGUAAAGCUUAUUUUGUCUCGCAUUAUUAGGUGCAUCUAUAAUUUCUUAUUUACAAAAUUAUAUUGUACGAUAAAAAUGUAUUGAAUUAGGGGGAAAAAAGGUCAGCUCACUCAAAAACAACAAAUGGUAUUAGCUUCGCCACUGCACAAAUCUAGAAUAAUAAUGAUUCCUUAUCAUGCUGGGGGAUCCUUUACUUUCUAGCCGUAUUGACUGCACCAGGUAAAGCUUUGUAAAAUAAUAAGUUACUCAUUAGUGGUUUUUAAUCUUUUUAAUUCUUUUUACCGCACACCUGAUCGAGAAUUUUAUUUUGUUAACUAAUCAAUUGCAACGCAUAUACCGCACACAAGAUUGGAAAAAAAAAUCUUAAAAAACGUGCGGAUUCGGUAGCCACACCAGAAAUCUAUUACAAUAAUUCCUGGCCGUAUUGAAGUUUUUAAAAUAACAAGUUCCCCUUCUUGUUUUUUUUUUUUAAAUAUAUAAGCUUAUAACAAUUUUAGAAUAAUGACUCAUUUGUAGAAGAAUUUAUGAUUUCAUAUUAAUAUUAAUAUUGAAGUGGGGUGGGUCAAAUCUCAAUUGCUUGAAGAAUUUAUUUAUUAUUAUUAAUAUUAUUAAUAUUGAAGUGGGGUGGGUAACGGAUAAGCGGUUCACUCAGUUCGUGGCGAAUUAAAUAUUACCAUCCAAGGUAGAAUUGUGGAAAAUUAAAGCAAAAUGACAAGUAUGGAAAGGAAGGCUGAAAGUAAGGCAUGACGAAAGGCUUUGAGAAGGCUGAAGACUACCAAAGAAGACAACUGAAAGAGAGAAUGUGUGUUUUUUAAUAGUUAGAGAUAUAGCUAGAGUGGGUGGCUCAAAAUCCAAAAUGGUGACAAUGUUAGUUCUCGUAUUGGUAAUCUUGGGGGGGGGGGGGGGGGGGGGAACUCAGGGGAGGUCGAGUGAGGGAUGUUUGGAGCAUGAGAAAUUUGAUCUUUUGCGGCUUAAACAUUUCUUCAAUUCCCCUUAUACACUUCAAAACUGGGUAGGUGAACAAAGGGAAAGGGUUGAGUGCAGCAACUCCACAGGCCGCGUGGUACAACUACACCUUGGUCUUACUAUAUCGAUCUGGGAGAGUGGUAUCUGAAUGCUUCUAUAUUUACUUCCUUUCAACAACUUGGUAACAAAAUAGCCGGCUGCAUGCGUUGAGAAUGAAGGUCCUUCAUUUAAUUUAAUUUACUUAAUUUCUCCCUCCUAAUUAAUGUCUAUAACCAUUAGGAGGAACAAGGGAUUUUAUUAACUCAAAUAUAUCUAAUGGAGCUCAUUCUUUGGUUUUACUUGCAGGUCUAGAAGUAGGUGUCAUCUAACAGCUGCUUUAAUAAUUUCCCACCCCUUCAUCUUUGAUGGAAAGAUGAAAUAAAAACAAAAUGGUGAAAAUGGUAUUGGUACCUGAGGCUAUGUAAUCUAAUUCAAAAACUGCACCAUCAAAACGAUUACAUAAGUCUCAGAAGAAUCAAACAUCAGUUUGCAAAAUAUCAAUUGCUGGAGGUUUGAUUCUAACUUCCGCUCUUCAUUUUUAUGGGCAUGUUGUGUUGUACUUGCAUCAGAAAAUCAUAUUUUAGUUUAUUUACACUCAACGCUUGGAUUAAAGUUUUAGAGGGGGGGAUUGAAGAAGACUAGAAUGACACAAAAGAAAGAGUUGAGCGAGUGCCGCUUUUGUCGUCAUUUAAGGAGCUCUUUAUAAAUUUUAGGAUUUUUUUCCUGAGAAAAUUUAUGCCAACUCAUUCUUUGCUUCUUUUCUGAAGGGAUAGAUGCAACCGAAACUAUAUUCUUGAAUUAUCCAGGAUAAGAGACAUACGUUUAGAUUCUCGAGCCUUUAAAACAAUAUCAAAUUUUAGAUUGCCGAAAUUUUAUAUUGCCGAGUAUGAUGGUGUUCCAAUUAUAAGCUCCAGGGUGCAACUUCACUGAGGUUUAGAAUGCCUUCCUAUAGAAUUGAGAAAUCUCCAUUGGCAUAAAUAUCUUUUGAAAAUACUGCCAUCAGAUUUUGAAUUGGAGAACCUGAUUAAACUCAGCUUGCCUUCUAGUAAGGUUAAGCAAAUUUGGAAAAGAGAAAAGGUAUAAUGUAUUACUAUUACCAAAGUAUCUAUUUUUCUUUCUUUAAGUAUUUAUAAUGAAUAACUUUGAAAUUCAAUGAUGGUCAUUUAAUAUAGUUAUGUAUCUUUCAUUAUAGGAUGCUCUCAAGUUAAAAUUUAUAGACCUUCUCCCCCUGUAUCUUGAUAGGAUCCCAGAAAUCCUAAAUCUUAAGAAAAUAAAUCUUUCAAAUUGUGAAAGCAUGCUUACAUUACCCCCGUAUAUCCACAAUUUCAACCAGCUCAGUAUGUUGUGUUUCAUGGGAUGCAAAAUUCAUUUUGUUGCUCAUGAAAGAAUUGACUUGUCCGGAUGUAUUAAUUUUGCAGAUUUUCCACAGAUUAUGGGAAUAUAACAAAGCUAGACUUAAGCGAGACCCCAAUAAAAGAAGUUCCCUCAUCAAUAGAGUGCCUAGCUGAUCUGAAAACGUAGCGUUCGAGUAAGUGCACGAGGCUGAAGAGGCUUUCCAACAAGCAUUUGUAAAUUGAAAUCUCUUCUUGAGUUUUAUCUUUAUAACUACUCAAACCUUGAAUGUUUUCCAGAAAUCAUGGAGAAAAUGGAACGUUGAAAGAUAUAAAUCUAGCAAGGACGGCCAAUUACAGAGCUACAAUCGUGAUGGUCUUCUGGAUAACAUUAGCAAUUUAAAAUCUUUGAGGUACAUCUCGGCUAAUGGAUCGGCCAUUAGUCCUCUGUCGGAGAUUUGGCUGUACUUAAAUAUCUAUUGUUUUCUCGAUGCAGAGGUUUUGUAUCAUUGCCUCCAAUAUUAUUUUCAGGUUCAGGUUUAUCGAAUUUCGUACAACUAACUUUAAGAGACUCUGCUGUAGUGGAAAUUCCCCAAAACAUUGUUUGGCAAUCCUCAUUGAAAAUUUUAAAUCUAAAGGCUUGUUUGUUAACUACUUGAAGUAUGAAACUAAUGAUUUUUUUUAAUUUAUAUUUGAUUUUGAGAUAUUUGUAUCGGAAUUAAAAAAAUGAACUUUUGUGACAUUUAUCUAAAUAAAAAAAAGCUUAAUGAGAAGUAAAUAAUCCCCUUUUUCGUUUUGACUUACAAAAACAUAAUGUUAACUAACCAUGUUUAAGAUAUUUUUUAUUUAUAAAAACAAAUUAGAUGCUACUUAUAUUUAUUAUCGAAAAUUGAAAAACAAACAUGUUAUUCAUACAUUUAUAUUCAAACUUAUUCAGUCUUCAGCUAAAUACAGAUACAUUUAGAUUUCAGAGAAAAAAAUAAAUACUUCCUAAGUGGGAAUAACUUUGAGAGUUUACUUGCAAAUGUCAAGCAACUUGCAAGGCUAGAAUAUCUUGACUUGAACGGUUGCAAUAUGCUUCAGUCAUUAACAGAGCUUCCAUUGUUUCUAUAUUUUUCAGAAGUAAGGAAUUGCAAGCGCUCCAAUCUUUGCCAGAGCAUAGAUUUCAUGUUUACCAAUUGCCUGAAACUGAAUGAAAACGCAAACAACAGCAGUUUGGCAGAUUCAGAACAAAGGACUCAACAUAUGGCAAAUGCACCACUGAGACUAUUCCAUGAAAAGGUACCCCUACUCACUUUCUCUGUCCAAUCUUUGCAUCUGAUCAUCUGGGAUUCAAAUCCUCUACUCAUCUUGCUACUUGGCCUGCCAUUUUAACAUCCACUGACUGGUCGUUACCAAAAAUCAAAAACAGUAAAAUGAUACAUCUAAACCAUGCAUACAUAACCAAUAAUGUAUAUGUGUUGCAAGACUUUAGAAAGGCAAGAUGAGUAGAGUAUCGGCUUUGGUCUAAAAUUGUGGUUUUUAUAUGACAGCAGAAGCCUCAGGUACAACGUCAUGUCAGCAUUUGUUUACCUGGAAGUGAAAUUGCUGACUGGUUUAGCAAACAAGGUUUUGGAUCUUCAAGAACUAUCCAACUUCCACCACAUUGUUGGAACAGAAACUUAAUCAAAUUUGCUCUUUGUGUUGUUAUUGAACUUGAGGAAGGUUUUGAUGCUAAUGUUGAUGAAUUUUUUGUCCACUGUUUCUGCCAUUUUGAGAUAAGGGAUACUCCCUCUGAAACUAAACAUGAUCACUUUUGCGUUAUGAAAGCCGUAAACGUCCAUUGACUCGGAUCAUAUCAUAUUUGGAUUUCAUCCCUGUUGGAAUGUUGAGUGCAUUUAAGUCCAACCCUGUUACUAUAAAGUUUUUUGCCAACAGUGAAGAGGAAUGCACUCAAAGUGUUCCUCAAAUCUGAAAAAGAUGAAUUGGAACCGACUCCCAAGAGAAUUUAAAGAAAGCAAGUUGGUUUCUCAAGUUCUGAUUUCUUAUCUAAGUCCAACUCUCCAAUUACACUUUCUAUUUAUUUAUCAUUGUGCUUUAUCAUCAUCAAUAUUAAUAUUAAUAAAAUAAAAAGCAGUUGAGAGCCAAAUAAAGCCACUUGAAAAUCACUCAGUCACGCUUUUGGGACAUCAUUCUGCUCAUUACUUUUAAUCUGUAUCUCCGUUGUUUUAUUUGGUAUUUAUUACCAUUAGCAAAUAAAGGGAUUAGUUGAUUAUUGUGAGCUCACUAGAUGGAGCUCACCCUUAAAUGUCGGCUUGUACCAAGGAGGUGCCUUAGGGUUAAUAAACCAACUAAUCCCAUAAUUUAUUGAUGUAGGGUCCUAACAAAUUAUUGCAGUAGGUCAGUACACAGCUCGAAAACGUAUUUGAUCCAUACAUUGAAGAUGAUUCAAUAUUAAGCAUGUCAUAUAAUCUGGAAUAGGAUAUUGGACCAAUUUGAUGAUAAUGACUUUCUUUCAAUCUCAAUCUUUAUCUUCUUCGCAAUAUGACUAGCCAUUGCAAACUCAAACUCUGACAAUGAUUUCUCAAUCGCUUUCUAAGAUAUUGAGCAGGUAUGUAUAUGUAUGUGUGUAUGUGUGUGUGUGUGUGUGUGUGUGUGUGUGUGUGUGUUUGUGUAUAUAUAUAUAUAGAGAGAGAUCACGAGUGUGUGAUUUCCUUUUGCCAAUAAGGUAUGCAGAGACCUUGAUGUUACCCAAUAGCAAAAAAGCUUCCUAAUAAGUGAAGGUAUAGUCUAAAUACUUACACUCUCAUAUUAUUUUGUUCAUCAGCAGUUUGAUUAUUUUAUAUGCAUCUUUGAUUUUAGUUUUCUUUCCCUAUAAUUGCUAUUAUCUUUGAACUGGUCAAGAUUUGCCUAUAAGAUUUCUCAUGUUGAUUUUAGGUGCAAUGGAUUUUGAAUUUAGUGCAGGUGCAGAAGCUCGAAGGCAAAUUAUGAAAAAGGAUAAAGAUCUAUAAUUAGCGGUUAUGGGAUGUCAUAUAUCAUAUGGAUGGUAAUGGGGUCGGAUCACGAGUCCAUUAAUAAUCAUAGAUUGGCUUAUAUAUUUCAAACAAUGUACCAUGAAGUAAUUUCACAAGCACUUGUUAGUCUAUGUUGAGCUUUAUUGAAUCAGUAGUUCACAGUUCAAUACAAUGCAGGUUUACUAUUUGAAGUAAAUGCUUAUGGUGUGCAUUCUUCAUAAAACUAACUACUGAAUUUUUCGUUGAAACUUGCAGAAUGUAACAGAGAGAUGCAGAUAGCAGCCACAAAACACUAAGAUUGAAAAUCAGGACUACUAAAUUCUAUUACAAGCCCUUAGAAUAGACAACGAUCAUCCUCGAAUGUAUAUACUGAAAGUAAGAAAUAUUAAUCGUAAAGUUAUGCAUCAACAGAACUAUUAACUACUUAUCUUUAGCAGAAGAUUUAUAUUUUUAGUUGCAGCUCUCUACUUUGUUCGAAGAAUUAGGCAAAAGUGGCAUAUCUCCAAUCCAAUCAGCAUAUAUACCGCUCAUCUUCUCCAGUUCUUUCCGCUUUGAUUUGCACUCAUACCCUGCACUUGCUGCUUAGAAAUAGUCAUAGUUUGCACAUUGACAGUAGAAAAAGUACUUGAAACAGUCGUUGGCACAGCAUGAGAUUCCAUUGAGUCAUGGUCUCCAAGCUUUCGUAGUUCUGCAAAGAAAAUGACAAAACAUCAUGCUAUUGGCAUUCUACUUUUAACAAUUUUCCACAACCUGAGCUAUUUCAUAUCUCUCUAUAAAUUAUGAUCCAUGAGUGGACCACUGACGGAUGCAAGUUUAUUAUCACUUGUAACUGCUGGUUCAACCUUCAGAUAAGUUUGUGAUAAAGGCAUUUACGAGUACAAUGGCAAAAUUACAUGAACUUAUGUUAUCAAUCAUUGUUUUGCCUUCUCAUGAUAGAAUUCAAUGCAACAUAAAACAUUGAUAUAUUUGUACCUUGCCAUGCCGUGUUGUGAACCUAGAAGCAAUGCAAAGUGGAAGGAACAUAUCAAGCUAUCUACUGUAUAUAACAAAUUCUUACUAGCCCACAAUGCUGUGCCGCCACAUUGAUCAAGUAACACUACUAUUUCAUUUCCAAACUGGCAUAUAUAAUCUAAUGUUGAACAAACCAAAUUGGGAAUCAUCAUUCCUUACAUUAAGCUGACAUUCGUACCUGCUAGUCCAUGGGCAAAGUUGCAUAUAUUUUCAUACAGGCAGCUUCCCCUUAUCUCUCAGUUCCAACAGAGAUUUGGUUUCCCAUCACCAGCCUUUGAUUCAUUCGAUCAUAGAUACUCCGAGUUAGCAAGCCCCUUGUUGUGUUCCCAUUGAACAGACCCACUUCUGUUAUCCACAGAAGAUCCACCACUCAAAAUACUUAUCACUGAGCUAUUCCUAAACUGAGUAGAAACUUUCGCACAUCUCUCCGCAUUUACGUUAAGAAAUCGACACCUAUCCUCAUAUUUGCAAGUUUUCUGAUAAUAGAACGGUCUACAAAGCUGCAUUUCGUUAGGCAAUCUAGUCUCUCCAUUCCUCGCAAAGUGACAUUGAUUCCCGUAUUUGUAAUUGCCUAAUUGGGGUUUUGGCAAUAGCCUGAUCUUAAAAUUAGCACCCAUUACUUUGUUCAAAGCCACUGGCAUCCUCAGAUUAGGAACAACAUUUUCAAAUUUUUUAGCCCUGUUAGUCGAAUCACAUUCAACAGGAUAGUGAGGCAGCAUUUCACCAACAGAUUCAAUUUGACUACUCAUAUUGAUGCACAUAUAAGAAUUUGAAAUCACUUUUUCUUGGAAUAUUUAAUGACCAGACGAAAGUUCUUGAAUGGAAAUUAUUUAAUUUGAUUUGAUUUCCAACAAAUUCAAGAAACCCCAGAUAGUAACUAAACAAAAAUCAAACAAUAAUACGCAAUGGGUUUCUUUCUUUUUGCUUUUGGAGGGCCAUGGAGAUCUGGAGUGGGCUGUAAGUAAAUUAUGCCUUCAUCACUGGAAUGACAAAUUUGUAGAAGAUGAUAUAUGGGGAAGGAUUGAAGUAUUGAACAAAUUAAAUUACGUCCAUUGUGAUGAAUUAAAAAUAAAAUAACAAUUUUAACUUUAUAAUAAAAUUUGAUGUUAUCAUUACAUCUUUUAUUAAAAAAUUAAAUUAAUCAAGAAUGAUAUUAUUUUCUUUUAAUGUUAUCAAACUAAUCAACCUAUAAAAAUUAUAAAUUGUGAAGAAUAAAUACAUACACCACUUAAAAUGAUAUUUAUAUCAAAUUACUAGUUUUUAAGUUUUUCUUUUCAGAUGUUGAAAAAGAAAAAACAAACAUGUCAUUUAGAUAUUUUCAUUCAGACCUAUUCAGAUUUAAACUAAAUACAGACCUAUUCAGAUUUCAAAUAAAAAACAAACACAACCUUAGUAUAGCACAGAGCUUUUUUAGUGUAGCAUUUUAUAAGCAGAUUUUUUUUAAAAAAUUAUUAUUUAUUUGGUUGUUUUGCAUAGGAGAGCGUUUAAAGCUCCAAAAUCUUUGAUCAGUCAAUUUUUUUUUUUUUUGUUAGUAAAACUUUCAACAAAAAUUUAUUAUUCAUUUGAUCGUAUAUGAGAGUUUUUAUUAGUAAGUUAUAUAAAGUUCUUUAAUUUUUUUUUUAUUAGUGCAACUUUGUACAAGUACAAUUUUUAUUUUCUAAAAAAAAUUAAUUCAAUAAUAUUAGGAAUUUCAAUAUUUAAAUCCUAAUAUCAUCUGUCACUCAUUUAUUAAAUGACUAAUUUCAUAACUUAUAAAUUUAUUUAACUAACACCCAAUGAGUGAAUAUUACUAUGAUGAAGACUCAAAUUGAAAUUUAGAUGUUAGGUUGCGUAACGUUGCUCUUAUUUGGUUAUUUAUGAGAGCUUUCUUAUACAAACUUAUUUGUAUACAAAUUGAUAUAGUCUAAAUUCAUUAACUAGAUGAAAAUAUAAAAUAAUAAAAAUAAAUCAUAUGUACUAAGAAUUGUUUAAUUCAUCAAAUUGAAUUAUCCUACUUAUGUUUGUACCAAAUAAAUUUAUAUAAGAAUUUAUAAUUCUAUUUUUAAAUGUCCAACUAAAUUUUUAGUCCUUUAUUCUUUGUAAAAUUCAAAUUCAAAUGGCUCAUCAAAUAAAAUUAAAACUAUUGGCUAAUCAAAUAAAAUUAUUUGAAACCAUUGGGUAUGGUAGCUGGACCUCUUGGAACUAUCUAAGCCAUGAAAUUAACAGCGAAAAGAGUUUUAAAUGUCUAUUUUAUAAAUUUUUUAAUUAUUUUUUUAUUUACCAUUUUACCACCCAUAGUGAAAGUGUCUCAUCGACAGUUGAACAGUCAACAUAUCAGUCCUUAGGAAUUUACGUUUGGGGUAUUUUUGUAAUUAUAAGAAGGUAAACUAAUCGCAAAAUUCAUUUGGCUUGAACUUGCUCGCCUUCGCCCUGUGUAUGGUCGUGGCGUUAUCAAUAUCACCUUCUCCACUCGUACUGACACCAAACCUUAACCGUUCAGAUUCCCUUUCUCGAUUGUCAUACCCUAGGCCCCGUCUACGUGUCUCCGAUAAACAGUGCUCAAUUAAGGCCAUCAGAUUAUCCCGGACCCACAUUGAUCCAACGGCUCACAAUGACCGACAACCUCUAUAUCUCCAUUUCAAGCUCCCUUUUCAACUGGCUUCUGCUUCCGUCGUACUCUUUCUCGGAUUCGGAGUCCGUAUUUGCUCGGCCGGUCCCGCACAGCUCCCUCUCGCUCCAAUUGUCACCCAACAAGACCAAUUGCUUAAUCAAGGCACAGACCAAGAAGAGGAUGAGAAAUUGAAACAAGAAUUUGAGAAUUGGAAAUCGAAAACGUACCCAUUUGUGAUAAGGAAUUUAUGCGAAGUAAGGGAAAGAGAUUGAAGUUUCAGAUGAAUUUGUGUGCUAGCAUUGAUGGGAUCGUUAACAAUUUAUCUGUGCCCUUUAACAAAGUUAAGGCUAAGUCAGCUUCUUAUAUGGCUGCUGAUUUGGUUAGUGUUGGUGAUUCAUGGCUCAGCUUUGCGAUUAAAAAGAGAUUGAUUGAGCCAAUAGCUGGAGCUGAAGAUCAAGAUUGGUUCAAAUGCUUAAGUCACAAAUGGAAGGUAACAUCUUUGUCUUUGACCCGAUAAUUUUUAUUGUCUUACAUUGAAAUUUGGUAAUGUGGUUUGUAGUCAUUUUAUUUAUUUGCUUUUAUUUGCACCAACGAAGUCUCAGGUAUAUCUAUGCAGGAAUGAUACAGGAGAAAUUGAUCCUCGAGGUAAAAUAUGGGCGGCACCAUACAGGUGGGGCACAAUGGUGAUAGCCUACAAGAAAAGUAAAUUUCGAAAGCAUAAUUUGGCUCCAAUUGAGGUAAUAAUUGUCUUUAAAUUUUAUAUGAAACAAAAUCAAGACUGCCUUUCUGUUCAAUAUUUUUGAUGAUAAUAUCUUUAGAAGCAUCGCAUUGACGGGUAAUAAUGGUAUCCCUGAAAGAGUCUAUAAACUCAAUGAUAUUAUCUUCUACACAUGGUUUAUUAAACUUCUUCGUUGUAGUCAAAUGUACACUAAGAACAAUGAGAAGCUAUGCUACUGUAGCAUGUAGUGAUGGCGCUUAAUAAGUGAGUUGCUAGGAUGUGAACUAGAAAAAUUAAAUAUUGUCUCCUUGGGUAUGCUAGCUUGUAAGUCAGGGUUAAUAUUAGAAUUUAAGAUACUAUAACCAUGAGAAGCUAUUGACUGCCAAUUAAAAUAUCCAUUAAAAUGUCUAGGGAGUUAAGAAGGUGGAGGUAUCUUCCGAUUUCUAAGGCCACAUAGUAGACAUCAUCCAGGAUCCAAGGAAGGUGCGGUUAAGCUCCUGCUCGGUGCAAUUAAUAAAUUUGGUCAAUGCCACUGAAACCUGCUAACUGAUGUCACAAUGCACCAUGAGCACUUCAAAAUGGGAUAGACGGUCAGUAGCACUAAAUUUUUCUUGCCUAAGAUUGGGCAAUUGGUCUAACUGCUAACCCCUAUUGUAGGUUGAUCAUUAUUUUUUCAAUUAUGUUCAGUUUGACCCAAAAAGUUACAGAAUCUUGAUCUGAAUAUUGUCACCGAACACCGUCAAUGUUGUUUAGCAUAGCCAACUAACUAAAGUUUGGUAAAACAAACACACAUUGUGUCUCAUGUCUCACAAUUCAAAUUAUCAUCUGUAAUGAUGGAGGAUUUUUCUAAUGUAUGAAGUAUGCUUUGAUACGUGGGUUAGCUUGGAGAAGAUAUCUCAAAAUAAAGAACAUGGGGAGCGAAUGGGAAGAAAACAGUUCAGUAGUUUAUUAUUCUGUAGUCAAGUUUUGUCUCAAAAAUGGUCAAAAUUUAAAUGAAUAAGGACAGCGGAUCUUCAUUCUUUUUCCCUUUUUUAUGCCAAGAUAUCUCUCAACCUUUAUAUAAUCCCCACUGGAUAUCUACUUCUAACAAUUAAAAUAAAAAUUUCACCCACACAAAUAAAUACUGACCAAGCUCUAACAAUAAAAAGUAACAUCUUUAGUCAGGUAACCUCUUUACAGUUCCUCAUCAUCUUAGUGUGAGACUAUCAGUACGUUCCAAAAACAUAAUAAAACUGGUUUGAUCCUGUUUAUUGAUGUUUAAAUGUUGUUCAUUGUGACAUGUAGAAAUGAUGAGGCGAAGUUUCUUUGGUCAUCAAUUGGUAAGAUCUUGUUUGAAGUUGUUUUCUGAAAUGAACUGCCAAAUGGUAAUUUUUUUGGGCAUAUGAUGGCUCCUUUUUCCUCAUUUUAAACAUGUGCCUGCAUGGAACGGGAAGGAUUAGGCUGCAGAGUUGUUAUAUAUUUUGACAUGCAAUGGUUAUUACACAAUUUGUUCACACUGGAAAUUAGAAUGAGAAAUUUGUUGAUGCUGUUUUGAGAGAUCCGCAUUCUAUGCGCAUUAACAUGAUUAAUGAAAACAGAUUAUAGGACUGGAAAGAUCUGUGGCGGCCUGAGCUCGCAGGAAGAAUUUCAAUGGUUAAUUCUCCCCGAGAGGUUAUUGGUUCCGUUUUGAAGUAUAUGGGAGCAUCGUACAAUUCAAACAAUAUUGAUUUGCAAGUUGCUGGUGGGAAGAUUUCUGUUCAGCAGAAUCUGGCAUUAUUGGCAAACCAGGUACUCUUAAAGAAAUGAUAUCUGGUCAUUGCAUGUUAUUGCCUGACAACUGAUUUUGUUUGUAAAGUCUGCUUCUUCAUACAUAUGAACGCAUAUGUUAGUGUUUUCCUCUCCUUUUCAUACAUAUGAAUGCAUUUGUUAGUGUUGUCUUUUCCUUUUCAUACAUAUUAAUACAUAUGUUGGCGUUCUCUCCUGAAGAAAUGGCAAGGGAUGUGAGAUUCUGUCUCAUUAAAUUAACAAAAACCCAAAACAAUGAAAACCCAUAAUAAUGUGGUGUGGGUAAAUUGGCGCCAUUUGGUUCGUUUCCUUAAUGUGAAUACGCGAGCAAUAGAGACUAACAAAAUGAAGUGACAACAAGAAGUCAGUGUCGUCUGAUGGAUGCAUUUUUAGGCAGAAAUAGGUUUGUAAUUGACCAAAUUUGUCUGGCAUGCCAAUUUCAAAAAAAUUAAAUCAUGUGAUUAUUAGCUGUAAUGAAGGGAGACAGUAGGUGCAAUCAGGUGGAUCCAGGAAAGUUCAACAAAGUUCUGGUAUGGCGUAGUGAAAUUGGUUGUCCAACUCAAGAGUCUUUCAGGUGAACGAUGAUGGGUUUUGAUUUAUAAAUGUUAUAAAUCUACUAUGAAUAGUAUUCUAGCAGAAUCAUCUGUAAGUUCUAGUUAUUGAAAUUGUCUACUUUGUCCAGUUUGAAUUAAGGGCAAAUGUAAUAUGAAAAAUAGUUGCCGCAUCUUUUAGGUUACCUAACAUUUGAUCAAUCCUAUUAUGUGGGCUUCAAGAUGUCUAACAAUAUGUAGAAUGCACAUGCUCCUACCCAUUGUUUAUCUUAUACAAUAAUUUGUUUUAGAUGCUAAUAUCUUUGUCGAUCCCGGUAUCAAUAUUACAAUAUCUGCGUUUAUUGGGUUUUACAUAGGUUCGACUGUUUGACAGUACACACUAUCUGAAGGCAUUUGGAAUUGGAGAUGUAUGGGUUGCUGUUGGGUGGAGUAGUGAUGUUCUUCCUGCUGUCAAACGUAUGUCUAAUGUUGCAGUUGUUGUUCCCAAGUCUGGCGCUAGCUUAUGGGCCGAUCUUUGGGUAUACCCAUGCCUGCCUUUCUACUUCGAUAUUCACAUUGUUAUCUCCUUCAUAUUAGUGAUCAGUAAACACGAUAAUGUGACUAAUAAGUUCGUAUCCUCUUUAUAGGCAGGCCCUGCUGCCUCAAGACUUGAAACAAAACAAAUUGGAGGGCGAGUCAGAGGUCCAUCUCCAUUAAUCCAUCAAUGGAUAGAAUUCUGCUUGCAAACAGCGAGAGCAUUGCCUUUCAAGCAAGAGGUUAUCCCGGGCGCAUCUCCCUCUGCCCUUGAGAGUACUCUGGUUAAGUUGCCUGAAGAACUUCUGAAGGGUAAACCAAGUCUGGAUACUAACUUAAUUGUUGGAGUACCCCCGGCUGAAAUUCUGGCCAGAUGUGAGUUUUUGGAGCCAUUAUCUGAAGCUACUUUGUCAGAUUAUGAGUGGCUGGUUGCUAAUCAGCAAAAACCUGCUCCUGUCUUGAUGAAAAGGGUGCAACAUUACUUGUCAUCAUUGAUCCAAAGCUUUCUAGCAAAAGCUACAUUGAAAAGUUAAUGGCACUGCAUGCCAGUGAUUAUAAUGCUUCAGGGCAAUUGGGUCAGGGCAAUUAGGUCAGAGCAUAACUUCAUUAGGAAAAGAGGCUUCAGCUACAUUAAAUAUUACAGGAUGUACUGAGAUGGCUGAAGUUCUUGAGGUUUUAUGAGAAAUGAAAGAUGAGUCUUUGUUUGAACAAAGUUGUUGCCAAUUUUGCAGAGUUCGAGAAGAAAGAUCACGGAGCGAAUGCCACCGAUUUCUUCAUCAUUGUAGCCUCCAUAGUUGAAGUUUCCUCAUUUGAAGCUGUUUAUGCAUUAAGCUUAUUCCCUGCUCAAGUACAGGAAACUGAAGAAUUAACCAGACAUGAUAUGCUGAAAGAGGGAAGUUUUCUUCCUUGAAUGUGGCCUUGUGAUUUGUAGUGAAGUAAUAGGAUGAUCACUAGCAAGAACCCUAUCAAGGUAGAUUUUAUAAUGUCAACAUAUUAUUAAGCAUUUGUCAAUUUAGCACUUUCGCAAUGAUACAUUCAUAGCCUGAAAUUAAUUAUAUGAUCCUGAUUAAUCAAUUAAUCUUCAUGAGAUUUAACCUAGUUAAAACUAAGUACAAUCAUCGUUAACAAAUACUGAAAUUGGGUAAAUAUGAUCUCGACAUUGAAGAAUUUGAAAACACAACCCACGGAGGAAAUUACCUGUUGCAUGGGGAUGGAGAUGGUUACUGCAGGGAUAUAAAAUAUGUGCAAGGUGUUGUCCACUGCUCUUUGGGUUAUGGUGUGACUUGCGAUUUCAAGGUUGCCCUGAAACAAUGGAAAAGAUUAACAUAUCCUCCAAUGAAUGAAAACGGCUUGUCUAAUUCUAAUUACCGAAUUGACUCAGAAUCAGGUGGCAAUAAUAACAGGUCAUUAGCAUUACACAGUCCGAGUACUUUUCCAGGAUCAGAUACAACGUGGUCUAAUGUUGAUAAUAAUAGUUUAUUAAAUGACAAAUCAUUGGUCUUGGGUGUUGGUUAUAUACGUCAUUACUACUUCAAGUAGAAGAUGAAGGUUGUGCAGGUGAUUUCAGAAAUAAAAUACAUUCUGAGAGAUGCUGGUCUACCAUUGCAUGCCCCCAGAUAUAAGAAUUUUUUGAUUGGGGCAUUUGGCAAGAUUCGACAAAUUCUAGAUUCAACCUCCUCCACCAAGGGAUUCCAACUGAGUUAUCAAUUAUCGUAGCAGUUCUAUUAACUAAAAUUAGCAAAUAUAAUAUAAGAAAAAGAACAAUAAAUACACACUGAAGUUGAAUUGAAAAUGAAGUUGCAAGUUGCCGCCCAUAGCUGCUGACUAAUAAUAAAACGAGACAAAUUAAUUAAACUCAGACCUCUUUGUAUAUGUUAUCCUAACUUUACUUACCCUUGUUUGUAAUUUUCACUUAACACUUGAUGCCUAAACCAUUAAAACCAAAUGACCAUAGGGGUAUUUAAAGUAUGUAAAAAUAAACAAAAACACGUAAAAAAAUUCAAACAAUUAAUAAUUACACUCUAAAUGCACCACUCAACUCUUAAUAAUAGCCAUACUCUAAAACAAUCUACAACCUUUGAGGGGAGUAGCUAUGAGGAAAAUCCUUUUCUCAGUGGAUUGCCAUUGCCCAAUAGUUGCAAUGAAAAGAGACCACCUGCAACUGUGCCGGAAGAUUCAACUAGCUCUGAAAAAGAUGAUAAUUUAAUUGAUAUGGACAGUUUCCAUAUCACUUUUAAAUCAUCUUAUGUAAUUGUGAUGUUAGUAAGCAUUAGUGAUCUAUAUGUGAACUAUUAUUGGCGCCAUUGGUGGUUUUAUCUUGUUAAAAUAUGGAUGACUUCCGGUUACUAUUUUGUAGUACACAAUUUUAUUCAAUUAACAUAUACCUUAAAACCAUUAUGUAUGUGCUUUAUUAAGAUUCUCAAGUACCAAUCACGUUUGCUUAAGAAAUAAAAUUUUACCAUUAAAAGCGUAGUAAUAUUUCCAAGCGCUUCGCAUUUAUCUCAACAUUUUGAAGGAAUUUCGAGAAAUACACGGGUCCAAAAGUCUAGUCAUCAUCCUUAUUCUUGGUAUGAGUUGAUUUUUAGUGAUUAUCUAAUUGACUGGGGUGACAACAAUAGCACAACGUAGAAUUCAAUAAUAGAAUUCUCCUGUUUAAUUUGUUUUAAGUUAAAUUAUUAAUUACUUAAAACUCUGUUUUAAGUCUUUAAUUUUAUGUCUUGGCGUAUAUGCAGAGUUGGAAUCUUGAGUGAGUUGGACAUGACCUACAAUGAGAGUGGCAGUAAACAAACAUUAGAACGUGUGGACUCCGGUGGCUGCCCUGCAAGUCUACAACUCUACAAGAAUAAUUUCUAGCCCCGUUGACUCCACUAACUAAAGUUUUUUAAAAUUUAAAAAGGUACAUAGAAUUCAACAACAAGCAAAACGUGUGGAAUUUAGUUUUUUGCCGUGUGGAACAAAAUACAAUUUAGCAAAAAAGGACAAGAAAAAUGGUAAGAUUUCUAAAAUGAGUGGAAGUUGAUCCAUAUUUUACUGAAACGACUUGCCCCGAACAUCACGACGAUUGAUUUUUUUUAUUUAUUUUUUGAAUAACAUCAACUUUCAUAUCUUUCUAACCCCCAGAAUAUGCUCACGUUCUAGUCUAUCUUGCUAAUUUAAAAAAAUAAAAUCAAAUCAACACCAAAACAAUGAAAAGUAAAGCUUUUGAAUUUCAACUCCAGCUAGCAAACGUAUUCAGCGUUUUCAAAUUCUUCCCAUUGCAUAUCUUCUUCCUCCAUCAAUGCAAUAUUUGAACGAUUAUGAAAGAAUUUAAGAACAUAAAAAAUCUCCUAGGUUUAUACGGUGUAACAAAUUUAAAUUCUCAAUUACAAUAGAUAAUAAUUAAACUAAUAAUUUUUUAUGUACUUAUUUUAGUAAUUUCACCUAAGAAUAAUAUUGUAAUUAGAAAAAAAAAAUCUAAUGAGUAGGGUGGUCUUAUACAAAAUCAACUGCAUACAUAUAUGCAGAUGCAGAUAAUAAUUUUUAAUUCCUUUUUUUAAUAAGAAAAUUGUGUAUUGAGAUGAAUAAGAUGUUUAAUUUAAUUAAUUUCCUUACUUUCGUAUACAUUGUCUUUCUAUCUAGAGAAAGCUUGGUGUUCAGAACGACAUGAAGUUGCGAGUUGUCGCCCAUGGCUGCUGAUUAAUAAUAAAACGAGACAAAUUAAUUGAACUCAGGCCCAUAUGUAUAUGUUAUCCUAACUUUACUUGCUCUUGUUUGUUAAUAUUCAUUCUUAGAGAGGUGAAAAAAAUUACAAGUCUUGAAUAACGAGGAGUUUAAUUGCCUCUAACUUUACUUGGCCAGGCCUUCUAUAAUCUCAUUAAUAAUACAGAGAAUUAAUUAUCUUUUUAUUAUUAAACCAUCUUCAGGAAGAUUUUCCUUAAUUUGCUCCAGAAGAGUUGGAGCUGUGGUUCUGAUAAACCAAAGAAUUAGUAGCAAUUAAUAUUAAUAUUUCGCCCAUGGCUGCUGAUUAAUAAUAAAACGAGACAAAUUAAUUAAACUCAGGAGCAUUUAAACCACUUCCUUAUCAAUUGCGGCAGCCGUCUAUUAACUAAAACGCCAAUCUAAUACAAGAAGAAAGAACAUUUACAGACUUGGCAAUUGAGUUCAUUAAGAAGUAGCAUCGCAUUCGGGUGAUGAGUUUCCUUUUGUUAAUGAUUUUAGUCUAAUUUCAAUUGUACUGUGACCGCUUCUCACUCAAGGUAAGUGAAAGUUACAGAUGUGGCAAAAUAAAUAAUUAAAUUAACAAAAUGCUAACUAAUUUUCCUAAAUACCUAGGGUUGUACAAUUUCACCAACCUGGAAGAAUUGACAUUAAUGGACCGGUCUCCUCCCCAUAUAAUUAUAAUCCUUCUAGAAAGCUAGUUUUUAUUAAAUAUUUGCUUUUAAGUUAAUUUCAAUUAAAAAAUGUUUUAAGUUAUAUAUACUCUAAUGAGAUUCUGAAUUCCUUUAUUCCAAUAAUAAUGAAAACGUAUUAAAUUAGAAAUGAAAAAAUUGGUGUUGAUGAUUCAACCUAUUUGGAUAGAUUACGUGAAUAAAAUUGAAAUUUUGAUUUAAUUUUUGUUUAUUGUUAAUUCUCAUGCUAUCUUAAUUUCAAGAAUUUAGAAUGUUAAUUUGGUCAUGGAUUUCAACCCGUGAGUAUCAUAUUCUAGACUUAAUGGUACCAUUCUUUGAUUGAGGGCAAUGACUCUCACUCCUCUUGUAAAAAAAUAUUUUCAACUAUUUUGAUGACUUAAAAAUUGAUAGAUUUAUUGUUGUCAUGACCAAAUUAUUCAUUUUAAUGAAAUAUAAUUAAUGCAUCAAAGUUACCAGGUUUAUGUUCUAUCUUACCUCUGUUUCAUUUUUUUUUUUUCAGUUAUCAGCUAUGCCCCUGAGGCAUUUUGUAGAGUAUAGCUUCUGCUUACCUCUGUUUCAUUUUUUUUAAUAAAAAAACAAGGGAAGGUUUUUCCGAGUCAUCCAUUAUUUGAUUUCCGUCAAUCAAGAAAACGACCAAAUUAAUUUCUCUCCAAAAUUUCCAAAAGCUAGAAAAUUUUGUUAUUUGAAAAUAACAUCAUUAAUUAUAGAGUGGAUCAAACCGCGUUAUUGUCUUUCAUAAAAUUGAUGUCUUUUUAAGAGUCAAUACUUUUGAUGUACGCAAACCAGUCGACAUCAACUUAAACUUCCAUAUUUUUAUUAUUAUGUUAUUUAUUUUAAUCCCCGAUUAUUUGAUUAGCCACUAUAUAUAUAUCAAGAAAGCGACAAAAUUUAUUUCUCAUGACUUCCAAAAACUAGAAAACAACAUCAUUUAUUAUUUUUUUGCAACCCUAAUUGACAUAAACUUUAACUUUAUUAUGUUAUUAUUUCAAUCCCCCAUUAUGACCUUUCUAAUCCUCCAUUAUGCAUCUUUUAUAGUGCAAAUUUAAUUGCACAUCUAAAUAAAUUGAUUAUUGUUACUCCACCACCAAUAUUUCAAGGAAAAUUCUAUGAUGCCGUGAUUAAAAUUACGGUAUUAAUGCCGUAGUUAUUAUGUACCGUUAGAUUAGAUCAACGGCACAUAAUAAUUAUAAUUAUAUAAAUUUUAUUUUUUCAACAGGUUACAACCCGGUUAACAUUUUUUUAUAAGUAAAAGUUAACCGAUUAAAAUUAAAAAUAAUUAUUAUAUUUUUUUAGAAAAUUAUUAUAACUGAUUUAUUUUAAAAUCGCUCAUUCACGUUAAUUAGGGAUUAUGAUAGGACCGAAGUAAAACUUCAGCCGAUUCAUAUUGAGAGGAAAAGAGCAACUGAGUCUUUCUCCACUACCAGUCUUUCUCCACUACCAACUCCACGUCAUCGCCGUUCCGCCGUUUUGUUUCAUCAUGUGUUGGGAAAGGGCAGAGGUUGUUUCCCAGUGGCCAACUCGAAGAAGCUAAAGUUCGUUAAAUUCCAAAACACAUAAUCCUUGCAAACUAGAACGGGCAAAGGCUAUCUUUGAAUUGUGCUUUUUUUUCCUGUUUUUCGAGCCAGACUGCCCACCAAGUUAGCCAAUUCUUGGUACUAAUUUUGUCUUUUAGUAUUGAUUUUUGGGGAAUUCCUUUUUUCACCUUGAUUUUCUUUUGAAUUGUUUUAUAUCUGCUUGAUUUUCUUUCUUUCACUCUUUUGUAUUCUUUGGUUUUCUUCAUCAAAAUUUACUAUUUUCACAUGUUAUCUUGAUUAUUUCCUGCUAAUUAAUUUUGUAUUGUAAAUAAUCUAUUUGUUGGACUUCCAGAGUGAGCAAGUUAAUUUGAUUUAAUUAGGUGCCUAUUAUAAUAGCUUUUCUGGUUUGUUGUAGGCAAUUCUAACUGUAUUCUAAAUAAACUUCCAUAUGAUUAGAUCUUGAUAAAUGCAAAGGAUAACAAUGUUAUAAGCCAUUGGCCUAAGAAAAUGUGUAAAUCCUCUAUUUGAGGUACAAAUUUUCUCUCAUAUGUUUUUUUUUUUAUUUUGUAUUUUUUCACAAAGAACUGGUUGUUAAGAUCCUAUUUCAUUAGUUGAAACUGAUUAAAAGGAGAUUACCCUUCGGCAGUUGGUGGGAAAGAUUUAAGUUCAUCUUUCUGGAUCUUCUACUUUAGACUUAUCAUUCAAGAAAGUGUCAAAACUCGAAUGGCUGUAAAACUUUGAACAGAUUAUUAAUUAAUUUAGGUGCAAGAUCUUUUAUAACACUUUAAUAAGUUAUUACCAUUGCAUUCUUUUUUUCUUUUCUUUGAGAAGAAACCAUUUAACUUUAGACUAACUUCCAAAUUUACCUUUGUAAUUUAGCUAAAUAGGUAAAUUUAUUCAAAAGUUGUCCUCCUCGCAAGCUUAAGGUAUUUCAACUUUGCCUACAACUACAAGUUAAAGAGAAAUUAUCGUGAAAACCAUGCCACGGCCGCAGUAUUUAAAAUGUGCACAAGGAGCUUAGAGAACUGGGCUUUGUUUGAUUACAUGAAAGGAAAUGGACAAAAUUUAUGUUACAAAAGAAGCUUGGAGCUGAUAAAUGAUGCAGUAUGAGUGAACUUUUUGUCGCUCUUUGAGGAAUUUUUCUACAAAUUUUGAUGUAGCUAUUAUUUUGGUGAAUGAUUUAUUCUUUUCUUUUUUCUUCAAUAUUAUGAUUUUGUUUCCAUAUUUUAAUAGAAAUUAUUAAAAUUCUAAGGAAAUUGCACUAUUUAUCUCAAGAAAGUGGCUUAAUUCUACAUAUAUGAGUAAUGUUUCCAUAAUUACAAGCAUAAUAGUGGCUUAACUCCAUAAUUCUACAUAUAUGACAUCAAACCCAACUCAUGCUCACCCUUAUAUCAUUCUAUCUAAAUCAUAAAAUGACAAUAAUCCAACUCUUUAACAAUUUUCACAUUGGAUUUAAGUUGAGGCAAUUGACCUAAACUAAAUAACCUAAAUUCCAAAUAAAUGUGAAAUAACACAAAAAAUUUCUAAACCACACGUAUGACUCGUAAAUUGAAGGUAAAACAUGUAAAUUAGCGUUAGAGUGGUAAAUUGGUCUACAAAAUUAAAAAAAAUAAAAAAUAGAAAAAAACUAGUAAAUUGAUAGAAAAUGUAGUAAAUAAAUGUUGGAGUUGUAAAUUAUAAGAAGAAAUUGUAAACAAAACAAAAACUUAGAAAAGUGACAUAGAACUUGUAAAUUGACAUUAAGUGUGAAAUGAAAAACAAAACUUUGUAAACCACAUAUAAAACUAGUAACUUGAUGGGAAAAUGGGAAAAUUAAUGUUGGAGUUGUAAAUUGUAAGAAGAACUUGUAAACAAAACAAAAACUUAGAAAAAUGACGUAGAACUUGUAAAUUGACAUUAAGUGUGAAAUGAAACAAAAUAUUUGUAAACCACACAUAAAACUAGUAAAUUAAUGGAAAAAUGGGUAAAUUAAUGUUGGACUUGUAAUUGGCAAGAAUAACUUGUAAACAAAAUAAAAACUUAGAAAAAUGACAUACAACUAGUAAAUUGACAUUACGUGUAAAAUGAAAUAAAAAACUGUGUAAAUCACACAUAAAACUAGUAAAUUGAUGGAAAAAAUGGUAAAUUAAUGUUGGAGUUGUAAAUUGCAAGAAGAACUUGUAAACAAAACAAAAACUUAGAAAAAUGACGUAAAACUUGUAAAUUGACAUUAAGUGUGAAAUGAAACAAAAAAUUUGUAAACCACACAUAAAACUAGUAAAUUAAUGAAAAAAAUGGUAAAUUAAUAUUGGAGUUGUAAUUUGCACGAAGAAGUUGUAAACAAAACAAAAACUUAGAAAAAUGACAUAGAACUUAUAAAUUGACAUUAAGUGUGAAAUGAAAUAAAAAAUUUGUAAACCACACAUAAAACUAGUAAAUUAAUGGAAAAAUAGGUAAAUUAAUGUUGGAGUUGUAAUUGGCAAGAAGAACUUGUAAACAAAACAAAAACUUAGAAAAAUGACAUACAACUAGUAAAUUGACAUUACGUGUGAAAUGAAACAAAAAAAAUGUGUAAAUCACACAUAAAACUAGUAAAUUGAUGGAAAAAGGGUAAAUUAAUGUUUGAGUUGUAAAUUGCAAGAAGAACUUGUAAACAAAAUAAAAACUUAGAAAAAUGACAUACAACUAGUAAAUUGACAUUACGUGUGAAAUGAAACAAAAAAAAUGUGUAAAUCACACAUAAAACUAGUAAAUUGAUGGAAAAAGGGUAAAUUAAUGUUGGAGUUGUAAAUUGCAAGAAGAACUUGUAAACAAAAUAAAAACUUAGAAAAAUGACGUAGAACUUGUAAAUUGACAUUAAGUGUGAAAUGAAACAAUAAAGUUGUAAACCACACAUAAAACUAGUAAAUUAAUGAAAAAAAUGGUAAAUUAAUGUUGGAGUUGUAAAUUGCAAUAAGAACUUGUAAACAAAACAAAAACUUAGAAAAAUGACGUAGAACUUGUAAAUUGACAUUAAGUGUGAAAUGAAACAAAAAAUUUGUAAACCACACAUAAAACUAGUAAAUUAAUGAAAAAAAUGGUAAAUUAAUAUUGGAGUUGUAAUUUGCACGAAGAAGUUGUAAACAAAACAAAAACUUAGAAAAAUGACAUACAACUUGUAAAUUGACAUUAAAUGUGAAAUGAAACAAAAAAUUUGUAAACCACACAUAAAACUAGUAAAUUAAUGGAAAAAUAGGUAAAUUAAUGUUGGAGUUGUAAUUGGCAAGAAGAACUUGUAAACAAAACAAAAACUUAGAAAAAUGACACACAACUAGUAAAUUGACAUUACGUGUGAAAUGAAACAAAAAAAAUGUGUAAAUCACACAUAAAACUAGUAAAUUGAUGGAAAAAGGGUAAAUUAAUGUUUGAGUUGUAAAUUGCAAGAAGAACUUGUAAACAAAAUAAAAACUUAGAAAAAUGACGUAGAACUUGUAAAUUGACAUUAAGUGUGAAAUGAAACAAAAAAUUUGUAAACCACACAUAAAACUAGUAAAUUAAUGAAAAAAAUGGUAAAUUAAUAUUGGAGUUGUAAUUUGCACGAAGAAGUUGUAAACAAAACAAAAACUUAGAAAAAUGACAUAGAACUUGUAAAUUGACAUUAAGUGUGAAAUGAAACAAAAAAUUUGUAAACCACACAUAAAACUAGUAAAUUAAUGAAAAAAAUGGUAAAUUAAUAUUGGAGUUGUAAUUUGCACGAAGAACUUGUAAACAAAACAAAAACUUAGAAAAAUGACGUUGAACUUGUAAAUUGACAUUAAGUGUGAAAUGAAACAAAAAAUUUGUAAACCACACAUAAAACUAGUAAAUUAAUGAAAAAAAUGGUAAAUUAAUAUUGGAGUUGUAAUUUGCACGAAGAAGUUGUAAACAAAACAAAAACUUAGAAAAAUGACAUAGAACUUGUAAAUUGACAUUAAGUGUGAAAUGAAACUAAAAAUUUGUAAACCACACAUAAAACUAGUAAAUUAAUGGAAAAAUAGGUAAAUUAAUGUUGGAGUUGUAAUUGGCAAGAAGAACUUGUAAACAAAACAAAAACUUAGAAAAAUGACAUACAACUAGUAAAUUGACAUUACGUGUGAAAUGAAACAAAAAAAAUGUGUAAAUCACACAUAAAACUAGUAAAUUGAUGGGAAAAGGGUAAAUUAAUGUUGGAGUUGUAAAUUGCAAGAAGAACUUGUAAACAAAAUAAAAACUUAGAAAAAUGACGUAGAACUUGUAAAUUGACAUUAAGUGUGAAAUGACACAAAAUAUUUUUAAACCACACAUAAAACUAGUAAAUUAAUGUUGGAGUUGUAAUUAGCACGAAGAAGUUGUAAACAAAACAAAAACUUAGAAAAAUGACAUAGAACUUGUAAAUUGACAUUAAGUGUGAAAUGAAACAAUAAAGUUGUAAACCACACAUAAAACUAGUAAAUUAAUGAAAAAAAUGGUAAAUUAAUGUUGGAGUUGUAAAUUGCAAGAACUUGUAAACAAAAUAAAAACUUAGAAAAAUGACGUAGAACCUGUAAAUUGACAUUAAGUGUGAAAUGAAACAAAAAAUUUGUAAACCACACAUAAAACUAGUAAAUUAAUGAAAAAAAUGGUAAAUUAAUAUUGGAGUUGUAAUUUGCACGAAGAAGUUUUAAACAAAACAAAAACUUAGAAAAAUGACAUACAACUAGUAAAUUGACAUUAAUUGUGAAAUGAAACAAAAAAUGUGUAAAUCGCACAUAAUACUAGUAAAUUGAUGGAAAAAUAGGUAAAUUAAUGAUGAAGUUGUAAUUGGCCAAAAGAACUUGUAAACAAAACAAAAAUUUUAAAAAAUGACAUAGAACUUGUAAAUUGACAUUAAGUGUGAAAUGAAACAAACAAUGCGUAAAUCACACAUAAAACUAGUAAAUUGAUGGAAAAAUGAAUAAAUUAAUGUUGGAGUUGUAAAUUGUAAGAAGAACUUGUAAACAAAACCAAAACUUAGAAAAAUGACAUAGAACUUGUAAAUUGACAUUAAGUGUGAAAUAAAACAAAAAAUUUGUAAACCACACAUACAACUAGUAAAUUAAUGGAAAAAUAGGUAAAUUAAUGUUAGAGUUUUAAAUUGUAAGAAGAACUUGUAAAUAAAACAAAAACUUGUAAAUGUUACAUAAAACUUGUAAAUCAACAUUAACUUGUAAAAGUUUCAUAAAACUUGUAAAUCACACAUAAAAUUAGUAAAUGUAACCUGGAACUUGAACAAAAAAGAGUAAUUACCUGCUAUUUAGGUAACAGGUUACCUAUUUAUUUAGAAUUAAUGGUAGAAAUCUUUUAUUCAAAUCUAACGGUCCACGUCCAUUACGGCAUCAAUGCCGUAAAUUUAGUUACGGCAUUAUAGAAUGACCCAUAUUUCAAAUAGUCACUAGACCAUUUCUGCCUUUAAUUUUCCCUUAAGUUUAACUAUUGACUGUUUUUAGCAUCUUAAAAUAUACAUUUAUUCCUUGAUUAUGUGAUAAAAUUAUGAAAAAAAUCCAUUUUAGCUUAAAUUAAUUGGAAUAACCAUAAACAUAACUUAAAUUAAUAGAACAAAAUUAUCAAGUGUAUGUUCUAUCUUACUUUUUGAAGAAUUUAACAUAUAUAAUGCUAUACUAUUAAUAAAUUCAUCAUUUAAUAUAUAUGUUCAAAUAUUUUAUAUAUUUAUUAAUUGUUAUAUAGUCAAAGGAUGAAUGAUUUUUCAGGUCUACAUGAGUUGGUGCAUCUGCAAGACUCAAUUUUGACAACAAUGAUCUAAGGGGUAAUUUACCUUGGUGUUUGACAAAUAUAACCUCUCUUCAAGAUUUACUUCCAAUCUACUUACUGUAAAUAUCUCCUCAUCUCCUCUCAUUUAUAUGAUAACCCUUGAAGAUCUCACAUUUUCAAACAAUCAUAUUAGGGUUUUUAUUAUUAACAUCAUUGUGUCAAUAAUAUAUGUUGCAGUAAGAUUUUUUCAGACCAAUUCCCUUCUUCAAAUAAUAAUGGAAAAGUAUUAAUUUAAAAAUAAAAUGAAUAUGCAUUGAUUAUAUCCUAAUUUUCAUCGAUUAUAGCGAGAGUUUCUCCAAAUCAACUCCCUUAUUCAAAAAAUACAGAAAAAAUAGUAAUUUAAUAGUAAAAUUAACAAGUGUUGAUUAUAUAUCCUAAGUUUCAUCGAUUAUGUGAUCAAAGUGGCAUUGUUGAUUUAUUUCUUGUUCAAUGUUAAUUUUUAGGUUAUCUAAAUUUCAAGGAUUUAAAAUCUUUGUUCAUGGAUUACACGCUUAUUAAUUUUUCUGCCAUUGACUGUCAUAUUCUAGACUUAAUCGUACCUUCCUUGAUCAAGGAUAAUUACUCUCUGUUCUCCUCUUAUAAAUUCCUCUUCCAUUAACAUCACUAGAAGUAUGUUGAUCUCUCAGACGUUAACUUCAGUGGAGAGUUUCCAAAUUGAUUGUUACAAAACAACACAAAAACUAGACACACUUGAUCUGUCUAAUAAUUCUCUUUCGGUAAAAUUAAUUAAUUUUAGGGGAAUAUUUGACCAACCUAUAUAAUUUUAGAUUGAUCAUUAAUUAAUUAGACGAAAAAAGUACUUGUGCUUUUGUGGCGACAAUUGAACCAGAGAAGUGAAGCUGUAAAGAUUUGGCAGUAGUAAUUAUAAUUUUUUCAAAAAACUUUUUUACAACACAGGCACCUGGCCAAAAAUUUUAUUUUUCUAACUAACAAUAAUUGAGUAGCUGACCGUAUUGACUCCACCUACUUGCUAAAGUAAAAAAAUAGAAAUAGAAUUUCCACAAAAUGUCAAACAUGUAAAAUCUAAUAUUUGGCCGUGUGGAACAAAAUACAAAUGAAAAAAAAUAGAAAAAAAGGCCUAAAGACUUUUAAAAUGUGUGGAAGUCUUUCGGCCCUUUUAUAAUGGUGUGUUUUUCAAAGGAACAAAUAAUAAUAAUGACACUUCUACGGUUUGUUUUGAUAAUCACACAUAUACUCUUUAAUUUGAUAAAUGGUUACACAAAUUUUGUUUACAAAAAUAUAUUAUUCAUGUUCUGUAUUAUUUUUUAACAUCAUAUUUUUAUUUAUUAUAAUUGUUUAAAGUUAAUUGUUAGGUUGAUAUAUAACAAAAACGUAUAAUCGUUCUCUUACUAAACAAACAUACUCGUAGUUUCUGUUCAUUUGUCAUCUCAAUCUCUCUCAUUUAUCCUUUAUUGAUAGCUCAAAACGCGUCACUGUGGAAAAUUAUAGCAAAAUGACAAAUAUGGAAAAAAUGGGAAGAAAAUUAAUGCAUGAAAGAGUUGUAGAAGACAACCAAAUAAGUCAACUAUACGCUAGCUGGGUGUAUAAAUUGUUAGAUGUGUUAUAAACAAAUAGCAUAGAGCCUUGGUUGGUUACAGAGAUAGAAAAAGUGUGUGUGUUUUUUAGAACUUAAAGAUACAGUUAGAAUGGGUGGUUCAAAAUCAAAAAUGGUGAUAAUGUUUGUUCUGUUAUUAAUAAUAUUUGAAGGUGGGUGGAGUGAGGGAUGUUUGGAUCAUGAGAGAUUUGCUCUAUUGCGACUCAAACAUUUCUUCAUUAAUCCUUAUAAUCUUCUUUACAACUGGGUAGAUGAUGAUGGAGCUACUGAUUGUUGUCAGUGGGAAAGGGUUGAGUGCAGCAACACCACAGGGCGAGUGAUAGCACUAGACCUUUUUGACGCGCAUGGGGGAGAGUACUGGUAUCUGAAUGCUUCUUUAUUUACUCCCUUUCAACAACUUGAGUCACUUGAUUUAAGUUGGAACAAUAUAGCCGGUUGUGUUGAGAAUGAAGGUGCUUCGUCUAAUUCAAUUAAAUUACAUUUCGCUCUCCAAAUUUAAGUCGAAUAUCAAGACUGAGCAGCUAUAUGCAUAUUCAUUCAAUUGACAAUUUUUACAUAUUUUGUAAAAUGUUUAAUUUUGAAAUUACACCAAACAUCAUAUGUGAUCUUUGUUUUGAUUUUACUUGCAGGUCUAGAAAGAUUGAGCAACUUGAAGAGGCUUGAUUUAAGUCAUAACUUGUUCAACAAUAGUAUCUUAUCAUCUGUGGCUCAUCUUUCAUCACUAACAUCAUUAGAUUUAUCUGAAAAUAGAUUGGAAGGAAGUAUUAAUGUUAAAGGUACGUAAUUAAAACGUCAUCGCUUUUCCCAACUCUUUCAUUAACAUGUUAAAAUAAGAUUCAAGGCUUUGAAUUCAAUUUUUUUUAUGAGUAAAUAUUAGAAAAAUAGUUUUAAGCAAUUCAUAAAUACAAUUUUCAAUGUUUCUCAUAAUUACUCUAACUGUGAAGCAAAUACCCCAUGACUAAUUUAUCAUUUUGUCCAGUUAAAAAUGAUAAAAUUUAUCAUUUGUUUAUAUUGAUUUAUUAACUCUAUUUUAAGUCUUAAGUCUUGGCGUCUUGGCAUGUUUGCAGAAUUUGAUUCCUCGAGCAACUUAGAGGAGUUGGACAUGAGCUACAAUGAAAUAGACAAUUUCGAGGUUCCUCAAGGUAAACAAUUAAAAUAUUAUUUAAUUACAUUAAUUUAAUUCGUUUGAUUAGGGAAGACCCAAAAUGUACAAAAACAUAAUUAAAAAAAUAAAGAAACAGAGAAUUCAUAUUAUUUCAAAAAACAAAAGGUAAUACUAUUAUUUCAAAAAAAGAAUGUAAUAAAGAUUUGAUUCCGGUUCUUUAAUCUUUAUAGCAAUUGAAAAACAAUGUUGCUCUUUUCCCAAAGCAUAAAAUACGAAUUGACUCCCAAUUAAAUUAAUCAUUUAUUUCGUUUAGGUCUAAAUUUAGAAAAAUGAUUUUUGAUUCUCUUCAAUCCUAUCCUUAUUAUUAUUGUUAAAUAGGUUACAGAGGUUUGAGGAAGUUGAAAAGCCUCUAUCUAUUGGAAGUUAAAAUUAGAGAUGGAAGCAAGUUGUUACAGUCAAUGGGAUCAUUCCCAUCCCUCAACACUCUUGACCUUUCGUGGAAUAAUUUUACCGAUAUAGCGACAACUACUACUCAAGGUAAGUAAAAGGUACAGAUGUGGCCAAAUUUAUAAACAAACUGUUAAUUAAUUAAUUUUUCCGUAUUAUUAAUUAAGCUAAAUUUGUUGCUUCUUCCUUCUAAAUCUAAACAGAGUUGCACAAUUUCACCAACUUGGAAUAUUUGACAUUGGACGAUUCCUCUCUCCAUAUAAGCCUUCUGCAAAGCAUUGCAUCAAUAUUCCCUUCGUUAAAAAAUUUGUCGAUGAUUGGUUGUGAAGUCAAUGGCGUCCUACGUGGUCAAGGUAAAAGAAAAGUGUUGAUUGUGAACUCGCUCAAUGGUGUCCUACGUGUUCAACAUUUUUAUUUAUUUAUUUUAUUGUUUAAUGUUUCUGCUAGGCUUUCCUCAUUCCAAGAGUUUGGAACAUUUGGAGAUGGAUGACGCGCGCAUUGCACUCAACACCAGCUUUCUUCAAAUCAUCGGAGAAUCAAUGUCUUCUCUUAAGUACUUAUCACUGUCAUAUUAUACUCUUAGCACUAACAGCAGCAGGAUUCUUGUUCGAGGUUAAUCAGAUGCUCCCACCCUCCCUUCUUAAUCUAUAAUAUUAAUUUUCAAUUAAAUAUUUAAUUACACAAACCAAUCACUUAUUAUAAAAGAACAAUACGCAUUCAUUAAUUUUUAUAUUGUAUUAAUAAUUGAUGAAUUUAAUAAAUUUUCAGGCCUCUGUUCGUUGAUGCAUCUGCAAGAGUUGUACAUUUAUAAUAAUGAUCUGAGAGGCAGCUUGCCUUGGUGCAUGGCAAAUAUGACAUCCCUCAGAAUAUUAGAUGUUUCUUCUAAUCAACUUACUGGAAGCAUCUCCUCAUCUCCCCUCGUUCAUUUGACAUCCAUUGAAGAGCUGUAUCUUUCAAACAAUCAUUUUCGGAUCCCAAUUUCACUUGAACCACUUUUCAAUCACUCAAGACUCAAGGUUUUUUGGGUUAAGAACAAUGAAAUAAAUGCAGAAAUAACUCAGUCACCUUCUUUUACCGCCCCAAACUUCCAAUUAUCACGUCUCUCAUUGUCUUCCGGUUAUGGAGACGGUGUCAUAUUCCCCAAAUUCCUUUACCAUCAACUUGGUUGUUGGAAAACAACACAAAAUUGAGACAACUUUCUCUCGUCAAUGAUUCUCUUGCAGGACCUUUUCGGUUGCCAAUUCAUUCACACAAGCGGUUAAGACUGUUGGAUAUAUCCAACAACAACAUCCGAGGCCACAUUCCAGUAAAAAUUGGAGAUGUUUUACCAAGUUUAUACGUUUUCAACAAUUCCAUGAAUGCUUUAGACGGUAGCAUUCCCUCUUCAUUUGGUAAUAUGAAAUUCCUCCAAAUUCUGGACUUAUCCAACAAUCACUUGACAGGUGAAAUCCCCGAGCACUUGGCCGUGGGUUGCGUCAACUUGCAGUCUCUUGCAUUAUCAAAUAACAACCUACAAGGUCAUUUGUUCUCUAGAAAUUUUAACUUGACAAACUUGAAAUGGUUACAAUUGGAGGGCAAUCGCUUCGUAGGUGAGAUCCCACAAAGUUUGUCUAAAUGCUCCUCACUAGAAGGAUUGUAUCUUAACAAUAAUAGUCUUUCGGGUAAGAUUCCACGAUGGUUGGGUAAUCUCACAUGGUUACAAUAUAUUAUAAUGCCCAAUAAUCAUCUUGAAGGCCCUAUUCCAGUGGAGUUUUGUCAGCUUGAUUCGCUUCAGAUUUUGGACAUUUCAGACAACAACAUAUCUGGAAGUCUACCAUCUUGUUUCCAUCCUCUCAAUAUCAAACAAGUUCAUCUUUCAAAAAAUAUGUUACAUGGACAGCUAAAAAGAGGUACAUUCUUUAAUUGCUCUUCCCUUGUGACAUUAGAUCUUAGUUAUAAUCGCUUGAAUGGCAGCAUUCCGGAUUGGAUUGAUGGGCUUUCUCGGUUAAGCCACCUUAUCUUAGGUCACAAUAAUCUUGAAGGUGAAGUGCCAGUUCAAUUGUGCGAAUUGAACCAACUACAAUUGUUAGAUCUUUCUAAUAAUAAUCUUCAUGGUCCUAUUCCUCCUUGCUUUGAUAACACCACACUUCAUGAAAGUUACAGCAAUAGUUCUAGUCCUGAUGAGCAAUUUGAAAUAUUUUUUUCCAACGAAAGCUCUCAGGGAAAUGUAGAAAAGCAAAUCCAUGAAAUUUUUGAGUUCACAACAAAGAACAUUGCGUACAUUUACCAAGGAAAAGUGCUUAGCCUCCUAUCAGGACUUGAUCUUUCUUGCAACAAGCUAAUCGGUCCUAUUCCUCCUCAAAUUGGAAAUUUGACAAGGAUUCAAACAUUGAAUCUAUCACACAACGACUUGACAGGAUUGAUCCCAUCAACAUUUUCAAACUUGAAGCAUGUCGAAAGUUUGGAUCUUUCCAACAACAAAUUGAAUGGGAAAAUCCCUCAUCAACUAGUGGAGUUAAAGACAUUGGAGGUUUUCAGUGUGGCAUACAAUAACUUAUCAGGCGAAAUUCCAGAAUGGAAAGCACAAUUUGCAACCUUCAACGAGAGUAGCUAUGAGGGAAAUACUUUUCUUUGUGGAUUGCCAUUGCCCAUUUGCAGAUCACCAGCAACUAUGUCGGAGGCUUCAAUUGGCAAUGAACGAGAUGAUAAUUUAAUUGACAUGAACAGUUUCUUUAUCACAUUUACAACAUCAUACGUAAUUGUGAUAUUCGGAAUUGUUAUUGUUUUAUAUGUAAAUCCUUAUUGGCGACGUAGAUGGUUUUACUUUGUUGAAAUGUGGAUAACUUCAUGUUACUAUUUUGUUGUAGACAAUCUUAUUCCAACAAGAUUUUGUCAUUGAAAUUAAUUAGUAGCUUAAUUACGAUUCUUUAAGUACUAAUCAAGUUUGCUUAGGAAAUAUUUUUUUAUUAAAAUUGUAGUAGUAUUUAGCAUUAUAUAGCUUCCAACUUCCAAGCACUUCACAUUUUUCUCUACACUUAAAAAACUGAGUGAUCAUGUUUUGCAGAUCUGGAUUUGGAGCAGGAUGGAUCCAAACCCAUAUCUGUCCACCAUAACUUAUAGCUUCCCUAUACUGUGCAGCAUACUUAAAUAAGAGAACCAUCUCCAAUGUUAAAAGCAUUCACUCUAUAACAUUCAUUUAGAAACUAUAUUCAGAAUAAUUUUAUAAUUAAACACAAGAAAUGAAACACACAGAUACACUUGAUCGCCUAUUUUACUCUAAAAAAGAACGAUUAUUGUGCUAUCAUCAUCUUCUUCACUAGCAACAUUAACACCAAAUCGAUGGACCCAUACAUUUCAUCAAGAAAGGUAUAUAUCCAAUAAAGUUGAAGCCUAACAAAAAAUUCAAGAAGAUUAAUGCCUCGCCACAACAAGGGGCACAACAACAUCAAAGUAGAGAUUAAGCAGUAUUCUCAAAGCUAAAACUCUCAAAUCCACCCACCAGAAUUUCAUAUCUCCUCAACAAUUUUAAGAACUAAAGAUAAUUAGGAUUUAACAUUAGUUUUUUAUAUAUUAGUUUCAUAAUUUACAAAUCAAUGAAGAUGAAGAUUAUGCUAAUAAAUUCAAAUUAUACCAUACAUUCUCUAGAUGUUACCAAAAAUUUCUAAGUCAAUCCCACAUAUUUCAUAAUUUUAAGACUAGAAAAUUUCACUAGUUAGAAGUUUCAUUACCUUCAAGUGGAAGAUGAAGAACAUUAUACAAGUGAUUCAGAUUAUAUCAUACAUACUCCAAAUGCAACUAGAAAUUAACAAGUUCAUGCGCACAUAUUUCAUAACAGUAAAAAUUUGUUGCUCAACAUGAUGUGUAUUUUUUUUCAAGGCAAUUUGGAAACACAAUUGUUUCUACAGAUAUUCUUCUCAACUUGGAGAUAAAUACAAAUAUUAAAAUGCAUAUGAUCGCACAUAUUACUUCGAGUUUAGUAAGAUUUCAUUAAAAGAAGCAAUCAAACCACUUAUCAAUUGUCGCAGUCGUUCUAUAAACUAAAAUAGCAAUAUAAUACAAGAAAAAGAACAUAUAGAUACUUGGCAAGAGUUCAUUAAGAAGUCGCAUCACAUUCGGGUGAGGAGUUUUCUGAUAUCUUGCUAGCUGGGGCUUUUUCUUGUCUUUCUACGUAUGCCGAGGGAAACCAACCAGCUUGGCCCUUGCAUUCACCUUCCGACCAUCCAGUAGGAGCCACCUUGAGAAGUUAUAACUAAAACGGUGAAUUAAACAAAAGUUAAUCGUUCAAAGACCUAAGGGGAAAACUAAUUCUUUUACGUAGGAGGAGUGAAUUAGUUGUGAUCACUGAAAUAACAGCAUAACUAUAGAAGCAUAACAAGAUAUAAAUUCACAUGUCUAUAAGGGUAAACUGGGUGGUUUAGAACCGAGCUAGCAGCCCUACUAUAUUCUGAUUUGCACUUCAAUGUAAAAGGGAAUAUAUGGUAGGAAGAAAGAAAACCAACCAUCAUUUGUUAACUCGUUGCUUUUCAAUCAAAAUUUUAAGAAAAAAAUGCCAUGUGCUUUGAACAUCAAAUAAGUAUAAGCAUUAGUUCUAAAUUCCACAUAUCAUAAGUUGUUAGAAGGAUAAGUUAAUAGCAGAGUAGAAAAAUCUAUGUGUUGGUAUUUAGAGGGGAAAGUACCUGGCGAACCACAACAUAAUCAUCAAUUGAAAGACUUAGCUUUCCAUUUGCUUGAGCAUCAAAUGGAUGUAUAACCUGCAAGAUAAUGGGAUAAAUAGAACUUAAAAAAAGCAUAACAAAAGUAGCAACAGUAGCAGCAACGUUCAUUGUAACCACUAUGAUCAUGGCCAACAAAGAUAUAUUAGAAACAAAAUUCCAUUUUUACUACGACAUUAAUAUGUACUAUACGAUAUCAUGACGAUUGGGUUACUAAGAGCUAUCAAAGUCUAAUAAGUUCUGUAUAACUUUAUGUAGUUAUUUAAAUUAUGGAUCAGAUUUUAAAUUUGAAAUUUUGACUGCUCUCCACAAAACAUGGCCUAUGCACAAGAAAGUCAUAGAUAAUGAGGAUUACAAGUGUCCGACAUCUUUUGAGUGAUGGAUUUAACAUGAGAGCUUAUGGUCAGUCAAUUUCCUCUGCCUAGCAAUAUAAGCUUUCUCGGCCAGAUUUAUCUUCAAAUACAUAGAUUGCCCCCAAGUCACAUCCAUAUAAACAUAGUUUUUCUAGGUAAACCAAGUAAGGAGUAUCAUAAUUCAGACAUAAUCAUAAAAAGGCCCAUCUAACUUAAGAGAAAAUCUCAAAAAGAGGGAUGCUGAGCUAUCAGUCUUGUAUCUAUAAGCAAUAUCAAGACUUUACAUCACCUGCUACAUCGUGAGUGGCUACACAACUUUCAGUGGUUUGUCUUUCUUUGGCAUGCCUAACUCAGCUUUGAUGUUGCUGAGAUAUUGAUAGUAGAGACACAUGAUACUUCUAGCUCAUGCAUUCUAUCUAACUCAUCCAACAACUAUCUCUUUUUUAAUUCAUUAGUGUUUGCUAAACCUCAUGCUUAAAAGUCCUGUUCUCCUAAACAAAGUUUCCUAAGAAUGACUUCCUUAGCACCACAUUUGGACACUUUUAGAGCAAUUUUAUUUGGGGGAAAAGAAUUUUCAAGGUGUUAACUAAUAAAUUUUUAAAAAAUAAUUACAAUUUGUCCUACGAUCAUAUGACAAUUUAUCUGGGAUGAAAGGAUACAGAUAGACAUCUUCCACUUUCAAGACUAAUCACUACUUCCGUAGAUGUUGUGCAAUAAUACAAAUACUUGACCAGAUGGUAGUAAUGGUAGAAAAAAAUUUUAUUGCUCCAAAAUUAAAAUAAGAAUGCAAUAUGUUAAGCAAAAGGCUGUGCAACAUCAAAUUAAUUGAUAAGUUUGUAAUUCAGUAAAUUAACAACUUUCAUGGUAAAAUACAACAAAUUUCUUUUGAAAAAAAUAAAAAAAAUAAAUCUUAAAAGACAGCAUUCAAUUUUGUGCGCAUCUUAUUUCUUAAGAUUUUUCAGGAGGAGGGCAAUAGAGGGACUUUCACCUAUGCAAGAGAGCAGAAGCCUUACUUUCCCUAUAAAGUAGACGUCAUUCUGAUUAAUAUGCGUUUGCAAAUCAGCUCCGUUUGAAUCAGUAUUCUGAUAGACACACGAGGCAUUUACAUCCAUUUCCAAAGUCACAUGUUGCGAGGAGGACUCAUUUGAUUGCUCCUAUACGAUCAUCUAAUUCAAGUAGCAAGGGUUGGAAGAGAAUAAAAAGUCACAAUUAUUCUUUUGCAUAAGUGAGACGAAAAUGAUAAAUGCAAUAUUAUCAGCAGUAAACAAGAAGAGAACGCUCCAAGAAAUAGAUAGAUGCAGACAAGCAAGUUAAAAUGCAUAGUCCCAAACCUCCGCAUACAACUUCUCUAAAGUAGCAAUAACGUGUUGAUGCUAUGUUUUCUCAGCAUCUACCUGCAAAGGCCCGAGACCAGGAAAACAACAAUAAAACCACUAGCUGAAGGAGAAAGCAAAGAAAGAAAUACACUUGACAUAAAUCUUGACAAGAAGCACAAUUUAAGACAUAACAAACCCCAAUCAUAUUGUUUAGAACUACCAUUCGUUAUUUCGUUAUUGUAACAUUUCGAACAAGUGUUGACUUAAUUCAACAUUGUUGGAAAGAUAGGCUUUUAGAAGCAGAAGAAAGCCUCUCAAACCAAAGUGCUUGUCCUUGUAUUGAUCAAGGGAUGUAAACAUAUUACAUUUGCAGGAUGAGAUUUAAUCACUCCCCUGAUUUAUUUGGGUUGCAAUAAAACUAAGCGAGCAACUGUUUGACUUUCAAGCAACAACUAAAUCAGCUAUUAAAAUUCAAAUAAAAUCAUAAUAGAAUAAUAACAGGCCAUCUUGCAUCAAAAAUUAAGUUUAAUUUGUGAAUUUUUUUCUAUAGACAUGUCAGUUUCUGCUAUUGAAAUGUUAAAAGUAUUGAAAAAUUAUUCAAUAAAUUAUGCAAGCAUUAAAAUAGAGGAAAAAUUAAAAAGUUUCUAAUUACAAUGUUAAUAUUUCCUAUAUUUUAGCAUUUGCAUAUUUUAAUUUAUUUAAAAGCUACGUCGAUCAACUUUGGGCAUGAAGAUUUUAGAUUCUACGAGACUUGAUUGGAAUAUGCAUAAGAGUGUUAAAAUAUGAUGCAUCCAACGAAAGACAAACCACGUGUAGUCUUUUAAUUAAGCCAAAGUAGCAGCUCAAACAAAUGACACUUGGACCAACAUGCAAUCAUGAAGUGGCCGGAAAAAGGACAAAUGCUACUUUGGCUUAAAUAAAAAAUAACAUGUGACUUGACUUUUGCUGGACAUGCAUCAUGUUAUUACAAGACAACAGAAAUCAGUAUGAUAGUAAUAAAAGUUGACAAUAACAUGAAGAUAAGAGGCAGAAUGUCAACACAUGCAUAGGCACACACAAGAAAGUAUUAACAUAUAUACCAUAGCAAAAACUCUUUGAUAUGUCAUCUGUUGCUGCUGUGAUUCAACUGACAGCAUGGCAGCUGUCGCUUCUCUACCAAGAGCCAUUAUUGUAGAUUUAAGCUCGGUCAAUCUUGCUUCUGCAUUUCGAAGCUUCACAGCACUCUCUGCUGAUAUAUCAGAUUCCCUAAUCUUUGAUCGGUGCCUAAAUACUUCAGCUGCCUGGUGAAAAUAUUCAAUAUAAAUCUAAUAUAAUUCUCAUCUUGCCUUAUACAUGCAUAUGUUACCUCAAAGCUUACCUGGGCUUCAACUUCAUGUCGAAGUUUGUCAUAACGAUGAGUCAGGUGUUGAGCAUCUUCCAAAGGUGCUCUGUUGAUUAACGCCCGUAGUGGCUCAGAUACCUACAUGUCCAAAAACCUGUAACAUAGUUAGAAAAAUGAAAAGAAAGAGCGAAACCUAAAUUAAAAAGUUCCUCCAACAUAAUCAUGGAAUUUGGGCCUACUUUAAGAAUAUAUAUAAGGAUAAUUUAUGCAAUUUUGGGUCUUAGGAUGAUUGGUAUUAGGUUAGUGUUCUUCUCUUCUGUAUUUAAGGUUAAAAUAGAAAUAAACCUAUGCAAAUAUCUAAAUUAGGCCUGUAAGACAUCCACAUGCAUCCUUCAGUCUCAUGGAUUUGAUUUUACUAUAGAUGCAAGUGUCUUUAUCGAAAAUGCUUGGAGUCAAUUGAGAGAACUCAUGGCCAAUAACUUGUCACACGCUAGUCUUUGCUAGUGAUGUAAGAAGUCACAAGGUCUCUUCAACAUUUGAACCAAUAAAAUUAUUAAGUCAUGGAUGUCACUAGCAAUGAUUUUAAUAUAAAACAUUAAAUAUUUCAGAGUUGUAACUUUAAAAUGGAUUCUUUUAUUCAAUAUCAUAGAACUAAGUUUCCUUAUGAGAAGAUAAUAGUUUCGAUAAUAAUUUUACAUAUAAUUUUCUAUAUUUGAAUUAUUUUCUAGUUAGGGAUGAACUAACCUGAUCACGAAGAAUCCCGAGCAAAGUUUCCCUCUCAUUUUCCAUCAAAUCAUGUGAAGUGCCAAAUUGAAGAGCAGCUCUUGCAACGCAAGAAUUGUCACUUUGAUUCUCUGCUCCAUACUUGCAACAAUCUUCAGCCAACUUUCUCGCUACACUAUUUGAAUACAAAAAUAUUGUACACAAGAACUAUAAAAAACGAAUGAAAAAUAAAUAAAAUCGAGAAAUUUCACUAAUUAAAAGUCUAAAUAUAAUUUUUGAAAAAAGAAAAGAAACGGACUUGCUGCUGCUUGGCGACUUGUUCUCGGAGCUUGAUUGCCUGUUUCUUGAUAGUUUCCAUACUGUUUCUUUCAAAAAGCGACGACGGCUCAGCUCAUGGAAGUGGAAAAAAAAAAGUGUGAUCUAGAAAAAUGAAAAGGCGUGAAUAAUUUUUGACAAAAAGCGAAAAUCAAGGAAAGCCGGCUCUUUCCAGAAAAUAAAAAAAAGAAAAUCAUAAGUUUGAAAGGAGAAGAUGAUAGUGGAAGUAUGCGGUGUGGCUGCCAGGUACUUGGAUUGUAUUGUCGGGUAAGGUAAUAGUAGCGAAUUAUAAGUUUGAACAGAGCAUGUUGGACUUUUGUUGACCAAAUUCAAAAGCCCAAUGGCACGGCCCGGAAGCUUUUGAAUAGAAAAACUUGCUAGAAAGCAUCAGUUUAAAUCACUACUUAAACGCUUGCUUUAACUGCACCGCUUUGUACUGUUUUAUGUAUGUAGCGGUUGUGUGGUUGUAAUUCACGGCUGACGCUAUGUGUUUGUUUGUACUGUUCUAUUCGGUGAUUGGGUAUUAUUAGUUAGGCCAAAACUAUGUUGCAAUAGUGGUAUUUCAGUCAUUGAAUCUAUAGUUGUACAGUUACAUUAAUAAGAUCUAAUGGCUGAAAGCAACAGUGGUACCGUACCACUGUUGCAAUAUAACUGGACCCUAUUAGUUAUUUCAAAGGGAUAAAUAAGAUUGCUUACAACAAACCUACUAAUUUUAUAAAAUUCAAGUAAUAUAGAAUAAAUUAAAAAAAUAAAUACAAAAUUGACUUUUAUUUUUUAUGGUUGACUAUAUUUUGUGUUCUCUCUGCUACAAUUCUUCCCUAUAUAUCAAUUACACCACAUACUAUCGACACAAGAAAUGAAAUCUAAUAUCACCCGUUUAGUUAAAAAAUCACUCAUGAAAAAAUUUUACCAUUUUGAUUUGAGGAUCCAUAUUUUAAACUGCAAGCUAAUGUUCAUCAAGAAUUACUGAUGGCCGUUGAGUAGAAAAAUUAUUUUUGGACAAAUUAUUUUUGUUGAUAGAAGAAUUUCUUUAGGGACUACUAAAUUAUUAAUAAAAAUGUCGAACACACCCACAUAUCAUCGACACAAUUGAUUUUGAGGAUCCAUGCUUUGAACUGCAGCCUAAUGUUCAUCAAGAAUAGAGUAUGGCUUGUGAGUAGAAAAUUUUCUUAUUUUGGCCCGAAAUAAAAAGAAAUUAAAUUGGAUGAGAAUCUGCCACUUUCUCAUGAAGAAAGGCAUACGGAGCAUACCAUGGUACCAUACAAUAUAAGGAGCCUCUAUUCUUUGGUUUUUCAAACUCUGAACGGGCCAAUAUUGCCAAAUUCCCCCUUGAAAAUUCUGAUUACGACAUUAUUCAUCGCUUGAUGCAAUCAAAGUAGUGACAAAGUUAGGAAAAAUAUGAGUCCUAAGUAAUUGCUAGGCAGGGUUCCUGAGAGCAAAAUUGUCCUAAGCAUUAUAUGCAUACAUGGUGCGGUACAUAGAGCACGUUAAAUUCCCCACUAUAUCACAAACCCAGAAAGACAAGUAAUAACUCAACUGAUAUAAAGACAAAAAGAAGAUAAAAUGAUAUAGAAAAAAGAAUUUCAAAGAGACAGCAACAUACGAUAGACUGAAGCCACUUGAUCUGCUCAUUGAUUGCAGCCUUAAACUUGCAAAUAGUUACUGUACGCUAGUGCUCUAAGAAGUGAAAAUGAUGCCAGCCCUGAUUCCCUUUUGACUUCCAUUUACUGUCAAACAUUCUAGUAAUACAAAAAAUUGUUUAGAUAUCUUGCUAUAAAUAUAGCCGUUUGACUGUCAUAAUAAAGUCACAAAUAACCAUUCAUAUUGAUCUACUGUCACACAGCAUGCUUUAUGCAUACAACAGCUGUAUGUAUACCAACUCCUAACCUUAUCAAUACAUUUGGCAAAAACUUAAGAAGAAAGCUAUUUCUCCAUCUCUUUUUUGAAAUUUCACAAUAACCAGCACAAUGUGAAAGCUAUGUUCUAACCUUAUGAUAAAUGCUCUAGACUCCAAAAGGAUUUUAUAUAUGAGAGUUUGUUGCAGCAGAUAUAUUGACUUAUCAAGUAUGAAUCAUUGUCUGGAUGAACUAUCUUUAGAUAAAAGAAUAUUAGAACCACUGUAGAAUAUCUUUACGCUGCUGGUUCUAACAGGAAUCUGCAUGUGGCAACAAUUGCUAGAUCCACAAUUCCCCAACUUGAAAUACAUAGUUGCACACCAUGAGAUAGUGCUACAAUCUACUGAGAUCUAACUUAUAUGGUACUUUAAGCUACUAAUGUUUGCAUAUUUCUACAUGUUAAAUUAACACUAUUAUCUAUAAUCACUCCAAAACAACAAAUGAUAAGCAGCUUUUGGCCACUUAGUACUAGCAUCCACAAUUAUAAAUAAGAGAUCAUGGGUUUACUUGUUGCACCUACUUAAUUAUCUGCAGUUGACAUCCUGACGCAAGGUUUAAAUAGUGACUGCUUAGAACCCUUGUAGUUGGAUCUUGACCUCUCCCAUUGUAGCCAAGAUUGGUUACUCUGGUAAUGAAUCAACACUCUCCUGCUCAGGGCCAUGAAGAUCUGAAAGCUCAGCACUAGUGGAGAACUUCAUCAAUCUCUUCUUCUCAGCAUACUUGAGACAAGGCUGCCUUACGAGACCAAUCACCACAGCACCAACGCUUAAAACUGCAACUUUUAAAGAAGAAAGAGCCAACACAACACAACACAAAUCAAUAUGGUUGGAGGAAUACACAUGAUAAUGGCUCCAACAGUGACAGUGGGUAUCUUGUAGGGACGAGAUGCAGCAGGAUAUUGCAUCCUUAACCAUACAAAUGCUAUGAACUCCAUAAUCAUUCCAAAACAGUACAGGAAGUUCUCUGCAGCUACAAUAUCUCAAAAGCUCAGCCAUGAUAGCAAAACCACACCAGAUGCUGAGAAUAUGAUUCCAAUCAAAGGAGUCCCAUAACAAGACCUCUUAGCAAAAAACUCAGGUAGCAUUCCACGCUCAGCCAUCCCCAAAAGUUGGAAAGAGUCGCUGCUCAUCUCAGCCACAAACAUGCCCAUAUUGGACAUUGCUGCAGCCCCCUGGAUGCACCAUCUCAACCAAACUCCUCCAAGCACUUUAGCGAUAUCUGAAAAGUAACCAUUGGUCCACAAGUCGCGAUCUAAUGGAAUAGCUCCAGUUCCAAGUAGAAGGGGAAAGAAAUAUCCAAAAACGACCAAGAUCAAAGCAUAAAACAAAGCCUUUGGAAGAGUCUUCUUUGGGUUAUCCACCUCUCCAGCUAGUGUACUUAUUGAGUCCCAGUAGUUGGAGAUUCCAAAACAGGGUGUUCAAAUACAAAUUCCAGUCCACUUCACCUAAAUUUACUACAAGCCAUCUUGAAGGCUCUAACUUGGGAAGGGACACAAGUCCCAUAACCACAAAAGGAAGGAAUGAGAAAAUCCCUAAAAGAACAGCAGCCCAUCCCACAAUGGUUAGACCCCUAUAGUUCAUGAAAGUGAGAACAAAAGUCAAAGCUAACGCCGCAAAGGCUCUAGGUAACCCAUCGCCCAAAGCAGGGAUACCAGACUUCAAGUAGUCAAGAAACAGAACUGGGUAUAAAGCAUUAUCAAUAACCCCACUUAGCCACUUCAUCCAAACUUGCUGAAAACCCCAAUAUGGGCCUAAGGCAGAUGAAACCCAAACCAUAUAACCACAAUUUUCAGGAAACACGGUACCCAUCUCGGCAGUAAUUAAAGCUUCAGGGACACUCCAUAUAAUCGGAAACACCAAGAAACCAAGAAGUGCUAAAAGAGGACCAGCUGCCUUUACACUAUCCUCAACACCAAACGGCCCCCCAGAAACCUCAUAGAAUAUAAGGAAAAUAAGUGGCAAGAUUGAUACUUUUUAGCGCCAUGGACUCUAGGAGAAGAUGGUUGGUCAUUGAUAUUAACAUAUUCAACAGCAUCAGACUGCCCCAUUUCUACUGAAAGUUGCCUAUUCACAGUGUUCCUCAAUUUCUGCAUCAAGUUUAAGCAUAACUAUCAAAAGGGUAUCGGCAUCUAAAUUAUGAAACAAAAUGAGCAUUUACUUAUUAAAAAAAAUCAAAAAAACAGAAAUGGAUUUCACAGAAUACAUGAAUUUAAGUUCAACAUUAAACAGGCGCUUAAGAAAACAAAAGGGUCUGUUCGUAAAGCCAUCAGAUUGCAAGAUUGAACAACAUUAACGGAAUCAAUAGAAUAGAUGUAAAGAGAUCUGAAAAGAAAAUAAAAUAAAAGAUGAAGAGAGAUAAAACGAACCAUCAAAUAAGUGCAUGCAGAGCAGAGAGGCAGAUACUAGAGAAGCUCCGUCGUGUUAGAGUAGGGGUGGCAAUAUGGGUCAGGAUUCGUUUAUUCGAUUCGAUUCGAUACGAAUUAAAUGGGUUUGGGUUUGAAAAAAUUAAUUCGUUUAAUAAAUGGAUGAAUUCGAUUCGAUUCGUUAAUUAAACGAAUCGAAUGCGGGUUUGAAAAUUUAGAUUCGUUUAUUCGUUUAAAAUUCGUUUAAUAAAUGGGUCAUAAACGAAUAGAAUACGGGUCGAUUCGUUUAAAAUUCGUUUAUUAUUUGUUUAAUUAAAUUACUUUUUUAUCCUUAAAUUUAUUUGAAAGCUUUUUAAAAUUUGAAGGUUAAUAUUGUAAUUUUAAGUAAAUAACAAAAAAAAAAAAAACAAAGUAGCGGAAACCUAAAGCUAAAUCCCUAAAAAUUCUCCCUUCACUCAGCCGCCGCUCUCGUUGCUCUCUAGUCUCUACCUCUCUCACACGAAUCACACUCACCCACCCAUACCAAGUGAAGCAAUCAAGCAACAAAAACAGCCGCCGGUAGCCACUGUCAUUAACUCACAGCGAACCGACGAUUACAACCACCAUCGUUCAUCCAUCAUCGAUUGAGCUUGAGGGACGCAGCCACGCGAGUGCAGCCCGCAACUCGGCAGCAACCCAGGAGCAUCAGCCGCGCAACGUAUUAGCAGCCACUCGAACCCACAGCAGUAGCUAACUCGUGCGGCGGUGCAGCAGCAGCAAACCCAGGCGAGCGCGACCCGAACCAGUGCCCAGGUUCUGAGUGAGUUCCUCGUUUAGGAAGAUCGCUUUUAAUCUUUUUGUAGUUACUUUGAUUUUAAGUAACAUAGACGAUGAACCCAACAGAGAAGCUGCAACGAGCUAUCCAUUUUUGAAGCGGCUUCUGUGGCUCUGCGUAAAGAGCUAAUUAACCAGCUGCAUCUUGGACCAAGAGAUAUAAAUGAAUAUAUUUUUCUUUUGCGCAGUACGAAGCAGUAAUUAAGUUGUUCUCUAGGAAAUCAAUCCAUAAUCAAGGUUUUAAUGCUAUUAAUGAUAUACAGUAUGUUCUUCUUUAGAUUUUAUAAGUGUAUAACACCUCCUUUGACAUAAUAUAUAUUGAUGUAGACCUCUCGGAGUCAGAUGGAUGAUUUGCCCAGGCCGGCUGCUUUCUGCAAGACAAUGCCAAAAAAAAAAAAAACCUUUUGCUCGCAGUUUAUGUGUUUUAUCCACAUUUGACAGGGCAUUUUGUAAUUUAUUUGAGCAUUAAUUAUGCCAAGUUUCAGUUCUGUUCUCAUUUUUCUUGGACUCGUAACAGCAAUCAGCAUCAGGAAGAUGCAAGGUAGGUUUAAGUGCUUAUUUAAUUAAUUCCCAAGCGAUCCGAAUCAACAAGCCAUCACCAACUCAGGGUAAUAUCAUGAGAUUAUGGUUGAAUUAUUGAGAAAUUUUGUAUUGUAGAAUAUUAUGAGAUUAUGGUUUAGAAAAUGUUUUGUAUUGUUCGGAAAAUAUUAUGAAAUUAUGUAUAAAUUGAUUAUGGUGUUAAAAAUUAUCUGUAGGAUAAGGAAGAAGCCCCCACAAAUAUUGGAUUAAUUUUUUUUUAGUAUUAAAAUUUAUAAUUUAUUAUGUUGUAUUGUUAAUAUUUUGUGUAUUGGAAUAUUGUGCAUUAGGAAUAUUGCUGGGUUAGAAUUUGGCAUACAUGAUGAAUAGAUUUGAUUUUUGAAAUAUUGUUAGGUAAAGUUUUUAUCUUGUUCAAUUAUCAUUUCCUUGAAAAUGCUACAAAUUUGCUAUAUAUUUGAUUUUUGAAAUUUUACAAUGACUAUUAUCAAUAUUGCAGCAUGUUAAUAACAUUUUAUUUACUUUUUGGUGUAGGAUUUUUGUUUUCAAGGUGACAAAGACAAAUGAAGAGAAUUAAAGAAAUUACAUUUCUUUAUAAUUUGAAUUUGAAUUAUUGUUAUUUGUAAUAUUAAGGAUUUGGUAUUUGGUAUUUGGAUGACUGUAUAAUAUAAUUUGAAUUAUUUGUAUUUUGUUGUGGGAUAUUAAAUUUGUUUUUUUUGCUUAAUUUUGUUUAUUAAUUAUAUUUUCUAAACGAAUUGAAAACGAAUCCUAAUUCGAUUCGAUUCGUUAUGGAUUCGUAAAUGAUAAACGAAUAAUAAACGAAUCCGGAUUCGAUUCGAUUCGUUUAUCAAUUCUAUUAAACGAAUUAAACGAAUCGAACCGAAUAUUCGUUUAAUAAACGAAUCGAAUCCGAAUCCUGAAAUUUCAAUUCCUUUAAUAAACGAAUCGAAUUCGAAUUCGAUUCGUUUAUUCGUUUUGCCACCCCUAUGUUAGAGAGAGCCUAAUUCAAUCAGAGCUCACUGAGUUUCUUUUCAACCGACCGGCAAAUUUGGAGUGCCACAACAUAAUAUUUUUACUUUUAAUUUUUGGAACACUUUUGAAUAGAAUUUUUUGUUUUUAAAAAAGGUAAGGGAGAUUAGUAUUUAUUUAACUUUAUAUUUUUUUAAAUACUUUACAAAUAUUUUUGUCGUUAAAAUAUUAAUAUUUUUAUUAAUAAUUUUUAUAUUUUUAAUUUAUUUUUAUAAUAUUAUUUUUUUAUAAUAAUUUUUUAUUUUAAUAUUAAUAAAAAAUAAUUAAAUUAACAAGUUAAUCCUAAAAUAAAUAAACACGUGUUUGGUUUUGGGCUUUUUCUUUUGUUCGUUUAAUAUCAUCUGGCUCCCUGAUUUGUGACUAAUUAUCAACGGAAUCCCGUUGGUUUCUAAAUUGAAAUAAUAGAAGGUCAUGAGACUAUUUACUCCAUUUAGCACUGCAGACUUAGGUGGCGUUUGUUUUUUAACUUAAUGACUUAAAGUGACUUAACUUAAUUAAUUAAGUUAAUUAGAGGUGUUUAUUUUUAUAACUUAAUAAGACCUUUUAGAUAAUUUUGACUUAAUAAAAUAAGCCAAUUUUUUUGGCUUUUUACUUAAUGGAGAAAUCUGAAUUAAGUCAAUUACUUGCUAAUGUCAAAAAUAUCCUUGCUUUAUAAUUUAUUUUUUAUGUCUAUCCCAAAACUCACCCAUAGACAUUUACCCCACACAAAAAUAUCCUUAUUUUUUCUUUCUUAUAUUAUAUACGAUAAAAUUUAAAAUUUAUGAUAUUUUAUAUAUUAAAAUUCCAAAAUAAUUAUGUAUUCACUUGAAUAUAGUUUUACUUAUAAAUGUUAAAAUAUUGUGGUAUUUAAUUUAUUAUUUAUUUGACAUUCAAAUUUAAUAAGGAUACAAAUGUAAAAGUACAUAUUUUCAGCUUUUUAAGUUGAAAAAAACAAACAACUUAAUACUUGUUUUCCGAGAUUCAGACAAAAAAAUAAACAUAUUAUUCAGAUUCAGACAUUCAGAUCUAUUCAGAAUUCAGAUUAAUUCAGGUCUAUUCAGAUUUCAGACAAAAAACAAACGCCACCUUAGAGUAUAUUGAAAAAGCUUUGUCAAAUAGUAGUAAUAGGGGCAUAAGAAAUAAAUUAUAGCUAUCACAAAUUCGUUAGAAGAAUUUCAAUUUUUUCCAUCAAUAAUGGCUAUGAAGCAAAAUUACCUUAGGUUAUAUUGCAAUACUAAUACUUCAAAUCCUGAUAAUAAAUUUGAUGACAGUCGUUUUUAUCAUGGUUUUAACAGAUAUAAGAAGAGAAAAUUAACUGUUCAAACAAAUUAGAAGCAAAUUCUUUCAUAUCUUUCUUUUAUUUUUCCGCUUACUUUCUUAGCAUCCAAACAAGUUAAAGUUAAAACGCUGUUAGAGCCAACAAUAUGCAGGCAUCAAUAAGCAUAGUAGUUUUGUAUAUGUAUUCUAUACGAUAUUCUAGGGAUGUCAAUUGUAGAACAUUUUGUGGUAACUUUUUUACAUUAAUUAAUGUUUGAAGAACUUGUUAAAAAGAAAAUGGUAAUUUUAUCAUUUUGAAAGACAAAAAAAAAAAAAAAGAGUGAAAGUGGCGUUACCUCAUGGUCAUUAGAGACUUGUUGCAAUGAUAGCUCAAAAUUAAAAAUUUGUGAAGAAUUAGUAGACAACGACGAUACUAUAUUUAUACAGUCACCAACGUGUUGAUUUUUGUUUAAUGUUUGAUCGAUAGAAACUUUCGUCGUCGUCGCCGUUGUUGAAUUCGUGCUUAGAAUAUCACAAGAGAAGAAAAAAGGAUGAAAGGGAAGAGAAGAAGAGAGAAGUGGUGGAUAGCAAAUAUGAUAUGCUAGCUACACACAGGCCUUAGAGAGUUUUUUUUUAAUAUUUAUUGUAUUUUUGUUUUUGUUAUUGGUUUUUCAUAUGCUUCCAAGGCAGCAAUGCGUUACAUCAUAAAUUGGACCUUUUAGGGGAGGUGGUAAAAAACAUGAGAGCAAUGCAUUCUAGCGCAUACAUGCAGAAAGAGUUUCCAAAUUUUCAAAAGUUUUUUUAUUUCUUCCACCUUUUUUUGCUUAAAAUAAAUUUUAAUUGUAUUUUGCAUUAACUUAGAGAAAAAAAAAAUCCAGUUCUAUACAUAAACGCAUACAUUGAUUAGAAAAUGAGUUUUAUGGACACAAAGGGACAAUAUAAGAGAUUCUUUUUGUUUAUUAGAAGUAACAUAACUAGUUAGUGUAACAUGUAAUUAUAAGCUACCAAUAAUUUGCACUGAUGAUAAUUAACGGUAUAGAUUUUGAGCUAUGAAUGUCUUGUGGCUAGUUUAAUUGGAUUUUCGAGUUUUCAGCAGAUCUAUUUUAAUGAUUAUUAAAUUAUUUUCACUUCUUAUGCCUUAAUAAAAAAAAUCAAUAUUUUUUGUUGUAUUCUAUAUUUUAAAACUUAAUUUUUAGUUCUUUAUAUUGCAAACCAAACUGAGUCAAAUCGAGUAUGCUCUUCAAAUAAUUUUUCCAUUGCCUUCAAGAAGAAUUCAUUUUAUUUUUAUAUAUUAAUUUAACACUUGUAAACCGGGCCGUCAGAUUGCACAUAAAGCAAAUGAUCAAACCGUUACAAGACCGGCCCAGGCCCACCGACUCUAUUUUCUUUCAUUUGACCAUUAAAAAGCUUUUGGCCACCCCCACCAAAUAAAUAAGCUCUUGUUCUCUUUUGUUCCCUCUCAAAGGAAAAUAUCUGAUCACCGAAUAAUGAUUCCGGUGACAUAAAAGAUCGAAACACCCCCCUAAAUUCCCUAAAUUUACGAUAAUACCCCACCAUGGAUGAUUAUGUUGAAAUGCCGCCUUACGAUGAAAGGCCUAAAAAGGGUUUUAACUUCACCUCCAUGCGCUUGAUCUUAACCCUCGUUUUCCCAAUUUUAACUUGCUUUUUGUUGGCAUUUUUUAUUGGAAUCGUAGCUGUUUUAUUCGGCAAAUCAUCAGUUUCCAGUUCCAUUUUUGUCCCUUCCCAGUGCAAGAUAGUGUCCAGCAGUAAGCUUUUUUUAACAUUUUCAAUUUUUUCCAUUUAUGAAGUCCAAAAAUUUUAUUAAUUUUGAUUUUUUUGAAUGAUUUUGCAGGUGUUGAUAUAAGUUCAUCAAAAGUUUGUGAACUUGGGGUGUUGAAUUAUAAGGCGAAGCGUGUGUUUUAUCCAUUUGAAGCAAGUAAAUUUCGAUGUCGGUAUGAUUACUAUUGGGCUUCUAUCUUCAAGGUAUUCAUACAUUUUUCCCUGUACUAUAAGCUUCUCAGUGGCGUUCUUGUGAGCGGUAGUGAGCGGUGUGGCUGACAGCUUCUUGAAAAUUAUAAGUUUGAACAGAGCAUGUUAGAGCACCACCAAAAGCCUCUUUAAAUAAGAUUUUAUUAUUUAUUUAAAGAGUCACAUCAAUAUUGAAAGCUCCAAAAGACACUUCAAUUAAAAUUCUUCAAAUAAGAAUUGAUUCUCUCUCUUCAAAUUUGGAGAGUUAAUUUCUCCCUCUUCAAUUUAUAUUUUAUUACUUUUCAUUGAAGAAAUAGAGAAGUGCUUUAAUUGCUAUUGACUUUUCCUUUAAAAAACUAAUUAUAUGAUUAAAAUAAUAUUAACUUAUUUAUAUUUGAAGAGUCUUUUGGAGAAUAUCAUAUUUUUUUCACCCUUCUAUUUGCCACAUAAGUAAACAAAUAGAUAUUUAAAAAGUAAAAUUUAUAGAAGCUUUUGGAGAUGCUCUUAGACUUUUGUUGACCAAAUUCGAAAGCCAAAUGGCACAGCUCAGAAGCUUUUGAACUGAAUAACUUACUAGGAAGCUCCAAUUUUUUGUUGGCUACAGUAAAAGGAUGUUGUUUUAUUCUUCUUAUACUUUACGCUUGCAUCAGCUUAAAUCACUUCUUAAACGCUUUGCUUUAACUCCACUGCUUCGCUGGGGGGAUUUACCUUGGAACAAGUGGGGACUUAAGUCCCCACUGAAAAAAAAAAUUGUUUUAAUAAUUAAUUUGAUUUGCCAAAACUUCUCAAUAAAUUUUUCUUAAGCCCCCCAUAAUUUCUUUCAACAAGCAAUUGAUCUAAAUGAGUUAAUUUCUGUCAGUUGUAUCCAAAUGAGUUCUCUGCAAUUGAUAUCAUGGCACUUGAAAUUCAACUUGAUACAUAUAUUUUGGAUAUGCGCACUAGUGCGAGACUAAAAGACAUAAGGUAUAUCCAUUGGUUUACUUGUUAAUAAUAUUAGCAUUGACUUUACCCGUUGCCACUGCUAGUGUAGAGAGAGUAUUUUCAGCCAUGAACAUUUUGAAGAAUUGGUUAUAAAGCCGUGAGUAAUGGAUGAAUGAUAGUUUAAUUAUUUACAUAGAAAAAUACUUAUUUAAUAAUAUUGAUAAUGAACUUGUAAUGCAACAUUUUUAAUGUAUGAAAACUUGAAAGGACAAUUGUAAACAUAUAUUGAAGUAUGAUAAAUCUUUCAAAUUUAUAUAUUUAUUACUUUUAAAAUUUUUUUAUAUUGCCGUUGAAUGAGCCCCCAGUCAAUCAAUAUGUUGUCUUCGCCCUGCUUCGUACUCUUCUAUAUAUGUAUCGGGUAUGCAGUUGUAGUUAACGGCUGAGACUACGUGUUUGUUUGACGUGGUAGUAACGUUACGAGUCUGUUAAACAUUCGAUGAUUAAAGUAUUAUCAGUUAUUUCAAAGGGACAAAUAAGAUUAGCUACAACACACCCACUAGUUUUAUAAAAUUCGAAUGAGAUGGAAUAAAAUAAAAAAAUAAAUAAGUAAAUUGACUUUUAAUUUUAGUGGUUGAAUAUAUUUUGUAUUCUCUUAGGGCACUGCUGUAAUUAUUCCUUAAACGUCAGUCAUACCCACAUAUAAUAGACACAAGAAAUGAAAUCUAAAAUCACCUGUUUAGUUAAAGAAUCAUCAUGAAAAAAUUUUGCCAUUUUGAUUUGAAGAUCCACAUUUUGAACAACCAACUUAUGUUCAUCAAGAAUGGAUCAUGGCCUGUGAGUAGAAAAAUUAUUUUUGGACAAAUUAUUUUUUUUAAUAGAAGAAUUUUUCAAGGGACUAAUAAAAUUACUAAUAAAAAUGUCAGACACACCCACGUACCAUCGACACAAUUGACUAUGAGGAUCCAUGUUUUGAACUGCCACCUAAUGUUCAUCAAGAAUAGAAUAUGGCUCGUGAAAAGAAAAUUUUCUGAUUUUGGCCUGGAAUAAAAAGAAAUUAAAUUGAAGGAGAAUCUGCUACUUUCUCAUUAAGAAAGGCAGACAUGGUAUACCAUGGUACCAUACAAUAUAAAAAGUCUCCAUUCUCUGGCUUUUCAAACUCUGAAGGGGGCAAUAUUCCCCAAUUCUCCCGUGAAAAUUCUGAUUACGACAAUGUUCAUCGGUUGAUACAUAAGUACAAGUAGUGACAAAAUUAGGAAAAAUAUGACUCAUAAGUAAUUACUAGGCAGGGCUCUUGAGAGCAACAUUGUACUAGGCUUUAUAUGCAAACAUGGUGUGGUACAUAGAGCCCGUUGAAUUCCACACUAUAACACAAACCCAGAAAGACAAGUAAUAGCUCAACUGAUAUAAAGACAAAAAGAAGAUAAAAUGAUACAGAACAAAGAAUUUCUAAGAGACAGCAACAUACAAUAGACUGAAGCCAGUUGAUCUGCUCAUUGAUUGCAGCCUUAAACUUGCAAAUGUUUACUAUAGCCUGGUGCUCUAAGAAGUGAAAAUGAUGCAAACCUUGAUUCCCUGUUUACUUCCAUUUACCAUCAAACAUUCUAUUCAUAAGAAAAAAAAUGUUUAGAUAUCUUGCCGUAAAUAUAGCCAUUUGAUUGUCUUAAUAAAGCCACACACAACCAUUCAUAUUGAUCCACAUUGCCACAUAGCCUGAUUUAAGCAUACAACAGCUGAAUGUAUACUGACUCCUAACCUUAUCAAUACAUUGGCGACAACUUAAGACGAAAACUAUUUUUCCAUCUCUUUUUUGAAAUUUCACAAUAAAACAGCACAAUGUAAGAGCUGCAAUGAAAAUGGACCGUCUGGAACUAUGGCGGAAGCUUCAACUAGUGUAGUGAUUUGACCUUCUUAUUAACCUAGCGAGAUCAAACACUGCCGUUGAUCUUGAACAGAUCAAUACGAUACGCACAACUUAUGAUUGAAUCCAGAAACAAUCAAAUCUUUAGCAAGAAUAAUUAAUCAGAAUCAAGAAACAAGUUUAAUGAAUAUAAACCUAUAAUUGGAACAAACACAGCCAAAGAACCCAAGAAUGACACAACGUACACCAAGGGAGAAGCUUUCCAGUGAGAUUAUAUUGAUGAUCAAAGAAGAAUCUUUUUACAAAGCUAACAAAAGUGAUUUCAGAGAAUAAGCUAUGACCCUCUCUCUCUUCAAUCUCUGUCUAGUUUGUUAACAGUGAUGACCCCAAUCUGCUUUGUUAGCCAGCUUCAUAACUGCGUCAGUGACAAACUAGCAAACCCAGAUUGAGCAGACUAACGACACGUGCAUAACAGCUUUAACGAACUUGGUUAAAGAACUGCUCACAUGUUCGUCACGCGUGUAGCUUAAAUGAUAGCCAAAACGACUUCAACCAGAUGCCGUUUUGAAGCUUAUGAAUUAUAAGUGAAAACACGUGCUUGUCUCGUGACAUUUAAAUGCAACAACAAGCCCAAAACACUGCCGUUCCACUAUGUUGAGUUUGCCAUCUCCAAGCUUCACAACUAGCAACGGACAAGAUGAUAAUUUAAUUGACAUGGAGAGCUUUUAUAUCACUUUUACAACAUUCUAUAUAAUUGUGAUAUUGGUAAUCGUCGGUGUUGUAUAUGUGAACCCUCGUUGGCGACACUGGUGGUUUUAUCUUUAUUGAAAUAUGGAUGACUUUUCGUUACUAUUUUGUUGUACAUAACCUUAUUCACAGGAGAUUUAAUCAUUGAAAUUAACAUGUUAGUUUCAUUAGAAGGCUGAGUGGUUAGGGCUGCUACCCUCCAACUUGGAGGGCAAUAGUUUGAACCCACAAGCGCAAUGUGGGGGUAUUUCAUUCUUUAAUUACAUUGUAUAAUUGAAUAAAGAUAAUAUUCUCUCUUACCUAAGUGUGAGUGGAGUAGACAUCCUUCGAAUAUUAGUGAGGGUCAAAACUUGGGCAGAGCUCAAUAAGUAUUGAUAUAAGUUGGUCCUAAUAAUAGUCUGAUUUGUAAAUAUCAGUUAUAGUCUCAUGUUUCCUUCCUUAGUUAUAUUGUAUAAUUAAGUAAAUGUACUCUUUUCUCUUACCCAAGUGUGAGUGGAGUAAACAUCUCUCGAAUAUUAGUGAGAGUUAAAAUCUGGGCAGAGCUCCAUAAGUAUUGAUGUAAUUUGAUCCCAAUAAUAGUAUGAUUUGUAAAUACCAGUUAUAGUAUCAUGUAAUAUGAGUUGUAAUUUGAGUAAUAAUUUCAUGUAAUUACAAAAAAAAUGUUACUUUCAUUACUUUUUUCUUCGUUAAAAUUCUCAAGUAUCAAUUAUGUUUGCUUAAGAAAUAAAAUUUCAUUAUGAAAAUUGUAGCAGUAUUUCCGAGCACCUCACAUUUUCAAUGAUUUUUCAUAAAUCAAUUAAUCUGCCAUACCAAUAUCAGGUUUAGUUUUUCAGACUAAAUGAUCAAGAAAGCAAACAUACAAAUUCACAUUUUAGAGGGGUAAACUAGCUUUUAGAUUUUAGAACUAGGCUAGCUACCUCACCAAAUUCCAAUCUGUACAGUGAACUACAAGAUUAAGAAAAUAAUGUAUUUAUAGUUUAAUUGAAUCAUGAGAAAACAAUGUAGUCAUAGCUCAAUCGGACAUGAUCACGGAGAGGCAUAUUCUUUUCAAGUUAAUUUGAUCCAUUUAUAAGAAAUGAAGUGGAUUGAAGUUAAAAGUUCAAAUAACAAAUCCUUAUUCUUGAGUUUUACGACGUCGUUACUCCUUCAAGAGGCUGAUUAUGCAAGUGAAUGCGGAAACAGAAUGCAUUAUCCAAUUUCACUCAUAUAGAAAAUUAAUUUUUUAUAUAUACUAAUCAACACUAGAUUGAUUAUGUUUUGUAUGUUUAUAUGCUAAUCAACAAUAAAUUAUAUUAAAUGAAGAAAUGCUUCAAAAUUUUCUAAUUUAAUUUAGAAAAUCAAUUAUUAACAUUAAUAUUCCUAAUAAAAAUUAUUUUCCAUCGGUAUUCAAAAUUUUCACUUAUAGAAAAUGCGUUUUACGUGAAUACAAGUUAUUGUGUAAAUUUGAAUGAUAGCGAAAAAUAUUUUUUUUAAUAAUUGUAAAAAUAAUUAACCAUAACAAAUCCCUUGCGUAAAUAAUAAUCGUUAUUUAAAAGGUAGAAAGAUGGUUAGUGCACAAUCAAAUUUUAAGCCCCUACCUCCUCAGCCCAAGAUUCAAACUUAGAUGAUCAGCCAAAUAAAAGUAUUUGAAAAUCAUUCAAUCAGGUUCUCGGGGCAAAAAUACAAGAUCCUUAUUUGCAUGAUAUAUAUGAAUUAAUGUAAUUUAUUUGAAUUAUCCAAAUUUAUUAGAGAUAAAACUAUAAAAUAUACCAAAAAAGUUAGAAGGAAGGGUGUGUUGGGAUAUUUUACAAACUAUAGGAAUCUAGUGAGAUUUUGAGCCAAACUGUAGGGAGUUGAAGGCAUUUGCCCAAUAUGUUUAGACGUACACUAACCGUUAUUUGCUCUUGUUGUUGGUCCCGGAUGAGCUGUAGUCUUAUUUUAAUUUUAUUUAAACUCACCAUAAGAUUCGCGGAGCUCCUAACUAACUUAAAUGACUCUGCAGAGCAUGUCAACACAUAGCAUGUUUAACCGUUUUAUUUGUAGAAGAAUUUAUGAUUUCCCAUUAGCAUUAUUAUUGAAGUGGGGCGGGUCAAAUCUCAAUUGCUUGAAAAUUUUUAUUAUUAUUAUUAGUCUUGAAGUGGGGUGGGUAACGUUCGCUCAAUUCGAGGGGAAUCAAAUAUAUCAUCCAAGGUAGAAUUGUGGAAAAUUAAAACAAAAUAAGAAAUAUGGAAAGAAAAGAAGAAAGUUAAGAUAUGAAAGACAUAUACAGUUGAAAUUGAUAAUCAUGUUCCUAUUUUGUUAACUAAUCAAAUGGAAAGCUGAACUGUAAACAAACAUUAAAACGUGUGAACCAAGCUAGCUGUCCUACAAGUCUACAAUAAUAAUUGAGUACUUUGAUUCAUCCUUCUAUAAAUUUCUACCCAUAUUGACUCCACCGAAAUUUCCACAAAAUAAAAAAAAAAAAAAAACUGAAUUUCCACAAAAUGCAAAACCCGUAGAACUUAAUUUUUGGUCAUGUGAACUAAGAUGUAAAUUAAAGAAAAAGUAUAAAAUUAAAAAAAGAUAAGAUUUCUAAAAUGUGUGGAAGGUGAUUCAUGAUUCACUGACACUACUUACUCCAAAUAUGAAGAUAAAUCUAUCUAAUUUCAUUAAAAAUAGUUGGAAAAAAUUAACUAAUAGAAAGCUACGGAAAUUAACCCCCCACAAAAAUGACUUUUUAUGGAAGAAUUUAUGUUUUUUAAAAUAUGUUAUCAAAGUGUAUUUGAUCAAAUCUCAAUUGGUUAGUAUGGUUAGGAUUUUGUGAACAUCACUAAAAAGUGAAAAAUAUGAAUGAUAGGGGUGAUGCUUGCAAUAUGAAUAAAUAAUGGACUGAUUCAAUUGAUGAUUACAUUUAUAUAUUAUUGAUUAUUUAUGAAUUUUCAGACUUGUUAUGAUGUAUAACUAUGUGAUUUUGAAACUUGAAACCGUGGCAAACAUUGAAAGGAAUUAUAACUUGAAAUCAUGACUCACGGGGUAUGUCAUGAUUCACGUGCACAAAAAAGGUAGAAUUGUGGAACUUGAUAACCCAACGACAAAUGCGGAAAGAAAGGAAGAAAAUUAAAAGACUUGGGGCCUAGCCUGCGUGUAUAAAUUAUUAGAUUUCUUUCUAUUUUAUAAGCGUAACCAUCAAUUUACUCCAUAACAAUCUUUAAUUCAUUUCUUAAAGAGUAAUGAUAUAGCCACAAACUCUUGUACAAACUUAUUUUGUAUAAAUUGAUGUGGCAUGAUAAGAUUUGUUGAAUUAAAUAUUACUUGGCCCAUAUGAUUUGUUUUUAUUAUUUUAUAUUUUCAUUCAACCAAUGAAUUAAUGUCAUGUCAGUUUGUACAAAAUAAAUUUAUACAAAAAUUUGUGGCUGUAUCAUUACUCUUUCUUAAAAUAUCAAAACUUUAAUUUAUCUUUUAAAUAUCGUUACCUCUCCAUUGGUUUUAACAGUUAAAAGGGUAAAAUUAUAUUUGUAUAUUUUCUUGACUGUUAACUAAAUAAUAAAAGUCAAAAUUCAAUCUUGUUAUCUUGUUUCAAUCCUCUAUCAAUCAAACAAGAUUUCUAAAAUAUGUGGAAGAUAUUGCAUGAUUUCCUCAACGUACCUGGCCCGAACAUCAAGGUAAAUAUCUCUAAAAUAGUUGAUUAAAUCUCAGUUGCUAAGUAUAGUUAGGAUUGUGUGAACAUCACUGAAAACUAUGAUUGAUAGAAGUGAUCUUUGCAAUAUGAAUAAAUAAUUAACUGAACCAAUUGAUUUACAUAUUAAAGUUUAUGAAUUUUCGGACUUGUUGCGAUAUAAUAAUAGCAUAUGAUUUUGAAACUUGAAACAGUGGUAAAUAUUGAAAGGAAUUAAUUUGAAAGCAUGAUCCGUGGGGAAUGUGAUGAAUCGUGUUUACCAAAAAGGUAGAAUUGUGGAAAUUUAUAACAGAACGAUAAAUAUGGUAAAAAGGAAGAAAAUUGAAAGACUUGGGGCCUGGCCUGGGUGUAUUUUCUAACUGUCCAAUGGACAAAAUUAUAUUUGUAUAUUUUCUCAUCCCUAGGUUUCAUACAAUAGCUCAUUUCAUUUUUAUUUUUUAAAUAAUAGCCUAAAACAUCAUUCUAUUAACUCACUAUUAGUUGAAUGUCGUUUGUUAGUAAUUCAUUAAGGGUAAAAAAUCAUUUUCUAUCAAAGAGAAAAUUAGAAAAAUAAAUAAAAGUUGACAUAUAACUAAAAAUGAUUUGAUCUAAUCCCACUAAAUAAGAAAUACCAAAAAAGAUGAAAAAUUUAUAUUUCAAGCAAUUCUUUUUUCACUUAUUUCUAUUUUGGCAACAUGAAAGCCCUAUAAACCCUAGAUCUAAGUACUAAAAAUAUCACAAUUUUCUUAUUCAUAUAAGUAUACUCUCUAAUUGCAUUGUAAAAUGGUUUGAAUUAAAUUGAAAAUAAAGAAGAUAUUCAGCACAUGCAAGCACAUAAAAAUUGGUGGCAUUUUUUAGUUUUUCUUCCAAUGAUUUAAAGAUAUUGUUUUAAUUACAGUUUGUUCCUUAUGACAAUUAUUCAAUGGCGAUAUCAAACUAUAUCAUCGUUGAUUUUAUUUAAGAAAAAGUUAAUGAAUUUUGCAUAUUUUGUAGUGUUAUUUAAUUGUGUAAAAAAAAUUAUUUUAAUAUAGUUUGUAUCGCUUUAAUGAAAAAUCAUAUUUUGCCCCCAAUGAAUUACUAGUUAACGAUUUUACAUUAAUGGUGAGUUAACGGAAGGAUAUUUUAGGCUAUUGUUUGAAAAGUAAGGAUAAAAUGAGCUAUUGCAUUAAACUCUAGGGAUGAAAAAUGCUUUUUCCCCUUUCUUAUCAAUCAACUAUCUGAUAAAAGUCAAAACUCAUAUUUUUUUUUUCCUUGUUUCAAUCCCCUCUCAAUCAAAAAAGUUUCCUUGUCUAAGCAACGAGGAAUAUGGCUAGAAAGAUUGUUAUUAGAAAGAUUUAUCAAUAGUAAUUGGUUCACAACUGAACAUUUUUAGAUUAUUGUGAGUCAAUAUAGGUCCUGUUUGGGAUUGAAGUGUUGCAGUUUUUAAGUUACAACUGCUGUGGAAAAAAAAACUAUAAUUAUGAAAUAAAAGUUAAUAAUAUAUAAUAAAUAUAAAUUUUAACUAAUAAUUUUGAUAAAAUUAUUAAAAAUAUAAUAGAUUUUUCAUAAUACAAGUAAAAUAUCAUAUCUACAUAGCUUGCAAGGUACAACAGUUAGUAUUUACCAAAUAGUUUAGUACUAUUUGUAAUGUUGUAAUGUCGAGAGAUUACCCAACCAUUAUGGAAUCCUACCAAGAUGAUUGUUACCACUAAGAUAAAAUCCUUCUAGUGAACAACAAUCAGACAAAUUUUUUGGGGAUCUCUCUUACAAAGUGAUUACCAUCCAAUCGCAAUUUUGAAUGAAAAUAAUUUUUUUUUAUUGGGAGUUUGACCUUAACAUUAAAUUUAGACAAUAAAUUUUAACUUUCUUCAAUUAUUAAACAGAUUACAGACAUUUGACAAAUUUGAAAACACUUCAUCCAUCGAAAGUUCAAAUUAGAGAUGGAAGCUAGGUGCUACAGCUAAUGGGAACAUUAAUUCCUGUCCCUCAUCACACUUUAUUUUGGGUCUAAUAAUUUUACGGCAGCAUUGACCACUGCUCAAGGUAAGUAAAACUUACAAAUGUGUGGCAAAAUAAAUAAUUAAGUGCAUAAACUCUUAACUAAUUUUCUUGAUAUAUACAGCUAAGGUACUUGUUCCUUUUUUUUUAAAAAAAAAUGUUAAAAAAUUUCGGCUGAGCCUGCUUGUGGUUUUGAUAAAAAGGAGGGGCUGGCUUCAAAUAUUUGAAUAGGCAUCUCCGCCGUACCUCAAACAAAACUGUCAUUAUUAGUGUCAUGAAACAUGUUUCGGCCGUCAAAGUCAUGAGAGGGUUGAUGACGCUACUACGUAUGAUGACACACCAGCCGACAGUGUAGUAACAGCUCAAAAACAAAAUCUACCAAAAUCAACGAAAGUUAAUAAAAUUUUAUUUUAUUAAUAAAAAAACUUUUUAUUUGUGGAGAUAUGUGUAUUUGAGUCUGUGGACUGAAAUGGAAAAUAUGAAGACGUUCGUUGUGUAGAUUGACUUCAGUUGAACGGGUCUAACUGGUAUUUUAUGCUGACGUGGCACGAAUUAGUUAUAAUCUGUUAUAACGAUUCCAGAAAUAUCAGUAUAAAUAGAAGCUGAUGAGCAGUGCCUGUUGUACGAUCCUUUUCUUCUUCACUUGUUCGUCAAUUUGCAUAGCAUCUGUUUCAUUGUGAUCUAUGCAAAGUCUUCUGUAAAUCCACUUAUGUUUGAUUAGUUGUUGAUCAAUAACGAGAGUAAAUUUUUCCUUCAAAUCUUGCUGCUUCGUGCCCCUGUUUCAGUUCUGGUUUUUUUUUUUUUUUUUUUUUAGUUCUGGUUUCUUAAUUCAAUUGAAUUUCUUGGUGCUUAAUUCAUCAAGAUUCAGUGGAAUCGACUUGAAAAGGACUCAAUAGACUCAACAUUAUUUAACGACACUCUGACCGUGGAGUACCGUUAUAAUAAUCUGAUUUUAAGAAAAUUAUAACUUAUUUUAAAUAGCGCCACAAUAUAAUUCUAAAUAUUUAAAAGGAAAACAUUAAUGACAUUUUGUUUUGAAAAAUUCAAUUAUUAAACUCUCACGUUUCAUGUGUUUGAAGUUAAAUUAUUCAUUAACUAGAACUCUGUUCAAAAUUGACUGUCCUGUGUUCCCAAAUGUAGUUGCAAUAUUGAAUGAAAGUAAAAACUUUCUAUGGCGAGUUUAAAUCUAAAUCUGGACAAUGAGUUUUUAGUUUCUCAAUGCUAUUCUAAUUACAAAAAUUAUAUUGAUUGAUUUAUUGUUACAGUUACUAGCCUUUGAAAAUGGAUGGAUUUAUUGUUUCCGUGACCCAAUUAUGCCUGUCUAACGCUGCAACUACUAAAAAAUCUAAUAUUUAAUGCACAUGUUAAAAGAUUUAAAAUUUUAUGCAUUUAUUAAUUGUUAUAAUCUAAAAGAAAAUUAAUUCGUUCAGGUCAAUCUGAGUUGGUGCAUCUGCAGAGCCUUUUUCUUUUUUCCCCUUAUUGACCAUAAUGAUCUAAGGGGUAUAAUACGACCUUGGUUCUUGGUAAAAAUGACAUCUCCUUCAACAUGACUAUUGACUAGGAGCAUGUAAAAACAUGGAAACAGAAUUUCCACAAAAUGCCAAACGUGUGGAACUUCAGUUUUGGCCAUGUGGACCAAAUGCAAAUGAAAGAAAAAGGAUUUUCCCAGCUAAUGUACAAAUAAAUGAACAACCUUGAAGCCUUAUUAUUCGCAACAAAAAGGGAUUACUAAUUGGAGAAGACUACACACAGUUUCUCUCACACUUUCUCUCUGUCAAUUUCAUCUAGAAGUCCCUCUGAAAGCAUCUCCCAAAACAGUUAGUCAUCUUUUAUUCUCUGUUUUCUGGAAACAGAGUCCUAACUAACUUAACUGACUGUACAGAGCUGAUCAAGAAUUCUGUUUUGUUAACUAAUCAAUUGCAAAUCAUAUAUUAGUGUUGAACGGUGAACAAAAUUGAAAAAAAAAAAUUCUUAAAAAACGUGUGGACUCGGAUAGCCAGACCAGAAAUCUAUGACAAUAAUUAGCUUUGAUGCUGGGAAUCUUUUAGUUUCUGGCCGUAUUGACUCCACCAGUGAAGUUUUUAAAAUAACAAGUUCCCAUUCUUCGUUUUUUUUUUUUAAAUGUGCUUAUAAUAAUUUUAGAAUAGUGACUUAUUUGUAGAAGAAUUUAUGAUUUUCCAUUAAUAUCAAUAUUGAAGUGGCGUGGGUCAAAUCUCAAUUGCUUGAAGAAUCUAUUUAUUAUUAUUAAUAUUGAAAUGGGGUGGGUAACGGACCAACGGUUCACUCAAUUAAUAUGUGGGGAAUUAAUUAAAUAUGACCAUCAAAGGUAGAAUUGUGGAAAAUUAAACCAAAAUGACAAGUAUGGAAAGGAAGGCUGAAAGUAAGGCAUGACGAAAGUCUUUGAGAAGGCUGAAGACCACCAAAGAAGUCAACUGAAAGCUAGCUGGGGCCUGGUAUGUAUGUUAGAUGUGUUUGUUAUAAAUAACAUAGAGCCCUUUUGUUAUUUAUAGUUAUAGAGAAAGAGAGAAUGUGUGUUUUUUAAUAGUUAGAGAUAUAGCUAGAAUGGGUGGUUCAAAAUCCAAAAUGGUGACGAUGUUAGUUUUGGGGGUAGAGUGAGGGAUGUUUGGAGCUUGAGAGAUUUGCUCUUUUGCGGCUUAAGCAUUUCUUCAAUUCUCCUUAUAGACUUUAAAACUGGGUAGACGAGCAAAGAGGUUGUUGUCAGUGGGAAACCGUUGAGUGCAGCAAAGUGAAAUUAAUUUCUCCCUAUUCUUAGUCUUACCAGGAGUAUCGAUCUGGGAGAGUGGUAUCUGAAUGCUUCUCUAUUUACUCCCUUUCAACAAAUUGGCAACAAAAUAGCCGGUUGGGUUAAGAACGAAGGUCCUUCACUUAAUUUAAUUUACUUAAUUUAAAUUAAGAAGAAGUUCCGUCAUCAAUAGAGUGCCUAGCUGAUCGUAAAACGUUGCGUUUGAGUAAGUGCACGAGGCUGAAGAGGCUUUCCAUCAAGCAUUUGUAAAUUGAAAUCUCUUCUUGAGCUUUAUCUCUAUAACUGCUCAAACCUUGAAAGUUUUCCAGAAAUCAUGGAGAAAAUGGAACGUUUAAAGAUAUAAAUUUAGCAAGGACGGCCAAUUACAGAGCUGCAAUCUUGAUAGCCUUCGGGAUUGGUAUCAUUUUCAAGCAAUUUUCUCAAUGCAGAGGUUUGGUAUCAUUGCCUCCAAUAUUAUUGUCAGGUUUAGUUUAUCGAAUUUGUUACAGCUAAAUUUAAGGGACUCUGCUAUAAUGGAAAUUCCCCAAAAUAUUGUUUGUCAAUCCUCAUUGAAAAUUUUAAAUCUAAAGACUUGUUUGUUAACUAAUUGAAGUAUGUAAUUAAUGCUUUGUUUUUGUAAUUUAUGUUUGAUUUUGAGAUAUUUACAUUUGAAUAAAAAAGUAAACUUUUGUUACAUUUAUCUAAAUUAAAAAAAAAAAGGCUAAAUGAGAAGUAAACUAUGUUCAAGCAAUUUUUUAUUUAUAAAAAUAAACCAAAUACUACUUAUAUUCAUAUAUCAAAAAAUGAAAAACAAACAUGUUAUUCAUAUGUUCACAUACAAACUUAUUCGAACCUCAGCUAAAUACAAAUCCAUUUUGAUUUCAAACAAAAAAAAAAAAACUUCGUAAGUGGGAAUAACUUUGAGAUUUGACUUGCAAAUGUCAAGCAACUUGCAAGGCUAGAAUAUCUUGACUUGAACGGUUGCAAUGAUUUCUCAUCAUUGAGAGUUUAUCAUUGUGCUUCAUCAUCAUCAUCAUCAUCAUCAUCAUCAUCAUCAUCAUCAUCAUCAUCAUCAUCAUGAUUAAUAAAAAGGUAAGCAAUUAAGAGUCAAAUUAAACCACUUGAAAAUCACUCAUCCACGCUUUUGGGACAUCAUUCUGCUCAUUAUUUUUAUUCCGUAUCUUCAUUGUUUUAUUUGGUAAUUAUUACCAUUAGUAAAUAAAGGGAUUAGUUGAUUAUUGUGAACUAACUAAAUGGAGCUCACCCUUAAAUGUCGGCUUGUAUCAGGGAGGUGCCUUAGGGUUAAUAAAUCAACUAAUCCCAUAAAUUGUUGAUGUAGGGUCCUAACAAAUUAUUGCCGUAGAACAGCACACAGCUCGAAAACAUAUUUGAUCCACACAGUGAAGAUGAUUCAAUAUUAAGCAUGUCAUAUAAUCUGGAGUUGGAUAUUGGAUCAAUUUGAUGAUAAUGAGUUUCUUUCAGUCUCAAUCUUUAUCUUCUUCGCAACAUGACUAGCCAUUGCGCAAAUUCAAACUCUGACAAUGAUUUCUCAAUCGCUUUCUAAGACGAUGAGCACGUAUGUAUAUAUAUGUGUGUGUGCGCGUGCGCACGUGUGUGUUUGUGUAUGUAUAUAGGGAGAGAGAGAGAUAUCACACGUGUGUGCUUUCCUUUUGUCAAUAAGAUAUGCAGAGAGCUUAAUAAUCAUAGAUUAGCUUAUAUCCUUCAAACCAUAUGCUAUGAAGUAAUUUCACAAACACUUGUUGAAUGUUAUUGAAUCAGUAGUUCACAGUUCAAUACAAUGUAGGUUUCCUAUUUGAAGUAAAUGAUUAUGGUGUGUGCAUUUUUCAUAAAGCUAACAACUGAAUUUACCAUUGAAACUUGCAAAAUGUAACAGAGAGAUGCAGAUAGCAGCCACGAAACACUAAGAUUGAAAAUCAGGACUACUGAAUUCUAUUACAAGCCCUUAAAAUAGACAACAAUCAUCCUCAAAUGUAUGUACUGAAAAUAAGAAAUAUUAAUCGUAAAGUUAUGCAUUAACAAAACUAUUGACUACUUACCUUUAGCUAUAUGUUUUUAAUUGUAGCUCCCUACUUUGUUCUAAGAACUAGGCAAAAGUAGCAUAUCUUCAAUCCAAUCAGCAUAUAUACCGCUCAUCUUCUCCAGUUCUUUCCACUUUGAUUUGCAUUUCAUACCCUGCACUUGCUGCUUAGAAAUAGUCAUAGUUUGCACAUUGACAGUAGAAAAAGUACUUGAAGCAAUCAUUGGCAUAGCAUGGGAUUCCAUUGAGUCGCGGUCUCCAAGCUUUCAUGGUUCUGUAAAGAAAAUGACAAAAACAUCAUGCUAUUGGCAUUCUACUUUUAGCAAUUUUCCACAAGCUGAGCUAUUUCAUAUCUCUCUAUAAAUUAUGAUCGAUGAGUGGACCACUGAUGCAUGCAAGUUUAUUAUCACUUGUAACUGCUGGUUCAACCUUCAGAUAAGUUUGUGAUAAAGGCAUCUAUGAGUACAAUGGGAAAAUUACAUGAACUUAUGUUAUCAAUCAUUGUUUUGCCUUCUCGUGAUAGAAUUCUGUGCAACAUAAAACAUGAUAUAUUUGUACCUUACCAUGCCAUGUCGUGAACCUAGAAGCAAUGCAAAUUGCAAGGAACAUAUUAAGCUAUCUACUGUAUAUAACAAAUUCUUAUUAGCCCACAAUCUUGUGCCGCCACAUUGAUCAAGUAACACUAUUAUAUCAUUUCCAAAAUGGCAUAUAUAAUCUAAUGUUGAACAAACCAAAUUGGGAAUCAUCAUUCCUUACAUUAAGCUGACAUUCGUACCUGCUAGUCCAUGAGCAAAGUUGCUUAUAUUUCCACACAGGCAGCUCCCCUUAUCUCUCGGUUCCGACAGAGCUUGGUUUUCCCAUCACCAGCUUUGGAUUCAUUCGAUCACUGAUGCUCCGAGUUAGCAAGCCCCUUGUUGUGUUCCCAUUGAACAGACCCACUUCUGUUAUCCACAGAAGAUCCACCACUCAAAAUGCUUAUCACCGAACUAUUCCUAAACUGAAUAGAAACUUCCGCACAUCUCUCGGCAUUUACAUGAAGAAAUCGACACCCACCCCCAUAUUUGCAAGUUUUCUGAUAAUAGAACGGUCUACAAAGCUGCAUUUCGUUAGGCAAUCUAAUCUCUCCAUUCCUAGCAAAGUGAUAUUGAUUCCCGUAUUUGUAAUUGCCUAAUUGGGGUUUUGGCAAUAGCCUGGUCUUAAAAUUACCACCCAUUACUUUGUUCAAUGCCACUGGCAUCCUCUGAUUAGGAACAUUUUCACAAUUUUUAGCCCUGUUAGUCGAAUCACAUUCAACGGGAUAGUGAGGCAGUAUUUCACUAACAGAUUCAAUUUGACUACUCAUAUUGAUGCACAUAUAAGAAUUUGAAAUCACUUUCUCUUGGAAUAUUUAAUGACCCCUGAUGAAAGUUCUUGAAUGGAAUUAUUUAAUUUGAUUUGAUUUCCAACAAAUUCAAGAAACCCCACAUAGUAGCUAAACAAAAAUCAACCAAUAAUACGCAAUGGGUUUCUUUCUUUUUGCCUUUGGAGGGCCAUGGAGAUCUGGAGUGGGCAGUAAGUAAUAGCCUUUAUGACUGGAAUGACAGAUUUGCAGAAGAUGAUAGCUCAAAACGCGUUGCUGUGGAAAAUUGUAGCAAAAUUAAAAAUUGGAAAGAAAGGGAAGAAAAUUAAUGCAUGAAGACUUGGAGAAAACAACCAAAUUAAUCAACUAUAAGCUAGCUGGGUGUAUAAAUUGUUAGAUGCAUUAUAAGCAAAUAGCGUAGAGCCCUUUGGUUAGUUACAGAGACAGACAGUGUUUGUGUUUUUUAAUAGUUAAAGAUAUAGAUAGAAUGGGUGUUUCAAAAUCAAAAAUGGUGAUAAUGUUUGUUCUGUUAUUAAUAAUAUUAGAAGGUGGGGGAAGUGAGGGAUGUUUGGAUCACGAGAGAUUUGCUCUUUUGCGAAUUAAACUGUUCUUUGAUGAUCCUUUUAAUUAUCUUCACGAUUGGAUAGAUGAUGAGGGAGCUACUGAUUGUUGUCAGUGGGAAAGGGUUGAGUGCAGCAACACCACAGGCCGAGUGAUACAACUAAACCUUUUUUUAAUUGGGAAUUGGGAUUUGGGAGAGCGGUAUCUGAAUGCUUCUUUGUUUACUCCCUUUCAACAACUUGAGUCACUUUAUUUAAGUUGGAACAACAUAGCUGGUUGUGUUGAGAAUGAAGGUGCUUCGUUUAAUUUUAUUAAAUUACUUGCUCUCUCCUAAUUUAAGUUGAAUAUCAAGACUGAGCAACUAUAUGCAUAUCCAUUCAGUUGACAAUUCUGACAUUUUUUUGAAGUGAUUAAUUAAUUUUUGAAAUUACACCAGCAUCUAUGAUCCUUUUUUAUGUUACUUGCAGGUCUAGAGAGGCUAUCAAAAUUGAACAACUUGAAGAUGCUUAAUUUAAGUGAUAACUCGUUCAACAAUAGCAUCUUAUCAUCUCUAACUCAUCUUUCAUCAUUAAGAUCAUUAGAUUUAUCUUACAAUAGAUUGGAAGGAAGUAUUAAUGUUAAAGGUAUGUAAUUAAAACGUCAUCUCUUCUCCCAACUCUUUCAUUAACUUGCUAAAAUAAGAUUCAAGGUUUUGAAUUCAAUUUUUUUUAUGAUUAAUAUUAAAGGAAAAAAAACAAUUUUAAGAAAUUCAUAAAUACAAGUUCUAAUGUUUCUCAUAAUUUCAUCUUGUACUUUCAUAUGUCUUGAAUUUAAGAUUUAAAAAAAAAAAAAAACUCUAAUAGCGAACCAAACACCUCCACAACUUAUUAUUAAUAAUAUUAUUAUUUUUUCUGUGAGGUUUGAAACAUUAAACUCAAUUUGUACUCUUUACAGAAUUAGAUUCUUUGAGAGACUUAGAGGAGCUAGACAUUGCCGGGAACAAGAUUGACAAAUUUGUGGUCUCAAAAGGUGCUACAAAUACCAUAAAAAAUCUAAACUUUUACAAAUUAGCUAGAUUCUUUGCCAUUUGGUUAAUUAUUUUGCAGGUUUGAGGAAGUUGAAGUAUCUCGGCUUAAGUGAUGUGGGAUUCAAAGGAACAUUUGAUGUUCAAGGUAAGUCUAAGCCAUAUGCUUUCUCAUUUGAAUUCAUUAAGGAUAUCAAGAUCAUCGACAAAAUUAAAACAUACUUUAUUUUACUUCGUCAAUCAAUUAAUUAAAUACUAUUUGGCUUGGCUUCAUCAAUCAAUUAAGUCUUAUGUCUAGGCAUGUCUGCAGAAUUUGAUUCCUUGAGCAGCUUAGAGGAGUUGGACAUGAGCCGCAACGAAAUCGACAAUCUUGUGGUUCCUCAAGGUAAACAAUUAAAAUAUUAUUCAAUUACAUUAAUUUAAUUCAUUUGGUUAGGGAAGGCCCAAAAGGUACAAAAAAUAAAGGAAUAGAGAAUUUAUAUUAUUUAAAAAACAGAAUGUAAUAAAGAUUUGAUUCAAGUUCUUUAAUCUUUACAGCGAUUGAAAAACGAUCUUGCUCCUUUCCCAAAGCAUAAAAUACGAAUUGACUCCUAAUUAAAUUAAUCAUUUAUUUCUCUCAUCUCUGAAUUUAAACAAUGAAUUUUGAUCUUCAAUCCUAUUCUAAUUAUUAUUAUUAAAUAGGUUACAGAGGUUUGAGGAAGUUGAAAAGCAUGUAUCUAUCGGGAGUUGGAAUUAGAGAUGGAAGCAAGUUGUUACAGUCAAUGGGAUCAUUUCCAUCCCUCAACAUUCUUCACCUUUCGGAUAAUAAUUUUAUAGAAACAGUGACAACUACUACUCAAGGUAAGUAAAUGGUACAGAUGUGGCCAAAUUUGUAAAUAAACUAUUAAUUAAUUAAUUAAUUUUCCGUAUUGUUGAUAGUGCUAAAUUUGUUGCUUCGAAACAGAGUUGCGCAAUUUCACCAACUUGGAAUACUUGACAUUGGACAAUUCCUCUCUUCAUAUAAGCCUUCUGCAGAGCAUUGCAUCAUUCACUUUGUUAAAAAAAUUAUCUAUGACUAACUGUAAAGUCAAUGGCAUCCUAAGUGGUCAAGGUAAAAGAAAAGUGUUGAUUAUGAAUAAGUUGUUAAUUAAUUAAUUUUGUUGCUCCUUGCUUCUAAACAGAGUUGCGUAAUUUCACAACUUGAAUAUUUGACAUUGGACUCUUCCUCUCUCCAUAUAAGCCUUCUGCAAUUGCUUGACGAAUUUAUUUAUUAUUAUUAUUGUUAUUGUAUUGAAGUGGGGUGGGCAAGGGUUCACUCAAUUAAUAUGUGGGGAAUUAAAUAUUACCAUCCAGCAUAGAAUUGUGGAAAAUUAAAGCAAAAUGAGAAAUAUGGGAUGAAAGGAAGAAAGUUAAGGGCAUGAAAGACUUGGAGAAGACCGAAGACCACCAAAAUAAGUUAUGUGUUUGUUAUAAAUAACAUGGAGCCCCUUGUUGGUUGCAGCGGCAGGAGACAGAGAGAGUGUAUUUGAUUAAUUAAAAUUCAAAAUGGUGAUAAUGUUAGUUUUGCUAUUAUUAAUAAUAUUAUAAGAGGGACUUAAACAUUUCUUCAAUUCUCCUUAUAAUUUUUGUCAAGACUGGGUAGAUGAUGAGGGAGCUACUGAUUAUUGUCAGUGGGUUGAGGUUGAGUGCAGCAGCGCCACAUGCCUAGUGGUAUCUGAAUGCUUCUUGGUUUACUCCUUUUCAACAAUUUGAGUCACUUGAUUUAAUAUGGAACAAUACAGCCGGUUUUGUUGAGAAAGGUGCUUCAUUUAAUCUAAUAAAUUUACUUCCUCCCUCCUAAUUUAAGUGGAAUAUCAAGAUUGAGCAACUAUAUGCAUAUUCAUUCAAUUGACAAUGUUGACAUAUUUUUUAAAAUGUUUAAUUUCGAAAUUACACCAAAUAGAUGUGAUCUCUGUUUUGAUUUUACUUGCAGGGCUACAGAUGCUAUCAAGAUUGAGCAACUUGAAGAUGCUUGAUUUAAGUGGAAACUCCUUCUACAAUAGCAUCUUAUCAUCUGUAGCUCGUCUUUCAUCAUUAACAUCAUUAGAUUUAUCUGAGAAUAGAUUGGAAGGAAGUAUUAAUGUUAAAGGUAAGUAAUUAAAACGUCAUCUCUUCUCCCAACUCUUUCAUUAAUAUGCUAAAGUAAGAUUUAAGGCUUUGAAUUUAAUUUUUUUAAUGAGUAAUAUUAGAAAAAUAGUUUUAAGCAAUUCAUAAAUACAAUUUUCAAUGUUUCUUAUAAUUAUAUCGUGUACUUUCGUAUGUCUUGACUGUAAGAUUAAUAUAUAUAUAUAUAUAUAUACUCUAACUGUGAAGCAAAUCCCCCCAUGACUAAUUUAUCAUUUUUUCCAGUUAAAAAUGAUAAAAUUUACCAUUUGUUUAUAUUUAUUAAUUAACUCUGUUUUAAGUCUUGGCGUCUUGGCGUGUUUGCAGAAUUUGAUUCCUUGAGCAACUUAGAGGAGUUGUCCAUGAGCUACAAUGAAAUCGACAAUCUUGUGGUUCCUCAAGGUAAACGCUUAAAAUAUUAUUCAAUUACAUAAAUUUUAUUCAUUUGAUUAGGGAAGACCCAAAAGGUACAAAAACAUAAUAAAAAUAAAUAAAUAAAGAAACAAAACGUGGUAGUAUUAUUUCGAAAACAGAAUGUAAUAAAGAUUUGAUUCUAGUUCUUUAAUCUUUACAAUGAUUGAAAAACUAUACUGCUCCUUUCUCAAAGCCUAAAAUACGAAUUGACUCCCAAUUAAAUUAAUCAUUUAUUUUGUUCGUCAUUUAUUUCCCAAAGCAUAAUAUGUACAUCCUAUUCUAAUUACUAUUAAAAAACAGGUUAUAGAGGUUUGAGGAAGUUGAAAAGCCUGCAUCUAUCGGGAGUUGGAAUUAGAGAUGGAAUCAAGUUGUUACAGUCAAUGGGAUCAUUCCCAUCCCUCAACACUCUUUACCUGAUGGAUAAUAAUUUGACGGAAAUAGUGACAACUACUACUCAAGGUAAGUAAAAAGUACAGAUGUGGCCAAAUUAUAAAUAAACUGUUAAUUAAUUAAUUUUCCGUAUUAUUAAUAAAGCUAAAUUCGUUGCUUCUUCUUUCUAAUUCUAAACAGAGUUGCACAAUUUCACCAACUUGGAAUAUUUGAGAUUGGACCAUUCCUCUCUCCAUAUAGGCCUUCUGCAAAGCAUUGCAUCAAUGUUCCCUUCGUUAAAAAAUCUGUCAAUGUCUCAUUGUGAAGUCAAUGGUGCCCUACGUGAUCAAGGUAAAAGAAAAGUGUUGAUUGUGAACUCACUCAAUGGUGUCCUAUGUGUUCAAUGUUUUUUUUUAUUUAUUUUAUUGUUUAAUGUUUCUGCUAGGUUUUCCUCAUUUUAAGCGUUUGGAACAUUUGUACAUGGAUUACGCGCGCAUUACACUCAACACCAGCUUUAUUCAAAUCAUCGGUGAAUCGAUGCCUACUCUUAAGUACUUAUCACUGUCAAAUUCUAGUCUUAGCACUAACAGCAGGACUCUUGAUCAAGGUUAAUGAGAUGCUCCCACCCUCCCCUCUUAAUCUAUAAUAUUAAUUUUCGAUUAAAAUUAUGAUUACACAAACCAAUCACUUCUAUAUGAAAGAAUGCUCUGCAUUUGUUAAUUUUUAUAUCGUACUGAUGGAUGAAUUAAUAAAUUUUCAGGCCUCUGCUCAUUGGCGCAUCUGCAAGAGUUGUACAUUGAUAAUAAUGAUUUAAGAGGUAGCUUGCCUUGGUGCUUGGCAAAUAUGACAUCCCUCCGAAUAUUAGAUGUUUCUUUCAAUCAACUUACUGGAAGCAUCUUCUCAUCUCCCCUCGCUCAUUUGACAUCCAUUGAAGAGCUGUGGUUUUCAUACAAUCACUUCCAAAUCCCAAUUUCACUUGAACCACUUUUCAAUCACUCAAGACUCAAGAUAUUGCAAGCUGACAACAACGAAAUAAAAGCUGAAAUAAUUGAGUCACAUUCUUUGACCCCAAAAUUCCAAUUACAAUUUCUCUCCUUGUCCUCCGGUUACGGAGAUGGUUUCACAUUCCCCAAAUUCCUUUACCAUCAACAUGACCUACAGGAUGUUUAUUUCUCACACAUAACGAUGACUGAAGAAUUUCCAAUUUGGUUGUUGGAAAACAACACAAAAUUAGAAUUUCUUUUUCUCGUCAAUGAUUCUCUUGCAGGACCUUUCCGAUUGCCAAUUCAUUCACACAAGAGGUUAAGGUUGUUAGAUGUCUCUAACAACAACUUGGAAGGCCACAUUCCAAUAGAAAUUGGAGAUAUUUUACCAAGUUUAUAUGUUUUCAACAUUUCCAUGAAUGCUUUAGACGGUAGCAUUCCCUCUUCAUUUGGUAAUAUGAACUUCCUCCAAAUUCUGGACUUAUCCAACAAUCAAUUGACUGGUGAAAUCCCUGAGCACUUGGCUGUCGGUUGCGUCUACUUGGAGUCUCUUGCGUUAUCAAACAACAACCUAAAAGGUCACAUGUUUUCUAGAAAUUUUAAGCUGGUAAACUUGAAAUGGUUACAAUUGGAGGGCAAUCACUUCGUAGGAGAGAUCCCACUAAGUUUGUCUAAAUGCUCUUCGCUAGAAGGAUUGUAUCUUGAUAAUAACAGUCUCUCAGGUAAGAUUCCACGAUGGUUGGGUAAUCUCACAUGGUUAAUACAUCUUAUAAUGCCCAAGAAUCAUCUUGAAGGUCUUAUUCCAGUGGAGUUUUGUCAUCUUCAUUCGCUUAAGAUUUUGGACAUUUCAGACAACAAUAUAUCUGGAAGUUUACCAUCUUGUUUCCUUCCUCUCUCUAUUGAACAAGUUCACUUGUCAAGAAAUAUGUUACAUGGACAGCUAAAAGAAGGUACAUUCUUUAAUUGCUUUUCCCUUAUGAAGUUAGAUCUUAGCUAUAACCAGUUAAAUGGUAGCAUUCCAAAAUGGAUUGAUGGGCUUUCUCAGUUAAGCCACCUUAUCUUGGCUCACAAUAAUCUUGAAGGUGAAGUACCAGUUCAACUGUGCGAACUGAACCAACUGCAAUUGUUGGAUCUUUCUAAUAAUAAUCUUCAUGGUGUUAUUCCUGAUUGCUUUGAUAACACCACACUUCAUGAAAGUUACAACAAAAAUUCUAGUCCUGAUAAGCCAUUUGAAAUGUCUUUUUCUGUCAGAGGCCCUCAAGAAAAUGUAAAAAAGAAAAUCCUUGAAAUUUUGGAAUUCACAACAAAGAACAUUGCCUACACUUACCAAGGAAAAGUGCUUAGCCUCCUAUCAGGACUUGAUCUUUCUUGUAACCAGCUAAUCGGUCAUAUUCCUCUUCAAAUUGGAAAUUUGACCAGGAUUCAAACAUUGAAUCUAUCACACAACAGCUUGAUAGGAUCAAUCCCAUCAACAUUUUCAGAAUUGAAGCAUAUCGAAAGUUUGGAUCUUUCUUACAACAAAUUGAAUGGGAAGAUCCCUUAUCAGCUUGUGAAGUUAAAUACAUUGGCUAUUUUUAGUGUGGCAUACAAUAACUUAUCAGGCAAGAUCCCAGAAUGGACUGCACAAUUUGCAACCUUCAACGUGAGUAGCUAUGAGGGAAAUCUUUUUCUUUGUGGAUUGCCAUUGCCCAUUUGCAGCCCACCACCAACUAUGCCAAGGGCUUUAACUAGCAAUGAAGGAGAUGAUAAUUUAAUUGAUAUGGAUAGUUUCUUUAUCACAUUUACAACAUCGUACGUAAUUGUGAUAUUUGGAAUCGUCGGCGUUCUAUAUGUGAAUCCUUAUUGGCGACGUAGGUGGUUUUAUCUUGUUGAAAUGUGGAUAAUUUCCUGUUAUUAUUUUGUCAUAGACAAUCUUAUUCCAACAAGA